Molecule: long non-coding RNA, 191347 nt
Filed under: Triticum aestivum (bread wheat)
Lineage: Eukaryota; Viridiplantae; Streptophyta; Magnoliopsida; Poales; Poaceae
Description: long non-coding RNA (TAES_LNC024547)
Source: RNAcentral
UCUGUUCAAACGUCGGUCAACAGUUCAGUGGUACAAAUUACAAUAAUUACCACAGACUAUUUUAUUUAAUCUGAAGUCACAGUGGCACAAUUUGAGUGAAUUCAAUUGAAGUCACGGUCACACCUCCACACAUUGAUUAAAUUAAUUAUGCAUGGGUAAGACAAUCUAACUACAACAAAUCACCAAUGCCAAUAUAACAAAAAAAGUGUUAUAAUCCUAACCCUAAAGCCAAACCCUAGAACCCUAACCCUAGAAUAGUAGAAUCCCAAUCGGGGAAAAGAGAGAAUAGGGAUGGAUAACUUACACCACGCCGCCGAAGGAGGAGGCAAAGUUGUGGCAGCCUGUCGGAUUUGCCUUCACCGCUUGGGCGAAGCCAGUAGCCGUCGCGUACUCAAAUGAUUUCCCCGUGCCGGCGGUUGGGGAGGAGGCGGCACCUAAGAAGGAUUCGAGCUCCCCACACCUCAGGUGGAUCUCCAUCACCACCAUCCGGAGCAUCACCAGCGGAAGAGCCGCCGCUGCCAGAUUUCAUUGUCACCAUCUGUGGGAGCCUGCGGGAGAGAAGUGCAAGCGAGAGAGAGUGGAUGCGGUCGGUCAGUCCAACGCGAGCCGACCGCAUCGUUUGAGAAAAUGGCGCCGUCCGCGCGGCUGUUAUGCCACGUCAUCAGUUUCGGGCCCCAGCUAUUGGAAAUGCCAUCAAACGCUGCAAAGCAUGCGGUCAAUCCUCCUUGCAAAAAAAGUUUACCGUAUACGCAGUGACUUUUGCAAAUAAUUAGAGGCCAGGUAGUUUUCUGCAAACGGAGCCCCAAAUGUGGUGGUUUAACUCUCAGAUUCGGAUGUCUGUGAAAGUUUGUUUCUAUACCUAUUUCUAGGUGUGUUUCUUUGUUUUGCUUCAUGUUGUAUAAUUAGUGGCAAAGCUCAAGGCCCGUCAUCUGACAUAUCUGUAUCAGUCACUACAAACUAUUCGAGGGCAAAACUUGUAUUGUUGUUGUACUUGAAAAUUCCGAGUUGCCUGGUGGGCAUGGUCAACGUGGCAAAGGAAGUGUAGAAGAUUUGCAAAUCCUACAAGAAUUCCUUCAAUCCAAAGAGCCCUCAGAGAUACUGUACAAAUCUGCUUGGCUUUUUAUUUACAACGAAAAAUGCUACCGAUAUAUAUCUUCAUUUUGAUUUCAGUAUUUUCUUUGUAUGUGCUUUUUGUGAUCUAUCAUGUUUGAAGUGAUAUCAACAUUUGUUGAACUAUUUGAGUGAUUUAUAAUCACGCAUCAACACCCAAUAUGCAAUGGUUGUGGUCGCAUUUAGCCUUUAUCUUAUAGAGCAUUCCCUAAAUAUGGUGUUGAGUUGGAUCUCAUUAAUUAAUAAUAAAAAAUAAAGUUUUGCCUGUAAGACUGAGAGAAAAGAGAGUGCCAUCCUUCUAACUUCCAGUUCACCUGUUGGUCUACUAAGUUAUGCUUCAAUUUUCAGAUCAUGUACAACUUUUUUCAGUGCACAUGUUUUAGGGGUUAUAUUCAGUACAAAAUGGUCAAUUGAAAAACCUGCAAGCACCGCUAAUUAGCUAUCGCUCCAUCUCAUUUUGUUAUGUUUAUCACAAAGCAUUGUUCGGUAUUGACAUGUAGCUAAUUUAAUAGCAUGUUGUUAGUAUGUAAUGUUUUUUGUGUUUUUCUUAUGUGGACUUAACUGAUUUAAUCUAGCAUACAAAAGGUAUGGGAAGGGAUAGAGAUAAUAGUGAAUGUGUUGCAUCUCUUGUUCGCUUAAAGUAGUUUUGUAUUAUGCUCUAAUUAGAACAGAAGACCAGUGAUGGUGCAAAUUAAAGCUAUAAGGUCAAGUGGCGUGGCCAUCAAGUUCAAAUAUAUGGACCAGGACCAGGAGCAAUUUUGAUGCCGACGGUGAGCUUAUACUUCUUCGUUUGCUUUGCACUUGAGCUAUAUUGAGUUAAUCCGUUCUACAUUAGCAAGUAGCCACAAUGAAUUUUAUUAUUACUUGCUCAAGAUUAAAGGAUGGAAGAAAUGGAAUAAUACAUCUCACAGAGAUAAGCAAGUUUCAUAUAUUCUCUCAGCCUCUCUUAUAGAUUGGAUAAAUCAAAUAUUGUUGCUUCCAUUGUGAUCCAUCGAUUGGUCAUAACCAAAAUAGUUAACAAAAUAUGUGGUAUAGUGCCAUCUUUAUUCUAUCCUUCUUAUAACUUAGGUGAAUGGAGUGCUUUUGGUUAGUUAACCUGAGGUCAACCAAGUAAUGGCAAAUAGUUAACCUGAGGUCAACCAACCUGGUGGUGCGCUUUAAAAAUGCAUAUUAUUGUCCACUUGUUUCUCCAAGGUCGUUUCUUCUCUUACUUCUUUAAAAAAUUGUAAAUUCAAAAAAAUGACACGAAUGGUAUGUGCAUUGUUUGAGACAUGUGUUGCAUGUGCUAGUUGUAUUAUUAGCUUACUAGUAAAAACACACAAUUUACACCCAAAAAAUUUCUGAAGCCUGUGACAACUAAAUGUAAAUAUUGAAAUAUACUCUAUAAUUUAGUUGCUGCCAAGAUGUGAGUGCAGUCACACAUGACACAUGUAUGUCUAUGUUCUACCACUGAUUUUAGACCAAAAAAAUCACAUUUCAUCAUAUAUUCGACUGUCCCUAAAUAUGUGUCGCAGUCUGUUGGUUUCAAUCCCAAUUGGCUAGUAUACUAUCGCAGGUAAGAACAUACCCGGUGCACCACAUGCCAAAAAAACUCUCAUGAAAUCACCAAAAACAUUUCAUGGAUAAUAGACAUAACACAGAUAUAUCAUACAAGAAAUUUCACAUUCAAUUUCAACCCACGUAUAGAGAAACAAAAGGAGACAAAUAAUUCUAUGAAUCGUUCCAUUUUGGAUUGGGCUGUGAAUUUAGUUAUUAGCACCUACCACAACUGAAUUUGUUAAAAAAAAUCUUGAGGUAUAUUUUGAAUCGAGGUUUGAAAUUUGAUGGCCUAGUAGAUAUAUACUGCACUCGUAUAACAAAAAUGUUUAGAACUUUUCGUAACUUCAGUGUGUGCUUCCGAGCUUGGGCAUAUAUACCUUUUGCACCAUAAGCUUGGGUGCUUUCAUUCUCAACUGCAAAUUAGAUUAUUAGCUUUGUCAAUCGUGAUUUUAUUGAUGAGCGUUCCUAGUGUUCAAACUUACUAGGACUGGUUACGACUUGUGACCUCUCUCCAAAAAAAAUCUUUUUUAGAGUGCUCCAAAAGAAUAUGUUGAUUCUGAAUAUGUAUCCAAAACUUAAGAUCCUCCGCUAGAGCUAUAUCUCGCCUUAAGCGAGACAGAAGGAGCUCUAAAGGGUUUGAGCAUAUGGGCCUGCCUAUUAGCGUAGGUUCGAUCGCUUUGCUCGCUACCACUCGCUAUAGGUAGUUCUAAAAAAACACUCGCCAUAGGUCACUAUACGUUUUUUGGGUUUUUUUCGCUUUCUUUUGAUUUUUGGUUCUUUUGUUUUUUUUCAUCCAAUUUUUUUAUUUUCUUUUUUCUUUGUUAUAACUUCAGUUUUACACCGGUUUCUUUUUUUCUUUCUCAGUUUCACAGACUUUUCUUUUCUUCCCUUUUUUGUUUCUCUAUGGUUUUCUUUGUUUCUUUCCCUUUUUUUGUUUGUUUGUUUAUUUUUUGUUUACUUCUUUCUUUGGUUUUCUUUAUUUCUUUCUUGGUUUUAUUGGGUUUUUUCUUUUCUUUNNNNNNNNNNNNNNNNNNNNNNNNNNNNNNNNNNNNNNNNNNNNNNNNNNNNNNNNNNNNNNNNNNNNNNNNNNNNNNNNNNNNNNNNNNNNNNNNNNNNNNNNNNNNNNNNNNNNNNNNNNNNNNNNNNNNNNNNNNNNNNNNNNNNNNNNNNNNNNNNNNNNNNNNNNNNNNNNNNNNNNNNNNNNNNNNNNNNNNNNNNNNNNNNNNNNNNNNNNNNNNNNNNNNNNNNNNNNUUAUCAAGUGCAAGUUUAAUUUUUUUAUAUGUGGUCAACAUUUCUUGAAUACAGACUUAACAUUGUUUUUCAGAACCCUGAUUUGGCAUUUUUAUUGUACAUGGUCAACAUUUGUUUCUAUACACAUUUAACAUUUUUCAAUUACAAAUUUAAGAUUUUUUUUUAACACUUAUUCAACAUUUUUCAAAUGCUUGGACUAACAUCGUUUAAGUACAUGGCCAACAUUUUUUCUAUACACAUUUCGUGGUGUAUGUUUUUUGUAUACCUGAUAAACAUUUUUAUACACAUUUAACAUUUUUAAGUGCUUUAUUAACAUUUUCUAAAUGUUUUAUGUAAAGUAUUUUUGUAAUAUAGAAUAUCUGGAAAUAUAAAUAAAGUAAAAGAAAACAAAAGACGUAAAAACGAGAAUAUGGCAUGUGGCCUCUGGUCAGCGGGAACAUAUAUGGUGCACCAAGGCAAUUGGUGCUACCGGUGCACCGGACCUUUGCACAUUAAAAAGCGUUUCAAAAUAACAAAAAAUAAUAGUGCAGUGACACAACAUCAGUGUAUCUUGUCACAAAAAUUCAAAUCAAAAUUCAAAACACUGCUUGAGAUACAAAAAUGAAAAUUUUGACAUUAAUGUGUUAAUGGGCCAAAACUGAAGCCCAACAUGUGUUAUGUACUAUUCAGUGUCAAAUUUGUUUUUUUUUGUAUCUCAAGCAAUGUUUUGAAUUUUGAUUUGAAUUUUUAUGACAACAUACAUUAAUGUCGUGUCAAUACACUAAAAAACUGGAUUUCUUCUUUCUGUACAAUGGGGGACCGGUGCACUAGUAGCACCAAUAGCCCCGGUGCACCAAAUACAUCCCCUCUGGUCAGCAGUGCGAUGGGCCGGCCCAAUAUGGAGCUUGCCUUCAGCUAGAAUUCCUCUCGCUGUAGUAGGCCAAACAUAUCAGCGCCUAAGAUCCUCUUGCAAUGCAGAAACAUCAAACAAAUUAGUUUAUAGAUGGGCCUUAGCUUAUAGUAGCAGUCGACACAUAUUUUUUCCCAAAAAAAUAUUUGGGAGAGAGGGCUUAGAAUGGCCGAUAGAUUUCCUAGCCCAUGGCCUACAUUACUCUGCGCAACUCUAGACCCCUUAUGUGUGCGUGUGUGUGUGAUUGUGUGUGUGUGUGUGUGUUUGCACGUUGCACAAGUGAAUUGUUUUGAAUUGCACUGGCAAAAAUGCCCAAUAUUUUCUACUGCAAACUUGCAAGUCCAUGUCACUAUCAAAAUAAGGGCGUCUUCAACGAUGACACGCAAUGGCGCCUCGCAAAUCUUUCUCCUGCAUCCGUCCGCGGAGAGGGGGGCAGUCUGUGGACAAGGAUGCGGGAGGCUGCCAUCCAACCGUAGCCGCAUGCAUUUCAAACACUUUUUCAACAAACCGGAUGAAAUUCAUGCAAACACGGCCGGGAUUUCAUACAAACCGGACAAAAACGUUUACAUUUUGGACAUAUUUUAACUAAAAAAGUUAAAAAUAUAUGCGCAUACGGUCGCGCGGAGCUCCACUCCCAUGACACGGAUACACUACACUAGUCUAUGGCCGGCCGCAGCAGAUCUCUUUGUCUUCUCCAUGUCCGGCAGCUCGCUCAUCGGAUUGUCGAGAGCCCCGGAGGUAUAUUCUUUCCCCCGUAUCUUCUCUAUGUCUUGAUGCGCUGCUCAUCGGAGUGGCAAUGAGGGUGCUUCAACCGGAGGGGAAGGGGGGCUCCUCCGCUUCCGUGGAGUCCGGGUGGGGGGCGAGGAUGGUCUAAGAUGAAGAAUCGGACAGGUCACCGGGUAUACAAGCCAGCGACACGCCGGCGAUGGCCUUCCUAGGACCCAAUCGGCGGUGGCUUCCCGUGUUCUACUUUCCCUCGAUGUCGGUGGCGGGCGCGCUGGCCACUGACUCGUCGAUCUCCGUGCAGCCUACUUCUUUCUCUGUCUGCAGGGCACGGUUACGCACGCGUUGUCGGCCGAUGGCGCGGUCGUAGGCACGGGAGGCGCGGUACGACGCGACGUCGUCCACGGCAACGAUGAUGCCUGUGCCGUCGUGCCCCCCCCCUCCUGUGCCGGUCUGGAGCAACUCGCCACUCCUCCACGAGCUGGCUUGGUGCAGCGAGGUGUUAAACCACGCGCCGGCUAUUAUGCCUCGCUCCAUCAGGCUAGGGCGAGGGAGAUGGAGCAGCGAGUUGCCUCACUCGUAUCCAGCGGGCUGGCGGGCCACCCAGCUGGCUUUUAUGCCAGAGAACUACUAUUCCUGCUCGUCGGAUGCCAUCGAAAGUGUGGAAAAAAUGGUGGAAGGAGAAGAUGGGGAGCGGUGGACUUGGUGAUGCGAUUCUUGCCCAGCGUCUAGCCUCCUUUAAAUAGAGGGUGCACGGGAGGAGCUUUGCCCUGCAUUGUGUUUAAUGUCGGCCCACUCGUGAAUGGACAUGUGACCGGAGUAGGUUUGUCGUCUUCCACACCGGUUUAAUGGAGGCAUUUGAAUGCGGCGAGGAGGCAUGUUCUGCCGGCGUGCAGCGGGCGACGCCCUCGACUGGUGCGCCGUUUUAAUGGUCGAGGCAGUGAGACGUCGCGUCCGUUCUAAGCCGUCUUCAAUAUGGAGGGGCACGCUCUACAGCAACAAGAAUGCGGGCAGCUGGCGCCAGGCGGGAACGCGUGCGGGCGAUGGAGGAGUGGUUCGGGUGGGCCACGGCGGACGGGUGUGGGUAGUGUCGGAAUGCCCGCAAAGCCCAUAUUUGUCUUCGGUUUACGGGAGAAACAACGUCCAAAUCAAACAGCGAAGGUCCGCGUUGGAUGGGGUUCCGUGAUCCGAACGUAUGCGGAUGAUUUAAAGGUAAGGUGUCGAAGAUGCCCUAGCAUAGCACGCUCUCUUUUCUGGAGCGUGCCUGAAGCUAGCGACUGAACAACCCAGAAGUGGACUUCUACGUCCUUUCAGCCCCAGCUCGGCUCCAAAGUCCAAGCUUCCAAAACAGAGGAGCUCAUGAGCAAACGCGGCGCGUAGCCUAGAACCGUCCACAUGACGAGACCUGCAAAUCUCAUCCGGUAGGAGAGCCAUGGACCAUAUCCGGCCUGGGGCUUGGGCGGCGACGGCGUUUGGCAAAGCGCCAAACGCUACGGUUGCGCCGGCCCGGACCACCGCCCGCCGCCCCCCCAGAGGAUUACCACGCACACGAGUCCUUUUCGAUCGCCGAAUGAUUUUGAUCUAGCACGUUCCCGCGGUUUCCCUCCACAGUUGAACGUUGCCCUCGCCAGGAUUAAUACUAAUCCCGUCCAUUCUCUUUGGGGUUGCUUUGCCUUUGCUCCCAUAAAUUCUUUCCGUCCGCCUCGUGUUGCUUCCCGACCAAGUCUGCAGCUUCCUCUCCUCGCCAGCAAGAGCGCGGAUUCCAUUCCAUCCGGAUUUCCUUCUCGAUCGCACUCACAGCCUAGCCUAAUAGCCGAUCAAACAAACCCGGCCUUCCGUAGCCCGCCCGAGACCCCAAGUCACGCACAAAUUUUCUUCAUCUUCUCCCGCAAUGGCGGAGCCUGCUCCUGCUCCGGCGCAGCCAAGAACCGGCGGUGACGAUGUCAUUUCUGCCAGGAUGCAGCGGGCUCUGGAGCUCUUGUUCCCGUCUAAUCUCGCCGGGAAGGCGGUGCUGUUCGCCGUCGUGGUGGCGCUGCUGCGGAUGCUGCCGACGAGCCAGACCCCCGGGAUCUGGGACCUGCCGCACAUCCUCCUGCUCGGCCUCGUCAUCUCCUACGGCGUCUUCGGCCAGAGGAACGCCGACGCCGAUGUGGUGGUGCCCCCGGUGGCCGCUUCUUCCAAGGUCACCGACGACGACGAGUCCGUGGAGGCCUUCGUCUCCCAGAUACUGCAAGGGCCGCUGGUCUUCGAGGGGAACAGCGGCGACGGAGGCAGCGGCGGCGCCAGGGACGGCGCCGUGCAGGCGUGGAGCUCGCAGUACUACCCCGACGAUGCCCUCGUCGUCGUCGCCGACACGGGCGACGCUGGCGAGAAGCCGAUUCUCCUGCCGGUGAGGAAGCUCAAGCCAUUGGCCGAAGAAUCUGCACCGGGCAAUGUAAGUGAUGACGCUACCGAUGAAGAAGCAGAGUUCCUCCCCAAGGAAGAAAUAGGAUACGGCAGCGCGCGCGAAAAAGCCAUGUCGUCGCCGUCCUCCGUCCUCGAAGCCGGCUUGACCCUCUCGCCGUCCUCGCCUCCUCCCCCGCCGCCUCCACCGCAGUUUCGUGGCGGCGCGCGUGGCCUCGGGAAGGCGAGAGCAAGAAGCUUCAACGAAUAUGGGGUUGGAGACAUGAGCAUGAGCGGACGGACGGGUUUACGGAGCAGGUUCCGGUCAAACUCUUCCAUCCAAGCAACGAGGAGGAGCACUUUCACCGACUACGAUCCUGUGGCUCCGUCCGACGAUCAAGCGGCCGCAGACGAUGAGGCUGACGAGAUGGCCGCGGCCUCGGACAGCUCGUUCAGCGACGACAUGGCCAGGGACGGCGACGAUGAACACGACGAGGAGGAAGACAACUACGACGAAGAGGGAGACGAGGAGGGGCGGCAAGGUGACAACUCCUGCGACGAAGAGCUUUUCGAGCUGGCGACGAGGCCCGAGCCGGAGGAGGACGAGGUGGACAAGAAGGCUGACGAGUUCAUAGCCAAGUUCAGGGAGCAGAUUAGGAUGCAGCGGGCUCAUCCGGGGCCGGGCAGAAGAUGAGCCAUCUCAUGUGUAAUGCACCGCAUUUUAAUGUUUUUUUUCUUCUUUUGAUUGCUCUCAUGUAACUACAACCUGAACAAAUGGUGUCAAUCAGUGGAAUAAGUGUGCGCGGGAUAUUGUGCGCAUCCUCUUUUUCUCACAUUUUGUUUGAUAAAGCACGUUUUAUUGACUCUUAGACAAGAGUAAUGCUGCACAUACAUAGAUUUACCGGACUUAGGCAGUUGGGUUUUGAUCGGAGAUUAAAGGGGGGAGAGGGCACCCCGUGAAAAUCAGGGAGAGGUUAGUUAGAAAGAAAGAAUCUUAGUCAGCGUUAUACGUUUAGCAUUAUUGCUUAGACAACAUAGCAAAAGCAUAACCAGAAGAGGGGAGUGAAAAGGUUCAUUUUUUGUCUCUCGAUAUAGCGACUUGUGCAGUUUUUGUCACUCAACUUCAAAGCCAGACAACUUUUUUGCGAAGCUAAACUACACAACUUGCACCCGAACUUUUCAAACCGGACAAGAUUGGUCUCUCGACCCUGAUUUGAAUGCUAACUCAUUGUGGUUUUGACCAAUAGCCGCCCAUGGGGCAAUGUAUCUCUUCCCUACUCAAUGGCCUUCAAAUGAGCCACACUUUCUUCUCUCUCCAUUUUUGCAAGCUGGAACUGAAUGAGGCCGGACUGAUGAGAUGGAGGCAACACACCGUUGUGACAUCGAUGAUUGCUUAGGAUACAUCGCCUGGUACGAUGGAGAUUCGAUAUGUUGUGUAGGAUCCAUGACUUCUCAUAUCUCUACUAGUGCAUAAAGAAAACAAAUCUUUCACAUCCGCCAUUUAUGAUGGCAAUUGUGCUUUAAAGAUGAGCAUUGGUGUUGGGCCCAAGAUUCAAAUCUUCACGGUUCCAUGCCAAACACUCUAACAAGGUGGCUUCGUGCGCCGCCCUUCUCCCUUAAGAGAAGUAUUGGAUCGCAUUGGUGUUAUUCUGGUAUUGUAUACCUAUGUCAUUAUAUGCUGUAUGAUCAUACCACUCAUAGUUUGGUUUUCCUUUUCGUUUUUUCCAAAUAUGAGUGUAUUCGAUCUCUAUACGACAAUGUUUGCACUCUAUUCCAAGCCUUCUUAUUCAAAGACAAGCUUUCAUCCUUGCAAGAGUCUCUUUUGAUCAUAUUCAUAUAGCUGAUUUCAUUGGGGUGAGUAUCCUCGAUUUGUGGAGCCUUUUGAACAGUUUUCGAGGAAGCCUACAAUUCGCUACGCACCCUAGAGAUGUCCUUCAAAAAAAUCACAAGUCCAUGGAUACCCCCAGGCACCUGGUCUCAGUCCAACCACCCGGUCCCCUUUGCUCCGGGCACCCGGGGUACACAGGCCGAUCGGCUAUAUAAGUGGGAGGGCGUGGGGACUAGGGUUUCUUCCGACUCCAGUUGCCCCCACGGCCCCCAAACCGCCGCAUGUCGCCUCUUCCACUGUCGUUGCCAUCGGUGACCCUCCAGUCCUCCCGACCUCCUCCGGGCGACUUUUUCGAACCCCUUGGCAUCCUCCUGCAGUACAUCCUUGAUUACAUCCGUGCUUUUUGCUCAAAUCUCCAUUAUCUUCGUAUCUAGAUGAGAUUCAAUUAGGGUUGCAUAUCAUAGGAUUUCUCAUAGUGGAUCUAGUUUUACAUGAGUGUGGCCUCGAUGGUAGUCAGUUUGCAUCUCGAUUUUUUUAGAUCCGCUGAUGAGAUGCUAAAACUAACGUUCCUUCGGGUGCCUGGUUUGUGAUGUCCGCUGCGAUGGUGGGUUGGACGCGGAUGGGUAGGAAGGUAGUCUUAUGGAAAUUCAACAAGAGGCGCAGUAGCGUUAGCAAACAAUCCAGAAUUUUUCUGAGUUGUGUGGCAGUGCCAGCAAAGGUGUGGGUGAUGAUGAGCGUAUCAUCGGCAUAUUGAAGGACGGUGGGGAGGUUUUGAUCUAGGGGGUGGUGAAGUAGACCGUCAAUGUGGGCACGAAAGAUUAGGCGUUGCAAGAUAUCGGUGACGAGAAUGAACCAAAAGGGGGGAAAGGGGGUCCCCUUGUUUGAGACCGUUUUUACAAUUUAUCCAGGGGCAGAAACACUGUUUAGCACAACCACGGUUUCAUCCCUGGUUUCAUCUACAGAUUUGUGUUUCAAGGGUUAUAAUCCCUGGUUUCAUCUAUUGAUAAUCAAGAGAACAUAAAAUCGGAGAUUUGUACGAUAACAAGCACAUGAUAUUGUGAAUGUUACCAAAGUCUGCCAUUAUGUUGAUUUAAAAUUACAAAAUAUAUUUUCAGUAAAGAACAUACUUAUUGACUGUAGCAAAGUUAUAUUUUAAUGGAAAAUUUAGAAAAGGAUAGCAGUCAGCAAGGCUUAUGGAAAUCGAAUAUCUACAUAAGAGCUGAGAUAAAACCUUGCAAAAACAUGGUGGUAUAUCCACUUCCGCUCCACAAAGGGACAACAAAAUAUCGGCUACAAAAAAAAUUAGUUAAGAAAAUAAUUCAUAAAACAAUCACGGUGAUGCAAUCAAACAUCCAACCGACAAAGAAAUACUCCCACGGUAGCAUAUGAGUACCAUGUAGCCGAUCUAUGUUUCAAGAGAUGGUAAAGCUUUGCCUUCAUAGAUACACAUAUGUGACCUCUUCCCAAGUUGUACUAAUGUUCCAGGACAAGAAUAGUGACAGAAACAAAUUGGACAAAAGUUAUGUCCGCAUGGAUACGAGACUAUGAGUUAACAAUGGAAAUGCAGUUAGCGGUGUGCGCAGAUACAAAAUAAUGCAUUAAUGUCAGCAGCAUAAGAUAAAAAACCUUUUAGUGACUCGAUGACAACUAGUUUUGCUAAUAUUCUAGGUUAACAGGACAAUAUGUGAGAAUUAGAGGUCAUGAAACUAGCCUUUUGAAUACAAAAGUUUCAAGAGAAGAUAUAGCUUCCUCCCCACCCUUGAUGCAAAUCGAUACUGAGAUGUAGGGCAUGGUGCAGAGCAAAUAAUCAAAUCAGCAGACCUUGGUCAUUUCAACAUCUUGCAGUUGCUGGGUGUCUUCAGGUAGGGGCAUGACAGAUUUUACAGCUAGGGGCAUGUCACAGAGCCUGAGUGGAUGGAUUGCAUCUCUUCUGCAGAUUGCAACUGGUGUCAAAUACAUGAACAGAUAAAAGGAUGAUUCAGUACAGAUAUGCGAUCUGAAAUGAGAAGCAACGAGUUUCAAAUAGUUAAACAGAUAAAAAACUGAUUCAGUACAGCUAUGCGAUCAAAACUGGCAAGCAACGAGUGACAUAUAUACAAACAAAUAAAAGACUGAUUCAGUGCAGAUAUACGAUCUAAACAGAGAAAUCAAAUGGAUCAAAUCAGUCAGUCUUAAAAAAAACACAAUUCAGCAGUGAAGCAUUUCGCCAGGAUUCAGAAUAGAAGUGAUUGCAUUGAACAGAAGUACAGAGCAAGGUAUUACACAGCCUACUGAACCCCAUGACAGAAUACAACCGGCGCACGCCAAAUCAGUAAAUCUCAUCUACGACAGCACAGAUCACAGAGCAAACGAGGAAGUUGCUUCACCACACAAAUCUAGCCUCCGAAGCCGUAGAGGGUGCGGCCCUGGCGCUUGAGCGCGUAGACGACGUCCAUGGCGGUGACGGUUUUGCGGCGGGCGUGCUCGGUGUAGGUGACGGCGUCGCGGAUGACGUUCUCGAGGAAGAUCUUGAGGACGCCGCGGGUCUCCUCGUAGAUGAGGCCGGAGAUGCGCUUCACGCCGCCCCUCCUGGCCAGCCUCCGGAUCGCCGGCUUGGUGAUGCCCUGGAUGUUGUCGCGGAGGACCUUCCGGUGCCGCUUGGCGCCGCCCUUGCCCAGCCCCUUGCCGCCCUUGUCGCGCCCAGACAUGGCCGCUCCUCUCCGAGAUAGUGUGAUUAGGAAGAAGAGGAGCUGCUGCCUGCUUUGGAGGGAGUCUGAUGCUUGCGAUGGGAUUAGGGAUCUGAGGGCGGGGGGUUGGUUUAUAUGGGGAGGAUUUAGGAGGGAACUGCAAGAUUUGGGGGACUUUGGGGGCGGGAGGGACUUCGCUGGGUCGAUCCGCGAGACGGUGGAGAUGCGACGUUGGAUUGAGAUCAGAAGGGUGGGAUGAGGUGGGAGGGUGCUGGCCCGGAUCCAUGAUGUGGCGCCGGAUGUGGGGUCUGGGCGGUUGUUUUAUCGUAUAUGUUUUGUUAGGAGUAAUAGUAUUAGUAUUAGGCUAAUUAGGCGAUCAGUAGAUUCCUUAGAAUAUCCUAACUGGUCGUUGGAAUCCUGGCGUUGUCCAGACGCAGUACCUAGCGAACAAUCAUCGUGUCUUUCCAAACCAUCGUCGUGUCUUUCCGAAUCGACGCGAACACUGUAACCAACUUGUACUUGCGACUGUUUAGGAGAUAUAAAACCUGCAGUCACUAUCAAUGAAAGCACUCAUUCACUUCAAUCUUUCUUUUCUUCUCACGUUAUCAUGCACGCAUCGCUCUCGUACAGAGAGAAUAGGCCAAGAUGAAGAAAGGUGAGAACAAUGGCAUUGUUGCCGGACCUUGCUUUUGCCUUCGCCAGGUUCGUGGCCAGGGAGCAUCGUCGUUUCCGUCUUCCUCGACGGACUUUUGGUCUGGCCGUUGUUCGUCGUCGGAACUAUGGACGUCGCCUGAACAGGAAUGGCGGCCUCCGCCGCCACAGUGCACCAUAUCGUGCUCCUCUUCGUCACUACGGUCCUGGUGGUGGCCUCCUUCGCCGCCAUGCUUAUCGCCAGCGCCUCCACUGUGCUCACCGCUGGGUGCACGACGGCAACUCCCCUGGAGCGCCAGGACCGAGUACCAGGGCGGAUGCGCCCAGGGAAGAGUUCCUGGUCAUGCCCCAACAGGUUGCUGCCGCUCCAAACGAUGUCGACGAACAGGUUGAUCCAGUGCCGAACGUCGCUGCAGGGGUCGGGAUCGAGUACGAGGAUGAGGCCUCUGCCUCCAACAUCACAACGGAUGCCACCGAACUACCGCCUCCUCCGCCGGUGUAUGCGCCCAUGGAGUGGAUGCUUGCCGGACCAAGCGCCGCAUGGCUCGUCGAUGACCCAGAUCGCUACUUCUCCGAUGAGGAACUCGCAGCGCCGCCUACGCUGAUAUACUCUUGCCCGGGCUACGGGUACGGGUCGGGCCUCCUGUCCCCGACGCCAUCUGACGAGGACCCAGAGCACUUCAACCCGCCGGGCUACGAUCCACUGCCAGAGUUCUCCUCACCGCCUGUUGCAGUCCCCCUGGACGCAUGAUACGUCCAUUUUGCAUCAUGUUUCCUUACUAUUAUUUAUGACGUUUUUAUCCAUAAUAUGCUUUUUAAAGUAAUUAUAAUGUCUUUUCUCUCAUAAUUUACAAGGUACACACAAAGAGGGAGAAUUCCGGCAGUUGGAAAUCUGGACCUGAAAAAGCUACGUCAGGCUACCUAUUCUGCACAACUCCCUAUUCUGCACAACUCCAAAUAAGCUGAAACUUCACGGAGAUUUUUUAUGGAAUAUUUGAGAAAUAUUGGAGCAAAUAACUGCCAGAGGGGGCCUACCAAGUGGGCACAACCCACCUGGGCGCGCCCUGGUGGGUUGUGCUCACCCAGGGCCACCUUCGGUGCCCAUCUUCUGGUAUAUAGGUCAUUUUGACCUAGAAAAAAUAAGGAGAGGACUUUCGGUACGGAGCGCCGCCGUCUUGAGGCGGAACUUGGGCAGGAGCACUUUUGCCCUCCGACGGAGCGAUUCCGCCAGGGGAACUUCCCUCCCGGAGGGGGAAAUCAUCGUCAUCAUCAUCACCAACAACUCUCCCAUCUUGGAGAGGGCAAUCUCCAUCAACAUCUUCAACAACACCAUCUCAUCUCAAACCCUAGUUCAUCUCUUGUGUUCAAUCUUGUUACCGAAACUAUAGAUUGGUGCUUGUGGGUGACUAGUAGUGUUGAUUACAUCUUGUAGUUGAUUACUAUAUGGUUUAUUUGGUGGAAGAAUAUAUGUUUAGAUCUAAUAUGCUAUUUAAUACUCCUCUGAUCAUGAGCAUGAUUAUCAUUUGUGAGUAGUUACUUCUGUUCUUGAGGUCACGGGAGAAAUCAUGUUGCAACUAAUCAUGUGAACUUGAUAUGUGUUCGAUAUUUUGAUAGUAUGUAUGUUGUGAUUCCCUUAGUGGUGUCAUGUGAACGUCGACUACAUGACACUUCACCAUAUUUAGGCCUAAGGGAAUGCAUUGUGGAGUAGCACUUAGAUGAUGGGUUGCGAGAGUGACAGAAGCUUAAACCCCAGUUUAUGCGCUAUUCCGUAAGGGACCGAUUGGAUUCAAAAGUUUAAUGCUAUGGUUAGAAUUUAUUCUUAAUACUUUUCUCGUAGUUGCGGAUGCUUGCAGGAGGGUUAAUCAUAAGUAGGAGGUUUGUUCAUGUAAGAACAGCACCUAAGCACCGGUCCACCCACAUAUCAAAUUAUCAAAGUAGCGAACACGAAUCAAACCAACAUGGUGAAAGUAACUAGAUGAAAUUCCCAUGUACCCUCAAAAACGCUUUGCUUAUCAGACCGUUUUGGCCUGUCCUUUGCCUCAAAAGGAUUGGGCUACCUUGCUGCACUUUUGGUACUACUAUCGAUACUUGCUCGUUACAAAUUAUCUUGCUAUCAAACUACUCUGUUACUUACAAUUUCAGCACUUGCAGAUAUUACCUUGCUGAAAACCACUUGUCAUUUCCUUCUGCUCCUCGUUGGGUUCGACACUCUUACUUAUCAAAAAGAGCUACAAUUGAUCCCCUAUACUUGUGGGUCAUCAAGGCUAUUUUCUGGCGCCGUUGCCGGGGAGUGAAGCGCCUUUGGUAAGUGGAAUUUGGUAAGGAAAUAUUUAUAUAGUGUGGUGAAAUAUAUUUUCACUUGUUACUAUGGAAAACAAUCCUUUGAGGGGUUUGUCCGGGGUAUCUUCACCUCGACCGGAACCCCGGGGUAUCUUCACCUCGACCGGAACCACAAUUAGCUACCUCUCAACCUACUGCACCUAUUGAAAAUAUUGAAUAUGAAAUUCCUUCGGGUAUGAUAGAACAACUGCUAGCUAAGCCUUAUGCAGGAGAUGGAACUGAACAUCCUGAUAUGCACUUGAUAUAUCUAGAACAAAUUUGUGGAUUGUUUAAGCUUGCAGGUUUACCCAGGGAUGAAGUUAUGAAAAGGGUUUUCCCUUUAUCUUUGAAGGGAAAAGCAUCGGCAUGAUAUAGGCUAUGCGAUGAUAUUGGAUCUUGGAAUUGGAAUCGAUUGAAAUUGGAGUUCCACCAAAAAAUUAUGCUAUGCAUCUAGUUCAUCGUGAUCGGAAUUAUAUAUAUAAUUUUUGGCCUCGUGAAGGAGAAAGUAUUGCUCUAGCUUGGGGAGGCUUAAGUCAAUGUUAUAUUCAUGCCCCAAUCAUGAGCUCUCAAGAGAAAUUAUUAUUCAGAACUUUUAUGCUCGGCUUUCUCGUAAUGUUCAGACCAUGCUUGAUACUUCUUGUGUUGGUUCUUUUAUGAAGAAGACUAUUGAAUUCAGGUGGGAUCUUUUGGAAAGAAUUAAACGCAACUCUGAAGAUUGGGAAAAGGUAAAGAGAAGCUUAAGUCUGAUUGUGUUAAGUCUUUUAUGGAUACCGAUGCUUUUCAAAAGUUUAGCACUAAAUAUGGACCUAACUCUGUGAUAGUAGCCUCCUUUUGUGAAUCAUUUUCUACUCAUGUUGAUCUCCCUAAAGAGAAGUGGUUUAAAUAUCACCCACCUAUUAAAGAAGAAAUCAAAGAACCGGUACCAGUUAAAGAAGAAACUAUACUUUAUAAUGUUGAUCCAGUUGUUCCUUCUGCUUAUAUUGAGAAACCACCUUUUCUUGUUAGGACAAAGGAACAUGCUAAAGUUUCAACUGUGGUUAACAAAAGCUAUAUUAGAACACCUAAACCUGAUGAACAAAUUAAAGUAGAACCUAGUAUUGCUAUGGUUAAAGAUCUCUUAAAAGAAGAUAUAGAUGGGCAUGUUAUUUACUUCUGUGAAGAAGCUGCUAGAAUUGCCAAACCUGAUAAAAAAGAUAAACAUAGACAUGUUGUUGGCAUGCCCGUCGUCUCAGUUAAAAUAGGAGAUCACUAUUAUCAUGGUUUAUGUGACAUAGGUGCUAGUGUGAGUGCUAUUCCUUACACUUAUAUCAAGAAAUUAUGAAUGACAUAGCACCCGCAUAGAUAGAAGACAUAUAUGUUACUAUUAAACUUGCUAAUAGAGACACUAUAUCACCAAUUGGGAUUGUUAGAGAUGUUGAAGUCUUGUGUGGGAAAAUAAAAUACCCUACUGAUUUUCUUGUUCUUGGUUCCCCACAAGAUGACUUAUGUCCCAUUAUCUUUGGUAGAGCUUUCUUGAACACCGUUAAUGCUAAAAUAGACUGUGAGAAACAAACUGUCGGUGUUAGUUUUGGUGGUGAAUCUCAUGAGUUUAAUUUUUCCAAGUUUAGUAGAAAGCUUCAUGAAAAAGAAUUGCCUAGUAAAGAUGAGUUAAUUGGUCUUGCUUCUAUUGUCGUGCCUCCUACUGAUCCACUAGAACAAUAUUUGCUAGACCAUGAAAAUGAUUUACAUAUGCAUGAAAGAAAUGAAAUAGAUAAGAUUUUCUUCGAACAACGUCCUCUGCUUAAACACAAUUUGCCUAUCGAAACUCUGGGAGGUCCUCCUCCACCUAAAGGUGAUCCUGUGUUUGAAUUAAAACAAUUGCCGGACACUUUGAAAUAUGCUUAUCUUGAUGAAAAGAAGAUAUAUCAUGUUAUUAUUAGUGCUAACCUUUCAGAACAUGAAGAGGAAGGAUUACUGAAAGUUCUAAGGAAGCACCGAGCUGCUAUUGGAUAUACUCUUGAUGAUUUAAAGGGCAUUAGUCCCACUCUAUGUCAGCACAAAAUUAAUUUGGAACCUGAUGCUAAACCCGUUGUUGAUCACCAACGUUGGUUAAAUCCGAAGAUGAAAGAAGUGGUAAGAACGGAAAUAUUGAAACUUCUGGAAGCAAGUAUAAUCUAUCCUAUAGCUGAUAGUAGAUGGGUAAGUCUUGUUCAUUGUGUUCCUAAGAAAGGAGGUAUAACUGUUGUUCCUAAUGAUAAGAACGAACUUAUUCCACAAAGAAUUGUUACAGGCUAUAGAAUGGUAAUUGAUUUUAGAAAAUUAAACAAAGCAACUAGAAAAGAUCAUUACCCUCUGCCUUUUAUUGAUCAAAUGCUUGAAAGAUUAUCUAAGCACACACAUUUUUGCUUCCUUGAUGGAUAUUCUGGUUUUUCACAAAUACCUGUUUCUCAACCUGAUCAAGAAAAGACCACUUCUACUUGUCACUUUGGAACUUAUGCUUAUAGACGUAUGCCUUUUGGUUUAUGUAAUGCACCUGCUACCUUUCAAAGAUGUGUGACUGCUAUAUUCUCUGACUUUUGUGAAAAGAUUGUUGAGGUUUUCAUGGACAAUUUCUCUGUUAUGGGAAGUAUUUUGACGAUUGUUUAAGCAAUCUUGAUCGAGUUUUGCAGAGAUGUGAAGAAACAAAUCUUGUCUUGAAUUGGGAGAAGUGCCACUUUAUGGUUAAUGAAGGUAUUGUCUUGGGUCAUAAAAUUUCUGAAAGAGGUAUUGAAGUGGACAAAGCUAAGGUUGAUGCAAUUGAGAAAAUGCCAUGUCCUAAAGAUAUCAAAGGUAUUCGUAGUUUCUUAGGUCAUGCUGGUUUCUAUAGGAGAUUUAUCUAAGACUUUUCGAAAAUUUAUAGGCCUCUUACGAGUCUUUUGCAAAAGGAUAUUCCUUUUGUUUUUGAUGAUGAUUGUUUAGAAGCCUUUGAAACGCUCAAGAAAGCCUUAAUUUCUGCACCUAUUGUUCAACCACCUGAUUGGAACUUGCCUUUUGAAAUUAUGUGUGAUGCUAGUGAUUAUGCUAUUGGUGUUGUUCUAGGACAAAGAGUUGAUAAGAAACUGAAUGUUAUUCAUUAUGCUAGUAAAACUCUAGACAGUGCUCAAAAAAAUUAUGCUACUACUGAAAAAGAAUUCUUAGCAGUUGUGUUUGCUUGUGAUAAAUUUAGACCUUAUAUUGUUGAUUCCAAAAUAAUUGUUCACACAGACCAUGCUGCUAUCAAAUAUCUUAUGGAAAAGAAAGAUGCUAAACCUAGACUUAUUCGAUGGGUUCUCUUGUUACAAGAAUUUGAUUUACAGAUCACUGGUAGAAAAGGAGCUGAGAACCCCGUAGCUGAUAACUUGUCUAGGCUUGAAAAUUUGUGUGAUGACCCACUACCUAUUGAUGAUAGUUUUCCUGAUGAGUAGUUAGCUGCAAUAAAUGUUGCUCAUAGUACUCCUUGGUAUGCUGAUUAUGCUAAUUACAUUGUUGCUAAAUAUUUACCACCUAGCUUUACAUACCAACAAAAGAAAAAAUUUCUUCUAUGAUUUAAGACAUUACUUUUGGGAUGACCCACAUCUUUAUAAAGAAGGAAUGGAUGGUAUUAUUAGACAUUGUGUACCUGGGCAUGAACAGGGAUAAAUCCAACGGAAAUGUCACUCUGAAGCUUAUGGAGGGCAUCAUGCUGGAGAUAGAACUGCUCACAAGGUAUUGCAAUCUGGAUUUUAUUGGCCUACUCUCUUCAAGGAUGCCUGUAAGUUCGUCUUACCCUGUGAUGAAUGUCAAAGAAUAGGUAAUAUCGGUAAGCGUCAAGAAAUUCCUAUGAAUUAUUCACUUGCUGUUGAACCAUUUGAUGUUUGGAGAUUUGUUUACAUGGGACCUUUUCCUUCCUCUAAUGGGUAUACACAUAUUUUGGUUGAUGUUGAUUAUGUUACUAAAUGGGUAGAAGCUAUUCCAACCAGUAGUGCUGAUCACAACACCUCUAUUAAGAUGCUUAAGGAAGUUAUUUUUCCAAGGUUUGGAGUCCCUAGAUAUUUAAUGACUGAUGGUGGUUCACACUUUAUUCAUGGUGAUUUCCGUAAAAUGCUUGCCAAGUAUGAUGUUAACCAUAGAAUUGCAUCACCUUAUCAUCCUCAGUCUAGUGGCCAGGUUGAACUUAGCAAUAGAGAAAUAAAAUUAAUUUUGCAAAAGACUGUUAAUAGGUCCAAGAAGAAUUGGUCUAAGAAAUUAGAUGAUGCACCUUGGGCUUAUAGAACAGCAUAUAAAAAUCCUAUGGGUAUGUCUCCUUAUAAAAUGGUUUAUGGAAAAGCUUGUCAUUUGCCUCUUGAGUUAAACAUAAAGCAUAUUGGGCCAUCAAAGAGCUCAACUAUGAUUUCAAACUUGACGAUGAAAAGAGGUUAUUUGAUAUUAGCUCUUUAGAUGAAUGGAGAACCCAAGCUUAUGAAAAUGCAAAAUUAUUCAAAGAAAAAGUUAAAAGAUGGCAUGACAAAAGAAUACAAAAGCAUGAGUUCAAAGUUGGAGAAUAUGUUCUUUUGUACAACUCUCGUUUCAGAUUCUUUGCAGGAAAACUCCUCUCAAAAUGGGAAGGCCCAUAUGUUAUCGAGGAGGUUUAUCGGUCUGGAGCCAUCAAAAUAAAUAAUGCCGAAGGUACUAACCCGAAAGUCGUCAAUGGGCAACGAAUAAAACAUUAUAUCUCAGGUACGCCCAUUAAUGUUGAAAGUAAUAUUAUCCAAACUUUGACACCGGAAGAACACAUAAAAGAGUCCUUCCGAAACACUCCAGAAUCGUGAAAAUAAGGAGGUAUGUGAUACGGUAAGUAAACGGACUCCGAAAAAUCCGCAAAAAUAUUUUUUAUCAGUUUUCGAAUAUUUAGAAAAAUAGGAAAAUAAGAAACUUCCAGGAAGCAUACCCUGGUGGGCAUAAGACACCAGGGCGCACCAGGCUUGCCUGGAGCCUGGCGCGCCCAGGUGGGUUGUGCCCACCUGGGACACCUUCCGGACUCCGUUUUUUUACAGUUUGCUUGUCCCCCAAGAUAAAAAAUCUAUAUAUACUUCCUGAACCUGUUAACCACCGUAUCGCGGAGAAAUCCUCUGUUUUUUUCCUUGUUGUUUUCUGUCAAAUCCCAUCUACCAUGGCUGCUUCAAGCUCCUCCAAGGACAAGUUCUUCAAGAACAUCAUCAACCCAUAUCUGCGGGAGGUGGUGCAGCACCUUCAAACCAUCCAGAUGCAUGAGGGGGUGCUUCACCUCCACAAUGUGCAAGGACCCAAGGGGACCGGUGACGGUGUCCUGGACUAGGGGGUGCUCACCACGUCGUCUCUGGACAGGGUGGAUCGGGCCGAGGACCCCCAUGGCGGUUCUAUCAUGGGCCACUUCGGACAGCCCAUGCCGCAUACAAUGAAGAUUCCACAAGACUUGGCGCCCAAGACGAGGACUCUCCAAAACCCUAAGCCUCCGGUGUGCUAUAUAAACCGAGGCCAGGCUAGUCAAUAGACCAUCUCAUAUUCAUUACUACAAUCUCGUGGUAGAUACAUGUACUCUGUACUAUACCCCAUAUAAACACAAACAAAGCAGCAUGUAGGGUAUUAUCUCUUCGAGAGAGCCCGAAGCUGGGUAAAAUCCCAUGUCCAUGUUACCAUCGCUCCAAGACGCCUAGCUUAGGACCCCUACUACGAGAUACGCCGGAUAUAGAACCGAUGUUGGUGCUUUCAUUGAGAGCCUGCUGGGUGAUCGUCACGGAUCGAUGGGAUGAUCAGGUGAUAUUUUUUCAGUCACUUUCAUGUAUAUUUUCUCUUUUGCGAAAUCCUUGCUAUCACCUUUUGCUACGUUGUUCGUAGUCAGAUCGAAAUCCAAAAGGUUUUAUGCGGCGGCAGCCAUAUCCGUCGUUCGAGGAUACCUUGGAUCCGAGUUACCCAUAGGCCAUUAAGGUCCUGGAAAGCCGCGCAUGUAAACAGCAGCCUUGCUGCAUGGAUCAACGCGAAGAUUAUAGGGCAAUCUGAGCAGCAACACAGGCCAGCCGAGGAGAUAGCGAGCGUAUUGCCCAUCCCCACGCAGAAGCAGUACAAGAGGGCCGUCUGACAAGAGUCCUGAUCGGCGGCGGCAUGCAGGGAAGUUUCCAUACAUCCUCCUUUAUCCUUAUUACUCACCUUUUAAUUAUGUGUGGAGGAAGGCUACACUUUUUGCUAGUAGCCUACGUAGUUAUGGGUGCACUUCCUAAUUGCAAUGCAUGCAUGCACAAAGCACAUGCAUUGGUCAAUUUUCUUUUAAUACUUGCAUGCAAUGAUUUAAUGCACCUUGAAAUUUGAACAUGUGAUAGGGAACAACCAAAUUGAGCCUUAUAAAACGGGAAAACUAAAAAUUUGAGAUAAGCCUUAUAAACCGGAAAGGAGGGAGUAUUAAUUAAAGUGUGCUAAUUGUUUGAUUGCUUGGAAGUUUUUCCACCAAUUUAAAAUUCAAGAGAAACUUACAAUAGAAACACUACAGUUGUCGACACGGAUUUCUCCUCAAAAAUUGCUGAAACCCUUCAACUGGAUCCAGAGCCAAAAUCUAUGAAAGAGUGCCUCAAAUGCUCCGAUUAGCCUAAAUGGAAGGAGGCAAUUGAGGCAGAAUUAUGCUCGCUUAAUAAAAGAGAGGUAUUUUCUAAAAUAAUACUACUCCUCAUAAAGUCUUCCCUAUGGGAGCAAAAUGGGUUUUUGUUCGCAAAAGGAACGAAAACAAUGAGGUGGUGAGAUACAAAGCGAGACUAGUAGCUCAAGGGUUUACGCAGAGACCCGGUAUCAACUACGACGAUACAUAUUCUCUUGUAAUGAAUGGAAAUACAUUUUGAUACUUAAUAUAUUUGGCAGUACAAAUGAAUCUAUCAAUGCAGUUAAUGGAUGUGGUGGCCGCUUAUCUAUAUGGCUCACUUGAUGCAAAAAUUUAUAUGAAAGUUCCUGAUGGACUUAAAAUUCCGAAUCCAAAUAUAAAUCGCAACAUCUUUAUCUAAAACUACAAAAGUCACUCUAUGGCUUGAAGCAGUUGGGCAAAAUGUGGUAUAACCGACUAAGUGAGUUCCUUCUCAGUAAAGGAUACUCGAAUAACAUUGAUUGCCCAUGCGUAUUUAUAAAUAAAUCCUCAAAGGGAUUUUGCAUCAUCUCUGUAUAUGUUGAUGAUCUCAACAUCAUUGGCAACACAUCAGAUAUAACUGUAGCAUGCAAUCAUUUAAUGACGGAGUUUGAGAAGAAAGAUUUCGGAACAACCAAAUUCUACUUAUGUAUACAACUUGAGCAUUUUCCCUCAGGAAUACUCGUUUAUAAACCCGCUUACAUUCAGAAAAUUUUGGAAAAUUUCAACAUGGAUAAAUCAUAUCCCAUCCAAAACACCUAUGGUCAUCAAAUCCCUUGAUAUGAAUAAGGAUCCUUUUAGACCUAGGGAUGAUAAUGAGGAGGUAUUGGGACCUGAGUUCCCAUACCUUAGUGCCAUAGGAGCACUAAUGUACCUGGCAAAUUGUACUAGACUAGACAUUGCCUUUGUUGGGGAACGCAGUAAUUUAAAAAAAAAUCAUACGCACACGCAAGAUCCAUCUAGGUGAUGCAUAGCAAUGAGAGGGGAGAGUGUUGUCCAUGUACCCUCGUAGACCGAAAGCGGAAGCGUUAUGACAACGCGGUUGAUGUAGUCGUACGUCUUCACGAUCCGGCCGAUCCUAGUACCGAAAGUACGACACCUCCGCGAUCUGCACACGUUUGGCUCGGUGAUGUCCCAUGAACUCUCGAUCCAGCUGAGUGUCGAGGGAGAGCUUCGUCAACACGACUGCGUGAUGACGGUGAUGAUGAAGAUACCGACGCAGGGCUUCGCCUAAGCACUACAACGAUAUGACCGAGGUGGAAUCUGUGGAGGGGGGCACCGCACAUGGCUAAGACAACUGUCAACUUGUGUGUCUAUGGGGUGCCCCCUUCCGCCGUAUAUAAAGGAGUGGAGGAGGGGGAGGGCCGGCCCUCUCAUGGCGCGCCCCAAGGGGAGUCCUACUCCCGGCGGGAGUAGGAUCCCCCCUUCCCUAGUUGGAGUAGGAGAGGAAGGAAGGAGGAGAGAGGGAGAAGGAAAGGGGGGCGCCGCCCCCCUUCCCUAGUCCAAUUCAGACCCAAGGGGGAGGGGGCACGCGGCCUGCCCUGGCCGCCCCUCUCUCUCUCCACUAAGGCCCAUAUGGCCCAUUAGACUCCCCGGGGGGUUCCGGUAACCCCCCGGUACUCCGGUAAUUGCUCGAACUCACCCGAAACCAUUUCGAAGUCCAAACAUAGUCGUCCAAUAUAUCAAUCUUUAUGUCUCGACCAUUUCGAGACUCCUCGUCAUGUCCGUGAUGACAUCUGGGACUCCGAACAACCUUCGGUACAUCAAAACACAUAAACUCAUAAUACCGAUCGUCACCGAACGUUAAGCGUGCGGACCCUACGGGUUCGAGAACUAUGUAGACAUGACCGAGACUCAUCUCCAGUCAAUAACCAAUAGCGGAACCUGGAUGCUCAUAUUGGUUCCUACAUAUUCUACGAAGAUCUUUAUCGGUCAAACCGCAUAACAACAUACGUUGUUCCCUUUGUCAUCGGUAUGUUACUUUACCCGAGAUUCGAUCGUCGGUAUCUCAAUAUCUAGUUCAAUCUCGUUACCGGCAAGUCUCUUUACUCGUUCCGUAAUGCAUCAUCCUGCAACUAACUCAUUAGUCACAUUGCUUGCAAGGCUUAUAGUGAUGUGCAUUACCAGGAGGGCCCAGAGAUACCUCUCCGAAACACGGAGUGACAAAUCCUAAUCUCGAUCUAUGCCAACCCAACAAACACCAUCGGAGACGCCUAUAGAGCAUCUUUAUAAUCGCCCAGUUACGUUGUGACGUUUGAUAGCACACUAAGUGUUCCUCCGGUAUUCGGGAGUUGCAUAAUCUCAUAGUCAUAGGAACAUGUAGUCAUGAAGAAAGCAAUAGCAACAAACUAAAUGAUCAAGUGCUAAGCUAACGGAAUGGGUCAAGUCAAUCACAUCAUUCUCUAAUGAUGUGAUCCCGUUAAUCAAAUGACAACUCAUGUCUAUGGCUAGGAAACUUAACCAUCUUUGAUUCAACGAGCUAGUCAAGUAGAGGCAUACUAGUGACACUCUGUUUGUCUAUGUAUUCACACAUGUACUAAGUUUCCGUUUAAUACAAUUCUAGCAUGAAUAAUAAACAUUUAUAAUGAUAUAAGGAAAUAUAAAUAACAACUUUAUUAUUGCCUCUAGGGCAUAUUUCCUUCAGUCUCCCACUUGCACUAGAGUCAAUAAUCUAGAUUACACAGUAAUGAUUCUAACACCCAUGGAGUCUUGGUGCUGAUCAUGUUUUGCUCGUGAGAGAGGCUUAGUCAACGGGUCUGCAACAUUCAGAUCCGUAUGUAUCUUGCAAAUCUCUAUGUCUCCCUCCUUGACUUGAUCACGGAUGGAAUUGAAGCGUCUCUUGAUGUGCUUGGUUCUCUUGUGAAAUCUGGAUUCCUUUGCUAAGGCAAUUGCACCAGUAUUGUCACAAGAGAUUUUCAUUGGACCCGAUGCACUAGGUAUGACACCUAGAUCGGAUAUGAGCUCCUUCAUCUAGACUCCUUCAUUUGCUGCUUCCGAAGCAGCUAUGUACUCCGCUUCACACCUAGAUCCUGCCAUGACGCUUUGCUUAGAACUGCACUAACUGAUAGCACCACCGUUCAAUAUAAAUAAGUAUCCGGUUUGUGACUUAGAGUCAUACUGAUCAGUGUCAAAGCUUGCAUCGACGUAACCAUUUACGACGAGCUCUUUGUCACCUCCAUAAACGAGAAACAUAUCCUUAGUCCUUUUCAGGUAUUUCAGGAUGUUCUUGACCGCUGCCCAAUGAUCCACUCCUGGAUUACUUUGGUACCUCCCUGCUAAACUAAUAGCAAGGCACACAUCAGGUCUGGUACACAGCAUUGCAUACAUGAUAGAACCUAUGGCUGAAGCAUAGGGAAUGCCUUUCAUUUUCUCUCUAUCUUCUGCAGUGGUCGGGCAUUGAGUCUGACUCAAUUUCACACCUUGUAACACAGGCAAGAACCCUUUCUUUGCUUGAUCCAUUUUGAACUUCUUCAAAACUUUAUCAAGGUAUGUGCUUUGUGAAAGUCCAAUUAAGCGUCUUGAUCUAUCUCUAUAGAUCUUGAUGCCCAAUAUAUAAGCAGCUUCACCGAGGUCUUUCAUUGAAAAACUCGUAUUCCAGUAUCCGUUUAUGCUAUCUAGAAAUUCUAUAUCAUUUCCAAUCAACAAUAUGCCAUCCACAUAUAAUAUUAGAAAUGCUACAGAGCUCCCACUCACUUUCUUGUAAAUACAGGCUUCUCCAAAAGUGUGUAUAAAACCAUAUGCUUUGAUCACACUAUCAAAACGUUUAUUCCAACUCCGAGAUGCUUGCACCAGUCCAUAAAUGGAUCGCUGGAGCUUACACACUUUGUUAGCAUCCUUUGGAUUGAUAAAACCUUCGGGUAGCAUCAUAUACAACUCUUCUUCCAGAAAUCCAUUCAGGAAUGCAGUCUUUACAUCCAUUUGCCAAAUUUCAUAAUCAUAAAAUGCAGCAAUUGCUAACAUGAUUCGGACGGGCUUAAGCAUCGCUACGGGUGAGAAAGUCUCAUCAUAGUCACCUCCUCGAACUUGUCGAAAACCUUUCGCAACAAGUCGAGCUUUGUAGACAGUAACAUUACCGUCAGCGUCAGUCUUCUUCUUGAAGAUCCAUUUAUUCUCUAUGGCUUGCCGAUCAUCGGGCAAGUCAACCAAAGUCCACACUUUGUUCUCAUACAUGGAUCCCAUCUCAGAUUUCAUGGCCUCAAGCCAUUUCGCGGAAUCUGGGCUCAUCAUCGCUUCCUCAUAGUUCGUAGGUUCGUCACGGUCAAGUAACAUGACCUCUAGAACCGGAUUACCAUACCACUCUGGUGCGAAUCUUACUCUGGUUGACCUACGAGGUUCAGUAGUAACUUGAUCUGAAGUUACAUGAUCAUCAUCAUUAGCUUCCUCACUAAUUGGUGUAGUAGUCACAGGAACUGAUUUCUGUGAUGAACUACUUUCCAAUAAGGGAGCAGGUACAGUUACCUCAUCAAGUUCUACUUUCUUCCCACUCACUUCUUUUGAGAGAAACUCCUUCUCUAGAAAGGAUCCAUUCUUAGCAAUGAAUGUCUUGCCUUCGGAUCUGUGAUAGAAGGUGUACCCAACAGUCUCCUUUGGGUAUCCUAUGAAGACACAUUUCUCUGAUUUGGAUUCGAGCUUACCAGGUUGACGCUUUUUCACAUAAUCAUUGCAGCCCCAAACUUUAAGAAACAACAAUUUGGUUUCUUGCCAAACCACAGUUCAUAAGGUGUCGUCUCAACGGAUUUAGAUGGUGCCCUAUUUAACGUGAAUGCAGCCGUCUCUAAAGCAUAACCCCAAAACGAUAGCGGUAAAUCAGUAAGAGACAUCAUAGAUCGCACCAUAUCUAAUAAAGUGCGGUUACAACAUUUGGAUACACCAUUACGCUGUGGUGUUCCAGGUGGCGUGAGUUGCGAAACUAUUCCGCAUUGUGUCAAAUGAAGACCAAACUCGUAACUCAAAUAUUCUCCUCCACGAUCAGAUUGCAGAAACUUUAUUUUCUUGUUACGAUGAUUUUCCACUUCACUAUGAAAUUCCUUGAACUUUUCAAAUGUUUCAGACUUAUGUUUCAUCAAGUAGAUAUACCCAUGUCUGCUCAAAUCAUCUGUGAAGGUCAGAAAAUAACGAUACCCGCCGUGAGCCUCAAUAUUCAUCGGACCACAUACAUCAGUAUGUAUGAUUUCCAACAAAUUCGUUGCUCGCUUCAUUGUUCCGGAGAACGGAGUUUUAGUCAUCUUGCCCAUGAGGCAUGGUUCACAAGUACCAAGUGAUUCAUAAUCAAGUGAUUCCAAAAGUCCAUCAGAAUGGAGUUUCUUCAUGCGCUUUACACCAAUAUGACCCAAAUGACAGUGCCACAAAUAAGUUGCACUAUCAUUAUCAACUCUGCAUCUUUUGGUUUCAAUAUUAUGAAUAUGUGUGUCACUACUAUCGAGAUUCAAGAAAAAUAGACCACUCUUCAAGGGUGCAUGACCAUAAAAGAUAUUACUCAUAUAAAUAGAACAACCAUUAUUCUCGGAUUUAAAUGAAUAACCUUCUCGCAUCAAACAAGAUCCAGAUAUAAUGUUCAUGCUUAACGCUGGCACCAAUAACAAUUAUUCAGGUCUAAAACUAAUCCCGAGGUAGAUGUAGAGGUAGCGUGCCGACGGCGAUCAUAUCAACUUUGGAACCAUUUCCCACGCGCAUCGUCACCUCGUCCUUACCCAAUCUUUGCUUAAUCCGUAGUCCCUGUUUUGAGUUGCAAAUAUUAGCAAUAGAACCGGUAUCAAAUACCCAGGUACUACUGCGAGUAUUAGUAAGGUACACAUCAAUAACAUGUAUAUCACAUAUACCUUUGUUCACCCUUAUCCGCCAAAUACUUGGGGCAGUUCCGCUUCCAGUGACCAGUACCUUUGCAGUAGAAGCACUCAGUCUCAGGCUUAGGUCCAGACUUGGGCUUCUUCACUUGAGCAGCAACUUGCUUGCCGUUCUUCUUGAAGUUCCCCUUCUUCCCUUUACUCUUUUUCUUGAAACUGGUGGUCUUGUUGAUCAUCAACACUUGAUGCUCCUUAUUGAUUUCUACAUCCGCAGCCUUUAGCAUCGCGAAGAGCUCGGGAAUCAUCUUAUCCAUCCCUUGCAUGUUAUAGUUCAUCACGAAGCUUUUGUAGCUUGGUGGCAGUGAUUGAAGAACUCUGUCAAUGACACUAUCAACCGGAAGAUUAACUCCCAGCUAAGUCAAGUGAUUAUGAUACCCAGACAUUCUGAGUAUAUGCCCACUGACAGAACUAUUCUCCUCCAUUUUGUAGCUAUAGAACUUACUGGAGACUUCAUAUCUCUCAAUACGGGCAUUUGCUUGAAAUAUUAACUUCAACUCCUGGAACAUCUCAUAUGCUCCAUGAUGUUUAAAACGUCGUCAAAGUCCCGGUUCUAAGCCGUAAAGCAUGGCACACUGAACUAUCGAGUAGUCAUCAGCUUUGCUCUGCUAGGCGUUCACAACGUCCGGCGUUGCUCCUGCAGCAGAUCUUGCACCUAGCAGUGCUUUCAGGACGUAAUUCUUCUGUGCAGCAAUGAGGAUAAUCCUCAAGUUACGGACCCAGUCCGUGUAGUUGCUACCAUCAUCUUUCAACUUAGUUUUCUCUAGGAACGCAUUAAAAUUCAUAGGAACAGUAGCACGGGCCAUUGAUCUACAACAACAUAGACAUGCAAAAUACUAUCAGGUACUAAGGUCAUGAUAAAUUAAAGUUCAAUUAAUCAUAUUACUUAAGAACUCCCACUUAGAUAGACAUCCCUCUAUUCAUCUAAGUGAUCACGUGAUCCAAAUCAACUAAACCAUGUCCGAUCAUCACGUGAGAUCGAGUAGUUUUCAAUGGUGAACAUCACUAUGUUGAUCAUAUCUACUAUAUGAUUCACGCUCGACCUUUCGGUCUCAGUGUUCCGAGGCAAUAUCUGCAUAUGCUAGGCUCGUCAAGUUUAACCCGAGUAUUCUGCGUGUGCAAACCUGGCUUGCGCCCGUUGUAUAUGAACGUAGAGCUCAUCACACCUGAUCAUCACGUGGUGUCUCGGCACGAUGAACUUUUGCAAUGGUGCAUACUCAGGGAGAACACUUGUACCUUGAAAUUUAGUGAGAGAUCAUCUUAUAAUGCUACCGUCGAACUAAGCAAAAUAAGAUGCAUAAAGGAUAAACAUCACAUGCAAUCAAUAUAAGUGAUAUGAUAUGGCCAUCAUCAUCUUAUGCCUUUGAUCUCCAUCUCCAAAGCACCGUCAUGAUCACCAUCGUUACCGGCGCGACACCUUGAUAUCCAUCGUAGCAUCGUUGUCGUCUCGCCAACUAUUGCUUCUACGACUAUCGCUACCGCUUAGUGAUAAAGUAAAGCAAUUACAUGGCGAUUGCAUUUCAUACAAUAAAGCGACAACCAUAUGGCUCCUACCAGUUGCCGAUAACUCUGUUACAAAACAUGAUCAUCUCAUACAAUAAAAUUUAGCAUCAUGUCUUGACCAUUUCACAUCACAACAUGCCCUGCAAAAACAAGUUAGACGUCCUCUACUUUGUUGUUGCAAGUUUUACGUGGCUGCUACGGGCUGAGCAAGAACCAUUCUUACCUACGCAUCAAAACCACAACGAUUUUUCGUCAAGUGUGCUGUUUUAACCUUCAAUAAGGACCGGGCAUAGUCACACUUGAUUCAACUAAAGUUGGAGAAACUGACACCCGCCAGCCACCUGUGUGCAAAGCACGUCGGUAGAACCAGUCUUGCGUAAGCGUACGCGUAAUGUCGGUCUGGGCCGCUUCAUCCAACAAUACCGCCGAAUCAAAGUAUGACAUGCUGGUAAGCAGUAUGACUAUUAUCGCCCACAACUCUUUAUGUUCUACUCGUGCAUAUAACAUCUACGCAUAGACCUGGCUCGGAUGCCACUGUUAGGGAACGCAGUAAUUUCAAAAAAAUUCCUACGCACACGCAAGAUCCAUCUAGGUGAUGCAUAUCAACGAGAGGGGAGAGUGUUGUCCACGUACCCUCGUAGACCGAAAGUGGAAGCGUUAUGACAACGCGGUUGAUGUAGUCGUACGUCUUCACGAUCCGACCGAUCCUAGUACCGAAAGUACGGCACCUCCGCGAUCUGCACACGUCCGGCUCGAUGACGUCCCAUGAACUCUCGGUCCAGCUGAGUGUCGAGGGAGAGCUUCGUCAGCACGACGGCGUGAUGACGGUGAUGACGAAGUUACCGACGCAGGGCUUCGCCUAAGCACUACAACGAUAUGACCGAGGUGGAAUCUGUGGAGGGGGGCACCGCACAUGGCUAUGACAACUGUCAACUUGUGUGUCUAUGGGGUGCCCCCUUCCCCCGUAUAUAAAGUGUUGGAAAUAUGCCCUAGAGGCAAUAAUAAAUUGGUUAUUAUUAUAUUUCCUUGUUCAUGAUAAUCGUUUAUUAUCCAUGCUAAAAUUGUAUUGAUAGGAAACUCAGAUACAUGUGUGGAUACAUAGACAACACCAUGUCCCUAGUAAGCCUCUAGUUGACUAGCUCGUUGAUCAAUAGAUGGUUACGGUUUCCUGACCAUGGACAUUGGAUGUCGUUGAUAACGGGAUCACAUCAUUAGGAGAAUGAUGUGAUGGAUAAGACCCAAUCUUAAGCCUAGCACAAGAUCGUGUAGUUCGUUUGCUAAGAGCUUUUCUAAUGUCAAGUAUCAUUUCCUUAGACCAUGAGAUUGUGCAACUCCCGGAUACCGUAUGAAUGCUUUGGGUGUACCAAACGUCACAAUGUAACUGGGUGGCUAUAAAGGUGCACUACAGGUAUCUCCGAAAGUGUCUGUUGGGUUGGCACAAAUCGAGAAUGGGAUUUGUCACUCCGUGUAAACGGAGAGGUAUCUCUGGGCCCACUCGGUAGGACAUCAUCAUAACGUGCACAAUGUGACCAAGGAGUUGAUCACGGGAUGAUGUGUUACGGAACGAGUAAAGAGACUUGCCGGUAACGAGAUUGAACAAGGUAUCGGGAUACCGACGAUCGAAUCUCGGGCAAGUAACAUACCGAUUGACAAAAGGAAUUGUAUACGGGAUUGAUUGAAUCCCCGACAUCGUGGUUCAUCCGAUGAGAUAUUCGUGGAACAUGUGGGAGGCAACAUGGGUAUCCAGAUCCCGCUGUUGGUUAUUGGCCGGAGAACGUCUCGGUCAUGUCUGCAUGGUUCCCGAACCCGUAGGGUCUACACACUUAAGGUUCGAUGACGCUAGGGUUAUAGGGAAUAGAUAUACGUGGUUACCGAAUGUUGUUCGGAGUCCCUGAUGAGAUCCGGGACGUCACGAGGAGUUGCGGAAUGGUCCGGAGGUAAAGAUUUAUAUAUGGGAAGUCCUGUUUUGGUCACCGGAAAAGUUUCGGGUGCUAUCGGUAACGUACCGGGACCACCGGGAGGGUUCCGGGGGUCCACCAGGUGGGGCCACCAGCCCCAGAGGGCUGCGUGGGCCAAGUGUGGGAAGGGACCAGCCCCUAGGUGGGCUGGUGCGCCUCCCACAAGGGGCCCAAGGCGCAGGGAAGAGGGGAAGGGGGAAACCCUAGGCUCAGAUGGGCCUAAGGCCCACCUAGUGGUGCGCCCCCCUCUCUCCCCCCUUGGCCGCCCCCUAGAUGCAUCUAGGGCUGGCCGCACCCCUUUGGGGGGAACCCUAGAUGGGGGCGCAGCCCCUCCCCCUUCCCCUAUAUAUAGUGGGGGUUUGGGGCUGCCAUACACAUGAGAACAUCUCCCUCAUAGCGCAGCCCUACCCCUCUCCCUCCUCAUCUCUUGCGGUGCUUGGCGAAGCCCUGCUGGAGUGCCACGCUCCUCCAUCACCACCAUGCCGUUGUGCUGGUGCUGGAUGGAGUCUUCCCCAACCUCUCCCUCUGUCCUUGCUGGAUCAAGGCGUGGGAGACGUCACCGGGCUGCACGUGUGUUGAACGCGGAGGCGCCGUGGUUCGGCGCUUAGAUCGGAAUCAACCGCGAUCUGAAUCGCUACGAGUACGACUCCUUCAUCCGCGUUCUUGCAACACUUCUGCUUAGCGAUCUACAAUGGUAUGUAGAUGCACUCCCCUUCCCCUCGUUGCUAGAUUACUCCAUAGAUUGAUCUUGGUGAUGCGUAGAAAAUUUUGAAUUUCUGCUACGUUCCCCAACAGUGGCAUCAUGAGCUAGGUCUAUGCGUAGUUUCUAUGCACGAGUAGAACACAAAGUAGUUGUGGGCGUCGAUUUUGUCAAUUUACUUGCCGUUACUAGUCUUAUCUUGAUUCGGCGGCAUCGUGGGAUGAAGCGGCCCGGACCGACCUUACACGUACUCUUACGUGAGACAGGUUCCACCGACUGACAUGCACUAGUUGCAUAAGGUGGCUAGCGGGUGUCUGUCUCUCCCACUUUAGUCGGAUCGGAUUCGAUGAAAAGGGUCCUUAUGAAGGGUAAAUAGAAAUUGGCAUAUCACGCUGUGGCUUUUGCGUAGGUAAGAAACGUUCUUGCUAGAAUCCCAUAGCAGCCACGUAAAACAUGCAACAACAAUUAGAGAACGUCUAACUUGUUUUUGCAGGGUAUGCUAUGUGAUGUGAUAUGGCCAAAAGGAUGUGAUGAAUGAUAUAUGUGAUGUAUGAGAUUGAUCACGUUCUUGUAAUAGGAAUCACGACUUGCAUGUUGAUGAGUAUGACAACCGGCAGGAGCCAUAGGAGUUGUCUUAAUUUAUUGUAUGACCUGCGUGUCAAUGAAAACGCCAUGUAAUUACUUUACUUUAUUACUAACCGUUAGCCAUAGUAGUAGAAGUAAUAGUUGGCGAGACAACUUCUUGAAGACAUAAUGAUGGAGAUCAUGGUGUCAUGCCGGUGACGAAGGUGAUCAUGCCGCGCCUCGAAGAUGGAGAUCAAAGGCGCAAGAUGAUAUUGGCCAUAUCACGUCACUUUAUGAUUUGCAUGUGAUGUUUGUCAUGUUUACAUCUUAUUUGCUUAGAACGACGGUAGCAUAAAUAAGAUGAUCCCUCACUAAAAUUUCAAGAGACGUGUUCCCCCUAACUGUGCACCGUUGCGAAGGUUCGUUGUUUCGAAGCACCACGUGAUGAUCGGGUGUGAUAGAUUCUAACGUUCGAAUACAACGGGUGUUGACGAGCCUAGCAUGUACAGACAUGGCCUCAGAACACAUGUGAAACACUUAGGUUGACUUGACGAGCCUAGCAUGUACAGACAUGGCCUCGGAACACAAGAGACCGAAAGGUCGAACAUGAGUCGUAUAGCAGAUACGAUCAACAUGGAGAUGUUCACCGAUGAUGACUAGUCCAUCUCACGUGAUGAUCGGACACGGCCUAGUUUGACUCGGAUCAUGUAUCACUUAGAUGACUAGAGGGAUGUCUAUCUGAGUGGGAGUUCAUUGAAUAAUCAGAUGAACUUAAUUAUCAUGAACAUAGUCAAAAGGUCUUUGCAAAUUAUGUCAUAGCUUACGCUUUAGUUCUACUGUUUAAGAUAUGUUCCUAGAGAAAACUUAGUUGAAAGUUGAUAGUAGCAAUUAUGCGGACUGGGUCCGUAAACUGAGGAUUGUCCUCAUUGCUGCACAGAAGGCUUAUGUCCUUAAUGCACCGCUCAGUGUGCUGAACCUCAGCGUCGUCUGUAGAUGUUGCGGAACAUCUGACAUACACGUUUUGAUGACUACUUGAUAGUUCAGUGCGUAAUGCUAACGGUUUAGAAUUGUGGCACCAAAGACGGUUUUGAAACGUCGCAGAACAUAUGAGAUGUUCCAAAGACUGAAAUUGGGAUUUCAGACUAAUGCCCACGUCAAGAGGUAUGAGACCUCUGACAAGUUUCUUAAACCUGCAAACUAAGGGAGAAAAGCUCAAUCGUUGAGCAUGUGCUCAGAUUGUCUGAGUACCACAAUCGCUUGAAUCGAGUGGGAGUUAAUCUUCCAGAUGAGAUAGUGAUGGUUCUCCAUAGUCACUGCCACCAAGCUAUUAGAGCUUUGUGAUGAACUAUAACAUACCAGGGAUAGAUAUGAUGAUCCUUGAGCAACUCGCGAUGUUUGACACCGCAAAAGUAGAAAUCAAGAAGGAGCAUCAAUUGUUGAUGGUUAGUAAAACCACUAGUUUCUAGAAGGGCAAGGGCAAAAGGGAUACUUCAUGAAACAUCAAAUCAUUUGUUGCUCUAGUGAAGAAUCCCAAGGUUGAACCCAAACACGAGACUAAGUGCUUCUGUAAUGAGGGGAACGGUCACUGAAGCAGAACUACCCUAGAUACUUGGUAGAUGAGAAGGCAGGCAAGGUCGACAGAAGUAUAUUGGAUAUACAUUAUAUGAAUGUGUACUUUACUAGUACUCCUAGCAGCACCAGGGUAUUAGAUACCGGUUCGGUUGCUAAGUCUUAGUAACUCGAAAUAAAAGCUGUGGAAUAAACGGAGACUAGCUAAAGGUGAGAUGACGAUAUGUGUUGGAAGUGUUUCCAAGGUUGAUGUGAUCAAGCAUCGCAUGCUCCCUCUACCAUCGAGAUUGGUGUUAAACCUAAAUAAUUGUUAUUUGGUGUUUGCAUUGAGCAUAAACAUGAUUGGAUUAUGUUUAUCGCAAUACAGUUAUUCAUUUAAGGAGAAUAAUGGUUACUCUGUUUAUUUGAAUAAUACCUUCAAUGGUCUUGCACCUAAAAUGAAUCUCGAUCGCAGUGAUACACAUGUUUGUACCAAAAGAUAUAAAAUAGUAAUGAUAGUACCACAUACUUGUGGCACUGCCAUUUGAGUCAUAUUGGUAUAGAACGCAUGAAGAAGCUCCAUGUAGAUGGAUCUUUGGACUCACUCGUUUUUGAAAAGAUUGAGACAUGCGAACCAUGUCUAUUGGUAUAUAUAUAUAUAUGCAUGAAGAAACUCCAUGCAGAUGGAUCGUUUGGACUCACUUGAUUUUGAAUCACUUGAGACAUGCAAAUCAUACCACAUGGGCAAGAUGACUGAAAGGCCUCGUUUUCAGUAAGAUGGAACAAGAGAGCAACUUGUUGGAAGUAAUACAUUUGAUGUGUGCAGUCCAAUGAGUGCUGAGGCACGCAGUGGAUAUCGAUAUGUUCUUACUUCACAGAUGAUUUGAGUAGAUGCUGAGAAUAUUUACUUGAUGAAACACAAGUCUGAAUUAUUGAAAGGUUCAAGUAAUUUCAGAGUGAAGUUGAAGAUCGUCGUGACAAGAGGAUAAAAUGUCUAUGAUAUGAUCAUAGAGAUAUCUGAGUUACGAGUUUGGCACACAAUUAAGACAUUGUGGAAAGUGUUUCACAAUUAAUACCGCCUGGAACACCACAGUGUGAUGGUGUGUCCGAACAUCAUAACUGCACCCUAUUGGAUAUGGUGCAUACCAUGAUGUCUCUUAUCGAAUUACCACUAUCGUUUAUGGGUUAGGCAUUAGAGAUAACCGCAUUCACUUUAAAAGGGGCACCACGCAAUUCCGUUGAGACGACACCGUUUAGAGAAACCUAAGUUGUCGUUUCUUAAAAGUUUGGGGCUGCGAUGCUUAUGUGAAAAGUUUCAGGCUGAUAAGCUCGAACCCAAAGCGGAUAAAUGCAUCUUCAUAGAAUACACAGAACAGUUGGGUAUACCUCCUAUUUCAGAUCUGGAAGCAAAAGUAAUUGCUUCUAGAAACGAGUCCUUUCUCGAGGAAAAGUUUCUCUCGAAAGAAUUGAGUGGGAGGAUGGUGGAGACUUGAUAAGGUUAUUGAACCGUCACUUCAACUAGUGUGUAGCAGGGCACAGGAAGUUGUUCCUGUGGCACCUACACCAAUUGAAGUGGAAGCUUAUGAUAGUGAUCAUGAAACUUCGGAUCAAGUCACUACCAAACCUCGUAGGACGACGAGGAUGCGUACUACUUCAGAGUAAUGCGUGAUCCUGUCUUGGAAGUCAUGUUGCUAGACAACAAUGAACCUACGAGCUAUGGAGAAGCGAUGGUGGGCCCAUAUUCCGACAAAUGGUUAGAAGCCAUGAAAUCCGAGAUAGGAUCCAUGUAUCAGAACAAAGCAUGGACUUUGGUGAACUUGCCCGAUGAUCGGCAAGCCAUUGAGAUAAAUGGAUCCUUAAGAAGAAGACGGACGUGGACGGUAAGGUUACCGUCUAUGAAGCUCGACUUGUGGCAAAGAGUAUUUUCACAAGUUCAAGGAGUUGACUACGAUGAGAUUUUCUCAUCCGUAGCGAUGCUUAAGUCCGUCGGAAUCAUGUUAGCAUUAGCUGCAUUUAUGAAAUAUGGCAGAUGGAUGUCAAAACAAGUUUCCUUACCAGUUUUCGUAAGGAAAGGUUGUAUGUGAUACAAUCAGAAAGGUUUUGUCGAUCCUAAGGAUGCUGAAAGGUAUGCUAGCUCCAGCGUUCCUUCCAUGGAUUAGAGCAAGCAUCUCAGAGUCAGAAUAUACGCUUUGAUGGAGUGAUCAAAGUUUUUGGGUUUAUACAAAGUUUGUUAGAAACUUGUAUUUACAAUAAAGUGAGUGGGAGCGCUACAACAUUUCUGAUAAGUAUAUGUGAAUGACAUAUUGUUGAUCCGAAAUGAUGUAGAAUUUUUGGAAAGCAUAAAGGGUUGUUUGAAAGGAGUUUUUCAAAGGAAGACCUGGAUAAAGCUGCUUACAUAUUGGGCAUCAAGAUCUAUAGAGAUAGAUCAAGAUGCCUGAUGAUACUUUCAAAGAACGCACACCUUGACAUGAUUUUGAAAGAGUUCAAAAUAGAUCAGCAAAGAAGGAGUUCUUGGCUGUGUUACAAGGUGUGAGUAUUGAGUAAGACUCAAGACCUGACCACAGCAGAAGAGAGAGAAAGGACGAAGGUCGUCCCCUAUGCUUUAGACGUAGGCUCUACAGUAUGCUAUGCUGUGUACCGCACAUGAAGUGUGCCUUGCCAUGAGUUGGUCAAGGGGUACAAUAGUGAUCCGGGAAUGGAUCACAUGACAGCGGUCGAACUUAUCCUUAGUAUCUAGUGGACUAAGGAAUUUUCUCGAUUAUGGAGGUGAAAAGGAGUUCGUCGUAAAGGGUCACGUUGAUGCGAACUUUGACACUAAUCCGGAUGACUCUGAGUGGUAAACCGGAUUCGUAUAGUAGAGCAGUUAUUUGAAAUGGCUCCAAGUAGCGCGUGGUAGCAUCCACAAGAUGACAUAGAUAUUCGUAAAGCACACACGGAUCUGAAAGGUUCAGACCCGUUGACUAAUAACCUCUCUCACAAGCAUAACAUGAUCAAACCAGAACUCAUUGAGUGUUAAUCACAUAGUGAUGUGAACUAGAUUGUUGACUCUAGUAAACUCUUUGGAUGUUGGUCACAUGGUGAUGUGACCUGUGAGUGUUAAUCACAUGGUGAUGUGAACUAGAUUAUUGACUCUAGUGCAAGUGGGAGACUGUUGGAAAUAUGCCCUAGAGGCAAUAAUAAAUUGGUUAUUAUUAUAUUUCCUUGUUCAUGAUAAUCGUUUAUUAUCCAUGCUAAAAUUGUAUUGAUAGGAAACUCAGAUACAUGUGUGGAUACAUAGACAACACCAUGUCCCUAGUAAGCCUCUAGUUGACUAGCUCGUUGAUCAAUAGAUGGUUACGGUUUCCUGACCAUGGACAUUGGAUGUCGUUGAUAACGGGAUCACAUCAUUAGGAGAAUGAUGUGAUGGACAAGACCCAAUCCUAAGCCUAGCACAAGAUCGUGUAGUUCGUUUGCUAAGAGCUUUUCUAAUGUCAAGUAUCAUUUCCUUAGACCAUGAGAUUGUGCAACUCCCGGAUACCGUAUGAAUGCUUUGGGUGUACCAAACGUCACAACGUAACUGGGUGGCUAUAAAGGUGCACUACAGGUAUCUCCGAAAGUGUCUGUUGGGUUGGCACGAAUCGAGAAUGGGAUUUGUCAUUCCGUGUAAACGGAGAGGUAUCUCUGGGCCCACUCGGUAGGACAUCAUCAUAAGGUGCACAAUGUGACCAAGGAGUUGAUCACAGGAUGAUGUGUUACGGAACGAGUAAAGAGACAUGCCGGUAACGAGAUUGAACAAGGUAUCGGGAUACCGACGAUCGAAUCUCGGGCAAGUAACAUACCGAUUGACAAAAGGAAUUGUAUACGGGAUUGAUUGAAUCCUCGACAUCGUGGUUCAUCCGAUGAGAUAUUCGUGGAACAUGUGGGAGCCAACAUGGGUAUCCAGAUCCCGCUGUUGGUUAUUGGCCGGAGAACGUCUCGGUCAUGUCUGCAUGGUUCCCGAACCCGUAGGGUCUACACACUUAAGGUUCGAUGACGCUAGGGUUAUAGGGAAUAGAUAUACGUGGUUACCGAAUGUUGUUCGGAGUCCCGGAUGAGAUCCGGGACGUCACGAGGAGUUGCGGAAUGGUCCGGAGGUAAAGAUUUAUAUAUGGGAAGUCCUGUUUUGGUCACCGGAAAAGUUUCGGGUGCUAUCGGUAACGUACCGGGACCACCGGGAGGGUCCCGGGGGUCCACCAGGUGGGGCCACCGGCCCCAGAGGGCUGCGUGGGCCAAGUGUGGGAAGGGACCAGCCCCUAGGUGGGCUGGUGCGCCUCCCACAAGGGGCCCAAGGCGCAGGGAAGAGGGGAAGGGGGAAACCCUAGGCUCAGAUGGGCCUAAGGCCCACCUAGUGGUGCGCCCCCCUCUCUCCCCCCUUGGCCGCCCCCUAGAUGCAUCUAGGGCUGGCCGCACCCCUUUGGGGGGAACCCUAGAUGGGCGCGCAGCCCCUCUCCCUUCCCCUAUAUAUAGUGGGGGUUUGGGGCUGCCAUACACAUGAGAACAUCUCCCUCAUAGCGCAGCCCUACCCCUCUCCCUCCUCAUCUCUUGCGGUGCUUGGCGAAGCCCUGCUGGAGUGCCACGCUCCUCCAUCACCACCAUGCCGUUGUGCUGCUGCUGGACGGAGUCUUCCCCAACCUCUCCCUUUCUCCUUGCUGGAUCAAGGCGUGGGAGACGUCACCGGGCUGCACGUGUGUUGAACGCGGAGGCGCCGUGGUUCGGCGCUUAGAUCGGAAUCAACCGCGAUCUGAAUCGCUACGAGUACGACUCCUUCAUCCGCGUUCUUGCAACGCUUCUGCUUAGCGAUCUACAAUGGUAUGUAGAUGUACUCCCCUCUCCUCGUUGCUAGAUUACUCCAUAGAUUGAUCUUGGUGAUGCGUAGAAAAUUUUGAAUUUCUGCUACGUUCCCCAACAUAAAGGAGUGGAGGAGGGGGAGGGCCGGCCCUCUCAUGGCGCGCCCCAAGGGGAGUCCUACUCCCACUGGGAGUAGGAUCCCCCCUUUCGUAGUUGGAGUAGGAGAGGAAGGAAGGAGGAGAGAGGGAGAAGGAAAGGGGGGUGCCGCGCCCCCUUCCCUAGUCCAAUUCGGACACAAGGGAAAGGGGGCGCGCGGCCUGCCCUGGCCGCCCCUCUCCAUCUGCACUAAGGCCCAUAUGGCCCAUUAGACUCCCCGGGGGGUUCCGGUAACCCCCCGGUACUCCGAUAAUUGCCCGAACUCACCCGGAACCAUUCCGAAGUCCAAACAUAGUCGUCCAAUAUAUCAAUCUUUAUGUCUUGACCAUUUUGAGACUCCUCGUCAUGUAUGUGAUCACAUCCGGGACUCCGAACAACCUUCGGUACAUCAAAACACAUAAACUCAUAAUACCGAUCGUUAAGCGUGCGGACCCUACGGGUUCGAGAACUAUGUAGACUUGAUGAGACUCAUCUCCGGUCAAUAACCAAUAGCGGAACCUGGAUGCUCAUAUUGGUUCCUACAUAUUCUACGAAGAUUUUUAUCGGUCAAACCGCAUAACAACAUACGUUGCUCCCUUUGUCAUCGGUAUGUUACUUUGCCCGAGAUUCGAUCGUCGGUAUCUCAAUGCCUAGUUCAAUCUCGUUACCGGCAAGUCUCUUUAUUCGUUCCAUAAUGCAUCAUCCCGCAACUAACUCAUUAGUCACAUUGCUUGCAAGGCUUAUAGUGAUGUGCAUUACCGAGAGGGCCCAGAGAUACCUCUCCGAAACACAGAGUGACAAAUCCCAAUCUCGAUCUAUGCCAACCCAACAAACACCAUCGGAGACACCUGUAGAGCAUCUUUAUAAUCACCCAGUUACGUUGUGACGUUUGAUAGCACACUAAGUGUUCCUCCGGUAUUCGGGAGUUGCAUAAUCUCAUAGUCAUAGGAACAUGUAUAAGUCAUGAAGAAAGCAAUAGCAACAAACUAAACGAUCAAGUGCUAAGCUAAUGGAAUGGGUCAAGUCAAUCACAUCAUUCUCUAAUGAUGUGAUCCCGUUAAUCAAAUGACAACUCAUGUCUAUGGCUAGAAACUUAACCAUCUUUGAUUCAACGAGCUAGUCAAGUAGAGGCAUACUAGUGACACUCUGUUUGUCUAUGUAUUCACACAUGUACUAAGUUUCCGUUUAAUACAAUUCUAGCAUGAAUAAUAAACAUUUAUCAUGAUAUAAGGAAAUAUAAAUAACAACUUUAUUAUUUCCUCUAGGGCAUAUUUCCUUCAGCCUUUGUAGUAAAUUUACUAGCUCGACAUAGUGCAGCUCCAACAAAACGCCAUUGGAUGGAGUAAAGAAUAUCUUCAGAUAUUUACAAGGUACUAAAUAUUUUGGUUUAUUCUAUCAAAAAAUCAAGACAUGACCCUGAUUGGUUAUAGUGAUGCUGGAUAUCUUUAUGAUCCCCAUAAUGCCAGGUCACAAACCAGGUUUGUAUUUUGACAUGGUGGAACUGCUAUUUCAUGGAACUCAACUAAACAGGCAUUAGUAGCAACUUCCACUGAUCACUCUGAAAUAAUUGCAUUAUUCAAAGCCUCACGAGAAUGUGUAUGGCUUCGCAGAGGGAUAAAUUAUAUUCAGACAUCAUGCGAUAUUGGUUCAUUAGAAUCACCAACCAUUAUCUAUGAAGAUAAUGUUGCAUGUGUUGCUCAAAUGCAUGUGGGAUAUAUUAAAAGUAAUAUCAAAAACAUAUCUCUCCAAAACUAUUUUUUCCUCAUGAAUUACAGAAAGAUGGAGAGAUUAAUAUUUUGCAAACAAAAUCUUGUGACAAUCUUGCGGAUUUGUUCACUAAGUCUUUACCAGGAACAACAUUUCAAAAAUGCAUUCAUGGUAUUGGUAUGAGAUGACUACGAAAUUUGCAAUGUUGAGGGGGAGAAAUUUCCUAGAACUAAACUUAUGAGUUUUCCAACGGAUUUCUCAUGUGGUUUUAAAUAAGUGAGAGCAUCUCCAACAGGCGCCCAAAAAGAGCUCCGCGCACAAAAAAAUUAUAGUAGAAGAUUAAAAAUUCUCAAAGUUAUAUCCUAAAUUUCUAUAGUUCCUCUUAUAUUUUCCUACAGGGACAUAAAUAGUAGAAGAUUAAAGAUUCUCAAAGUUACAAGAUCAAGGACUAUCAAGAAGAUGCAAGACUUUUGAUACUCAAGAUAUAUGUAGAUUCUCAAGACAAUGAAGAUUAAGAACAGCGCUGUCCAAGGGGGAGUGUUAGGAAUCUAAUAGUAUUAGUAUUAGACUAAUUAGACGAUUAGUAGAUUCCUUAGAAUAUCCUAACUGGUCGUUGGAAUCCUAGCGUUGUCCAGACGCGGUACCUAGCGAACAGUCAUCGUGUCUUUCCGAACCGUCGUCCUGUCUUUCCGAAUUGACGCAAACACUAUAACCAACUUGUACUUGCGACUGUUUAGGAGAUAUAAAACCUGCAGUCAUUAUCAAUGAAAGCACUCAUUCACUUCAAUCUUUCUUUUCUUCUCAUGUUUCACAUAUAAUUAUAGCCAUCUCUAGCCCAUCCCGAAAAAUCAUUUUAAGGUUCCCGUGAAAACAGUUUUGUGGCUAUGAUCUGUUCGACGUAACACAAUUUUGCGAUAUGAGUUCACGGGUUCUGUUUCGUCGGAACCCUCCCAAUAUAGCAAACCGAUUUUUGUGUGUGGGAGCCGGCCAUACUAAUUUUUUUAGAAAACAUCUAAUAUAUUCAUCUUCAAUCAUGUUAGUAAAAUGAACACCAAAAAUAAAUAAAAUUACAUCCAUAUUCAUAGACCACCUAGCGGCGACUAUAUGCACUUAAGCGAGCCAAAGGCGUGUCGCCGUUAUUGUCCCUCCCUCACCGAUGCCGGGCAAAACUUGUUGUAGUAGACAGUCGGAAAGUCGUCAUGCUAAGGCUCAAUAUAACCAACGCACCAGCACAACAAUCACCGUCAAUAAAGAGUAUCGUAGAUCAAAAGGAUCCAAUAUGAAUACACAUAAACGUAGGCGAAUGACGAACAGAUCCAAGCAAAUCCACCAAAGACAGAUCCGCUGGAGACACACCUCCACACGCCCACCGACGAUACUAGAUGCAUCACCGGAACGGGGACUAGACGGGAGAACCUUAUUUCAUAUUUAGGGAGUCGUCGCCGUCUCCCCUUCAUAAGUAGGACACAAACCCUAACAAAACUCGAAAACACAUCUAAAAAUAAAGCCCUCCCACCGCCAAGGGUCAUGAUCCACCGCUUCCCCAUGGCCCUAAGGCCACCGGAGACAAAGCGGACCGGCGGCGGCGGCGGGAGGCGGAGGAACCCUGAUUCUUUAGAAGAUGAGAACUAUUUGAUACUGUGUAUUGGAAAACAAACGUAUCCGCCGGCCAUCCUAUAUGACCGCCCAUGUGACCACACCCUCAUUUGCAAACGUCAAAUUCAUGCAAACACUUGUACGUCAAUCAUUGAGUACACACAAGAAUGAAUGUGAACGCACAAAUCAAAAUUAUUCAGAGAGAAAAAUAAUAGUUUAAGUGUUGAACACAAAAAUUAUUGGAAGUGCAUAAUUCGAACCUAAAAUUCAAUAAUUCCAGUGUGAAUUCACAUAUACUCCACAAAAUGAUUAAGUAAUUGCAUGCGCGCCUGUGUAUCUCAAAGUUAUGUAUGUAUCUCUACAAAGUUCCCAGCAUGUUGUGUGUCUUGUUCCGGGAGGCGAACAUCUACACCGGACUUCUCAAAAUCAUGUGUGUGGGAUGACCCUUCGCCCACAUCCUCCAAAAUCAUAUCAUGCAAGGUUACACGAUGGUUCAUCACUGUUGAAAUAUAUUGCACGUCUCUCUUCAUCAUAUCGGUCUUUUCGUUGUAUUGGCUAGAGCAUGCACUUAUACAUAGUAGGCCUGCGGGAGCUACACGUGAGGGAGAGUGUUGACAUAUAAAUGUAUUGCCUAGUCUCUUCCAUCAGAUCGGUCUUUUGGAUUAGUUGGUUGGAGCAUGAAUUCAAUAUGGUAUCUGAGCCAAGAGGUCUUGAGUUCAAGACCCUGCCAAAGCUAUAUUAAAUAAAAUGAUUCUGCAGCCUACAUCAAUCUCACAUCCCUAGGCGUGAGGGGGUGUUUAAAUAUAUUGUCCGCCUCUCUUCAUCAGAUCGGUCUUUUGAUUGCAUUGGCUAGAGCAUGCACUUCUACAUGGUAUUGGAGCCAAGAGGUUUUCAGUUCAAGACUCGGCUGGCUGCAAUUAAAUUGCAGCCCACUUUUGGUCCAUGUUUAGGCCCGAGGGAGCAUGGAGCAUCCACUUCUACAAUCACCUACCACAUUGUUUAUGCAUUCCACAUCAUUGCAGCUCCAGGAACUAUACCUCGAUGAGCUUGGAGCAUUUCAAAUAUCCUCUCCACAUCUUUUCUAACACCUUCUUGCAUUUGUGCAAAGAGACUUCUUUUAUUGCCUUGGGGAUUGGGUAUGGUCUUCACAAACGUCGUCCAUUAAAGAUAGAUACCAUCUACUAGGUAGUACCCCCAAUGUUCUAGUCAUACCCGUUUACUGUGUAGGUCCAUAUCAGAUCAUCCCCAUCACAAAGUCUCUUGAACAACGGUUUGUUGAAGCACAUUGAUGUCAUUAUGAGUUUCGAGCAUGCCAAAGAAAGGAUAUGUUAAAUCCACAAGUCUUACGACGAUGUUGCUUCAAAUAUGAUGGUGGCCUCCUUGAUGUGACCUUGAUACUGCCUGCACAAACUUAUCAGGCAGCUCUUCCAUGGAAGCAAUCGACCGGCCCGAGCAUACCUAAAAACCUCUUGAUGCUCUAAUUGUGAAUAGCUUUUUUGUGUCCUUGGCAUUUGGUUCUCUCAGGAACUAUGAUCCAAACACCUUCACCGCCUCCAAGCAAAUGUCAGAUUUGCGUCAAUGCAUGUGCUCUUUCCCAUCCGGACAAUCUCAUUAACGACAUCUUCGGUUGUAUCAUAUGCAAGCAUCCUCAAAGCAGUCAUGCAAUUAUGCAUAGGAGAGCAUAAUAUCCUACAUUUUAUCGAACCCUUGAAGUUGAGAAUAUGUUCCUCUUUCUUCUCCGUUUCUUCCUAGAUACUCACCAUCAUGUCAGCAUCUUUGUCAUCAUCGAUAUCUGAAUCCAACGAAUCAAUGAGUUCCUUGAACAUGAAUUCAUCGAGCUCAUUGUAAUCAAACUCUUCAUUUGAUGAAUCCAUCGUUUGCCUAGAAAAUGAUUAAAAUAAUCUAAAAACAUGCCCCGAUAAUUCGUCAAACACAUGGAGGGUGAGGUGUAUGUCUGGCGGACUAGGAAUUAUCGAGGCUUAGUCCGAACAGCGACGGAUUCGGGGCGACAAAGGACGUCCUGGAAGGACUGGAGGUAUUGGUGGCGACACUGUGGGUUGGGAACGAUUGCAGAGCUACGUGGAGACGCAGUUGGGCGAGUGUUGGAGACGAUUAAGAGGCAUUUGAAGUGAGUCCAGCCUGUUGGAUCUGACGUGGCGCGUGUGUCCGGUCCGUCAAGGUGGCCCCAAAUCCGCACCGACAUAUGGGAUGGGUUUAGGGGUGCCGGGCAGCCCGAACAUAUGAGCUACGUUUGGGGGGUUCAUGUUGGGUGGUUGUUUUUGGUCCAGGUGGUGUCUGGAUUGUCUGCCCAGAUGUUUAGGGGGGGAGUUGGGGAUCCGGUUGGAGAUCUCUUACAUGUUAGUCUUUACUUGGAGAGAUAUAAUGGAAUAGAUUUGAUCCAUCUAUCAUCUUAUGUAAAACUGAUGAGAUUACCUCUUAUAUGCACACCUACAAUAGGAACAAUUAUCCUUCUACCCAAGUCUUGUGAUGCUACAAGAGUGAAGGAUUUUUGGACGGUCAGUCUUAUGCAUUCUAUCGCAAAAGAAUGUUUGUAAGUUGUUGUCCCCUGCUCGCAGAUGGCCUUCGUAAAAAAAUCAAUCGAUCCAAGACAAUUUUCAGCAUGUCAAGAAUGCUAUGCAAAAGGUGCACAAAAACAAGGACCCGACUUUGUUGCUGGAAUUGGAAAAUCUUCAAAGGAGAAACUCAACCCGGACAACUUGACAUGGAGACAUACCAUCCUCCAUGUGUCUCCUAGUGAUGCAAAGUAGCACCAUCGAAAUGAGGACAAAACGGAAAUGACGUGUUUCAUGUCGUCGACGACACCGUCGUGUCACCAACGAGGUUUGCACGAAAACCUAACCCUACCACCACCUGUCAAAAAGGGGUCUUUGUCCCCUCCUAUCGUCGAAAUAGCGGUCUGAGGGAGAGGGGGUCUAUUUUCUCGCCGAGGAGAAGGUAGAUCGCCGCCGUAGCUCCCGAGGUCCUGUGGGAGGGUGGAAAAUGUUCCUGGUCCUAAAAGGAAAAGAACUACUACCUCCUUUCUUGUUUAUAAGGCUUGCGCGUAUCUCUAGGUUGAUAGAUUGACCAACAUAAUAUAAGUUAUAUAUAAAAAAAUCAUUAGAAAUUUUAAAUCGUCUACUUUCUAAUGGUAUAAUUUUUAGACUACAAAACUCAUCUUAUGUUGGUCAAAUUAUAGACUUAGGAAUACGCACAAGCCUUAUAAACCAAAAAGGAGGUAGUACGUGUGUUAUAGAGAUGCUUAAUACCCCUCCUAUCCACAUUAAUUAUCGCUGAUUUAGUGCAGCUUUGCACUAAAUCGGCGUAAUAUGGAUCAGUGGGAGUAAAUCUUUACGUGUGUUUAGGCUCGCAGCCAAUGUCAUUUGUUGCGAACAAAUAAAUGAGGGCGAUGGCAGCAAAGUGUGCACCCUGAUGGUGGCUAAACUUUGGUAGAUUCCAAUAUAUUAACUCGUUUUAGCUCCUUGGUUGUUAGCAGUGGCGGAGCGUGAAUGAAAUUUAAGGAGGGGACAAAAGAGCUAGAGAGAUUAGAGAGGGUGGGAGAUUAGCAGGGAUUUUAGGCUUAACAAGAGCUCAUCUUUGUAAUAUUUCUCUUGGAAGGGGGGUCGGGACCCCCUUUGGUCCCGCUGACGCUCCGCUAAUGGUUGUUAGUAAGAUUUUCAUGAGAGAAAAAUAAAAGGUAUCUUAAUGUGGUAAACUAUAGAGAGAGCAAAAGUAACUCAGAUUGUUGGUUGUCAUUGACAUGUUUCCUUAUUAUUAUUUUGGAAGAAACAAAGCCUCUAGCCUGUGCAUCAUUACCAUGCACAAGUCAAGUUUAUUAAAUCAGAGAAGAAUGCCACAAUGGUGCCAGUGUCAUACAUGAAAGUGGCGUCAAUUCACUCCCUCUGAAAGAGUUCCUUCUUAGGGCAUGAGUUAUGGACGCAGCUGAAUUGUGUCGUCUCAAGUUGUUCACAAAGAUAAAAUUGAAUGAAUCGGUUGGGUUGUACCACAAUCAUCCAAGGAGAGCUACUCCCUAUGAUGUCAUCUUCUUACUCUUUUUCUCUUUCCCCUGUUGUCGGACACGUUCAACCUUUCUCUCUUCCCUUUUUCUCCAUUUCAGGGUUCCUUUGAUUCAAAAGAUUUUCAUAGGAAUUCUCCAAGAUUAGAAUCCUUGGGAAAUUUUCCUAUGUUGUUUGUUUGAUUCAUAGGAUUGAAUCCUAUAGGAAUCUUCCCUAAGGAUUCCUCUGUGCUACAUUCCAUAUUAAUUUUCACAUUCACUCAUACCUCUUGAAAAGAAUUAUUUGUUUUUCCUAUUGUUGUGAAUCGAAGAGGCCAUAUCACACCUUUUGAGCCAAGGAUGCAGUCUCUGCAAGAUGCACCUUUGGUCUUCAGGCUAUGGCUUUCAUGCCAACACAUCAACUGAGCCGGGCUAGUACAUGGGCGGGGUAGCGAGUUGGCCAUGCCCUUAACGGUCCUCUUAACAAUGUUGACAAUGUGACAUUAGUGAAUAGCUUUUUAGCUUAAUAAGUGAAGAUUUAAAGAACCAUAGGAUAGUGCAGCCGCUGUUGUCUAAGCUCACCUCAAGUGACAGCACUACAACGACCAAUUUCAACGUUGUACCAAAAGAUUGGAGAUUUGGUAAAAGGAAUUAUUUGAAAAAAAAGCCACAAAAGCUUUGUAUCUCGAUGCAUUUGAUAGAAACAAAGUUUGGUGCUAGCAUUUACAACUGAACACUCCUACUACCAGCUAGGUGCCGCGAGCCGCAAGACCCAACACUUACCUUGACCAUGUCGAGUAGACUAGCGAUGUUUCGUCACAAGCGAAUUUGGCAAAACACAAGCAAUCCCUGCUCCAGAGAAUGACUAAUAGCACCUUACAAUUUCUCAAAAGAGAAGAGAAGCAACCUAUGAGUUGGUUGCACUGUAUAAGCAGUGAGAAAAAACAGAUUUUUAGGAAAAGUAUAUUAUCUCUACUGUACAAUUCUCAAAGCGACAGUACUAUUAUUAGGACGAAAAAAAAGUUCAAUGCAGAGCCUCAGAUAGUCGUUCUACGUAUUAGAGGCACUUGUUAAUUUUGUAUGUACCAUAUCAACUCUGAUAGUUGCUCCAAAGGAUUGAUGUAGCGUUCAGAAACAGACCACUAAAAACAACAGAAAAGCUCACACUUCAUUCCGCAGUCAAGCCAAACCAAAACAUGGACGAUGUGCUUACCUUGGGCAGGGGAAUGAGAGUUUGCAUAAGAGUGUUUAUGGAGGGAGUAGUCAUGGGAAGUAGAUUUUUACUCCCAUUCCCUUGUUUGGUAUAUGAUGGGAAUUAGCGUGAGAUAAAACUCUACUCACGAAUUAACAGGGUACCCCCUGGGAAGAAAUAGGUGGGAAUUGGCUUUCUCAACUCCCAUUCCCCUUCCCACUUAAACUCUCAUUCCCUCUAAUCAAACAGUGGACUUUUAUCUCCUCACCCCUCAACUCCCAUUCCCCAUCUCGAAUUCCCCCGAACCAAACACAUUGUAAGAGGAAGUAUUGCAACGAUCCCCUUACAGCCAUACUAUCUAAAAUAAAAUGAGAAGCAACGAGAUUCAAAUACUUGAGACUGAGUCAGUAUAGCUAUAGGAUCUAAACUGGGAAGCAACGAGUGUGAAAUGCUUGAACAAAUAGAAGACUUAUUCAGUACAGCGACGCGAUCUAAACAGAUCAAAUCAGUCAGUCUUAGAAAAGCAAAAUACAAUUCAGCAGUGAAGCAUUUCGCCGGGAUUCAGAAUCAAACUGAUUGCAUUGAACAGAACAGGGUAUUACACAGCCUACUGAACCCAAAGACAGAACACAACGACGAACAACAAAUCAGUAAAUCCAUCCACCAUAGCACAUAUCACACAGAGCACACGAGGAAGUUGCUCCGCUACACGAAUCUAGCCUCUGAAGCCGUAGAGGGUGCGGCCCUGGCGCUUGAGCGCGUAGACGACAUCCAUGGCGGUGACGGUCUUGCGGCGGGCGUGCUCGGUGUAGGUGAUGGCGUCGCGGAUGACAUUCUCGAGGAAGAUCUUGAGGACGCCGCGGGUCUCCUCGUAGAUGAGGCCGGAUAUGCGCUUCACGCCGCCCCUCCUCGCCAGCCUCCGGAUCGCUGGCUUGGUGAUGCCCUGGAUGUUGUCGCGGAGGACCUUCCGGUGGCGCUUGGCGCCGCCCUUUCCCAGCCCCUUGCCGCCCUUGCCGCGCCCAGACAUCGCCGCUGCGAGAGAGGGUGAUUAGGAUGAAGAGGAACUGCUUUGGCGGGAGUCUGAUGCUUGCGAUGGGCUUUGGGAUGUGAGGGCGAGGGGGUUUAUAUGGGAGGAUUUUGGGUGGGAAGUGCAAAAUUUUGGAGGAUUUGGGGCGGGAGGUGCUUUUGUGGGUCGAUCCGCGAGACGGUGGAGAUGGGACGUUGGAUUAGGAUCAGAAGGGUGAGAUGAGCUGGGAGGGUGCUGGUGUGGAUCCAUGACGUGGCGCAGGAUGUGAGGUCUAGGCGGUUGCUUUAUUCGUAUAUGUUUGUUAGGAAUCUAGUAGUAUUAGUAUUAGGCUAAUUAGGCGAUUAGUAGAUUCCUUAGAAUAUCCUAACUGGUCGUUGGAAUCCUGGCGUUGUCCAGACGCAGUACCUAGCGACAGUCAUCAUCGUGUCUUUCCAAACCGUCGUCGUGUCUUUUCGAAUCAACGCGAACACUGUAAUCGGCUUGUACUUGCGACUGUUCAGGAGACAUAAAACCUGCAGUCAUUAUCAAUGAAAGCACUCAUUCACUUCAAUCUUUCUUUUCUUCUCGCGUUAUCAUGCACGCAUCGCUCUAGUACAGAGAGAAUAGGCCAAGAAGAAGAAAGGUGAGAACAAUGGCAUUGUUGCCAGACCUUGCUUUUGCCUUCGCCAGGUUCGUGGCCAGGGAGCAUCGUCGUCUCCGUCUUCCUCGCCGGACUUUUGGUCUGGCCGUUGUUCGACGUCGGAACUAUGGACGCCGCCAUCAGCAUCGCCUGAACAGGAACGGCGGCCUCCGCCGCCGCAGUGCACCAUAUCGUGCUCCUCUUCGUCACUACGGUCCUGGUGGUGGCCUCCUUCGCCGCCAUGCCCAUCGCCAGCGCCUCCACUGUGGUCACCGUAGGGUGCACCGCGGCAACUCCCCUAGAGCGCCAGGACCGAGUACCAGGGCGGAUGCGCCCAGGGAAGAGGUUCUGGUCAUGCCCCAAGAGGUUGCUGCCGCUCCAAAUGAUGUCGACGAAUAGGUUGAUGCAGUGUCGAACGUCGCGGCAGGGGUCGGGAUCAAGUACGAGGAUGAGGCCUCUGCCUCCAACAUCACAACGGAUGCCACCGAACUACCGCCUCCUCCGCCGAUGUACGCGCCCAUGGAGUGGAUGCUUGCCGGGCCAAGCGCCGAAUGGCUCGUCGAUGACCCAGAUCGCUACUUCUUCGAUGAGGAACUCGCAGCGCCGCCUCCGCUGAUGUACUCUUGCGCAGGCUACGGGUACGGGUCGGGCCUCCUGUCCCCGACGCCAUCUGACGAGGACCCGGAGCACUUUAACCCGUCGGGCUACAAUCCACUACCAGAGUUCUCCUCACCGCCUGUUGCAGUCCCCCUGGACGCACUCAAGCCCAGGCUCGUCAUCAACCUCUUGCCGAACGUGAAGACAGAGAAGAUCGAGGCCGUUGCGCCGACGCCCGCUCUCCCAGCGCGCCGCGACCUCAACCUCCCGGCGCUGGAAGUGGAGGAGGAGCACCAGGAAGCACCGCCGCUGUCCGCACUGUUGGGGAACGUAGUAAUUUCAAAAAAAUUCAUACGCACACGCAAGAUCAUGGUGAUGCAUAGAAACGAGAGGGGAGAGUGUCGUCCACUGAUACGUCCAUUUUGCAUCAUGCUUUUAUAUCGAUAUUUGUUGCAUUAUGGGCUAUUAUUACACAUUAUGUCACAAUACUUAUGCCUAUUCUCUCUUAUUUUACAAGGUUUGCAUAAGGAGGGAGAUUGCCAGCAGCUGGAAUUCUGGGCUGGAAAAGGAGCAUAUAUUAGAGACCUAUUCUGCACAACUCCAAAAGUCCUGAAACUCCACGGAAGUUAUUUUUGGAAAUAAUGAAAAAUACUGAGCGGAAGAAAUACCAGAGGGGGCCCACACCCUGGCCACGAGGGUGGGGGCGCGCCCUACCCCCCUGGGCGCGCCCCCUGCCUCGUGGGCCCCCUGUUGGCCCUCUGGUGCCCAUCUUCUGCUAUAUGAAGUCUUUCGUCCGAAGAAAAAUCAUAAGCAAGCUUUCGGGACGAGACUCCGCCGCCACGAGGCGGAACCAAUCUAGGGCUCAGGCGGAGCUGUUCUGCCGGGGACACUUCCCUCCGGGAGGGGGAAAUCAUCGCCAUCGUCAUCACCAACGCUCCUCUCAUCGGGAGGGGGCCAAUCUCCAUCAACAUCUUCACCAGCACCAUCUCCUCUCAAACCCUAGUUCAUCUCUUGUAUCCAAUUCUUGUCUCUAAGUCUGGGAUUGGUACCUGUAGGUUGCUAGUAGUGUUGAUUACUCCUUGUAGUUGAUGCUAGUUGGUUUAUUUGGUGGAAGAUCAUAUGUUCAGAUCCUAUAUGCAUAUUAAUACUCCUCUGAUUAUGAACAUGAAUAUGCUUUGUGAGUAGUUACGUUUGUUCCCGAGGACAUGGGAGAAGUCUUGCUAUUAGUAGUCAUGUGAAUUUGGUAUUCGUUCGAUAUUUUGAUGAGAUUUAUGUUGUCUCUCCUCUAGUGGUGUUAUGUGAACGUCGACUACAUGACACUUCACCAUUAUUUGGGCCUAGAGGAAGGCAUUGGGAAGUAAUAAGUAGAUGAUGGGUUGCUAGAGUGACAGAAGUUUAAACCCUAGUUUAUGCGUUGCUUCGUAAGGGGCUGAUUUGGAUCCAUAUGUUUCAUGCUAUGGUUAGGUUUACCUUAAUACUUCUUUUGUAGUUGCGGAUGCUUGCAAUAGGAGUUAAUCAUAAGUGGGAUGUUUGUCCAAGUAAGGGCAGCACCCAAGCACCGGUCCACCCACAUAUCAAAUUAUCAAAGUACCGAACGUGAAUCAUAUGAACGUGAUGAAAACUAGCUUGACGAUAAUUCCCAUGUGUCCUCGGGAGCAUUUUCCUUCAUAUAAGAGUUUGUCCAGGCUUGUCCUUUGCAGUGCUUGCAGAGAAUACCUUGCUAAAAACCGCUUAUCAUUUCCUUCUGCUCCUCGUUGGGUUCGACACUCUUACUUAUUGAAAGGACUAUGAUAGAUCCCCUAUACUUGUGGGUCAUCAAGACUCUUUUCUGGCGCCGUUGCCGGGGAGUGAAGCGCCUUUGGUAGGUGGAAUUUGGUAAGGAAAAAUUUAUAUAGUGUGCUGAAAUUUAUUGUCACUUGUUACUAUGGAAAGUAAUCCUCUGAGGGGCUUGUUCAGGUAUCUUCACUCCGACCAGUAGAGCAAAGAGUUGCUCCUCAACCUAUUGAACCUACUGAAAAUGAAAAUGUCUACUUUGAAAUUCCUUCGGGUAUGAUAGAAAAACUGCUAGCUAAUCCUUUUGCAGGAGAUGGAACAUUACAUCCUGAUGAGCACCUAAUAUAUGUGGAUGAAAUUUGUGGAUUAUUUAAGCUUGCAGGUAUGCCCGAUGAUGUUAUCAAGAAGAAGGUCUUCCCUUUAUCUUUGAAGGGAGAUGCAUUGACAUGGUAUAGGCUAUGUGAUGAUAUGGGAUCAUGGAACUACAAACGAUUGAAAUUGGAAUUUCAUCAGAAGUUUUAUCCUAUGCAUCUUGUUCAUCGUGACCGCAAUUAUAUAUAUAAUUUUUGGCCUCGCGAAGGAGAAAGCAUCGCUCAAGCUUGGGGGAGGCUUAAGUCAAUGUUAUAUUCAUGCCCCAAUCAUGAGCUCUCAAGAUAAAUGAUUAUUCAAAAAUUUUAUGCUCGGCUUUCUGAUAACAAUCGCACCAUGCUCGACACUUCUUGUGCUGGCUCUUUUAUGAUGAAGACUAUUGAAUUCAAAUGGGAUUUAUUAGAAAGAAUUAAACGCAACUCUGAAGAUUGGGACCUCGACGAAGGUAAGGAGUCAGGUAUGACACCUAAUUUUGAUUGUGUUAAAUGUUUUAUGGAUACCGAUGUUUUCCGUAAAUUUAGCACUAAAUAUGGACUUGACUCUAAGAUAGUAGCUUCUUUCUGUGAAUCUUUUGCUACUCAUGUUGAUCUCCCUAAGGAGAAGUGGUUUAAAUAUCAUCCUCCCAUAGAAGUAAAAGUAGCUGCACCUAUUAAAGUUGAAGAAAAGACUAUCACUUAUAACGAUCCUAUUGUUCCUACUGCUUAUGUUGAGAAACCACCUUUCCCUGUUAGAAUAAAGGAUCAUGCUAAAGCUUCAACUGUGGUUCGUAAAAGCAAUAUUAGAACUUAUACACCUCCUGAGCAAGUUAAAGUUGAACCUAAUAUUGCUAUUGUUAAAGAUCUCUUGGCUGAUAAUAUUGAUGGGCAUGUUAUUUAUUUCUGUGAUGAGACUGCUAGAAUUGCUAAACCUUGUGCUAAAGAUAAACAUAGACCUGUGGUAGGCAUGCAUGUUAUUUCUGUUAAAAUAGGAGAUCAUUGUUAUCAUGGCUUGUGUGAUAUGGGUGCUAGUGCUAGUGCAAUACCUAUUGACUUAUACAAAGAAAUUAUGCAUGAUAUUGCACCUACUGAGUUAGAAGAAAUUGAUGUUACAAUUAAGCUUGUCAAUAGAGAUACUAUAUCACCCAUGGGAAUUGUUAGAGAUGUUGAAGUCUUAUGUGGGAAAACUAAAUAUCCGGCUGAUUUUCUCGUUCUUGGUUCCCCACAAGAUAGCUUUUGUCCCAUUAUAUUUGGUAGACCCUUCUUAAACACUGUUAAUGCUAGGAUAGACUGCGAAAAGGAUGUUGUUACUAUUGGUUUAGGUGAUAUGUCUCAUGAGUUCAACUUCUCUAAAUUUCGUAGACAACACCGUGAAGAGGAACUGCCUAGUAAAGAUGAAAUUAUUGGUCUUGCUUCUAUUGCCGUACCUCCUAGUGAUCCUUUAGAACAAUAUUUGCUAGACCAUGAAAAUGAUAUGUUUAUGAAUGAAAGAAGGGAAAUAGAUGAAGUGUUCUUUAAACAGGGACCUAUUCUGAAACACAACUUGCCUGUUGAAAUCCUAGGGGAUCCUCCUCCACCCAAGGGUGAUCCCGUGUUUGAGCUUAAACCAUUGCCUGAUACUCUUAAAUAUGCUUAUCUUGAUGAAAAGAAGAUAUACCCUAUUAUUAUUAGUGCUAACCUUUCAGAGAAGGAGGAAGAAAAAUUAUUGAAAACUCUGAAGAAGCACCGUGCCGCUAUUGGAUAUACUCUUGAUGAUCUUAAGGGUAUUAGUCCCACUCUAUGCCAACACAAAAUAAAUUCGGAGAAAGAUGCCAAACCAGUUAUUGAUCAUCAACGACGGCUGAAUCCUAAAAUGAAAGAAGUGGUAAGAAAGGAAAUACUAAAGCUCCUUGAGGCAGGUAUAAUCUAUCCCGUUGCUGAUAGUCAGUGGGUAAGUCCUGUCCAUUGUGUCCCUAAGAAGGGAGGUAUUACUGUCGUUCCUAAUGACAAAGAUGAAUUGAUUUCGCAAAGAAUUAUUGCAGGUUAUAGGAUGGUAAUUGAUUUCCGCAAAUUAAAUAAACCUACUAAAAAGGAUCAUUACCCCUUACCUUUUAUUGAUCAAAUGCUAGAAAGAUUAUCCAAACAUACACAUUUUUGCUUUCUAGAUGGUUAUUCUGGUUUCUCUCAAAUACAUGUGUCAGCUGAUGAUCAAGCUAAGACCACUUUUACAUGCCCUUUCGGUACUUUUGCUUAUAGAAGUAUGCCUUUUGGUUUAUGUAAUGCACCUGCUACCUUUCAAAGAUGCAUGAUGGCUAUAUUCUUUGAUUUUUGUGAAAAGAUUUGCGAGGUUUUCAUGGACGACUUCUCCGUCUAUGGAUCCUCUUUUGAUGAUUGCUUGAGCAACCUUGAUCGAGUUUUGCAGAGAUGUGAAGAAACUAAUCUUGUCUUGAACUAGGAAAAGUGCCACUUUAUGGUUAACGAAGGCAUUGUCUUGGGGCAUAAAAUUUCUGAAAGAGGUAUUGAAGUUGAUAAAGCUAAAUUUGAUGCUAUUGAAAAGAUGACAUGUCCCAAGGACAUCAAAGGUAUAAGAAGUUUCCUUGGUCACGCUGGAUUUUAUAGGAGGUUCAUUAAGGACUUCUCAAAAAUUUCUCGGCCUCUGACUAAUCUAUUACAAAAAGAUAUACCAUUUGUCUUUGAUGAUGAUUGUGUAGAAGCAUUUGAAAUACUUAAGAAAGCAUUGAUUUCUGCACCUAUUGUUCAGCCACCUGAUUGGAAUUUACCCUUUGAAAUCAUGCGUGAUGCUAGUGAUUAUGUUGUAGGUGCUGUUCUAGGGCAAAGAGUUGAUAAGAAAUUAAAUGUUAUUCAAUAUGCUAGUAAAACUCUAUACAAUGCCCAAAGAAAUUAUGCUACUACUGAAAAAGAAUUCUUAGUAGUUGUAUUUGCUUGUGAUAAGUUCAGACCUUAUAUUGUUGAUUCUAAAGUAACUAUUCACACUGAUCAUGCUGCUAUUAAAUAUCUUAUGGAAAAGAAAGAUGCUAAACCUAGACUUAUUAGAUGGGUUCUCUUGCUACAAGAAUUUGAUUUGCAUAUUAUUGAUAGAAAGGGAGCUGAGAACCCCGUUGCAGACAACUUGUCUAGGUUAGGAAAUGUUCUUGAUGACCCACUACCUAUUGAUGAUAGCUUUCCUGAUGAACAAUUAAAUGUCAUAAAUGCAUAGGAAGUGGGUUAGACUUAAAUAUGCUAGUCAAAUUCUUCAUGAUGCUCUCUUCAUGUUUCAAUUCUUAUGUCUUAUGUGAGCAUCAUUGAAAUCAUCAUGCCUAGCUAGGAGCGUUAAACGUUAGCGCUUGUUGGGAGGCAACCCAAUUUUUAUUUUUGUUCUUUCUUUUUGGUUAUGUUUAGUAAUAAAUAUUUGAUCUAGCCUCUGGUUAGAUGUGGUUUUAUGUUUUAAUUAGUGUUUGUGCCAAGUAAUACCUAUAGGAUCUUCUUGGAUGAUAGUUAUUUGAUCUUGCUGAAAAUUCCAGAAACUUUCUGUUCACAAAAACAAUUGUUAAAAAUCACCAGAACGUGAUAAAAUGUUGAUUCCAAUUGCAGUAAAUCAAUAAACAAAUUAUCUAGGUCGUCCUAUGUUGGUAGAAUUUUUGGAGUUCCAAAAGUUUGCGUUAGUUACAGAUUACUACAGACUGUUCUGUUUUUAACAUAUUCUGUUUUUCGUGUGUUGUUUGCUUAUUUUAAUGAAUCUAUGGCUAGUAAAAGAGUUUAUAAACCAUAGAGAAGUUGGAAUACAGGUUUAACACCAAUAUAAAUAAAGAAUGAGUUCACUACAGUACCUUGAAGUGGUGUUUUGUUUUCUUUCGCUAACGGAGCUCACGAGAUUUUCUGUUAAGUUUUGUGUUGUGAAGUUUUCAAGUUUUGGGUAAAGAUUCGAUGGACUAUGGAAUAAGGAGUGGCAAGAGCCUAAGCUUGGGGAUGCCCAAGCCACCCCCAGGUAAUAUUCAAGGACAACCAAGAGCCUAAGCUUGGGGAUGCCCCGGAUGGCAUCCCCUCUUUCGUCUUCGUUCAUCGGUAACUUUACUUGGAGCUAUAUUUUUAUUCACCACAUGAUAUGUGUUUUGCUUGGAGAGUCAUUUUAUUUUCUUUAGCUUUGCUUGCUGUUUGAAUAAAAUACCAAGACCUGAAAUUCUUAAAUGAGAUAGAGUCUUCACAUAGCUACAUAAUUAUUUAACUACUCAUUGAUCUUCACUUAUAUCUUUUUGGAGUAGUUCGUCAUUUACUCAUGUGCUUCACUUAUACCCUAUGAGUAAAUGGUUGAAUGAUUUGAAUGUCAUAAAUCUAAAAUUAUAUAUGUUUCAUAUGGCUUUCCCAUGGGGAGUAAUGACUUCACAUAUAAGAAGUAGAGGUGGUACAUUUUUUGAAGGUUAGCAAACAUUGUAUUGGUCACUUGAACAAUUCAUGAAACAAUAUUGAAGGAAGAGAGAUUUCACAUAUAAAUAUACUAUCUUGGACAUCUUCUAUGAUUGUGAGCCCCAUUAAUUAUUUUCAAACCUGAGAAAAUUAGUUGAAGUUGGACAAGGAAGACAACAUAAUGAGUUAUGCUUGGGUAUAUUUGUAUAGCAGUUAUAUUGUUAUGGAUCCUCUAACAUGUGGUGCUUGCUAUUUAGAAUCCUUUGCUAGCCAAAAUAUCUGUACUAAGCGGGAAUACUAAUUGUGCAUCCAAAUUCCUUGAACCAAGUUACUUCCAUGAGUGUCCACCAUAUCUACCUAUAUGCGGUAUUUACCUGCCGUUCCAAGUAAAUUUGCAUGUGCCAAACUCUAAACCUUCAAAUAAUAAUCUGUUUUGUAUGCCCGAAUCGCUCAUGUAGCGACUAGGGGUUGUCAGUAUCUUCCAUGCUAGGUGGGUUAUUCUCACGAUGAGUGGACUCCGCUCAUCAUUCACGAGAAAAUGGCUGGUAACUGGGAUGCCCAGUCCUAUGAUCAAAAGAUCAAAAACAAAUUCGCAAAUAAUUUAAACAAAACUCCCCCAGGAAUGUUGAUAGUUGGACGGCACCCGUUGUUUCGGACAAGCCGUGGAGUGUGAAUGUUGGUGGAGGGGGAGUAAAAUCUUUACCUUUCUACGUGGGAACCGCCUAUAAUGUAUCUAGUAUGGAAGAUAUUGGGAACUCUUGGUUGUUAUGUUGACAAUGAAAGCAUACCUCUCAAAAUUAUUUUCAUCUCUGUUUUUGCUUCGAGCUCUGGCACCUCUGCAAAUCCCUGUUUCCCUCUGCGAAGGGCCUAUCUUUUAAUUUUAUGCAAGAGUCAGUAGUAUUCCUUCUCAUUCCAACCUACUCUUUAGUUGGCAAGCAUCAUGUGAUGGAAAGAUCUAAGCAUAUAUGGCCAUUCAAAUAUAUUUGAGCAUGAAUUAUUAUUGUUGACAUUACCCUCGAGGUAAAAGGUUGGGAGGCGAAACAUUAAGCCCCUAUCUUUCUCUGUGUUCGAUGAAUACUAUUUGUUCUAAAAAUAUGCUUUGAGUGGUAGUAAUCAUGGAAGACUAUAUGAUGGUUGAGUAUGUGGGAUUUGCUAAAUCAAAGCUCUAACAUAGACUCUUCCUGAAAAUAAGAUGAAUUGUAAUUGUUUGAUGACUAAUAACACGGUUUGUUAGUUUUCAAGAAAGUUUAUGAUCUAUACUUUAACAUGUGAAUAGUUUGUUACUUGAUCAUGCAAAGUUCUAUGAGUUGAGCUACUAUUAUGACAUAUAUGAUGCUAGAAAAGGUGAUUGAAAUUAUCAUUGAUCAAACUUAUGCACCUGCUAGCAUUCACACUUCAUAAAUUCUUUCUUUUAUCAUUUACCUACUCGAGGACGAGCAGGAAUUAAGCUUGGGGAUGCUGAUACGUCUCCAACGUAUCUAUAAUUUAUGAAGUAUCCAUGCUAUUAUAUUAUCCAUCUUGGAUGUUUAAUGGGCUUUACUAUGCACUUUUAUAUUAUUUUUGGGACUAACUUAUUAAUCCAGAGCCCAGUGUCAGUUUUUGUUUUUUUCCUUGUUUCAGUGUUUCGCAAAAAAGGAAUAUCAAACGGAGUCCAAACGGAAUGAAACCUUCGGGAGAGUUAUUUUUGGAACAGAAGCAAUCCAGGGGACUUGGAGUGCAUGUAAGGGAAGCAACGAGUGAGACACGAGGCAGGGGGGCGCACCCACCCCCUGGGUGCGCCCUCCACCCUCGUGGGCCCCUCGUGGCUCCCCUGACCGACUUCUUUCGCCUAUAUAUAUCCAUAUACCCUAAAAACUUCGGGGAACACAAUAGAUUGAGAGUUCCGCCGCCGCAAGCCUCCAGAGCCAUGAAAAACCAAUCAGGACCCUGUUCCGGCACCCUGCCGGAGGGGGGAUCCCUCACCGGUGGCCAUCUUCAUCAUCCCGGUGCUCUCCAUGACGAGGAGGGAGUAGUUCACCCUCGGGGCUGAGGGCAUGUACCAAUAGCUAUGUGUUUGAUCUCUCUCUCUCUCUCUCUCUCUCUCGUGUUCUUGAUUCAGCAUAAUCUUGAUGUAUCGCGAGCUUUGCUAUUAUAGUUGGAUCUUCUGAUGUUUCUCCCCCUCUACUCUCUUGUAAUGGAUUGAGUUUUCCCUUUGAAGUUAUCUUAUCGGAUUGAGUCUUUAAGGAUUUGAGAACACUUGAUGUAUGUCUUGCGUGGGCUACCCGUGGUGACAAUGGGGUAUUCUAUUGAUUCAGCUGAUGUAUGUUUUGGUGAUCAACUUGCGGGUUCCGCCCAUGAACCUAUGCAUAGGGGUUGGCACACGUUUUCGUCUUGACUCUUCGGUAGAAACUUUGGGGCACUCUUUGAACUACUUUGUGUUGGUUGAAUAGAUGAAUCUGAGAUUGUGUGAUGCAUAUCGUAUAAUCAUACCCACGGAUACUUGAGGUGACAUUGGAGUAUCUAGGUGACAUAGGGUUUUGGUUGAUUUGUGUCUUAAGGUGUUAUUCUAGUACGAACUCUAUGAUAGAUUGAACGGAAAGAAUAGCUACGUGUUAUUUUACUACGGACUCUUGAAUAGAUCGAUCAGAAAGAAUAACUUUGAGGUGGUUUCGUACCCUACCAUAAUCUCUUCGUUUGUUCUCCGCUAUUAGUGACUUUGGAGCGACUCUUUGUUGCAUGUUGAGGGAUAGUUAUAUGAUCCAAUUAUGUUAUUAUUAUUGAGAGAACUUGCACUAGCGAAAGUAUGAACCCUAGGCCUUGUUUCCUAGCAUUGCAAUACCGUUUGUGCUCGCUUUUAUCAUUAGUUACCUUGCUGUUUUUAUAUUUUCAUAUUACAAAAACCUAUAUCUACCAUCCAUAUUGCACUUGUAUCACCAUCUCUUCGCCGAACUAGUGCACCUAUACAAUUUACCAUUGUAUUGGGUGUGUUGGGGACACAAGAGACUCUUUGUCAUUUGGUUGCAGGGUUGUUUGAGAGAGACCAUCUUCAACCUAUGCCUCCCACGGAUUGAUAAACCUUAGGUCAUCCACUUGAGGGAAAUUUGCUACUGUCCUACAAACCUCUGCACUUGGAGGCCCAAAACGUCUACAAGAAGAAGGUUGUGUAGUAGACAUCAGUAUGUGGUACGGUAAGUAAACCGACUCCAAAACAGUUCUAAUGGCAAUUUUUCUCCAUUUUGGAAUAUUUAGAAAAAUAAGAAGCAGUCCGGGAAGGACACGAGGGCUCCACGAGAGUGGAGGGCGCGCCCUACCCCCUGGGCACGCCCCCUGCCUCGUGGGCACCUCGUGCGCUCUCCGGACUCCAUUUUCUUGCACGUUACGUAUUUUGGUCGGUAAAAAUUCAUUAUAUAAUCUCCCGAAGGUUUUGACUCCGGUAUCACGCAAUUGUCCUCUGUUCUUGUUUCGAGCUGUUUUCUGCCGCAGAUUAGAGCAAGAUGUCUUCUCAAGAGUCAGUCGGGGAGAGUCGGGUGUCUCAUCCGACACCAGGUCCAGGGGCAAACAACGAUGCCUAUCACUUUGGGCCCUCAACGGAGGAAGAGAUGGAAGCUGACUUGAAAAGGAUAGAUGCCAUGGAGGAGGAUCAAGAAGUUACUUCUCAUUUCCGGGCAGGCUUCACAAUGGGGGAACUACAGAGCUCAGCUAUCCCAAACUCGGUCAUCCCCUCCAAUGUUAAAUUUCUCUCUUAUGAAAAUAUGAAAAAGAGUGUUACUUGUUCUCCCGCAGCUAUGCAGCAUCCAUGGGUGCAAGGAGCUUUAACCGUCACAGGUAAGCUCCGUAAGGAAAUAAUGGAUCUUAAGCGGCAGGUUAACAAGCUCGAGGAGGAGAAUCGUAUCCUGAGGGGUAUCAUAGCCAAGAAUAUCACCACCCCCGAAAAAGGAGAUAUAAUCACAUGGGUAUGGGCACUCCCCUUGGCAACUGCCAAGCUUGGGGGAGGUGCCCCGGUAUCGUAUCACCAUCACAUCUCUAUCUUUACCGUUUUCUUAGUUCGAUCCUUUUAGUAGUAUCUUGAUCUAGUAGAAUAAAUUUUUAGUAUGAACUAGUUUUGAGUUUUGCUUUAUGAUCCCUCUAUGUAAUCGAGUCUGUGAGCUAUAUAAUAAAGAUUAGUGUUGAGUCAAGGGCUUGAUUAUUUUGCUAUGAUCUUGAGGGAAUAAAAGAAAAAGAAAGAAUAAAAAGAAAUAAAAAGAGAUCAUAUUGAUCUUAUGGAUAGUAAUGACUUCACAUAGAAAGAGUAUGAUGAUUGAAAGUUGUUGAGAGUUAACAAACAUGGUUUUGGUCAUCGUUGCAAUUAAGAGGGGUUUCACAUAUAAAUAUACUAUCUUGGGCAUCUUUUAUGAUUGUGAGCACUCAUUAAAAUAUGACAUGCUAAAGAGUUGAUGUUGGACAAGGAAGACAACGUAAUGGGUUAUGUUUUCUUAUAUCUAAAAAUAAAGCAUAUUGUCAUGGAUCAUCCAACAUGUUGAGCUUGCCUUUCCCGCUCAUGCUAGCCAAAUUCUUUGCACCAAGUAGAGAUACUACUUGUGCUUCCAAAUACCCUUAAACCCAGUUUUGCCAUGAGAGUCCACCAUAUCUACCUAUGGAUUGAGUAAGAUCCUUCAAGCAAGUUGUCAUCGGUGCAAGCAAUAAAAAUUGCUCUCUAAAUAUGUAUGAUUGAUUAGUGUGGAGGAAAUAAGCUUUAUACGAUCUUGUGAUGUGGAAGAAAUAAAAGCGACAGACUGCAUAAUAAAGGUCCAUAUCACAAGUGGCAAUAUAAAGUGACAUUCUUUCGCAUUAAGAUUUUGUGCAUCCAACCCUGAAAGCGCAUGACAACCUCUGCUUCCCUCUGCGAAGGGCCUAUCUUUUACUUUUAUCUCUCACCCUUAUGCAAGAGUCAUGGUGAUCUUCACAUUUCCUUUUUAUAUUUUAUCCUUUGGCAAGCACAGUGUGUUGGAAAGAUCCUGACAUAUAUAUCUAAUUGGAUGCAAUUUAGCAUAAACUAUUAUUGUUGACAUUACCCUUGAGGUAAAAGGUUGGGAGGCGAAACUAUAAGCCCCUAUCUUUCUCUGUGUCUGAUUAAAAUUCCGUAACCACAAGUAUUGCGUGAGUGUUAGCAAUUGUGAAAGACUAAAUGAUAGUUGAGUAUGUGGACUUGCUGAAAAGCUCUAACAUAGACUCUUUCUGAUGUUAUGAUAAAUUGCAAUUGCUUCAAUGACUGAGAUUAUAGUUUGUUAGUUGUCAAUAAAGUUUCUGAUUCAUACUUUGCAUUGUGAAUAGAUUAUUACUUGAGCAUAAGAAAUCAUACGACAUUAUCCAUAUAUGUUGCUGUUAUGAGAAUAUUCAUGAUGCCCUCAUGUCCGUAUUUUAUUUUAUCAGCACCGCUACCUCUAAACAUGUGGACAUAUUUAUCGUUAUCGGCUUCCGCUUGAGGACAAGCGAGGUCUAAGCUUGGGGGAGUUGAUACGUUCAUUUUGCAUCAUGCUUUUAUAUCGAUAUUUAUUGCAUUAUGGGCUGUUAUUACACAUUAUGUCACAAUACUUAUGCCUAUUCUCUCUUAUUUUACAAGGUUCACAUAAGGAGGGAGAAUGCCAGCAGCUGGAAUUCUGGGCUGGAAAAGGAGCAAAUAUUAGAGACCUAUUCUGCACAACUCCAAAAGUCCUGAAACUCCACGGAAGUUAUUUUUGGAAAUAAUGAAAAAUACUGAGCGGAAGAAAUACCAGAGGGGGCCCACACCCUGGCCACGAGGGUGGGGGACGCGCCCUACCCCCCUGGGCGCGCCCCUGCCUCGUGGGCCCCCUGUUAGCCCUCCGGUGCCCAUCUUCUGCUAUAUGAAGUCUUUCGUCCGAAGAAAAAUCAUAAGCAAGCUUUCGGGACGAGACUCCGCCGCCACGAGGCGGAACCUUGGCGGAACCAAUCUAGGGCUCCGGCGGAGCUGUUCUGCCGGGGACACUUCCCUCCGGGAGGGGGAAAUCAUCGCCAUCGUCAUCACCAACGCUCCUCUCAUCGGGAGGGGGCCAAUCUCCAUCAACAUCUUCACCAGCACCAUCUCCUCUCAAACCCUAGUUCAUCUCUUGUAUCCAAUUCUUGUCUCUAAGUCUGGGAUUGGUACUUGUAGGUUGCUAGUAGUGUUGAUUACUCCUUGUAGUUGAUGCUAGUUGGUUUAUUUGGUGGAAGAUCAUAUGUUCAGAUCCUAUGUGCAUAUUAAUACUCCUCUGAUUAUGAACAUGAAUAUGCUUUGUGAGUAGUUACGUUUGUUCCUGAGGACAUGGGAGAAGUCUUGCUAUUAGUAGUCAUGUGAAUUUGGUAUUCGUUCGAUAUUUUGAUGAGAUGUAUGUUGUCUCUCCUCUAGUGGUGUUAUGUGAACGUCGACUACAUGACACUUCACCAUUAUUUGGGCCUAGAGGAAGGCAUUGGGAAGUAAUAAGUAGAUGAUGGGUUGCUAGAGUGACAGAAGCUUAAACCCUAGUUUAUGCGUUACUUCUUAAGGGGCUGAUUUGGAUCCAUAUGUUUCAUGCUAUGGUUAGGUUUACCUUAAUACUUCUUUUGUAGUUGCGGAUGCUUGCAAUAGGAGUUAAUCAUAAGUGGGAUGUUUUCCCAAGUAAGGGCAGCACCCAAGCACCGGUCCACCCACAUAUCAAAUUAUCAAAGUACCGAACGCGAAUCAUAUGAACGUGAUGAAAACUAGCUUGACGAUGAUUCCCAUGUGUCCUCGGGAGCGUUUUCCUUCAUAUAAGAGUUUGUCCAGGCUUGUCCUUUGCUACAAAAUGGAUUGGGCCACCUUGCUGCACUUUAUUUACUUUUCUUACUUGUUGCUCGUCACAAAUUAUCUUAUCACAAAACUAUCUGUUACUUAUAAUUUCAGUGCUUGAAGAGAAUACCUUGCUGAAAACCACUUAUCAUUUCCUUCUGCUCCUCAUUGGGUUCGACACUCUUACUUAUCGAAAGGACUACAAUAGAUCCCCUAUACUUGUGGGUCAAAAUCCACGUACCCUCGUACACCGUAAGCGAAAGCGUUAUGACAACGCGGUUGAUGUAGUCGUACGUCUUCACGAUUCGACCGAUCCAAGUACCGAACGCACGACACCUCCGAGUUCAGCACACAUUCAGCUCGGUGACGUCCCACAAACUCACGAUCCAGCAGAGCUUCGAGGGAGAGUUCCGUCAGCACGACGGCGUGAUGACGGUGAUGAUGAUGCUACCGACGCAGGGCUUCGCCUAAGCACCGCUACGAUAUGACCAAGGUGGAUUAUGGUGGAGGGGGGCACCGCACAUGUCUAAAAGAUCAACAGAUCAACUUGUGUGUCUAUGGGGUGCCCCCCUCCCCCGUAUAUAAAGGAGUGGAGGAGGGGAACGGGCCGGCCCUCCUAGGCGCGCCCCAAGGGCAGUCCUACUCCCACCGGGAGUAGGACUCCAACCCUUCCAAGAGUAGGAGUAGGAGAGAGGGAAGGAGGAGAGAGGGGGAAGGAAAGGGGGGCGCCGCCCCCUUGUCCAAUUCGGACUAGAGGGGGAGGGGGUGCGCGGCCUGCCCUGGCCGCCCCUCCUCUUCUCCACUGAGGCCCAAUAGGCCCACUACACUCCCCGGGGGGUUCCGAUAACCACCCGGUACUCCGGUAUUUGUCCGAACUUGCCCGGAACCCUUCCGAAGUCCAAACAUAGUCAUCCAAUAUAUCGAUCUUUAUGUCUCGACCAUUUCGAGACUCCUCGUCAUGUCCGUGAUCAUAUCUGGGACUCCAAACUACAUUCGGUACAUCAAAACACAUAAACUCAUAUUACCGAUCAUCACCGAAUGUUAAGCAUGCGGACCCUACGGGUUCGAGAACUAUGUAGACAUGACCGAGACUUGUCUCCGGUCAAUAACCAAUAGCGGAACCUGGAUGCUCAUAUUGGCUCCUACAUAUUCUACGAAGAUCUUUAUCGGUCAAACCGCAUAACAACAUACGUUGUUCCCUUUGUCAUCGGUAUGUUACUUGCCCGAGAUUCGAUCGUCGGUAUCUCAAUACCUAGUUCAAUCUCGUUACUGGCAAGUCUCUUUACUCGUUCCGUAAUACAUCAUCCCGCAACUAACUCAUUAGUUGCAUUGCUUGCAAGGCUGAUAGUGAUGUGCAUUACCGAGAGGGCCCAGAGAUACCUCUCCGACAAUCGGAGUGACAAAUCCUAAUCUCGAUCUAUGCCAACUCAACAAGUACCAUCAGAGACACUUGUAGAGCACCUUUAUAAUCACCCAGUUACGCUGUGACAUUUGGUAGCACACAAAGUGUUCCUCCGGUAUUCGGGAGUUGCAUAAUCUCAUAGUCAUAGGAACAUGUAUAAGUCAUGAAGAAAGCAAUAGCAAUAUACUAAACGAUCAAAUGCUAAGCUAACGGAAUGGGUCAAGUCAAUCACAUCAUUCUCUAAUGAUGUGAUCCCGUUAAUCAAAUGACAACUCAUGUCUAUGGCUAGGAAACUUAACCAUCUUUGAUUCAACGAGCUAGUCAAGUAGAGGUGUAACGCCCCGAAUCCGAUGCGCCAGGUGUCUCCCAGUUAUUCGCCGUCGUUGCCAUGUCAUUUGCUUGGGUGUUGCUCUUUGCUAUGUCAUCAUCUGCAUUGCAUCAUCAUGUUUUCAAAACUUGCAUCCGUCCAGGUCUCCCAGUUCUCUCCGUUGUCCGUUCCGAGCCCUUUCACACUCGCACGCGCCCGCGACACCUCCGAAAUAUUAUUUUAUAAGUGGCAUAAAAAUGUUCUUGGAUUGGGAUGAAAGUUGGCGUGCGGUCUUGUUAUAGUGUAGGUAGACCGCCUGCCAAGUUUCAUCGCAUUCGGAGUCCGUUUUGAUAGCCCAACCGUUAAAGAUACGCAAUAUAGCCGGUCAAACGUCGGAUGUUUUCGGUCUCCGGAAACCCGUGCCGGGCCGCCUUCUCUUCUCUCCCCUCAGCCCAAGCCCCUCUCCACAACCCACCUAACCUAGCUAACCCCCCUCUCGAUCGGAUCCGUCGGAUCACGAUCGUACGGUCUGAAACGGCCUAAAACACCUAACCCUAGCCCCAUGUUUAUAUAUAGACCACCCCCUGCCAGAUGGACUAACCUAGCUCUUCCCCUACCCCUAGACCCCCUCCCUCCGAUCCAGCGCCGCCCCUUCUCCUCGGAUCCACCGCCGACCACCUCCUCCCCGCCACUUGGCGCCGUCCCACUCGCCAGCGCCACCGCAAGCCGCCUUCUCACCCAACCCGCAGCUGCCACCCGUCGCCCCUGCCUUUCCCGCGCCGCCGCAGCCCGCGCGGCCCAGAUCGGGCCCGCCCCGGGCCGAUCCGGGCCCGAGGCGCCCGCUCCCCGCGCCGCCGCUCCCGCUGGGCUCCUGCCGAGCGCUCCCGCUCCAGCGCACCCGACGUCGCCCAGAUCGGCCCCGCCGCCUCACGUCGCUACUCCAACCACCAGGCCUCGCCGGAGUUCCGACCUCGUCGGAGAUGAGUGACCGCCGCCCUGUUCCGCUCCUCCUCCCUUUGGUUCUCCCUCUUCUUCCCCUCUCACGAUCCCUCUCUCUCCCGCAAGCCCCAACCGCCGCCAUGGAGUUGCGCCUCCUCGAGCGCCGUCCUUUGCCGGGAACGGGUUCCCUGGGGCCAGAUCCGCCCGGAUCCGGCUGGAACCACCGCUCCCAUGGCCUCCUCCGGCCUCGCCGGCCCUGCCUGAGCCCACCGCCGCCGCCAUGACCGUGCUCGGGAGCGAGCAGAGGAGCUGCUCCUCCCGUGCGCCUCGUGGGCCCCGCAGCCUCCCAAGGCAGCCCAGCCGCGGCCUUCCCCGCCUCCAAGCCCAGAUGCCACCCCGAGCAGGACCAUUUGGCCAUGGUGAGCUUCCCACUAAGCCCUACCUUUGUGCGCGAGAUAGCUAUCAUGCGCCCGUGUGUUUUUUUUCCAGAAAAGUGACCGUCCUUAGAAUUUCAGCUUCAUGCAUACAUUUUGUAUUCACUAUAUCUUUGUGGGUGCUACUCCGCUUUGCGUGCAUGAUAUAUCAAAAUGUUCAUUGAGAGAUGCUCUUCAUUUCAUUCCAUUGUGGAAUGCUUGUUUGAAUUCAUCUUGAUGCCCUAAUCAUCUUUGCAAGAGUGCUAUGUGAUGUUAACCUGCUGAGACUGUUAUAACUUGAUGAUUUGUCAUUUUUGUUGCAUUUUGUGUGUGCAUCCUAUGAGCAUGAUGUCUACAUGUUUGUGAAGAAUCUCCAUGCCAUCUUUACAGUGGUGCAAGACUUGUAUUUUGUCAUGCCCUGUAGUGAGUUCAUCAAGCUUGUGAAGUGGACUAUUUGCUGUUAAUGUUCUGUCAAUGCUGAAACUGCUAUAUCAUGUUGCUAUCUUUGCUUGAUGCUACCAAUUAAUCCAUGCAUAUUCUGGAGAUGUUCAUUAAGGAUGUUUUUCUAUACAUGUGAUGUGAUGCUCUAUCCAUCCAUGCCUUCGUUUGCAUUUAUAGCCUGCUGUAGCUUAUUGUAAUCUUGCUCUCAAAUUGCUAAAUAAUGUUGCUGUCAGCCUGUUAACAUUAAGUUCAGCUUUUCCAUGUGUUUUGCUAGUGAUUCAUGCACCCUAUGAACUUUCUAUUGCCAUGCUUAGCUUCAUGAACAUGUGUUCUUACUGUUGGUUACCUUUUCAUGCCAUGUAAUGCUAUGUAGUGAGUUGUACAAGCUCGCCAACAUGCCUACUUAUUGUUGUUCCUGCCAUGUGCUGUUAUUUUCAGUCUGAAUCUGCCAUAUCUUUUGCCAUGUUUGCGUGGGUGCUAGCAUCUUUUCUAUUGAUCUUUGGAAUAAGUUCAAUAAGGGAGUUUUGUUAAUUGCUCUUAGUACUAGCAUACCAUGCUCAAGUUUUCCAUGUUAGCUUGCUGUAACAUGUUGUUUGAUAGCUCUAAACAUUGCAACCUGAUGUUAUUUCUGCCAUGUCUAGUGAAUUUCUGCCAAGUCUGUGAACUGUUAUUAUUUGCAAUCUUUCCAUGUCCUUUUGAUCAUGUCCUAGUGAUUUCUGGAGAUAGCUCAGUGUUCAUGUUUUGUUAUAAUUUAUCUGAAAAUCAUGUCCAUACCUUUUGUUCUCAUUUUGAGGUGCUGUAGCAUGUUGUUUUGAUGCUUGCAAGAUGUCUAGUUGCUGUUUUGGACAGCUUGUCCUUUAAACUUGUUUCAUGUGUAUGUGUUGAACCGUUGCUCCGUUUUGAGUGUGCUCUACAUGAAACUUGCUUAGUUUUGCAUGUAGUUUCAUGUUACCUUGUUGCAUCCAUGUUUUGAGUGUGUUUGCUUGAUGUUUGAAUGCAUUUUGCAUCAAUGCCAUGUUUAACUUGUUUUGCUCAUAUCUUCUAGGCCGUAGCUCCAAAUUAAAUGAACUUUAUAUGUAACUUGAUUAGAAUUUCAUGUAGAUCAUCUUGGUGCAUCUUAACUUGUUGUUUAACAACUUGAACAUAAGAUUUAUUCAGAUCUGGACCAAUUUCGAAAUUUGCAUAUGAGGACUUACCGGAAUUGUUAUAUGUUGUUUCCGGCCUCAUCUAAACUUGCUUUGAUGUGUUGCUCUUGUAUGCAUCAUUUCUUGCCAUGCGUAGCCUCAUGUAGCCUUGUCAUGCAUCAUACUUGGUUGAGCAUCAUGCCUUGUUCAUGUGUGGUGUGUUUACCAUGUUGUGUGCUUAUCCUCGAUAGUUCCCGUUUCGUUGCGAUCGUGAGGAUUCGUUCGUCUACGCUGGGUUCGUCUUCGUGGCUUCAUCUUCUUCAUGGACUCGUUCUUCUUCCUAGCGGGAUUUCAGGCAAAAUGACCGUCACCUUGGAUCUCAUUACUAUCAUUGCUAUGCUAGUUGCCUCGAUGCUAUCGCUAUGCUGCGUUACGUACCACUUGCUUAUCAAGCCUCCCAAAUUGCCAUGAACCUCUAACCUUUGUCACCCUUCCUAGCAAACCGUUGUUUGGCUAUGUUACCGCAUUUGCUCGGCCCCUCUUAUAGCGUGCUAGUUGCAGGUGAAGAUGAAGAUUGCUCCAUGUUGGAUUAUGUUUAUGUUGGGAUAUCACAAUAUCUCUUAUAUUAUUAAUGCAUCUAUAUACUUGGUAAAGGUUGAAAGGCUCGGCCUUAUGCCUAGUGUUUUGUUCCACUCUUGCCGCCUUAGUUUCCGUCAUAUCAGUAUUAUGUUCCUGGAUUUUGCGUUCCUAACGCGGUUGGGUGUUAUGGUAACCCCUUGACAGUUCGCCUUGAAUAAAACUCCUCCAGCAAGGCCCAACAUUGGUUUUACCAUUUGCCUUCCUACCACCUAUACUUUUCCCUUGGGAGUAAUUAAACCGAGGGUCAUCUUUAUUUUAGCCCCCCGGGCCAAUGCUUCUCUAAGUGUUGGUCCGAACUAGAGCCACUUGCAGCGCCACAUCGGGGAAACUUGAGGGCUGGUUUUUAGUUUUACGUAGUGCUCAUCCGGUCAUGGCCUGAGACGAGAUACGCGUGGCUACUAUCAGGGUGUCGGCACGCCGGGAGGUCUUGCUGGACUUGUUUUACCAUUGUUAAAAUGUCUUGUAACCGGAAUUCUGAGACUGAUCGGGUCUUUCCGGGAGAAGGAAUAUCCUUCGUUGAUCGUGAGAGCUUAUCAUGGGCUAAGUUGGGACACCCCUGCAGGGUUUGAACUUUCGAAAGCCGUGCCCGCGGUUAUGUGGCAGAUGGGAAUUUGUUAAUAUCCGGUUGUAGUAAACUUGAAGUAAACUCUUCUAAAAUACACCAACCGCAUGUGUAACCGUGAUUGUCUCUUUUCGGGGUUGUUCGAGAGGAGAACACGGUUUUUGGGUUAUGUUUGACGUAAGUAGGAGUUCAGGAUCACUUCUUGAUCAUUACUAGUUGACGACCGCUUGUUAAGCUCCUCUUCUCGCUCUUGUUUCGUAAGUUAGCCACCAUACUUUGCUUAGCCGCUGCUGCAACCUCACCACUUUACCCCUUCCUUACCCAUUAAGCUUUGCUAGUCUUGAUACCCAUGGUAAUGGGAUUGCUGAGUCCUCGUGGCACACAGAUUACUACACCAACAGUUGCAGGUUCAGGUUAUGCGAUGAUCAUGACGCGAGAGCGAUGUUUACUUGUUUUGCAGUUCUUCUUCUGCUUCUUCGAUCAGGGGAUAGGUUCCAGGUCGGCAGCCUGGGCUAGCAGGGUGGAUGUCAUUUGAACUUCUGUUUGUGUUUCAUCCGUAGUCGGAUGAUGAUCUUAUAUAUGAUGUAUUGAUGUAUUCUUGGGGCGUUUGUGCCCUUUGUAUGUAACCCCAUCUAUUAGGUAAUGUUGAUGUAAUGAUAUCCACCUUGCCAAAGAGUGUCAAUAUGCGGUUCUAUCCUUGGUGGGACCUUCGAGUCUCUUUAGGAUAGUAUCACAUAUUGGGCGUGACAAGAGGCAUACUAGUGACACUUAGUUUGUCUAUAUAUUCACACAUGUACUAAGUUUCUGGUUAAUACAAUUCUAGCAUGAAUAAUAAACAUUUAUCAUGAUAUAAGGAAAUAUAAAUAACAACUUUAUUAUUGCCUCUAGGGCAUAUUUCCUUCAGUCUCCCACUUGCACUAGAGUCAAUAAUCUAGAUUACACACUAAUGAUUCUAACACCCAUGGAGUCUUGGUGCUGAUCUUGUUUUGCUCGUGAGAGAGGCUUAGUCAAUGGGUCUGCAACAUUCAGAUCCGUAUGUAUCUUGCAAAUCUCUAUGUCUCCCUCCUUGACUUGGUCGCGGAUGGAAUUGAAGCGUCUCUUGAUGUGCUUGGUUCUCUUGUGAAAUUUGGAUUCCUUUGCCAAGGCAAUUGCACCGGUAUUGUCACAAAAUAUUUUCAUUAGAACCGAUGCACUAGGUAUGACACCUAGAUCGGAUAUGAACUCCUUCAUCCAGACUCCUUCAUUUUCUGCUUCCGAUGCAGCUAUGUACUCCGCUUCACACGUAGAUCCCGCCAUGACGCUUUGCUUAGAACUGCACCAACUGACAGCUCCACUGUUCAAUAUAAAUAUGUAUCCGGUUUGUGACUUAGAGUCAUCUGGAUCAGUGUCAAAGCUUGCAUCGACGUAACCAUUUACGACGAGCUCUUUGUCACCUCCAUAAAGGAGAAACAUAUCCUUAGUCCUUUUCAGGUAUUUCAGGAUGUUCUUGACCACUGUCCAAUGAUCCACUCCUGGAUUACUUUGGUACCCCCCUGCUAAGCUAAUAGCAAGGCACACGUCAGGUCUGGUACACAGCAUUGCAUACAUGAUAGAGCAUAUGGCUGAAGCAUAGGGAACAUCUUUCAUUUUCUCUCUAUCUUCUGCAGUGGUCGGGCAUUGAGUGUGACUCAAUUUCACACCUUGUAACACAGGCAAGAACCCUUUCUUUGCUUGAUCCAUUCUGAACUUCUUCAAAACUUUAUCAAGGUAUGUGCUUUGUGAAAGUCCAAUUAAGCGUCUUGAUCUAUCUCUAUAGAUCUUGAUGCCCAAUAUAUAAGCAGCUUCGCCGAGGUCUUUCAUUGAAAAACUCUUGUUCAAGUAUCCUUUUAUGCUAUCCAGAAAUUCUAUAUCAUUUCCAAUCAACAAUAUGUCAUCCACAUAUAAUAUUAGAAAUGCUACAGAGCUCCCACUCACUUUCUUGUAAAUACAAACUUCUCCAAAAGUCUGUAUAAAACCAUAUGCUUUGCUCACACUAUCAAAACAUUUAUUCCAACUCCGAGAUGCUUGCACCAGUCCAUAGAUGGAUCGCUAGCGCUUGCACACUUUGUUAGCAUCCUUUGGAUCGAUAAAACCUUCAGGUUGCAUCAUAUACAACUCUUCUUCCAGAAAUCCAUUCAGGAAUGCAGUCUUUACAUCCAUUUGCCAAAUUUCAUAAUCAUAAAAUGCGGCAAUUGCUAACAUGAUUCGGACGGACUUAAGCAUCGCUACGGGUGAGAAGGUCUCAUCGUAGUCAACUCCUUGAACUUGCCGAAAACCUUUUGCAACAAGUCGAGCUUUGUAGACAGUAACAUUACCGUCAGCGUCAGUCUUCUUCUUGAAGAUCCAUUUAUUCUCUAUGGCUUGCCGAUCAUCGGGCAAGUCAACCAAAGUCCACACUUUGUUCUCAUACAUGGAUCCCAUCUCUGAUUUCAUGGCCUCAAGCCAUUUUGCGGAAUCUGGGCUCAUCACCGCUUCCUCAUAGUUUGUAGGUUUGUCAUGGUCAAGUAACAUGACCUCCAGAACAGGAUUACCGUACCACUCUGGUGCGGAUCUUACUCUGCUUGACCUAUGAGGUUUGGUAGUAACUUGAUCUGAAGUUACAUGAUCAUCAUCAUUAGCUUCCUCACUAAUUGGUGUAGGAUUCACAGGAACAGUUUUCUGUGAUGAACUACUUUCCAAUAAGGGAGCAGGUACAUUUACCUCAUCAAGUUAUACUUUCAUCCCACUCACUUCUUUUGAGAGAAACUCCUUCUCUAGAAAGGAUCCAUUCUUAGCAACGAAUGUCUUGCCUUCGGAUCUGUGAUAGAAGGUGUACCCAACAGUCUCCUUUGGGUAUCCUAUGAAGACACAUUUCUCCGAUUUGGGUUCGAUCUUAUCAGGUUGAAGCUUUUUCACAUAAGCAUCGCAGCCCCAAACUUUAUGAAACGACAACUUUGGUUUCUUGCCAAACCAUAGUUCAUAAGGCGUCGUCUCAACGGAUUUAGAUGGUGCCCUAUUUAAUGUGAAUGCAGCCGUCUCUAAAGCAUAACCCCAAAAUGAUAGCGGUAAAUUGAUACGUCUCCAACGUAUCAAUAAUUUUUGAUUGCUCCAUGCUAUUAUAUAUUCUGUUUUGGAUGUUUAAUGGGCUUUAUUAUACACUUUCAUAUUAUUUUUGGGACUAAUCUAUUAACCCAAGGCCUAGUGCAAAUUGCUGUUUUUUUGCCUAUUUCAGUGUUUCGCAGAAAAGGAAUAUCAAACGGAGUCCAAACGGAAUGAAACCUUCGGGAGCGUGAUUUUUGGAACAAACAUGAUCCAGGGGACUUGGAGUGGACGUCAAGUAAUCAACGAGGAGGCCACGAGGCAGGGGCACGCCUACCACCCCUGGGCGCGCCCUCCACCCUCGUGGCUCCACCGACCUACUUCUUCCUCCUAUAUAUACCUACGUACCCCGAAACCAUCGAGGAGCACCACGAAAACCUAACUCCACCGCCGCAACCUUCUGUACCCGUGAGAUCCCAUCUUGGGGCCUUUUCUGGCGCUCCGCUGGAGGGGGCAUCGAUCACGGAGGGCUUCUACAUCAACACCAUAGCCUCUCCGAUGAUGUGUGAGUAGUUUACCACAGACCUUCGGGUCCAUAGUUAUUAGCUAGAUGACUUCUUCUCUCUCUUUGGAUCUCAAUACAAAGUUCUCCUCGAUCUUCUUGGAGAUCUAUUCGAUGUAACUCUUUUUGCGGUGUGUUUUUCGAGAUCCGAUGAAUUGUGGGUUUAUGAUCAAGAUUAUCUAUGAACAAUAUUUGAAUCUUCUCUGAAUUAUUUUAUGUAUGAUUGGUUAUCUUUGCAAGUCUCUUCGAAUUAUCAAUUUGGUUUGGCCUACUAGAUUGAUCUUUCUUGCCAUGGGAGAAGUGCUUAGCUUUGGGUUCAAUCAUGCGGUGCUCGAUCCCAGUGACAGUAGGGGAAACGACACGUAUUGUAUUGUUGCCAUCGAGGAUAAAAAGAUGGGGUUUAUAUCAUAUUGCUUGAGUUUAUCCCUCUACAUCUUGUCAUCUUGCCUAAUGCGUUACUCUGUUCUUAUGAACUUAAUACUCUAGAUGCAUGCUGGAUAGCGGUCGAUGUGUGGAGUAAUAGUAGUAGAUGCAGGCAGGAGUCGGUCUACUUGUCACGGACGUGAUGCCUAUAUACAUGAUCAUGCCUAGAUAUUCUCAUAAUUAUGCACUUUUCUAUCAAUUGCUCGACAGUAAUUUGUUCACCCACCAUAAUACUUAUGCUAUCUUGAGAGAAGCCACUAGUGAAACCUAUGGCCCUCGGGUCUAUUUUCCAUCAUAUUAAUCUCCCGUCAACAAGCUAUUUCUGGCGCCGUUGCUUUUGCAAUCUUUACUUUUAAUCUUUAUCAUAAAAAUACCAAAAAUAUUAUCUUAUCAUCUCUAUCAGGUCUCACUUUUGCAAGUGGCCAGGAAGGGAUUUACAACCCCUUUAUCGCGUUGGUUGCAAGGUUCUUAUUUGUUUGUGUAGGUACGAGGGACUUGCGUGUGGCCUCCUACUGGAUUGAUACCUUGGUUCUCAAAAACUGAGGGAAAUACUUACGCUACUUUGUUGCAUCACCCUUUCCUCUUCAAGGGAAAAACCAACGCAUGCUCAAGAGGUAGCAAGAAGGAUUUCUGGCGCCGUUGCCGGGGAGUCUAUGCACAAGUCAAGACAUACCAAGUAGCCAUCACCAACUCUUAUCCCUCGCAUUACAUUAUUUGCCAUUUGCCUCUCGUUUUCCUCUCCCCCACUUCACCCUUGCCAUUUUAUUCGCCCUCUCUUUCCGUUCGCCUCUUUUUCGCUUGCUUCUUGUUUGCUUGUGUGUUGGAUUGCUUGCUUGUCACGAUGGCUCAAGAUAAUACUAAAUUGUGUGACUUUGCCAAUACCAACAAUAAUGAUUUUCUUAGCACUCCGAUUGCUCCUCUUACCGAUGCUGAAUCUAGUGAAAUUAAUGCUGCUUUGCUGAAUCUUGUUAUGAAAGAUCAAUUCACCGGCCUUCCUAGUGAAUAUGCCGCUACCCAUCUAAAUAGCUUUGUUGAUUUGUGUGAUAUGCAAAAGAAGAAAGAUGUGGACAAUGAUAUUGUUAAAUUGAAGCUAUUUCCUUUUUUGCUUAGAGAUCGUGCCAAAACUUGGUUUUCGUCUUCGCCUAAAAAUAGCAUUGAUUCUUGGAAUAAGUGAAAAGAUGCUUUUAUCUCUAAAUAUUUUCCUCCCGCUAAGAUCAUUUCUCUUAGAAACGAUAUUAUGAAUUUUAAGCAACUUGAUCAUGAACAUGUUGCACAAGCUUGGGAGGGAAUGAAAUUAAUGAUAUGUAAUUGCCCUACACAUGGUUUGAAUUUAUGGAUGAUUAUACAAAUUUUUUAUGCCGGAUUGAAUUUUGCUUCUAGAAAUCUUUUAAAUUCGGCCGUGGGAGGCACUUUUAUGGAAAUAAUUUUAGGAGAAGCUACUAAACUCCUAGAUAAUAUUAUGGUUAAUUAUUCUCAAUGGCACACUGAAAGAUCUACUAGUAAAAAGGUGCAUGCAAUUGAAGAAAUUGAUGUUUUGAGUGGAAAGAUGGAUGAACUUAUGAAAUUAUUUGCUAAUAAGAGUGUUUCUUCUGAUCCCAAUGGUAUGCCUUUUUCUACUUUGAUUGAGAAUAAUAAUGAAUCUAUGGAUGUCAAUUUUGUUGGUAUGAACAAUUUUGGUAACAACGCUUAUAGAGGAAACUUUAAUCCUAGGCCGCAUCCUAGUAAUUCCUCUAAUAAUUAUGGUAAUUCCUACAACAACUCUAUGGAAAUUUUAAUAAGAUGCCCUCCUAUUUUGAGACUAGUGUUAAAGAAUUUAUGAUUUCUCAAAAGAAUUUCAAUGCCUUGCUUGAAGAAAAAUUGCCUAAGAUCGAUGAAUUGGCUAGGAACGUGGAUAGAAUUUCUCUUGAUGUUGAUUCUUUGAAACUUAGAUCUAUUCCACCUAAGCAUGAUAUCAAUGAGUCUCUCAAAGCCAUGAGAAUUUCCAUUGAUGAGUGGAAAGAAAGAACCGCUAGGAUGCGUGCUAAGAAAGAGUGCUUUGUAAAAGCGUCUUCUUCCAGUUUUCGUGAUAAUAAAGAUGAAGAUCUAAAAGUAAUUGAUGUGUCCCCUAUUAAAUCUCUGUUUUUCAAUAUGAAUCUUGGUAAUGAUGGGACUGGAUAUGAGUCAACUUUAGUUAAAAGGCGUCCCAAUGAUUCGGAGUUUUUAGAUCUUGAUGCAAAAUUUGGUAAAAAUGGGAUUGAAGAGGUCAAAACUUUACAUAGCAAUGAACCCACUAUAUUGGAUUUCAAGGAAUUUAAUUAUGAUAAUUGUUCUUUAAUAGAUUGUAUUUCCUUGUUGCAAUCCGUGCUAAAUUCUCCGCAUGCUUAUAGUCAAAACUUUACAUAGCAAUGAACCCACUAAACAUAGCGUUGAUGCUUUAAUGCAAUCUUAUGAAGAAAAACUUGAAUUGGAAGUUUCUAUCCCUAGAAAACUUUCUGAUGAGUUGGAACCUACUAUUAAAAUUAAAAUUAAAGAUCAUGAAUGCUAUGCUUUGUGUGAUUUGGGUGCUAGUGUUUCCACGAUUCCAAAAGCUUUGUGUGAUUUGUGGGGUUUCCGUGAAUUCGAUGAUUGUUCUUUAAACUUGCACCUUGCGGAUUCCAUCAUUAAGAAACCUAUGGGAAGAAUUAAUUAUGUUCUUAUUGUUGCAAAUAGGAAUUAUGUGCCCGUAGAUUUCAUUGUUCUCGACAUAGAUUGCAAUCCUACAUGUCCUAUUAUUCUUGGUAGACCUUUCUUUAGAACGAUUGGUGCAAUUAUUGAUAUGAAAGAAGGAAAUAUUAGAUUCCAAUUUCUGUUAAGGAAAGGCAUGGAACACUUUCCUAGGAAGAAAAUUAAAUUACCUUAUGAAUCUAUUAUGAGAGCCACUUAUGGAUUGCAUACCAAAGAUGAUAAUACCUAGAUCUAUUCUUGCCUUUAUGCCUAGCUAGGGGCGUUAAACGAUGGCGCUUGUUGGGAGGCAACCCAAUUUUAUUUCUUGAUUUUUGGUUCUGUUUAGGAAUAAAUAAUAUAUCUAGCUUCUGGUUAGAUGUAUUUUUGUGUUUUAUUUAGUGUUUGUGCCAAGUAGAACCUUUGGGAAGACUUGGGUGAAGUCUUUUUGAUCCUGCUGUAAAAAACAGAAACUUUAGCGCUCACGAGAUUAGCCACAAGUUUUUACUGGAGAGUGAUAUUUAGUUGAUUAUUUUUGAAGAUGAUUAAUAGAUAAAUUCCUCACGUCCAGAAAUUUAUUUUAGAAUUUUUGGAGUUCCAGAAGUUUGCGUUAGGUACAGAUUACUACAGACUGUUCUGUUUUUGACAGAUUCUGUUUUUCGUGUGUUGUUUGCUUAUUUUGAUGAAUCUAUGGCUAGUAAUGGAGUUUAUGAACCAUAGAGAAGUUGGAAUACAGUAGUUUUAACACCAAUAUAAAUAAAGAAUGAGUUCAUUACAGUACCUUGAAGUGGUGUUUUGUUUCUUUCGCUAACGGAGCUCACGAGAUUUUCUGUUAAGUUUUGUGUUGUGAAGUUUUCAAGUUUUGGGUAAAGAUUUGAUGGAUUAUGGAAAAAGGAGUGGCAAGAGCCUAAUCUUGGGGAUACCCAAGGCACCCCAAGGUAAAAUCUAAGGACAAUCCAAAAGCCUAAGCUUGGGGAUGCCCCGGAAGGCAUCCCCUCUUUUGUCGUCAUUCAUCGGUAACUUUACUUGGAGCUAUAUUUUUAUUCACCACAUGAUAUGUGUUUUGCAUGGAGCGUCUUGUAUGAUUUGAGUCUUUGCCUUUUUAGUUCACCACAAUCAUCCUUGCUGUACACACCUUUUGAGAGAGAUACACAUUAUUCGGGAUUUAUUAGAAUACUCUUUGUGCUUCACUUAUAUCUUUUGAGCUAAACAAUUUUGCUCUAGCAUUCACUUAUAUCUUUUAGAGCACGGUGGUGGUUAUAUUUUAUAGAAAUUAUUGAUCUCUCUUGCUUCACUUAUAUUAUUUUGAGAGUCCUUUAGAACAGCAUGGUAAUUUGCUUUGGUUAUCAAAUUAGUCCUAAUAUGAUAGGCAUCCAAGAUAAAAACUUUAAAGUGCAUUGAAUACUAAGGGAAGUUUGAUACUUGAUAGUUGUUUUGAGAUAUGGAGAUAGUGAUAUUGAAGUUGUGCUAGUUGAGUAGUUGUGAAUUUGAGAAAUACUUGUGUUGAAGUUUGCAAGUCCCGUAGCAUGCACGUAUGGUAAACGUUGUGUGACAAAUUUGAAACAUCAGGUGUACUUUGAUUGUCAUCCUUAUGAGUGGCGGUCGGGGACGAGCGACGGUCUUUUCCUACCAAUCUACCCCCCUAGGAGCAUGCGCUUAGUGCUUGGUUUUUUAUGACUUGUAGAUUUUUUCAAUAAGUAUAUGAGUUCUUUAUGACUAAUGUUGAGUCCAUGGAUUAUACACACUCUCAACCUUCCACCAUUGCUAGCCUCUUCGGUACCAUGCAUUGCCCUUUCUCACCUUGAGAGUUGGUGCAAACUUCGCCGGUGCAUCCAAACCCCGUGAUACGAUACGCUCUAUCACACAUAAACCUCCUUACAUCUUCCUCAAAACAGCCACCAUACCUACCUAUUAUGGCAUUUCCAUAGCCAUUCCGAGAUAUAUUGCCAUGCAACCUUCCACCGUUCCGUUUAUUAUGACACGCUUCAUCAUUGUCAUAUUGCCUUGCAUGAUCAUGUAGUUGACAUCGUAUUUGUGGCAAAGCCACCAUGCAUAUUAUGUCAUACAUGUCACUCUUGAUUCAUUGCCCAUCCCGGUACACCGCCAGAGGCAUUCAUAUAGAGUCAUACUUUUGUUCUAGUAUCGAGUUGUAAUCAUUGAGUUGUAAAUAAAUAGAGGUGUGAUGAUCAUUAUUAAUAGAGCAUUGUACCCCAAAAAGGAAAGGCCAAAUGAAAAAAAUAAGGCCCCGAAAAAAUAGAAAAUAUAAUAAAAAAGGGACAAUGCUACUAUCCUUUUUCCACACUUGUGCUUCAAAGUAGCACCAUGAUCUUUAUGAUAGAGAUUAUCUUGUUUUGUCACUUUAUUAUACUAGUGGGAAUUUUUCAUUAUAGAACUUGGCUUGUAUAUUCUAACGAUGGGCUUCCUCAAAUGCCCUAGGUCUUCAUGAGCAAGCAAGUUGGAUGCACACCCACUUAGCUUAUUUUGUUGAACUUUCAUACAUUUAUAGCUCUAGUGCAUCUGUUGCAUGGAAAUGCCUACUCCUUGCAUUGACAUCAAUUGAUGGGCAUCUCCCUAGCCCGUUGAUUAGCCGCGUCAAUGUGAUACUUUCUCUUUUUUUGUCUUCUCCACACAACCCCCAUCAUCAUUAUUCCAUUCCACCCAUAGUGCUAUAUCCAUAGCUCACGCUCAUGUAUUGCAUGAAAGUUGAAAAAAGUUUGAGAUUACUAAAGUAUGAAACAAUUGCUUGGCUUGUCAUCGGGGUUGUGCAAUAUGAGAGCAUCUUGUGUGACGAAAAUGAAGCAUGGCCCAACUAUAUGAUUUUGUAGGGAUGAGCUUUCUUUUCCUAUGUUAUUUUGAGAAGACAUAAUUGCUUGAUUAGUAAGCUUGAAGUAUUAUUAUUUUGAUGUUAAUAUUAAACUUUUAUCUAGAAUCUUUCGGAUCUGAACAUUCAUGCCACAAUAAAGAAAAUUACAUUGAAGAAUGUGCUAAGUAGCAUUCCACAUCAAAAAUUCUGUUUUUAUCAUUUACCUACUCGAGGACGAGCAGGAAUUAAGCUUGGGGAUGCUUGAUACGUCUCCAACGUAUCUAUAAUUUUUGAUUGCUCCAUGCUAUUAUAUAUUCUAUUUUGGAUGUUUAAUGAGCUUUAUUAUACACUUUCAUAUUAUUUUUGGGACUAACCUAUUAACCCAAGGCCCAGUGCAAAUUGCUGUUUUUUUGCCUAUUUCAGUGUUUCGCAGAAAAGGAAUAUCAAACGGAAUGAAACCUUCGGGAGCGUGAUUUUUGGAACAAACGUGAUCCAGAGGACUUGGAGUGGACGUAAAGCAAUCGACAAGGAGGCCACGAGGAAGGGGGCGCGCCUACCCCCCUGGGCGCGCCCUCCACCCUCGUGGGCCCCUCGUGGCUCCACCAACCUACUUCUUCCUCCUAUAUAUACCUACGUACCCCGAAACCAUCGAGGAGCACCACGAAAACCUAACUCCACCGCCGCAACCUUCUGUACCCAUGAGAUCCCAUCUUGGGGCCUUUUCCAGCGCUCCGCCGGAGGGGGCAUCGAUCAUGGAGGGCUUCUACAUCAACACCAUAGCCUCUCCGAUGAUGUGUGAGUAGUUUACCACAGACCUUCGGGUCCAUAGUUAUUAGCUAGAUGGCUUCUUCUCUCUCUUUGGAUCUCAAUACAAAGUUCUCCUCGAUCUUCUUGGAGAUCUAUUUGAUGUAACUCUUUUUGCCGUGUGUUUGUUGAGAUCCGAUGAAUUGUGGGUUUAUGAUCAAGAUUAUCUAUGAACAAUAUUUGAAUCUUCUCUGAAUUCUUUUAUGUAUGAUUGGUUAUCUUUGCAAGUCUCUUUGAAUUAUCAGUUUGGUUUGGCCUACUAGAUUGAUCUUUCUUGCCAUGGGAGAGGUGCUUAGCUUUGGGUUCAAUCAUGCGGUGCUCGAUCCCAGUGACAGUAGGGGAAACGACACGUAUUGUAUUGUUGCCAUCGAGGAUAAAAAGAUGGGGUUUAUAUCAUAUUGCUUGAGUUUAUCCCUCUACAUCAUGUCAUCUUCCCUAAUGCGUUACUCUGUUCUUAUGAACUUAAUACUCUAGAUGCAUGCUGGAUAGCGGUCGAUGUGUGGAGUAAUAGUAGUAGAUGCAGGCAGGAGUCGGUCUACUUGUCACGGACGUGAUGCCUAUAUACAUGAUCAUGCCUAGAUAUUCUCAUAAUUAUACACUUUUCUAUCAAUUGCUCGACAGUAAUUUGUUCACCCACCGUAAUACUUAUUCUAUCUUGAGAGAAGCCACUAGUGAAACCUAUGGCCCCCGGGUCUAUUUUCCAUCAUAUUAAUCUCCCGUCAACAAGCUAUUUCUGGCGCCGUUGCUUUUGCAAUCUUUACUUUUAAUCUUUAUCAUAAAAAUACCAAAAAUAUUAUCUUAUCAUCUCUAUCAGAUCUCACUUUUGCAAGUGGCCGUGAAGGGAUUGACAACCCUUUUAUCGCGUUGGUUGCAAGGUUCUUAUUUGUUUGUGUAGGUACGAGGGACUUGCGUGUGGCCUCCUACUGGAUUGAUACCUUGGUUCUCAAAAACUGAGGGAAAUACUUACGCUACUUUGCUACAUCACCCUUUCCUCUUCAAGGGAAAAACCAACGCAUGCUCAAGAGGUAGCAUAAAUCAGUAAGAGACAUCAUAGAUCGCACCAUAUCUAGUAAAGUACAAUUACGACGUUCGGACACACCAUUACGCUGUGGUGUUCCGGGUGGGGUGAGUUGCGAAACUAUUCCGAUUGUUUCAAAUAAAGACCAAACUCGCAACUCAAAUAUUCUCCUCCAUGAUCAGAUCGUAGAAACUUUAUUUUCUUGUUACGAUGAUUUUCCACUUCACUCUGAAAUUCUUUGAACUUUUCAAAUGUUUCAGACUUAUGUUUCAUCAAGUAGAUAUACCCAUAUCUGCUCAAAUCAUCUGUGAAGGUGAGAAAAUAAUGAUACCCGCCGCGAGCCUCAACAUUCAUUGGACCACAUACAUCAGUAUGUAUGAUUUCCAACAAAUAUGUUGCUCGCUCCAUUGUUCCGGAGAACGGCGUUUUAGUCAUCUUGCCCAUGAGGCAUGGUUCGCAAGUACCAAGUGAUUCAUAAUCUAGUGAUUCCAAAAGUCCAUCAGAAUGGAGUUUCUUCAUGCGCUUUACACCAAUAUGACCUAAAUGGCAGUGCCACAAAUAAGUUGCACUAUCAUUAUCAACUCUGCAUCUUUUGGCUUCAAUAUUAUGAAUAUGUGUAUCACUAUUAUCGAGAUUAAAAAAGAAUAGACCACUCUUCAAGGGUGCAUGACCAUAAAAGAUAUUACUCAUAUAAAUAGAACAACCAUUAUUCUCUGAUUUAAAUGAAUAACCGUCUCGCAUCAAACAAGAUCCAGAUAUAAUGUUCAUGCUGACACUAGCACCAAAUAAGAAUUAUUCAGGUCUAAAACUAAUCCCGAAGGUAGAUGUAGAGGUAGCGUGCCGACCGCGAUCACAUCGACUUUGGAACCAUUUCCCACGCGCAUCGUCACCUCGUCCUUAGCCAAUCUUCGCUUAACCCGUAGUCCCUGUUUCGAGUUGCAAAUAUUAGCAACAGAACCAGUAUCAAAUACCCAGGCACUACUACGAGAAUCAGUAAGGUACACAUCAAUAACAUGUAUAUCACAUAUACCUUUGUUCACCUUGCCAUCCUUCUUAUCCGCCAAAUACUUGGGGCAGUUCCGCUUCCAGCCAGUCCCUUUGCAGUAGAAGCACUCAGUCUCAGGCUUAGGUCCAGACUUGGGCUUCUUCACUUGAGCAGCAACUUGCUUGCCGUUCUUCUUGAAGUUCCCCUUCUUCCCUUUACCCUUUUUCUUGAAACUGGUGGUCUUGUUGACCAUCAACACUUGAUGCUCCUUCUUGAUUUCUACCUCCGCAGCCUUUAGCAUUGCGAAGAGCUCGGGAAUUGUCUUAUCCAUCCCUUGCAUAUUAUAGUUCAUCACGAAGCUCUUGUAGCUUGGUGGUAGUGAUUGAAGAAUUCUGUCAAUGACACUAUCAUCCGGAAGAUUAACUCCCGGUUGAAUCAAGUGAUUGUUACACCCAGACAUUUUGAGUAUAUGCUCACUGACAGAACUAUUCUCCUCCAUCUUGCAGUUGUAGAACUUAUUGGAGACUUCAUAUCUCUCAAUCCGGGCAUUUGCUUGAAAUAUUAACUUCAACUCCUGGAACAUCUCAUAUGCUCCAUGACGUUCAAAACGUCGUUGAAGUCCCGGUUCUAAGCCGUAAAGCAUGGCACACUGAACUAUCGAGUAGUCAUCAGCUUUGCUCUGCCAGAUGUUCAUAACAUCUGGCGUUGCUCCUGCAGUGGGUUUGGCACCUAGCGGUGAUUCCAGGACGUAAUUCUUCUGUGCAGCAAUGAGGAUAAUCCUCAAGUUAUGGACCCAGUCCGUGUAAUUGCUACCAUCAUCUUUCAACUUUGCUUUCUCAAGGAACGCAUUAAAAUUCAACGGAACUAUAGCACGGGCCAUCUAUCUACAACAACAUAGACAUGCAAAAUACUAUCAGGUACUAAGUUCAUGAUAAAUUAAAGUUCAAUUUAUCAAAUUACUUAAGAACUCCCACUUAGAUAGACAUCCCUCUAAUCAUCUAAGUGAUCACGUGAUCCAUAUCAACUAAACCAUGUCCGAUCAUCACGUGAGAUGGAGUAGUUUUCAAUGGUGAACAUCACUAUGUUGAUCAUAUCUACUAUAUGAUUCACGCUCGACCUUUCGGUCUCAGUGUUCCGAGGCCAUAUCUGCAUAUGCUAGGCUCGUCAAGUUUAACCCGAGUAUUCUGCGUGUGCAAAACUGGCUUGCACCCAUUGUAUGUGAACGUAGAGCUUAUCACACCCGAUCAUCACGUGGUGUCUCAGCACGACGAACUUUCGCAAUGGUGCAUACUCAGGGAGAACACUUAUACCUUGAAAUUUAGUGAGAUAUCAUCUUAUAAUGCUACCGUUGAUCUAAGCAAAAUAAGAUGCAUAAAAGAUAAACAUCACAUGCAAUCAAUAUAAGUGAUAUGAUAUGGCCAUCAUCAUCUUGUGCCUUUGAUCUCCAUCUCCAAAGCACCGUCAUGAUCACCAUCGUCACCGGCGCGACACCUUGAUCUCCAUCGUAGCAUCGUUGUUGUCUCGCCAACUAUUGCUUCUACGACUAUCGCUACCGCUUAGUGAUAAAGUAAAGCAAUUACAUGGCUAUUGCAUUUCAUACAAUAUUUCAUACAAUAAAGCAACAACCAUAUGGCUCCUGCCAGUUGCCGAUAACUCGGUUACAAAACAUGAUCAUCUCAUACAAUAAAAUUUAGCAUCAUGUCUUGACCAUAUCGAAUCACAACAUGCCCUACAAAAACAAGUUAGACGUCCUCUACUUUGUUGUUGCAAGUUUUACGUGGCAUCUACGGGUUGAGCAAGAACCGUUCUUACCUACGCAUCAAAACCACAACGAUAUUUCGUCAAGUAUGUGAUGUUUUAACCUUCACAAGGACCGGGCGUAGCCACACUCGAUUCAACUAAAGUUGGAGAAAAUGUCACCCGCGAGCCACCUGUGUGCGAAGCACGUCGGUAGAACCAGUCUCGCGUAAGCGUGCGCGUAAUGUCGGUCCGGGCCGCUUCAUCCAACAAUACCGCUGAAUCAAAGUGUGACAUGCCGGUAAGCAGUAUGACUUGUAUCGCCCACAACUCACUUCUGUUCUACUCGUGCAUAUAACAUCUACGCAUAAACCUAGCUCGGAUGCCACUGUUGGGGAACGUAGUAAUUUCAAAAAAAAUCCUACGCACACGCAAGAUCAUGGUGAUGCAUAGCAACGAGAGGGGAGAGUGUCGUCCACGUACCCUCGUAGACCGACAGCGGAAGCGUUAUCACAACGCGGUUGAUGUAGUCGAACGUCUUCACGAUCCGACCGAUCAAGUACCGAACGCACGGCACCUCCGAGUUCAGCACACGUUCAGCUCGGUGACGUCCCACGAACUCACGAUCCAGCAGAUCUUCGAGGGAGAGUUCCGUCAGCACGACCGCAUGAUGACGGUGAUGAUGAUGCUACCGAUGCAGGGCUUCGCCUAAGCACCGCUACGAUAUGACCGAGGUGGAUUAUGGUGGAGGGGGCCACCGCACAUGGCUAAAAGAUCAACUGAUCAACUUGUGUGCCUAUGGGGUGCCCCCUCCCCUGUAUAUAAAGGAGUGGAGGAGGGGAAGGGGCCGGCCCUCCUAGGCGCGCCCCAAGGGGAGUCCUACUCCCACCGGGAGUAGGACUCCAACCGUUCCAAGAGUAGGAGUAGGAGAGAGGGAAGGAGGAGAGAGGGGGAGGAAAGGGGGCGCCCCCCUCCUUGUCCAAUUCGGACUAGAGGGGGGGUGCGCGGCCUGCCCUGGCCGCCCCUCCUCUUCACUCCCCGGGGAGUUCUGGUAACCCCCCGGUACUCCGGUAUUUGUCCGAACUUGCCCGGAACCCUUCCGAAGUCCAAACAUAGUCAUCCAAUAUAUCGAUCUUUAUGUCUCGACCAUUUAGAGACUCCUCGUCAUGUCCGUGAUCAUAUCUGGGACUCCAAACUACCUUCGGUACAUCAAAACACAUAAACUCAUAUUACCGAUCAUCACCGAAAGUUAAGCAUGCGGACCCUACGGGUUCGAGAACUAUGUAGACAUGACCGAGACUUGUCUUCGGUCAAUAACCAAUAGCGGAACCUGGAUGCUCAUAUUGGCUCCUACAUGUUCUACGAAGAUCUUCAUCGGUCAAACCGCAUAACAUACGUUGUUCAUCGGUAUCUCAAUACUUAGUUCAAUCUCAUUACCGGCAAGUCUCUUUACUCGUUCCGUAAUACAUCAUCCCGCAACUAACUCAUCAGUUGCGUUGCUUGCAAGGCUUAUAGUGAUGUGCAUUACCGAGAGGGCCCAGAGAUACCUCUCUGACAAUCGGAGUGACAAAUCCUAAUCUCGAUCUAUGCCAACUCAACAAGUACCAUCGGAGACACUUGUAGAGCACCUUUAUAAUCACCCAGUUAUGUUGUGACGUUUGGUAGCACACAAAGUGUUCCUCUGGUAUUCGGGAGUUGCAUAAUCUCAUAGUCAUAGGAACAUGUAUAAGUCAUGAAGAAAGCAAUACCAAUAUACUAAACGAUCAAAUGCUAAGCUAACGGAAUGGGUCAAGUCAAUCACAUCAUUCUCUAAUGAUGUGAUCCCGUUAAUCAAAUGACAACUCAUGUCUAUGGCUAGGAGACUUAACCAUCUUUGAUUCAACGAGCUAGUCAAGUAGAGGCAUACUAGUGACACUUAGUUUGUCUGUAUAUUCACACACGUACUAAGUUUCCGGUUAAUACAAUUCUAGCAUGAAUAAUAAACAUUUAUCAUGAUAUAAGGAAAUAUAAAUAACAACUUUAUUAUUGCCUCUAGGGCAUAUUUCCUUCACGCACUCCCGACGCCCUCGUCGAAAGCCUGUGUACUACUCCGCCGCUUCGCAUCAACCAUGGUUGCCUGCCCCGCUGGAAUCCGCACCGGCACUUGGUCCCCCGAGGCACUCGGUCUCACCGGCCAUGUCGCGGAUCUCCCUGAACGGGUGUCAUGCCUAUCCUUGAAGCACAUUCUAAUGCUCAUUUUACUAGUAAAUUCGGAAACCGUAAAAGGAACUUCCGAAAAUUCAAGGGAAAAUUGAAAAAGAACAAUGGUCAGAAGACCAACGGUCAAAUUAAGGGGAAGGUCAUUUCAAGAAAAAUGAUCAUAUGACUUCUCUCAAACUUGUCAAAGGUGUGGAUGCAUGAAUCAUUGUACUAAUCAAUGUCGAAUUCCCAAGCACCUUGUGGAUCUGUACAUGAAGUACGGUGGAAAAGGCAAACAAGUUCAUGGAAAUAAAGCUGAAGCUCACUUCAACGCCAUUCAAGUGUAACACCCCGAGAAUCAUGCUACAGUAACUCUCUGUGAUUAAGCUAAUCAUGUCGCUAAACAGGGCUUGAUCACAUUGGAAUCACAUUUCUUUUCAAACUCCUAAUCCAAACUUCAAUUAAAUUUAAAAGUGGAAAAUAAAAGUUUUCAAAAAUUUAAACAAAAAUGUUCGGGCCAUGUCAAUUAUUGCAUCGGUAAUUAUGGUGAAGUAAUCACAUUUUUAUAAAAUGCCUAAAUGCUUUUAAAUGAAUUAAAAUAGAAAAGAAAAUAAAUAAAUAAAGAGAAAACAGAACAAAAAGAAAAAGAAAACAAACAAGAAAAAGGAACCCCCCCUUCCCCCACUGGACCCUGGCCCAACUGGGCCGACCCCAGGCCCAGCCGGCCUAGCCCACCUCCCCGGGUCGCCCUCCCCUUCCCUGUUCCCCUGACCGGGGUCGGAACAGGGGCAGGUCCCUGCCGCACCACCUCGCCCGCGACGGGGGAGGAUAAGGCCGCCCCGACGCCUCGGCCUCCGCCCAUCCCUCCCACUUGCCCCUCUCGCUCGCCUCUGCGCCCCCCUCCCCCAGAUCCACCUCUCCCCUCACCCUCUCCUUCGUUCUGGAGAGGAGACCGACGCGGUCGCCGCCGUUCUCCAUCAUUCACGCGGCCACCGAGCCCCGUUCCCCUCCCCGACGUGUCCACGAGCUCCGCCGCGUCGAGCCCGUCCUCCCCGACCACCUGCUCGAGCCGGGACCCCUACAUCACCCUCCAACGCCGUCGCCUUCUUCCUCGGGUCGCCGCCGUCUUCUUCGACUCCGGCGACUGCUGCUGCUAUUAAGCCACCCACGGGCCUUUCUUGCGCCGCGCGGUGAGCCCCUCAUCCUCUCCCCUCGCUCUCCUGGCCUCUUGAGCUCUUGUAGCCGCUGCUCUGCUUGCGCCCGAACGCGUCGCCGCGGAGCUCGCCGCCGGCAAGGCUCCGGUGACCUUUUGGUCACGGGCUCAAGCCCGUUGCACUCCCCACGGCGCGUAGAUGCUCCCCAGCCCCUCCGCUUGCUCGAUAGCACGCCAUAGCCCCGUUUCCGUCGGGCACCCGUGCACGCCGCCGCCUCCGCCGCUCGCCGGCGCCGAUUCCGGCCAAGUCCGGCGAAGCUACGGCCACCACCGGAUGCGGCGCUGCGAGCUCCUUCGAAUGAGCCUAGCCCCGCUCCUCCCCGAGCCCCGUAGCGCGAUUCCGGCCAACUCCGGCGAGGGGCCGCCUCUGUUUUGGUCGCCGAAGUCGCUCCGGCGCCGGCCGCCGACGUGGCUGGCCUGGGGCCACCCUAGAGCCACUGGCAGUGGGCCCCGUGGGUCCCAGUUGACUGGGCAGGCCCCAGUCAACUGCUGACUGGGCAGGCCUCACCACUUAAUCCGAUAAUUAAAACGUUUUAAUAAUUAAAACUAAUUAGUUUAGGUAAUUAGACUAUGACAGGUGGGGUCCAGUAGUUAAUUAAUCUAAUUUUAGUUAAUUUAAUCUUCUGAUUAGACCACUGUCUAUGACAGGUAGGACCCACCUGUCUGGUUUGACUGGUCAGCCGACCUGUUGACCUGCUGACGUCAGCAUUACCUCAUGCCGACGUCAUAAUUCAUUUUUGCUAAAUUCAAAUAAUUCCAGAAAUUCAAAUAAUCUUCAAAAAUUCAUACCUUUUAAACCGUAACUCGGAUGAAAAUGUUUUCUACAUGAAAGUUGCUCAGAACGACGAGACGAAUCUGGAUAUGCAGUCUGUUCGUCCACCACACCUCCCUAACCUAUCGAACCCGCAACUUUCCCCCUCCGGUCCAUCUGUUCGAAAACGCAAAACAUCGGGAAUACUUUCCCGGACGUCCCCCCCUUCGCCGGUACCACCUACUGUCGCGUUAGGACACACCUCGCACUGCUCAUUGUCAUGUCACGCAUCGUCUUGCUUAUGUUUGCAUGGUAUUUACUGUUUCUCCCCCCUCUUCUCUCCGGUAGACUACGAGACUGACGCUGCUGCUGCCCAGUUCGACUACGGAGUCGACGACCCCUCCUACUUGCCAGAGCAACCAGGCAAGCCCCCCCCUUGAUCACCAGAUAUCGCCUAUUCUUCUCUAUACUGCUUGCAUUAGAGUAGUGUAGCAUGUUACUGCUUUUCGAUAUCCUAUCCUGAUGCAUAGCCUAUCCUUGCUACUACUGUUGAUACCUUUACCUGCAAUCCUACAUGCUUAGUAUAGGAUGCUAGUUUUCCAUCAGUGGCCCUACAUUCUUGUCCGUCUGCUGUGCUAUACUAUCGGGCCGUGAUCACCUGGGCGGUGAUCACGGGUAUAUACUAUAUACAUUAUAUACAUGACACAUGUGAUGACUAAAGUCGGGUCGGCUCGUAGGAGUACCCGCGAGUGGAUCUUGGUGACGAAGCGACAGGGCAGGUUGAGACCGCCUAGGUGAGAGGUGGGCCUGGCCCUGGUCGGCGUUCGCGGUUACUUAACACGCUUAACGAGAUCUUGGUAUUUGAUCUGAGUCUGGCCAUUUGGUCUAUACGCACUAACCAUCUACGUGGGAGUAGUUAUGGGUAUCCCGACGUCGUGGUAUCAGCCGAAGCUCUUUUGACGUCAGCGACUGAGUGGCGCGCGCCGCAUUGGACCGUAAGCUCGCGCUUGUAUUAAGGGGGCUAGGUCUGCUUCCGGCCGCGUACGCAACGUGCAGGUGUGCAUAGGGCGAUGGGCCCAGACCCCUGCGUGCAUAGGUUUAGACCGGCGUGCUGACCUCUCUGUUGAGCCUAGGUGGGGCUGCGACGUGUUGAUCUUACGAGGCCGGGCAUGACCCAGAAAAGUGUGUCCGGCCAAAUGGGAUCGAGCGUGUUGGGUUAUGUGGUGCACCCCUGCAGGGAAGUUUAUCUAUUCGAAUAGCCGUGUCCCUCGGUAAAAGGACGACCCGGAGUUGUACCUUGACCUUAUGACAACUAGAACUGGAUACUGAAUAAAAUACACCCUUCCAAGUGCCAGAUACAACCCGGUGAUCGCUCUCUAACAGGGCGACGAGGAGGGGAUCGCCGGGUAGGAUUAUGCUAUGCGAUGCUACUUGGAGGACUUCAAUCUACUCUCUUCUACAUGCUGCAAGAUGGAGAUGACCAGAAGCGUAGUCUUCGACAGGACUAGCUAUCCCCCUCUUAUUCUGGCUUUCUGCAGUUCAGUCCACUGAUAUGCCCCUUUACACAUAUACCCAUGCAUAUGUAGUGUAGCUCCUUGCUUGCGAGUACUUUGGAUGAGUACUCACGGUUGCUUCUCUCCCUCUUUUCCCCCCUUUCCUUCCUAUCUGGUUGUCGCAACCAGAUGUUGGAGUCCAGGAGCCAGACGCCACCGUCGUCGACGACACCUACGACACUGGAGGUGCCUACUACUACGUGCAGGCCGCUGACGACGACCAGGAGUAGUUAGGAGGAUCCCAGGCAGGAGGCAUGUGCCUCGUUCGAUCUGUAUCCCAGUUUGUGCUAGCCUUCUUAAGGCAAACUUGUUUAACCUAUGUCUGUACUCAGAUAUUGUUGCUUCCGCUGACUCGUCUGUGAUCAAGCACUUGUAUUCGAGCCCUCGAGGCCCCUGGCUUGUAUUAUGAUGCUUGUAUGACUUAUUUAUGUUGUAGAGUUGUGUUGUGAUAUCUUCCCGUGAGUCCCUGAUCGUGAUCGUACACAUUUGCGUGCAUGAUUAGUGUACGGUCAAAUCGGGGGCGUCACAUCAAGAUAACCCUCAAGUUGGUCCUUCUCAAAGCACUAUUCAAGUAUACAAGCCAAAGGACAAUAUCAUCGUCGAUGAAGACAUGCUUGUGGAUUACACCCAAGAUGUUUUUGGAGACCUCAGUUAAUCUCCAUAAAAGUUGAUGUCACUUAGCUAUUUAAAAACUACAAGAUGUUAUAUAUUGUAUAACAAUAAGUAGAAUAAAGUCUUUCAGACUAUGUAUAUUGUAUUAUGUGAAUCAAACAUAAUAUUGUAAUGAAUUUAUAUUUAAUAUUGUAAUAUAAAUAUUGUGUAUGUAAUCUGAUGAAUAUAUGAAUAGAAGUAUAUUUAUUCUAAAAUAUUCUCUUUCUAUCUAUAGAACUUUUACGGGAACAAUCCGAUGGAAGAAGAGUUAUGUUUAGUGGAUAGUGCUACCACUAACACAAUUUUAAGGGAAGCAAAAUAUUUCCAAACUCUUACUGGAAUAGGUAUGAUGAGAAAAAUUAUAAGUAAUUCUGUUGGUUAUAAUUUACCAAUUAAAAGAUUUCCCAAAUCAUCAGAUUUUGUAUGCACCGCCUGUGCUACCGGAAAAUUAAUUAUUAAGCCAUCUUACCUUAAAGUUAAAAAUGAGUCACUUAAUUUUCUUGAAAGAAUUCAAGGAGAUAUAUGUGGUCCAAUACAACCUCUAUCUGGACCAUUUAGGUUACUUCAUGGUGCUAAUCGAUGCAUCUACUAGAUGGUCACAUGUGUGUCUAUUAUCCACACGUAACCAUGCUUUUGCCAAAUUAAUUGCUCAAAUUAUCAAAUUGAGAGCGAAUCAUCCUGAACACAGGAUAAAAACAAUAAGAAUGGACAAUGCUGCUGAAUUUAGUUCACGCGCGUUUAAUGAUUAUUGUAUGGCUUUAGGAAUCCAUCUAGAACAUUGAGUACCCUAUGUUCAUACUCAAAAUGGAAUGGCUGAAUCUUUAAUCAAAAGAGUAAAAUUAAUUGCUAGACCAUUCUUACAUAAUUGCAAUUUACCAACCUCUUGUUGGGGAUUUUACAUGCCGCGGAUCUGAUACAAGUCAGACCAACUGCAUAUCAUGAAACCUCCCCAUUUCAAAUAGUACGUGGCAAUCACCCAAGUAUUUCCAAACUGCGAAAAUUCGGUUGCGAUGUAUAUUUACCGAUAUCACCACCGUAGCGUACCUCUAUGGGCCCCCAUAGAAAAUUAGGAAUCUAUGUGGGAUAUAUUUCUCCGUCAAUUAUAAAAUAUUUAGAACCCCUAACAGGGGACCUGUUCACAACCCGGUAUGCUGAUUUAAUUUUUGAUGAGGAUCAUUUCCCGACAUUAGGGGGAGAAACAAACCACAAAGAAUGUCAGGAAAUAGAUUGGAAUGUUACAGGCAUUCAGUCCUUAGAUCCACGUACUAACGAAUCUGAAUCUGAAGUUCAGAAAAUUAUAGAUUUGCAACACUUUGCAAAUAACCUACCAGACGCAUUUACUGAUCACAAAGGUGUCACUAAAUCUUGGGGAUUUUGAUUUGUUGCCACGACUUAUUUGGGACAUUGACAAUUUGCCAUUGUCUACUUUGCAAUUGAUAUUUUACCACUUCUUAGUUGGAACUUUGAGGAUUUGCCCUUGCCCACGUGCAAUACCGAAUUUGCCCAUGUUCUCAAUUGGCCGAGCAUGCAGAGAGCUCUUCCUGUUCGUUCAUUCCUGUCAGAGCUGCUAUACUGAUUAUUUCAUGAGAGUAUGGCGAGCAUGCAAGCAGCUGGUCGAUUCUUCUAUGAUAGCAAACGAGGUUUUUUUCUAUGCUAAUACACAUCACUGAUUGCUCCUGCUCCAAGAGCCAGGAUUAUGCAUCACAUCAGCUGCCAUUCGUUCAGAGCACAAGAGUCUACGCGGCUGGCCAGAACGGAGGCACAAGACGUGAGCAGCACCAACGGCACUAUGUGUGACGGCGACGACCAGAAGCAACUGUUGUAGCACUAGUAUGCGGGCGAGGAAGAGCAGGAUGGGGCAGGCGGGUGUCCCUGGCGAACUGAGUAGCAGGGAGCGGCGGAUGGAAGUGGCUGAACGGCUCGGCGGUAGCCUAAAGCACUCUCCGGUGCUCCCUAGCCGUUGCGGUGCACUCGCCGGCGCCGUUCCCGCUCCCUAGCCGCUGCGGUGCGCUCGGCACCGCACAGGUCCUCUCUGCAGGGGCCGCCCGGGAGCAACAAAGGCGACAACGGCGGGGCAGUAUCAGUAUGGGCGGCGGCGGCUGAGUUACGAGUUAGGGUUCAUCCUAAUUUGGGAGGAGGCUGUGCAGUCAAACAGGUAAAAGGGUAGUUUUGUCCUCUGUUUUGUGCACUUAUUCUGUCUCUCAUUUACAUAGAUUGUUUUUGUGUUGAAAAGUGGCAAAAAAUCAAAACGCAAACUAAGAAGUGUCACCAGAUCAAUUUCAGUGUAAUGAGUGGCAAAAUGUCAAAGUCCAAAGUAACUAAUGGCAAAUAAUCAAAUCGCCCCUAAAUCUCAUAUCUAUGCAGUUAAUGCACCAGAACGAGUAGAGGUACCAAAUAAAACUACUCAACCCCCAAUUGCAAAUAAAAGGGGGAGAAAUCUGGUCAGUGGGGAAAAGGCUUCUCUAAAGCCUCCGCGGAAACAAAGAAAAUUAAAAUCUAUGACGGUAAAUGCAAAUCAACCUCAAGUUGAUGGACACCAAAUAGAUGUUCAACAUCAAGAACCCAACAUAAAUGUGCACACAAAUUAUAAUGUUGGGAUAUCGAAACAAUCAGGCUAUGUUGUUAUGGGAAAUCACACAGUGCCUGAAGAAAUUAAUGAAAUAUCCAUAAAUUAUAUUAAUUCAAGAGAAACUUAUAAUAGAAACACUACAUUUGUCGACACGGAUUUCUCCUCGAAAAUUGUUGGAACCCUUCAACUGGAUCCAGAGCCAAAAUCUAUGAAAGAGUUCCUCAAACGCUCCGAUUGGCCUAAAUGGAAAGAGGCAAUUAAGGCAGAAUUAUGAUCGCUUAGUAAAAAAAGAGGUAUUUUCUAAAAUAAUACUACUCCUCAUAAAGUCCUCCCUUUGGGAGUAAAAUGGGUUUUUGUUCAAAAAAGGAACGAAAACAAUGAGGUGGGGAGAUACAAAGCGAGACUAGUAGCUCAAGGGUUUACGCAGAGACCCGGUAUCAACUACGACGAUACAUAUUCUCCUGUAAUGAAUGAAAAUACAUUUCGAUACUUAAUAUCUUUGGCAGUACAAAUGAAUCUAUCAAUGCAGUUAAUGGAUGUAGUGACCGCUUAUCUAUAUGGGUCACUUGAUGCGGAAAUUUAUAUGAAAGUUCCUGAUGGACUUAAAAUUCCGAAUCCAAAUAUAAAUCGCAACAUGUAUUGUGUAAAACUACAAACGUCACUCUAUGGCUUGAAGCAGUCGGGUAAAUUGUGGUAUAACUGACUAAGUGAGUUCCUUCUCAGUAAAGGAUACUCGAAUGACAAUGAUUGCCCAUGCGUAUUUAUAUGUUGAUGAUCUCAACAUCAUUGGCAACGCAUCAGAUAUAACUGUAGCACACAAUCAUUUAAUGAUGGAGUUUGCGAUGAAAGAUUUGGGAAGAACCAAAUUCUGCUUACGUAUACAACUUGAGCAUUUUCCCCUAGGAAUACUCGUUUAUCAACCCACUUACAUUCAGAUAAUUUUGGAAAAAAUCAACAUGGAUAAACCAUAUCCAUCCAAAACACUAUGGUCGUCUGAUCCCUUGAUAUGAAGAAGGAUCCUUUUAGACCUAGGGAUGAUAAUGAGGAGGUAUUGGGACCUGAGUUCCCAUACCUUAGUGCCAUAGGAGAACUAAUGUACCUUGCAAAUUGUACUAGACCAGACAUUGCCUUUGCAGUAAAUUUACUGGCUCGACAUAGUGCAGCUCCAACAAAACGCCAUUGGACGAGGGUAAAGAAUAUCUUCAAAUAUUUACAAGGUACUAAAGAUUUUGGUUUAUUCUAUCAAAAAAAUCAAGACAUCACCCUGAUUGGUUAUAGUGAUGCUGGAUAUCUUGCUGAUCCCCAUAAUGCCAGGUCACAAACCUUGUAUUUUGACAUGGUGGAACUGCUAUUUCAUGGAACUCAACUAAACAGACAUUAGUAGCAACUUCCACUAAUCACUCUGAAAUAAGAAUUUGUAUAGCUUCACAGAGUGAUAAAUCAUAUUCAGACAUCAUGCGAUAUUGGUUCAUUAGAAUCACCAACCAUUAUCUAUGAAGAUAAUGUUGCAUGUGUUGCUCAAAUGCAUGUGGGAUAUAUUAAAAGUAAUAUCAAAAAACAUAUCUCUCCAAAACUAUUUUUUCCUCAUAAAUUACAGAAAGAUGGAGAGAUUAAUAUUUUGCAAACAAAAUCUUGUGACAAUCUUGCGGAUUUGUUCACUAAGUCUUUACCAGGAAAAACAUUUCCAAAAUGCAUUCAUGGUAUUCGUAUGAGACGACUACGAAAUUUGCAAUGUUCAGGGGGAGAAAUUUCCUAGAACUAAACUUAUGAGUUUUCCAACGGAUUUCUCAUGUGGUUUUAAAUAAGUGAUUAAAUAUACUAAUGAUAUAUCAAAUUUCUAUAGUUCCUCUUAUAUUUUCCUACAUAAAUAGUACAAGAUUAAAGCUUCUGAAAGUUACAAAAUCAAGGACUAUCAAGAAGACGCAAGACUUUUGACACUCAAGAUAUAUGUAGAUUCUCAAGACAAUGAAGAUUAACAAACAUCCUGUCCAAGGGGGAGUGUUAGGAAUCUAAUAGUAUUAGUAUUAGGCUAAUUAGGCGAUUAGUAGAUUCCUCAGAAUAUCCUAACUGGUUGUUGGAAUCCUAGCGUUGUCCAGACGCAGUACCUAGCGAACAGUCAUCGUGUCUUUCCAAACCGUUGUCGUGUCUUUCCGAAUCGACGCGAACACUCUAACCGACUUGUACUUGCAACUGUUCAGGAUAUAUAAAACCUGCAGUCAUUAUCAAUGAAAGCACUCAUUCACUUAAUCUUUCUUUUCUUCUCAUGUUUCACAUAUAAUUAUGGCCAUCUCUAGCCCAUCCCGCAAAAUCAUUUUACGGUUCCCGUGAAAACAGUUUUGUCACUAUGAUCUGUUCGACGUAACACAAUUUUGCGAUACGAGUUUACGAUUUUGUUUCGUCAGAACCCUCCCAAUAUAGCAAACCGAUUUUCGUGUGCGGGAGCCGGCCACCCUAUUUUUUUAGAAAACAUCUAAUAUGUUCAUAUUCAAUCAUGGUAGUAAAAUGAACACCAUAAAGAAAUAAAAUUACAUCCAUAUUCAUAGACCACCUAGCGGUGACUACAUGCACUUAAGCGAGCCAAAGGCGCGUCGCCGUCAUUGCCCCUCCUCACUGAAGCUGGGCAAAACUUGUUGUAGUAGACAGUCAGGAAGUCGUCGUGCUAAGGCCCGAUAUGACCAACGCACCAGCAUAGAAAUCGCCGUCGAUAAUUAAAGAGUAGCGUAGAUCAAAAGGAUCCAAUCUGCAUACACACAAACGUAGGUGAACGACGAACAGAUCCAAGCAAAUCCACCAAAGACAGAUUGGCCAGAGACACACUUCCACACUGUCGGAUUUCGGGUUGCGGCAAAACCCUUGAGGUUCGAACACAGGGGUGCGCACGAAGAUCUCUCCCUCCCCUAGCUCGCUCUCGCCACGAUCGCCAGGCCUAGCGCGUCGAACCCAAAGAACAAAGGGACACAAGAUUUAUACUGGUUCGGGCCACCGAUGUGGUGUAAUACCCUACUCCAGUGUGGUGUGGUGGAUUGCCUCUUGGGCUGAGGAUGAACAGUUACAAGGGAAGAACAACCUCCUAAGGAGAGGUGCUCUUGUGCUUGGUGAGCUGGUGUGGUGUCUCUCCAGCUGAUCUCGAUCCGUCCCCCGUCUAUGGUAGUGGCUAGUCCUACUUAUAGAGGCCCUGGUCCUCUUCCCAAAUAUUGAGCGGGAAGGGAUCCCACAACGGCCAAAUUCGAAGGGAGACAACUAGUACAAGUUAUCCUAAUUAAGGUGGUCUUUGCCUGCCAAAGGCUCUGGUGGUGACGCCGUCUUGGGCUCCAUGGUGACCUCUGUCCUGCCGUCCUGCUGGUCUUGGUCUCGUUGCACCGAUAUGGAAACCUUUGCCUGAUGCCUCGGGACUCCUCGCCUGCGCUUGCCUCUUUAGCACCAAAGAGGAAACGAGGACACUGCGCGCGCUGGCGCCCGCCUGUCCUUGGUCAUCAUGGCUUAUGUCAUGGGAACCUUGCGAGGUGCCCAUUGCCAUGAUCUCUCCGCCCCUUGCGAGCCAGCCUGGUGAGGCCGCGCCCAAGGAGGUCUUGCGUCGUCCGCCUCGCGAGGGUCUUGAGUGUUUGCUGGUGAAGAUGGGCCGUACGGGGCCACUGGUGGAGCCACGCCCUGGGCCGCAGGCAGGCAAGUCUGGGGACCCCUGUUCCCAGAACAUCGACAGUAGCCCCCGGGCCGAAGGUGUGCUCGGACUUGGCUUCGAGGCGAAGCCAAAGGGCAAGUGCGGAGCGCCGCGGACCCCCACAGCCUGCGGCCUUGGUCGACGCGUGGCGAUUGAUUGGACGUGGGCGUCUCCGCUUCCCCACGCAGCCUUGAUAUCCGCCUAGCUAGGCGGCCACCGUGGUUUACAUAGUUAUCCCCCAUUGCUUGGCGACGCGCCCCUCCUAGUCUCCUGCCUUUCCGAAUCAGCAACCUCCUCUUCCAAUCUGCCCCAAGCUUGGCCCUCCUUGUCGCCAUGGCACCCCGGCGAACGGAGAAGGGAAAGAAGAAGUCUGAGUCUUCAUCCGGGCCACCCCUGGCCAUUGAACCCGCCGUGGGCCGGUCAUUGGUGCUCAACCAGGAGGCCAUGGACAAGGUACGCCCCGCGCUCGCCGCUGACUCCAACAAAUGGGGGAGGACGGCGGCCUGGCCUGCAUCCUGCGCCUCCAUCGAUAGGACAACCACUGAGGUCCAAUUCUUCGUCGACGCCUUGUGGGCUGGUCUGAUUCCUCCCUUCUCCGCCUUCUUCAACGCCGUGCUCUCCCACUAUCAGAUCCAUAUAUUGCACCUGGGUCCCCAAUCGGUCGCCCUUCUUGUUGUCUUCGCCUUCGUCUGCGAGGCUAUGGUGGGCAUUGCUCCUUCCGUGGCCCUACUACGCCAUUUCCUCUCGCUGCACCUGACUGAUCCUCGGCAAAGCUCGGGAUGCCUGAGCUUCCAGGCCGUGUCUGCGACGGCCGGCUCGGGAAUUGACUUUGAGCUCCCACCAUCCGCGAGCGGGUUCUGGACACGUUGGGUGUAUGUGGAUGUUGGCGUGCUCAGCCCCCUGCUCUCGCCGCCGUCGGCGCCUGCCUUUCCCAGCUCCGGCUGGGGCAACGAGAAGCUCACGGACUCCCGCCUUGUCUUCGUCUGGCUCCGGUUGAAGAGGCUGAAGGGUCUCGGUGUGACUGCGCCCAUGGUGGUGAAGGAGUUCCUUCGACGCCGCGUCGCCCCACUCCAGCGCCAUUCUCGGCCGAUGUGGGCCUGUCCGGCGGCCAGGAUCGCAUGAGGCUUCAGGAGUCACUACAAAAAAAAGACACAUCCGUGACAUUUUGGGCCGAACAAUUUUUUUUCUGUCAUACAUAUGACACUUCUAUGACGAUAAUUGUGACAAAACCCGGUAUCAUCAUAGAUGUGGUGGGCUCCUACUUCUAUGACAAAAAAUCAUGACAGAAAAUGGGCUUUUCCUCCUGGGCGGGCCGGAGACGCAGCUGCAUGACAUUCUUUGGGCCGUCCAUGAUGGAAAAAACCAUGGUAGAAGCGAGGUCGAGGAAAAUUUCGGCGAGUUCCCAGUUACGGUGGGAGGUCGGGGGCCGAGCGAUGCACGUUUCUCUCGUACACAUAUGCGCGUGUGUGCGAGGCGUUGGCUCUAACUGAACCCGAGCGAGGCGUUGGGCUCUAACUGAACCAGAGCGAUUGCAUUGCAGGCUACGCGUUACUGAACCCGAGCGAUCGAUCGAUGGCUGUUAACUGAACCCGAUCGAGCGAUUCCUUCGCUACUGCUGCUAACUGAAGCCGNNNNNNNNNNNNNNNNNNNNNNNNNNNNNNNNNNNNNNNNNNNNNNNNNNNNNNNNNNNNNNNNNNNNNNNNNNNNNNNNNNNNNNNNNNNNNNNNNNNNNNNNNNNNNNNNNNNNNNNNNNNNNNNNNNNNNNNNNNNNNNNNNNNNNNNNNNNNNNNNNNNNNNNNNNNNNNNNNNNNNNNNNNNNNNNNNNNNNNNNNNNNNNNNNNNNNNNNNNNNNNNNNNNNNNNNNNNNNNNNNNNNNNNNNNNNNNNNNNNNNNNNNNNNNNNNNNNNNNNNNNNNNNNNNNNNNNNNNNNNNNNNNNNNNNNNNNNNNNNNNNNNNNNNNNNNNNNNNNNNNNNNNNNNNNNNNNNNNNNNNNNNNNNNNNNNNNNNNNNNNNNNNNNNNNNNNNNNNNNNNNNNNNNNNNNNNNNNNNNNNAGAUGAACAGUAUCCCGUGGAGUCCCGUUUUGCGGUACGCCACACCCCUCCCGAUGAACAGGACCCCCGUUUCGACCGUAGGAGGUCCGUUUCGUCCGUUUUGCGGUACGCCACACCCCUCCCGAUCAACAGGACCCCCAUUUCGACCGUAGGAGGUCCGUUUCAUCCGUUUUGCGGUACGCCACACCCCUCCCGAUCAACAGGACCCCCGUUUCGACCGUAGGAGGUCCGUUUCCUCCGUUUUGCGGUACGCCAGACCCCUCCCGAUCAAGAGGACCUCGUUCCGAACGUAGGAGGUCCGUUUCCUCCAUUGUGCGGUACGCCAGGCCUCCUUUCCAUCGCCUGUUCCGUCCAAGNNNNNNNNNNNNNNNNNNNNNNNNNNNNNNNNNNNNNNNNNNNNNNNNNNNNNNNNNNNNNNNNNNNNNNNNNNNNNNNNNNNNNNNNNNGGCCUCGUUACCAUCGCCUAUUCCGUCCAAGCCCUCCCGAUGAACACGACCACGCAUUCCGUUCCGACCCAGCCGGUUGGCUCCCACGCGUUCCGUUGCCUCCCGAUGAACACGACGCAUUCCGUUGCCUCCCCAUGAACAUGACGCAUUCCGUUGCCUCCCCAUGAACACGACGCAUUCCAUUGCCUCCCCAUGAACACGACGACGACGCUGUUUCUCCGUUCCGACCCAGCCAUGUACACGAGCCCUGGCCGUACGUAUGCGUGAGUAGGCGUUCGAGACCCCCGCCCGUAUGUACACAUAUGUGGCCGUAUUUUGUUUCUUGCACCCUGGCCGCUGUACGUACGUGUACAUGCUAUGUGCGCGCCUCUACUACGAAACGUACGCGCCUCUACUACGACACGUGCGCGCCUCUACAUCCACCAGUAUAUAUGUACGUACACGUUCGCGACCAGAAUGACAACGCUACGUACGCAUCGACUAGGUGGGUCCCGACUGUCAGGCACUUCCUUACCUGCGAAGAUGUAGCUGGUGGGUCCCAGCAGUCAGGGGGCGAAUCAUUUUUUUUUGCCCGGACGCACUUCCUUGCGUGCGAAGAUGUAGCUGGUGGGUCCCAGCAGUCAGGGGCAAACGUUUUUUCGUGAAAUCCGGUGGCCCGUCCGAUGGGUCCCCACUGUCAGGUGGAGGAAUAAUUAUUUUGCAUGUAAUAAGGAGGCACUUCCUUGCUACGGCCGUGGACCCAGCUGUCAGCCUCUCCACGUACAGUCCACGUCAGAUGGAAGCCGUUCCUUGACCACGUUGACCACGCCGUGCCGAGAGCACCAGGGCAGUGGACGACGGAGAGGCCUAGGAAGGGGACGACGCGGAGCCGGGGAAGACGCGGCAGUGGAUGCCCGCGCGUAGAGGAGUACGAGGGUUCACUGGUUCGCUGCGGUGUGAGGCUGCCGUCGCCGCAGAAUAACAGGGGGUGUGGGUGAGUGGAGGGAUGGCCUGGCCAGCGGUGGGAGUAGUAGGGGGCGGUGAGGCCUCCGCCGCAUUGCAGCCGGCCACGGGAGGCAGGAGCACGAGGCACGACUGGCGCUGGUUUUGGCGGCUGGAGCAAGAAGACCAGAUGUUGAAGAAGCACUACGGCCGUUGGAUGGACAUCGUACGGUCACUGGAGCUAGAAUCGUGCAUAUUGACUAAGUUGACAAAGCCCUCCAUCCCCGUCAACUUAGUAGGCCCACAAGUCAGCCUGCCACUAUACUGGGUCCCAGCUAACAGGGGAGUAUUCAUUUUUUUGUGCAUAAUAAGGAGGCACUUCCUUGCGUGUGAAGAUAUAGCUGGUGGGUCCGAGCUGUCAGCGGCGGUAAUGUUUUUUUCGCGAAAUACAGAGGCCCUUUCGGUGGGUCCCUGAUGUCAGGUGGAGGAAUCAUUAUUUUGCGCGUAAUAAGGAGGCAUUUCCUUGCGUGCGGCCGUGGACCCAGCUAUCGGCCUCUCCACGUAUAGUCCACUUCAGAUGCAUGUCGGUCAUUGACCAUGUUGACCAGGCCGCGCCGAGAGCACCAGGGCGGUGGACGAUGGCGAGGCCUAGGAAGGGAACGACACGGAGGCAGGGAAGACUCGGCAGUUGUUUCCCACGCGCAGGGGAGUAUGACUGUACGAGGGUUUACUGGUUCGUCUGCCGUCGCCGGAGAAUAACAGCAGGUGUGGGUGAGUAGAGGGAUGGCUAGGCCAGCGAUGGGAGUACGAUGGGGCGGUGAGGCCUGCGCAGCAGCACAGCCGGCCGCGAGGAGGAGGGAGCAGGCAGUCCCGCCGGCGCUUGUUUGAGCGGCUGGAGCAGGAAGAGCAGAGAUUGAAGAAGCACGACGGCCUUUCGAUGGACAUCCAACAGUCACUGCUUGUGUGUCAACCUUUUUUUUAGGAAAGCCUCAAAUCUGUGGAAAACAACAUACAACCCAUCUGCCAUUAUUUCUAAUAAUUUACAGCCCAUUUGCUAAUUCAUAAGGUUUUUUUGGACCCCAUAUUCUUUUUGUUAGCAUUACAGCCCAUAUUGUGGCCACGGUUAAAAAAUUAUACGAAAUUUUACAUAUUGCGGUGCGGUCCGAACUGUUUUAAUCCCGAAAUUUCUACGCACAUUCAAACUGAUUUAAAAUAUAAAUGUAUAUCAAUAUAAAAUCCAACAAAUUCUCCACGCAUAAAAAUUAAUGUAAUUUAAAAUCUCGAAAUGAAAAAAAGAUAUUUGAAACUAAUUGUCGGUUUGAUGUGUUUUAAAAAUGUACAACCCAUCUCGUUUCUCAUAGGCCAUUUUCUCGGCCAGCCGAAUGAAGCUCUCCUCAUCUUGAAAGAUUUGCAGCCCAAUAGGCCUGACAAAGCGACUUACUUGGCAAAUCACGAAAAAACUGGGUUGUGGCUGUGGACCCAGCUGUCAGCCUCUCCACGUACAGUACUCUUCCGAUGGAAGUCGGUCGUUGACCACAUUGACCACGCCGCGCCGAGAGCACCAAGGCGGUGGACAACGGGGAGGCCUAGGAAGGGGACGACGCGAAGCCGGGGAAGACGCGGCAGUGGAUGCCCACGCGGAGAGGAGUACGAGGGUUCACUGGUUCGGCUGCGGCGUGAGGCUAUCGUCGCCGCAGAAUAACAGGGGGUGUGGGUGAGUAGAGGGAUACCCUGGGCCAGCGGUGGGAGUAGUAUGGGGCGGUGAGGCCUCCGCGGCAUCAUAGCCGGCCACGAGAGGCAGGAGCACGUGGCAUGACCAGCGCUGCUUUGGGCGGCUGGAGCAAGAAGACCAGAGGUUGAAGAAGCACUAUGGCCGUUGGAUGGACAUCGUACGGUCACUGGAGCUAGAAUCAUUCAUAUUGACUAAGUUGACAAAGCCCUCCGUCCUCGUCAACUUAGUAGGCCCACAAGUCAGCCACCCACUAUGGUGGGUCCCAGCUAGCAGGGGGUAUUCAUUUUUUGGUGCGUAAUAAGGAGGCACUUCUUUGCGUGCGAAGAUAUAGCUGGUGGGUCUGACCUGUCAGCGACGGUAACGUUUUUUUCGCGAAAUACAGAGGCCCUUUCGGUGGGUCCCUGAUGUCAGGUGGAGGAAUCAUUAUUUUGCGCGUAAUAAGGAGGCAUUUCCUUGCGUGCGGCCGUGGACCCAGCUGUCGGCCUCUCCACGUACAGUCCACUUCAGAUGCAUGUCGGUCGUUGACCACGUUGACCAGGCCGCGCUGAGAGCACCAGGGCGGUGGACGAUGGCGAGGCCUAGGAAGGGAACGACAUGGAGGCAGGGAAGACUCGGCAGUUGUUUCCCACGCGGAGGGGAGUAUGACUGUACGAGGGUUUAACUGUUCGUCUGCCGUCGCCGGAGAAUAACAGCAGGUGUGGGUGAGUAGAGGGAUGGCUAGGCCAACGAUGGGAGUACGGUGGGGCGGUGAGGCCUGCGCAGCAGCACAGCCGGCCACGGGGAGGAGGGAGCAGGCAGUCCCACCGGUGCUUGUUUGAGCGGCUGGAGCAGGAAGAGCAGAGAUUGAAGAAGCACGACGGCCUUUCGAUGGACAUCCAACAGUCAAUGCUUGUGCGUCAACCUUUUUUUAGGAAAGCCUCAAAUCUAUGGAAAAUAGCAUACAUCCCAUCUGCCAUUAUUUCUAAUAAUUUACAGCCCAUUUGUUAAUUCAUAAGGUUUUUUUGGAGCCCAUAUUCUUUUUGUUAGCAUUACAGCCCAUAUUGUGGCCACGGUGAAAAAAUUAUACAAAUUUUUGCAUAUUUCGGUGCGGUCCGAACUGUUUUUAAUCCCGAAAUUUUGACUCACAUUCAAACUGAUUUUAAAAAUAAAUGUAUAUCAAUAUAAAAUCCAACAAAUUCUCCACGCAUAAAAAUUAAUGUAAUUUAAAAUCUCGAAAUGAAAAAAAGAUAUUUGAAACUAAUUGCCGGUUUGAUGUGUUUUAAAAAUGUACAGCCCAUCUCAUUACUGAUACGCCAUUUUCUCGGCCAGCCGAAUGAAGCUCUCCUCGUCUUGAAAGAUUUGCAGCCCAAUAGGCCUGACAAAGCGACUUACUUGGCAAAUCAGAAAAAAACUGGGUUGUGGCCGUGGACCCAGCUGUCAGCCUCUCCACGUACAGUACUCUUCCGAUGGAAGUCGGUCGUUGAUCACAUUGACCACGCCGCGCCGAGAGCACCAAGGCGGUGGACGACGGCGAGGCCUAGGAAGGGGACGACGCGGAGCCGGGGAAGACGCGGUAGUGGAUGCCCACGCGGAGAGGAGUACGAGGGUUCACUGGUUCGGCUGCGGCGUGAGGUUGUCGUCGCCGCAGAAUAACAGGGGGUGUGGGUGAGUAGAGGGAUACCCUGGGCCAGCGGUGGGAGUAGUAUGGGGCGGUGAGGCCUCCGCGGCAUCACAGCCGGGCACGAGAGGCAGGAGCACGUGGCACGACCAGCGCUGCUUUGGGCGGCUGGAGCAAGAAGACCAGAGGUUGAAGAAGCACUAUGGUCAUUGGAUGGACAUCGUACGGUCACUGGAGCUAGAAUCGUUCAUAUUGACUAAGUUGACAAAGCCCUCCGUCCUCGUCAACUUAGUAGGCCCACAAGUCAGCCACCCACUAUGGUGGGUCCCAGCUAGCAGGGGGUAUUCAUUUUUUGGUGCGUAAUAAGGAGGCACUUCCUUGCGUGCGAAGAUAUAGCUGGUGGGUCCGAUCUGUCAGUGGGGGGGGGGGGCGUUUCUUUUCGCGAAAUACAGAAGCCCUUCCCACGUACAGUGCACGUACAAUGCGUAAUAAGGAGGAACUUUCCUUGCAUGCGACCAUGGACCUCGUGGGUCCCAGCCGUCAGGAUCUCCACGUACAUUCCUCUUCUGAUGACUCUCGUAUGUUUACCACGCCGCGCCGAGCGCACCGAGGCGGUGGACGACGGCGAGGCCCCAGACUGGAACGACCCGGAGAUGGGGAAGACGCGGCAGUGGAGUCGCGGACGGAGAGGAGUGGGAAACUUGACUGGUUCGGGUCGGGGUGGGCCUACACUCGGCAGAGAAUAACAGGAGGUGCGGAGUCGAGGGAUGACCUGGCCGUCGGCGGGGUAGCAUUUCGCUGAGGAGCGCAAAACAACGCCGCUGGACGCCGAAGGCUGGAGCAGGUGGUUCCGACAGCGCUGGGGGAAGAAGACGAGAGAUUGAAGAAGAAUGUCGGCCGUUGGAUGUAAAUCCAACGCCUUCUUAGGCUUCGACCUACUGGCCCACAUGUCAGCCAGUCCAUUUGUUUUUUAGUCCAUUUGGUGGGCUGGGUGAAACAAUGAUGUAGCAUCUAUGCAGCCCGUUUAAAUCCCAUUUGCAUUUUUCUUGAAAUCCGCGGACUUGCUGGGCUGGGUGAAAAUAUCAUGUUGGGCUAGACGGAGAAAUGUUAUAAAAACAUAAACACAUGAUUGCACGUCAGUAAAAUCUUUGCAAGCUUAUGUACGCAAUCACUAGGAGUUAACUUGCCAAGUUAUAUAUAAACAAUUAUUAUUAUUAUUUUGUAAGAACUUUCAACUUACGAAAUAAAAUAUCAUUUUAAUUUGAUGAGUUAAUAGUACGUGGGGUAUUAUUAUUUUUUAGGCUAGACGUGGGACAGUUGAGUUGGUUCUAGGGGAAAGUACUGCGAGAAAACUCUGUUUACAUCGAAAAAGAAAGUGGGAGAAAAUUCAGAGACCUGCUGGGUCCACCUGAGGAGGGGAAUAUGUUGGGAGGAAGGAGAUUCAAAGCACGGCAGCCGAGUGAACUAGUUUUUUUUACGGACAAGUGAACUAGUUUACAUACAUAAGCAAUAGCCACUAAAAAAGCAAUUAGGUUAAUGGGUUCUUAAAAGAAAUAUUUCAGACAAAACAGAUAAUUACGACACAUAGGCUAAUGCAUGAAACACUCAGAUGAUAAAGGUGCUUAUAAACAGAUAAAGUACAACAUCUAGACCUUCCUGACAUGCUUGAUCAUGACGCUGCGGCUAUUCGUGUACUCGUCGGUUACGGGAAGCACACACGCCCUCAUGUCCAAGAUCUGCAUGUACAUGUCGUAGCAUGCGUAUGCGUCCUUGGCCGUGUAGGUUAUGUAGGCUAGAUUCAAAGGUACCUCCCAUGUGUUCAGGUCGUCUUCUUUCAUGUUGGCGUAUCAGGGGUCGAUGAUGGUCUCAACGAGGUCAACCACGGAGUCCUUCUCCUGCCCGUUGCUGAUGAUCUUGUAUUGCUUCUGGAUGUCGACAAGCUUGUUGCACCAGAUGGCCGAAUCAUCGCGUUCUUCCUUCUCUCCACCGUAGCGAAGGUGCAGUCGGUGCUGCCGAUGAAACAGGCGAAUGCUCCAAGACCUGGUGCAGCCAUAGGACUGAGGCGAGGCAGAGCUUCACUGAGUCCGUAUCGUUGGUGUACAUCACAUUCAACUUGGUGCAGCCAUAGGACUGAACGGCGAACUCAAAGGGGAACUCCUUGCUGAAGUCCAUAUCCAGCAGGCUCACCCCUCGGAUCGCCAUUGGAGUCUCUUCGAGUGAACGAGUGUGUAGGCGGCGGCAGCAGUUCGUUUUUCAGCUCUUGGGGAACUGGAUUCAACAGUAAGCUAAGUGUGUACGGGCGACAACAGUUACUACCCCUCCCUCGUCCGCUGCACGCCCGGCAGAAGAUGCACCCUCGGCUACACGUCGGUUCACGAGCGGGUCUGUAUUGGUACUGUAAUAACAGGAGUUACUGGUCACUUUACUUAAAUUUAAUUAGCUUUAAUAGAAAUUUAUACUUAAAACAAGCAAUGCAUUCGCUCGUUCUAUCAGUGCCACAGGAUCAACAUGCACAACAAUUAGAAUUAUUAUUCUCAGGACGCACACGAUCAGCACAUUUGUCGCACUUUCACAAAGAUAAUACUACCAAGUUUGAACUAUUUGUUAUGGUUGUUGUCCUCUGCAUCAUCAUGCCGUGUUUCCCAGCUUGCAAGAUUCAGAACCAACAAAUAAGAUCCAAAUAAUAAGUACAACAAAGAUGCCUACACAUCUCAUUGAUUCCCAGCUUGCAAGAUUCAGAACCAACAAAUAAGAUCCAAAUAAUAAGUACAACAAAGAUGCCUACACAUCUCAUUGAUUCCUAGCUUGCAAGAUUCAGAACCAACAAAUAAGAUUCAAAUAAUAAGUACAACAAAGAUGCCUACACAUCUCACUGAUUCCCAGCUUGCAAGAUUCAGAACCAACCCAUUAGAGCCUUUUGAUAAAGUGAAUAUCGGGAUUAAAUCCAUCUUGGCUAGCCAUGUCAUACAAUCGAAGAACUUGGCGAAUGCUCUUGACUGUCACAACAUCUGUAGUUGACUAUUCCUGUUUGCACAGCAUGUUUGCACAGCACAAACAAGGAGACAGGAGAGCAUGAUUUCGCUUUAAUAGCGGCCUCCUUGAACUCAACCUCCAGCUCUACUUGGAUGAGGUCUGCCUGGAGUUCCAUGCUUCAAUUCAUGCGCCUUUUUCUGCAGUUCACCUAAAAUGAAGCAAAGAUUGCAUCAUUCAGCUAGCAAGAAGUACUUGCUCUUGUGAGAUGGCAGGUUCUUCUUUAGUAGCUGCACUAAAAUUGAGGAAUUAAGGUUGGCUGUCCGGCUCAUGUAAGGUGCAACUAUAAUUUUCUUAUCCUUUUGUGCAGUUCCACUAAAAUAAAGUGCCAUUGUGGUGACAGUGAUGGCUCCAUCUUGCAAAGGCUAAUAAAAUGUUGCACGAGAUUACCAGCAGAACUUGACGGAGAUUUUGGAAACUCCAAUCACCAUUUUGUGCAAUUCCACCAAAAUUGAGAGAUGUUGCCCACGUGACAUUUUAGUUGAACUGCACAAGACACUCAUUCCAAAAAAAAGUGUUUUGUGCAGUUCACCAAAAGGUCACAAUAGCAACAAGGUGAAAUGGAUAUCCCUAUCUCCACAAAAAGAUAGAAAGUAAACAGUUGCUGGUGAAUAAGAAUAUACGAAACAUAUACAAAAUGAAAAGAAGCAUCUUAAUUAUGUUCAUGGCAAUCACGCAAGGACAGUAGAAAUUUUAAAACGUCAACAAUGCUUCAUGUUACCAGAAGCAUUACGAUCAACAAUGAGAUUCCUCAAAUAUGGGAUUACUUUAAUGGUGGCAUUGCUUGUUUACCAGACACAGUAAAUCAAUAGCAGCUAAAGAGUUGGUUUAAGGGCAUGGGACCGUGGGGACACCAGGACACUCAGCAGCGUAAAGGAGAAACUUACAUGCGCCCUUACAUUAACAACAGCAAAAGGUUGGUAUAAGGACAUGCGACAGUGGACGCAUCAGCACAAUGUACCUACAAGGAGGCAUAAAGUGGUGAUGCCGAGUUUGUUCAUGCUAUGUGAGGGCAGCAAACCUAAUCCUGGAGACCUUGUACUAUGUGAGGGCAGCAAAUCUAAUCCUAGAGACCUUUUACUAUGUGAGGGCAGCAAAUCUAAUCCUGGAGACCUUUUACUAUGUGAGGGCAGUAAAUCUAAUCCUGGAGACCUUUUACUAUGUGAGGGCAGCAAAUCUAAUCCUGAGACCUUUUACUAUGUGAGGGCAGCAAAUCUAAUCAUGAGACCUUUUACUAUGUGAGGGCAGCAAAUCUAAUCCUGGAGACCUUCUACUAUGUGAUGGCAGCAAAUCUAAUCCUGGACAUACUCUGUUGACUUGUCCACCAGCCGCCACUUUCUAUCCUUUUUUCAACCAAUAAUAGAGUUGUUCCUUAUCUAGUUUGUACUGCGUUUUCCCAUUAUUUCCCUUUUCAACCAAGAGACCGGUUGGGUAUCCGGUCUCUACUACUUUCACCAUAUUAUUUCCUCUUUGAAUCAAGUCCUAGAUUCAUGCUACAACUUUCCCCCUUUCUUCGUUGUUUGAACAAAGCCCUAGAUUCGAAUGCAUGAAGUAGCUUUACCUCUAAUAAUACUAAAAAUUUAGGUGGCUUUGGAAGAGCUGAUGGGAGUAGAAAAAGAUGCACAUGCAUACACGUGGGGAUCUGGGGCAGUAGAGCAAGGCCGCUUUCAAAGAAGUUAUACCUGAGGGUCGCCGGGAUGUCGAUGGCGGCAGGUCGGAUCUGCGGACAAUACGGCAGGGAGGAAGAAGGGUCGGAGGACCUCCCGAGCCAGCGCUGUGUCGGAGAGAACGGCACGGGCAGAGGAUCGGGCCCCUCCGGCAGCUAUGGGUUUCCUCCCUCGGCGGCGAUGACCGCGUGAACGACGCACCUUUUAGUCCUCUACACACACCGGCCGAAGGGAUCCGGCCGGAUCUGUGACCAGUGGUGAGCAGAGAGAAAAUGUCGCUACCGCUGUCUUGUUUAUAUCUGGAGAGGAUGAGAGAAUGAAGAGAGCAACCCUAGUAAAGCAAGCGCUCACGCCCCUGCGUCCAUAUAUAGUGGAGUGAUUAUCUUUUUUCUCUCCACAACAAGUGUUUCAAUUUGUGUACGUGGCAUUAAAGAAAAGAAACUCUCUAUUUAAGGUGACUACUGUACGACUCCUACUUACUACUAGUAGUACUACAGUAUUGUUCACUUGUGCUCCCCGCCCCUUCAUUCAUUGAACAACCCCACGGGUGAAUAAACAUACAGUAAGUACUGUAUUUAUAUAGAAUGAACAAGCUCGAACUAUUUUCGCGUAGUUAAAAGUUGAGGGCGGGGCUUUUCCCAGGCAGUACGCGCGGCAGUUUUCGGGUAGGCGGUUUGACAGAGAGGCGAGGAGGGUGAGCGAGUGGGGCUAUGUGAUUUGACGGCGCGUUACUGCUGGAAAGACUUGUGAUAUGACCACUCACUAUAGUCAUGAAUUACUGGCGCUCCGACCGGGGUGAUGCCCCCUUCCGUUCCGCGCUCUAAUCUGGUGCAUGACACGUCGACCCGGAUGCUGGCUCUCCCACAUGUCAGAGUAUUAAGAAGGAGCAAAGAAUGAUGCGGUAUAUACUAGUACUAUACUACUCCCUCCAUUCCUAAAUAUAAGUCUUUGGAGAGAUUUCACUAUGGACCACAUACGGAGAAAAAUGAGUGAAUCUACACAUAAAAUGCAUCUAUAUACAUCCGUAUGUGGUCCACAGUGAAAUAUCUACGAAGACUUAUAUUUAGGAACGGAGGGAGUACUACUCAGGUCGGAGGAGUGCGAACCACGGCAGCCCAGUGAACCAGCACUGCGAACCACGGUAGCCCAGUGAACCAGCAGUAGAAAACAAUGUGGUGAUAUGGCCAUAAAAAACAAUGUGCUACGGUCCACACUUUAGCAUGUACAGUAACACUUCCCUUUGUUUGGAUCCCUGAGUUAGAGCUAGUUUGGGUUGAAAUAGCCUCAAAUUAUCGAAACAAGAGGGGUUAGUUUGAGCUAGUUUGCUCUAACCCAGCUAAAAAAAUAGCUCGGUGGAGAGGUUUUAAUUGGGUUAGUUAUCCUCGGGCCCACUAAAAGAGAACUAAAAAAAUCUCCCCUGCCCGCACUAGAUCGCUCUCCCCCCCCUCUCGCACGACUCCUUUCUAUCCCCCAUAGGGCCGCUCGCCCUCUCUCUCCUCCGGCCGCCCUCUCCUUCCGGCCGCCCUCUCCUUCCGGCCUCCGCCGCCCUCUCCCUCCGGCCGUCGAAGGUCGCCCCGCUCCCCCUUCACCAGUCGUUUUUCUCCCUCUGUCGUGCACAGCAGCAGCGCAUCUACCAGGGAGGUCAUGAGAGGGGUGAGUUUGUUCGUUCCUUCUCUGUCUCAUGGCCAUAUCAUUGAUCUUGCUUGCUCUAGCGCUAAUUCUGAUUUGGAAAAGUAGAUCCUGAUCAAACUUGGUAUAAGUUUGUGGUGCACGCAUGGAAUUGUUUGAUGCUGCUUGAGGAGGUAAUAAAUCUUUCUAGAGGCCCAAAGAUUCAGGUCACCUUUCUAGGUAUUUCAAUUUCAGGCUUGCAUUAUUUCUAGAGGCCCAAAGAUUCAGUUCACCUUUCUAGGUAUUUCAAUUUCAGGCUUGCAUUAUUUCUAGAGGCCCAAAGAUUCAGUUCACCUUUCUAGGUAUUUCAGUUUCAGGCUUGCAUUAUUUCUAGAGGCCCAAAGAUUCAGUUCACCUUUCUAGGUAUUUCAGUUUCAGGCUUGCAUUAUUUCUAGAGGCCCAAAGAUUNNNNNNNNNNUGCUUGAGGAGGUAAUAAAUCUUUCUAGAGGCCCAAAGAUUCAGGUCACCUUUCUAGGUAUUUCAGUUUCAGGCUUGCAUUAUUUCUAGAGGCCCAAAGAUUCAGUUCACCUUUCUAGGUAUUUCAGUUUCAGGCUUGCAUUAUUUCUAGAGGCCCAAAGAUUCAGUUCACCUUUCUAGGUAUUUCAGUUUUAGGCUUGCAUUAUUUCUAGAGGCCCAAAGAUUCAGUUCACCUUUCUAGGUAUUUUAGUUACAGGCUUGCAUUAUUUCUAGAGGCCCAAAGAUUAAGUUCCCAGUCGGCGGCAAGCGGCCCUGUUACCCAUGCCGGUGUCGACCUCAACUCGCAAGGGCCGGUGUCGGAGGGGUUCCCAAGGCUUGGGCUCUACGGAGCCUUCCUCUAGAGCGACGAUGGCGAGCUCCUCCCUCGGUGCGUGAGGGGCUCCGGGCUCCCUCCCUAUCGUGAAUGACUUCCGUGAUGAGUUAGCUCAUUCUUUGUUUCAUGAAGUGUUUUUUUUAUUUUGUGAAGCUUGAUUGACGACUUGUAUGUUUAAGUGGGAUAUCUCAUUUGUAUGGACAAAGUAAAAAUUAUCAUGUUUUGCAUGCUUGAUUUGUAUAGAUGGUUCGUUUAUGUCAAUUGUGAGCGGGAGGAGGCCACAGAAGAGCCGGCCACACCAAGAGGGUGCUUGGAUCCAAGGGACUUAUUUUAGUCUGACUAAAAAUAGUCUCUUUAAGAGGCUAAAGUUCCAAGCACCCCUGACUAAAGAGGGGCUAAAACUAGUCUUGAGACUAAAAACUUUUAGUCAGGGGUACCCCUACUAAAAUGUGGAUUAGUCCUCUCUCUCCUCAUUUAACUCCUCUCCUUUAACACAGGUGAGUUCCGGAUUGGAGGGUUUGGAGGAUAAUAAAUGCUCAUUAACUUGAUUUUAGUCUCUUUAGUAUUUGGAUCCAAGCAUGGGUGAGGCUAGCAAGUUUUAGUCCCACUACUUUUAGUCAUGGAACUAAAACGUAUCCAAGCACCCUUCAAAUCCGGCAGGAAAUAGGGUCCAAAGUAGUCAAAUGAUUGAGAUAGAGCAUUUAUUGUCAAUCUAACCCUGCCAUCCAUACACCUCUUUGGUUUAGAGUUAGUUCAGGGUUAGAAUCUAACUCUAACCUCUAACUAAGUUAGAGUUCUCCUCGUCUCGGUUCAUCGCCAUCAUACUUUCCCCAUUCAUGUGUUUUCAGUAUCCUGCGAAUCAAAGAGGCCCUUUUUUGCGGGAAAAAUCAAAGAGGCCCUUAGACUGGUUUCGGUCCGGUCAUUUUUUAUAAACGUGUUAUGUCCAAAAUUUAAUGAACGUGCUCCGGUUUCCACGAAAAUAAUCCGGUUUCAUGUAGUAAUUCAUUCAUUUAUUUAUUCUUCUGCGGGGGGUUUGCAUGUAAUUCGUGAGGUCUGAAAUGUAAAGUACCCCGGCAUAUGCUCUGAGUCGUGCAUGCACUACGACCCAGAUGCUCUAUGUCCCACAUGUCGGUGAAUGGGAGCACGUGGAAAUAGCCUAGGAGUACAUAUAGGAGGAUAAAUGCGUGAAAUGUACUAUGAAGCGUAGCCGCGGUUUGAAAAGGAGACCUAAAGUGAUGACAACUAUAGGUCGCACGCACCCAACUAGUGGUACUAGACAUACGACUAAUUUUUUCCUCAAAAAAAAAGAGGCAUGAGUGCUGAGUACUCCUGUUCUAUAAACACGAGUCCCAUCUGACAACAGCGUCCGUGCUACAGCUAGCUCUCCUCCCUCGUUUCUCUCUUCUAAUUCUAAACUCGGCCGACGCCCGGUGGGCGGGGUGGGUUUGCUCAACUGCGGCCCCACCUCAUAGUGAAAACGUUAUGACUGGAAUAAAAAUGCCAUAUACUCCCUCCGUUCAUAAAUAUAAGCCUUUUUAGAUACUAUUUCAAAUGGAAUACAGCAUACAGAUGUAUGUAGACAUAGUUUAGAGUCUAGAUUCACUCAUUUUGCUCCGUAUGUAGUAGUCACUUGCUCGAAUCUUUAGAAAGACUUAUAUUUGGGAACGGAGGGAGUACUAUACUAAUAAAACAUUAAGGCCACGAGGUGAUGCAGUGCUGGUUACAGGAGGCAAGAAGAGAUGCAUCCAUCGACGACGUCCACCUCCUCGACUCAGGGCGCCGGCCCACCGAUAGGCGCCUAAGUAGCAGCGGCUUUCAUGGCCAGGUCGACGUGCUUCCGAACAAUGGCGUCCAAAGAUUCCAGCCGCUGGAAGAAGGCCAACAUCUUUCUUUCCUCGCUUGCCUUGUAGUGGCCUAUGUAGACGAUUUCCUCAUAGACGUGGAUGUGCAGGUCGACGGUUUCUUGCAUGGCGAGGCGCUGCACGGCGAGCGCGGCCUCGAGGUGCACAUUCUUCGUCGCGACCUCCGACACCUGUAGGGCCACCAGGGCUUGAAAGAGUUCGUCACCAUGGAGUCCUAUGAGGGUGGCAGGUAAUGAGGAGCCUGGGCGCGCGGGCUGGAGCAGUACGGCAAGGUCGUCAGCGCGCUUCUUGACGGCGGUGAACUUGCGGAUGGAGUUGACCAUCAUGUCAUCCAUGCGAGAGGCGAAGCCGGCGUCGGCGAGGGCUACGAUGCCUGCGGUCGCCAGCAUCGUCUGGAAACGCUGCACGGUGCGGGGCCGCAGGCCGGCGCCUUGGAUGAUUUGGCACAGCUGACUGCCGCUCGCGUCCAUCGCCUCCAUAGGUGCUUGUGGCUUCUGGUCACUUGGUCUUGGAUUGGAGUGAGCAGUGUUGCGCAGAGACUUGGGAGUAGAUGGAUUGGAGUGGUGGGGCGCCUUUAUUAUAUGAGAGUCCAAACUCUGUUGCAUUCACAUCGUGCUGGCUCUAUUCUGCUUCUCCAAUUAAUUCCCUCUGCAUGUAAUUGAGGAUGCAUCAUUGACCUUUCAACGUCUCGGGAACCGCUACCCUCUCCCUCCUUGGCAUUCAAGCACCUAUGGACCCGUCGACGACGAGGUGCCUAUGGUGACUUCGUAAAUUUCAAGAUGAUAAUGCCGUGCGUGUGUGCGUUCAUAGGGGUGAGUGUAUGUGCGUGUAUAUGAUUGCUUGCGUCUGCACUGUGUAAAAAAACGUAAAUGCGUGUCAAAAAGAGACUAGUCAGUAUACUCAAUAUUGUGCACCUCAAAGAGGAAAACGAUAGAACUAGUACGUAUUUAUUUACGGUGCAGAUUCACUCAUUUUGCUCCAUAUGUACUCCGUCUCGGUGUAAUCUAGUCACUUGUUGAAAUCUCUAGAAGGGCAAAUACUCCUUUCUGGUUUACAGGGCUAUACUAGCAAGUAGUGGUACGUACUAGUACAAUAGUGGGCUCACAUAGCAAUUUGUCUCAUGCAAGAUCCUGGCUAUAUGCGUGCUCCAAUGUUCGCAACUACAACGUUCGGUUUGCGCUUGGCUCUUCGCCUCUUCGAGAAGACGAACAAUGAUGUUACUACUACUGCUUCUACAGUGUCGAAUCCACUGCUGCAUGUCCGUCCACCACGAGUGGGACGGAUAGCUUGUUGUAGAAGUACUAAGCAAAAGCAUGUCCUCGUUUGCGAGCAACCGCGCGCAUGGGUGAGGGAGAAGGCGUGUAGUAAAAUCAAGCUUCUCCUCAUUGUACGAGUUGACGCGACACAUCAUAGCACUGGCCCCACAUGCUUGCCUCUAAACUUGGCUGAAAGACCCGCAGUGUACAAUAUAUUUUCUGCAACCUCUAACAUUUACCCACCACAAAUUAAAAUAUAUGUGGCCGUAUGCAUUGUUCUGAUGCAGAGGCCGGGGAGUCCCCCCUUUUCGAAAAAAAACAAAUUAAAAUAUAUAUUCCUGUCUUGACCAGAUGAGCGUGCAAACUACAAUCACUAGGGUGUCAGGUAGGGCCAGAAGACUAUUUUAAUUUUUUUUAAACUUCGAGACGACCACAUAGCAUGGAGCCGACCCCAACGAUUUUAAGCUUACAGGCAUGGUACACGCUAUCCUAGACUACUCUACACAUGAAACUGCCACACGAGCGUCCGGGCUGCGCUUGGCUCUUCACCUCUUCGGGAAGUCGAACAAUGAUGGAGUACUACUGCACUGGAGGAGUACUACAAUACGCUUCUGGCAAUCUGACACCGAUUGAACUGCUACAUGUCCACCGCGUGCGGGAGGGAGAGCGUGUAGCGAAAGCUUCUCCUAGUCUUGCCAGCCACCACGCUCAUGGGCGAGGAAGGGACGCUCCUGCCUUUGUGUGUAUGACAGGUGGGCCUGACAGGUGUGUGGCCAACCUGUCAUACAGCCAAAGGAAGGUGCAGUUAAGUCCGCGAGGGAGAGGAUAAUCAAACUUCUCGUUGAUGUACGAGUUGACGCGACACAUCAAAGCACUGCACUCGAUAUAUUUCAAUAAUUUGCGUUUACCGAUGCAUUAAUUACAACGCAUGCAUGCAUGUCGUGACUCUCCUUUUGAUACUUGCAUGUGUUGAUUUAAUGCACCUUGAAGUAGUAUAAAAUAUGUGACGUAAAGCUUCGUAAUACCCCGGCCCAAGUCGAGAGAUGGUUGUGCACGAGGAGGGCGAGAUCAUGCAGACCGAACAGGACCCCACGAUGGAGCUCUCUAAGGUCUCGAUGGACCUCACCGUGCUCCACUGCCCCUUGUGCCUCCGCCCCUUGACGCCUCCAGUGUAUGAGGUUCGAAUACACCUCGUCCGUUCGGCUGAUUGAGCAAGGUGCAGGUUUCUUGAAUGAUGUGUUGUUCGAUUGAUUUCUGUAGUGCAAGGGAGGGCACCUGGCCUGCGCGGACUGCCGCGUCGAGUGCCCCGGGAACCAGCGGCAGUGCCAGAAGUGCGAGCACGGCAGUGGCUUCGACGUGCGGAACACGGCGGUGGACUCCGUCCUUUCGUCGGUGAGGGUGGAGUGCCCGCACGAAGGCUGUGGGCUCUACGUCACUUACCACAAGCUCGCCGAUCACCAGAGCGUGUGUCCGCUCGUGCCCUGCAAAUGCCCCGUGCCCGUCUGCGGCUACGAAGGCCAGCCGCCGGCGCUCUACCACCACAUCAGCACCGCACAUCCCAUGCCCGUGCACAGGAUCCAGUACGGGAAGGUGCUCCAGCUGCAAGUGCCACUGUCGGAGCCACGGCUCUUGCUGUUCGCGGAGGAGGACCGCCGCGCGUUUUUCUUGGUCGGCGGCGUGCUCGACAUCGGCGCGCCUAUCGCCGUGUCGGUCGUCUGCAUCAGAGCGGGGGCGUCCCCACUGCCGCACUACGUGGCCAGGCUGUGGGUGAACGGCCCGUCGGGGGAGCCCAAAGGCACGACCGACGCCGUCAAGGUGGAAAUGGAGGUGAGAAGCAGCAAGGAUCCCGGCGACGUCGACGUGCAGGAGCUAACCUUCUUGACAGUUCCGCCCAAGCUGCUGGCCGGGGCUAAGCUUGUGUCCCUCCACAUUCAGAUUGACAAGCUCACGUCCUAAAUGUUUCUACAGUGCCUUUUGUUUAUCUUAGUAAUAUGCUAAUAUGGGGAUUACCUUGGUCUACUUUAGCUUAAGAAAUGGUGGGUUUUGGUGGCGAUGCAGCAAUUACUUCGACAUCAGAUCAGUAAUUUCCAACAGUCGAACGGAUAUUUUGUGUCUGUUGGAUAUAAAGUUCCUUUGGGAAAGAAGUACUACUUGUCAUCAAAAUGGAUAAAAGGAGAUGUAUGUAGACGUAUUUUAGUUCUAGAUACGUCCCUUUUUAUCCAUUUUGAUGACAAGCACUCCCUCCGUUCCACAAUACAUGCCUUCCAUUUGUCAAAAUAUAGAUGUAUCUAGACAUGUUUUAGUAUAUAGGUACAUCCAUGAUAGAGCCAAUCGGAUGGUUGAAAACACUACAAUUCGUAGCUACAGAUGCGUGUGUGACUCCCAGAUGCAGAGGCCGGGGGUCAUCAUCCUCCUUUUCAAGAAAAAACAGACGUGUGUGUGAGAGGAUGAGUGCGUGCGUGCACCUCUUCUCUUCUUGUAUAAUGUACUACUAAACUCAGAGUACAAAUUUUUGUGGGUGGCACGAUGGUGCGUGCGAGAAGUCCCGAGAGAUAGGUUUAAUGCGUCUGAAAAAAAGACUAGCCUAGAGCUCGCCACGCGGCUAUUUCUGUCGAAGGCCCCAUUAAUUGUAAGAUAUGUAUACGACGGUGCCAGUUAUUGCACGUACACAGCAGUACUCCCUCCUUUCCGGUUUAUAGGGCUUAAUUCAAAAAUCUCACCAACCAAGAUGGUGAGUGGUGGAAUAUAUUUUGUAGUUUGCAAAAGCACCUAAUUAAUGCUCUUGUUUUUCUAAAAAAAAUAUGUUUAUCAAUGCAUUAAUUGCAAUGCAUGCAUGCAUAAAGUACAUGCAUUGAUCAAUUUUCUCUUAAUACUUGAAUGCAAUGAUUUAAUGCACCUUGGAAUCUGAACAUGUGUUGGGGAACAACCAAAUUGAGCCUUAUAAAAUGGAAAAACUAAAAUUUUGAGAUAAGCCCUAUAAAACCGGAAAGGAGGGAGUAGAAAAAGAAGUACUCCAUCCGGGAAUAGUGCCGCACUUCGAAACUAGAACCGUCAAUAAAUUUUGAGCUUGCGUCUCGUCACAUUCCAAAUUACUCCACGCUCUAUUGAAUCGCAAACCUGUUCACACCGAUCACAACCUAAACGGUUUCCCACUUAGGAGCGUAUUAGUACCACGCUAUAUUGAAUUGCAAACCUGUUCACACCGAUCACAACCUAAACGGUUUCCCACUUAGGAGCGUAUUAGUACUCGGUUAUAAAUACUAGUAUGGCAAGAUGACUGCACAUUCCUCCUCAACUCCUCAUCCACAAAAACAAACAAGUCAUUCAGCACCCUUCCCUUGCGUCUGCCAUGGCCAGCGUGAGUUCUGGGUCGAGAGAUUGCCACCAGGGAGAGGCGAGCAUGGAAGCGGAAGCACGAGAGAUGUCCCGCCUCGCUGCGAGAGCAGCCGACAUGUCCCGCCGCGCGGAAGUAGCAGCACAGAGGUCCCGCCGCGCCACUGAAGCAGCACGGAGGUCCCGUCGCGCCGUUGAUGCAGCAGACUGGUCCGGCCGCGCCGCGGAAGCAGCAAAGAUGUCCCGCCGCGCCACGAAUGCAACAGAGAUAUCCUGCCGCGCCGCGGCGGCCUGGGAAAAUUUCUCGCGGGCAGGCGACGACUGUUACAGGCGCAUGCAUGCGAUCGUCCAUAGCCAGAUGGAUUAGAUCUCCGGCUGGGCGAGGUUGCAGGACGACAUGAAAGCCUCGUUUGAAUAGGCUACCGGCAUCAUCCGGCAACUAAGGGAGGGCAAUGAGAGGCUCCGGGCCGAGCACGACCUGCUGUGGGAGAAGAUCGUCCGAAGUGCAGACCAGCAGGAGGAGACCAGUGCCUUGUUGAAGAGGACCGGCAUCAUCGUCAAGAAACUUAUGGACGAGAAUGACAUGCUCCGCAACGAGCGCCAAAGGCUGGUGGAGGAAUCCGUGGAUGUUCUCAAGCAGUGUCUUGAGGACACGAAAGAGCUCAUCGCCGCUCGCCGCGGAGACUAGUUCCCGCGGCCUGCAGCAACGCAUCAAGAAAGUAGAGAUCAGCGAGCCAGAUCCUUGUCUUCCUUCUUCUUUUGCCCUUGGGCGUAGCCGCAUGUGGCUUUUUUAAUUAUCUUUCUGAUUAUGUAAGACAAUUAAUCGUCCUUAUCUUUCUGUGGAAGAUCAAUGUUGCGAGGCUGGAAUGAAGAAAACUCUUGCUGUGGCGACCCUGGCGUUGUUGUUCUUCUUGUUGCUGCUGGGCUUCCUUCAGUUUCCUGGUUUCUUUUGAUGUAAUAAUCGGUUUAGGAUGUGGAUUGUGUCGUCGGUUGUGAAAUGUUGGGUUCUAGCGCGGAUGUUUGGCCUUUGUUGGCCUCUUGGGAUGUUGUGAUUUCAAUCUGGUAGCUUUUAGUCCUUCGUGUUAGGCUGGAGUUGUGCUGAACUUGUUGUGAAUUGUGGUGGUUUUCAGUAAUGAAAAUUGGAAGGGGCAAGCCCUUCUUUGAUAAAAAAAUUAAUCGUCCUUAUAUAGUCAUCAGUCUUGCUAUAAGUCGCAGUAGAUGCUAUAUAGGUUCGUCGGACCUUACAUCAAGAUCCGUGCUUUCAGAUUUUCUUUUUUCUCUCUUAAAUCUCAGUCGAGUGAGACAUAGCCACACCAUUAAACAGAGGCUCGGGCGCCAUUAAUGGAGACCUUGGGAGAGAGGUGGACAGCAGAUGGAGGUCAAAGGGCUCUCCUCCCGAUAAGCACGCGCAGGGGUCUGAUCGCACGCCUCUCGUACUCAAAUAGCUACCCUGCACGGCGCCUCCUAGCUAAUAAAAAUGGGGAUGCGUGGCGGCACGUAACUGGUACUAGUAAGUAGAACGCCCACGGUUUCAAUAAUGCUUGUGUUUCCGAUUGUAACGUGACAACAGUUGUUCCAAAAUGACUUUGUUGAUUGUUAAUGUGUGCGCCUUCGCAAAUCGGACUACAAAUUUACCACAGCAUGUUGGUGCCAUGUCAUGGCACCAAGCCAAGUUUCAUUAUUUUCAUGCGUGUUUUGGAUUUACAGGAAUUAAAAAACUAAGUUUCUCAAUGUUUCCAACCCAGCCACGACGCCCAGAAUUUUGAAUUUCAUUCCCAUUUCUUGCAUGGAACCUAGAAAUUUACCCGAGGACACACAUGUGAUUUUUCAACCAACUUUGGUGCACUGGAACAUGUGCUUGUAUUUCAAAUUUGAAUUAUGCACACAAAGGUGACACGUUCCCUCCCAGAACCACGAGCCUUCUUGAGAGAAGCUCCGAUUUGCAAGAAGCUUAUACCAAAAUUUGUUCCUAUUCGGCCAAUUUUUUUACCACGGCAUGGUACUACCAUGACAUGACACCAUGCCAAGUUUCAUGAUUUUAAAACCAAGUUUCUCAAUGUUCUCGACCGAGCCACGAUGCCCAGAUGUUUGAAUUUUAUUCUCAUUUUUUGCAUGGGACCUACUCCCUCCUUCCAUCUAUAUAGGGCCUAAUGUGUUUUUCAAGACAGCCUUUGACUAUUGACAAGAUUAAUAGCACAUGAGAUGUAUACUAUGAAAAUUAUAUUAUUGGAAGCUCCUUUGACAUACAAAUUUGAAGGUGUGCUUUGUGUAAGUUGCAUGUCAUAUAUUAUUGCUCUAACGUUUGGUCAAAGUUAGCCUCGAAAAACGCAUUAGGACCUAUAUAGAUGGAAGGAGGGAGUAGAAAUUCACCCGAGGACACAAAUGUGAUUUUUCAACCAACUUUGGUGCACGAGAGCAUGUGCUUGUAGUUCAAAUUUGACUUAUGCACAUUAAAUGACCAGAAACUCAAUUAAUGUAUAAAAAAGACAAACGAACCCGGAAUAAUUCCAAAAUUUAACAGGGCACUAAUGUAGUUCUAUGUUGCCUUUGUUAAGAAACUCAAGGGGGGGGGCAGCGUAUAUCGUUUCACACUCAAAGGUGGCACGUUCCCUCUUAGAACCACGAGCUUCCAAAUCGGCCCAAUUUUUUACCACAACAUGUUAGUGCCAUGACAUGACACCAUGCCAAGUUUCAUGAUUUCCAGGCGAGUUUUGGAUUUACAUGAAUUUAAAAUCAAAGUUUCUCGAUGUUCUCGGCCGAGUCAUGACGCCCAGAUGUUUGAAUUUCAUUCUCAUUUCUUCCAUGGGACCUAGAAAUUCAACCAAGGACACACAUGUGAUUUUUCAACCCACUUUGGUGCACCGGAGCAUGUGCAUGCAAUUCAUAUUUAGAUUAUGCACAUUAAAAGUCUAGAAACUCAAUUAAUGUAUAAAAAGGCCAAAUCAACCCGAAAUAAUUCCAAAAUUUAACAGGGCACUCAUAUAGUUCUAUGUUGCCUCUGUAAAUAAAAUCAGGGGGAGGCAGCGUAUAUCGUUUCGCACACAAAGGUGACACGUUCCCUCUCGGAACCACGAGGCUUGUUGAGCGAAUCUCCGGUUUUGCAAGAGGCUUAUACCAAAACUUGUCCCAAUUCAGCCAAAAAUUAUACGUAUGAAAACAGGGUUUAGAUUAUCCCAAACAUCUCGUUACCUAGACCAAUAAUGUACUAUGAUUUGAAUUCAACAUAAAAUGGAUACAAAUAUUUGAAUUGGAGAGCUUAUGGUACAUGUAGUUCAUAGUGAAAUAUGAUUCUGCUAUAUGUAUGUUUUUUGUUAUCAAGGUAAUAUUUAAAUUAUUGUAUAACUUGACAACAAUCGUAUUCAAAUAAGGAAAAUUGAUUCAAAUUUAGUCCAUAUGGUAGACGACAAUAUAUAUGUUCACAUGGUGGAGUAAAAUGUUCAUAUAUGAUGGAAGAUCAAAAUGUACGACUACAUCAAUUAUAAACCGCAAGGUCACCUAACGAUAUAUUCGAAUUCAACAUAACGUGGAUUCAAAAAUUGAAAUUCGAGAUCAUGGCAUCUGUAAUCAUAUAAAAAGGGACAUUACUCUUUCUUUGGUGGGAAUUGAUUUGUUUUUUGUUGUUGUUGAGGGAAGUGCGAAUCGAUUUGGUACUGUGCAAGGUAAUCUUGUUCUCCCGAUUUUUUUACAUUUUUCUUGUAGUAUUUUAAUGGCAUCUAUAGCAAUAUAGUAAAAGGGGACAUGACUCUCUUGUGUCUUGUAUGAAUUGUUUUUUACACGUUAAGUUUGUUCUGCCGAAAAAGGAAUCCGCACCUUGUUAUCCCGAAAUGUUCAAGCUCGAGUAUCUUUUGUCUCACCUGCUUUGAAACUCCCGCUUCUUCAACCCGCGCCGCGCCUUGUUAUCCCGAAAUUUGGACGCGCGCGAGAACUCCCUCCUCAUCCGAAAUUGCUCCCGCAGCCCAGACACGCGAAAUCCCCCUUCUACCCCUCAGCCGGAAAUGAAGCUCCACGUCGUGGUGUCAAAACCGGUGGGGGUACGCUGGUAACUUACCCUACAUUUCGGACAAGCGCGUCCCUAAGCUUGGCUCCCCCUCCCCCUUCGCCCCCCCAUUCGUACACCGAGGCCGCCAAAACCCGCGAAACCCCACGCUCCUCCGUCGGCCUCCCGACCGCCGCCCAGCCGGAGACUCUUCCACGACUACGUCGUCCACCGCAACAGCUCGCCGUCCCUCAUCCACUGCACCGGAUGAGGAUCCGUUGUCGAUCUCGUCGUCCCGCCGGAUCAGCCGCCCCGUCCUCCACCUCCAAGGAGCUGCCCCUACGUUCGCCUCGUCUAUCGCGCCACCUCAAUCCCCAUAGCGUCGUCUUGACCUGCCCCACCGGAACCACAGCACCCUCACCAAUUCCUCCGAUGAAGCUGAGGCCAACUCGGCGCCACCAAGGAGGUUCUGCGCUCACCGCUGCAUUUUAUCUUUUAUUCGAUCUCAUGGGGCUGCCGGUGCUCGAUACCGAGCAGACAUGGCAUGUCUCCAUCGACGGCGCCGUCGCCGGCCACAUCAUCCAUGGCGUCUCUCCCCCAUGGAUGACUUCCACAACGCUGUUGCUUCCUUGGCGGCGACUUCCACAACGGCACUAGCUGCAGCUGCUCCGGCUCUCGCUCGCGCUGCAGCUCUGUUCUUGUUGUCGGUCGCGCUGCUGCACUGCUCCUGCUUUCGUUCGUGCUGCUACUCUGCUCUUGCUCUUGCUUGCGCUGCUGCUGCACGACCUCCGACAGCUACAGGAGUUGCUGCUUUAGCACUCGCUCGCGGUGCUACUGCACGACUUGCUCUCUGCUAGUGCGUUCCCUGCUCGAGCGUCUGCUGAUUUACAUCACUGCUUCUCUGCUACUAGUGCUCGAACGCCCUAAACAUCUAUUGCAAUGCUCUGUUACUAGUUCAAUCAGUUUCGACAGUAAAAUUCAGUUUCGACUAUGAAGUUCAUUUUCUUCAGUUAAGUUCAGAGUGAACAGUACUUACAGCAUCUGUCGGAGCGGCCGUGGCGCGGCUGAUGCGUUUUACAUCUAGCAAUUUUUGGUGAUGUAUUUUACAUCAUCUAUUGCAGAUGAUAUUAGGGUCCCACUUCAGAUUAACGUUGUCUGUCUUGUCAUGCUUCAGCCUCGUCGCCGUACACCUUAGCGGAGCUGCUCCAACGACGGAACCGUCCAUCACAGCGGAGCAGUACCCUCGGCGUCGUUUCCAGAGGCCUCGGAUCUUCUUCCCCGCCUCCGACAGUCACACCAGCAUCAUCACCAUCCUCCACGUCCAACCCAAUGAUGCUGAGGUCCACAAGGCUAUGCCAAAGAGGUUGUACACUCGUCGCAUCACUUUGUUUCUCCAUUCCUCUGUUCUUCCAACUCAUGUGAGCCAAACACCCAGGUUGACUGAAAUCCUAUGUUUCCAAAUGCUCUGUUUUGCACGUGCAUUCCUAUCCUAUUCCUGUGUUUUUCCUGUCCCUGCGUUUAUAGAAUCCUCCAAUUCUAAGGAGCCCUUACAGAUUUACUUCAUUUUCAGAUAGGCGUCAAAGAAAACUCUGUGUGUUAUGUCCUGCUCCUGCCGUGCCGUCAUCCACCCCACCUGAGGUGCACCAUCGACAGAAGCGUUCACUGCAGCAGAGAUCCCCCCUGCAGACUUCCUUUCGCCGCCUCAGAUCAUCUUCCCCGUUGCCGGCAGCCACGCCACUGCAUUACCAUCAUCGACUGAGAAGAUGAACCUGAGGACUACACAGUUCCGGAAGAGAGGUCGCAGUCUUUCGUGUUUGCUUACGUUAUACAUCGAUUAUUAUUACCUGCUACUUUAUCGUUCAAUCUUGAGUUUUGAAUUGACCAUGGGUCUCAUAUCAAGCCAGCAAUGAAUAGUAUCUGUCUACUAUCUGGUUCAGCUGGGGUCUUCUAUGUGGUUCAUGUUGGGUGGGCAACAAACAAUAGAUGAUCCAUUGUCUAUCUUUUUAAACUGAAGCUAUAAUCUACCAGCUAUCAUUAGUUUUGGAUCCAUCCACUCAUUUGCUACCAUGAGUCUUGAUUUUUGCAUGCACCCCUUAGGCCUUACAAAAUCUAGCUAUUUUUUUAUUAUGCAUGUCAGAUAUUGUACACAAUCGUACUGAACAUGUAGAGAAAAAGAGAAGACCGUUGCGUGCGAAUAUAAUGUCAUGCAGACGCCGCUCCAUGGUGGGCGAAGUGCCUCCCCUCCUACAUUUCUAGAUUGUAUUCCAGAGGAAGAUAACUGUUCAGAUGGAGAUUCAGAAGGAGCCGACCACGCCUGUUUACCACCUGAGGUGUUUGCUCUAACCUGGCAUGCUGAUGUUGGUCAUGUCAUGCAUAUGGCGCCUUGCAUUGCUUACAUUAUACAUCUUAUAUGUCAUCAGCUUAGUUUAGAUUUGCUUUGUGUGAAUGCCACCUGUUUGGUUUCUAUAUCAUACUCCCACCAUUCCUAAAUAUUCGUCUUUUAAGAGAUUUCAACAAGUGACUACAUACGGAACAAAAUGAGUGAAUCUACACUCUAAAAUAUGUCUAUAUACAUCCGGAUGUGGUAGUCCAUUUGAAAUCUCUAAAAAGACAAAUAUUUAGGAAUGGAGGGAGUAUAUGGGAAUUAUGCAAUGCCAUCUUCUUUAGCCAGGCAUCAUAUACGUGAAUCAUGCAAUGCCAUCCUGUUUAGCCAGUCAUCGUAUAUGUGAAUUGUAUUGUGCCAUAUUUUUUUCCAUAAUGUAUUCCAUUUGUCAACAAUGUUUAUACAUUCAUCUACUCUUCCUGUGCAUCAGCCAUUUGAGUCGGUCAUGGGAAAAUCUGGAGUGAAAACAAGGUCUUCCGAGUAGUCAGUGCUACCUGUUGAUGCAGAUUUCUUGCUGGUUACAGAUAGCUCCUCAGAGGAGGAUUCAGAGAGAGAUGACCAGUCGUAUUCCCCCACCCCCCGAGGUGCAUGCUCUAACUUGGCUGGGUUAUAUUGCUCAUAUCAUGCAUAUGGUGUCUUGCAUUGCCAUGCCAUCUGCUUAGAUUAGACAUGCUUUGUGUGAAUGCCUCCUGUUUGCUUUCUAUAUCAAAUAUGUGAAUUAUGCAAUGCCAUGUUUUUCAGCCAGUUAUCAUAUAUGUGAAUUACGCACCGCCAUGGAGCCAGGCAUCAUAUAUGUGAAUUAUCUCAUGCCAUCUUUUUUUUCAUUACGUAUUCCAUUUGUCGACAAUCUGUGUAUAUUGAACUACUCUUCAUGUGUAUCAGUCAUUUGAGCCGGUUAUGGAAAAAUCUGGAGUGAAAACAAGGUCUUCAGAACAGGCAAUGGUACCUGUUGAAGCAUAUAUCUCGAUGGUUACAGGGAGCUCCUCAAAGGAGGAUUCAGAGACAGAUGACCAGUCCUAUAUCCCACCUGAGGUGUAUGCUCUAAGUUGCAAUGUUUAUAUUUCUCAUAUGAUGCAUAUGGUGUCUUGCAUUGCUUAGUUUAGACAUCAUAUGCACAAUAUUGAAUUCUAUCUGCUUAGUUUAGAGAUCAUACAUGCGAGUGCCAGCUGCUUAGUAUAUGAAUCAAUUAUGUCAAUUAUAUCAUGCCAUCCUGUAUACUUAGACAACAUGUAUGUGAAUUAUUUCAUCCCAACCUAUUUUAGAAAGACAUCAUAUAGUUUUGUCAUGUCAUCCUGUUUAGGUACUCAUCAUAUGUUGAAUUAUGCCAUUAUAUCCUGUUAGGUUAUCCAUCAUAUAUCUGAAACUGUGUCAUGCUAUCCUGUUUAGUUAGGCAUCAUAUAUGUGAAAUUGUGUCAUGCUGUCCUGUUUGAUUAGACAACAUAUAUGUGAAUUACCACAUCUGUCUAUCAUACAAUGUCUGUACGUUCAAUUUCUUUUCUUGAUUAUCAGCCAUUUGAAUUGGAGGGGGUGAUGGCAGUAUCUAAGGGAGAAAAAACCCGUUCUUCACAAAAGACAGUGCUACCCGUCGAUGCAGAUAGAACCAUGGUUGUACUGGCCCACAAACUAGCCCCACCGCACAUAAUCGAGACUCUUCCAGAUUGCACACUUACACCGUUGGGCAGAGAACCAGCUACAACCCAUCUAACCGCAACCCCAGCGGAUAGUAGCCCACUUAUAGUUGACAAAGCACCAUGUCCACCACAUAGUACCCCCACACGAGCAGUUUGUAAAGCUACUGCAGUGCCCAGAGCACGAAGACCACCACAGCUAACCCAAACUCCACGUUUAAAGCAGAAGAGCAACUGUUCUCAGGUCAGAUUCCGUAGCUAUGGUCCAUACUCCUUGCUGUUGCAUCACUGUAUUUACUCAUACCAACUACUUUCGAAUUUGAAGGAUCCAAUUGAAACUCCAAUGGCGCAACAGGUAUGUUUUAAACCUAUUUCUUUAACUGGAUUGCUGUUCUAACUUCUUGCUCUAUCUUGAUUUCAGUUUAAGUUGUAUAAACAGUUAUGUUCUCAUGUGAUGCACAUUACAAGUGCUGCCAAUGUUGUGUAGUUUCUCACAUUUAUAUUCUGUCUUUGCUGCUGUGUCUUAAAAAUAUAUGAGUUGAACUUUGUCUCUAUCUUGAUUAGGUAACAUAAACUAGAAUGAUAUGGACAAUACAGUGACCAUAGUACAUAGAUAUAUGUUUGUUUCAUGCUGUUAUCAUGUCCACCUUACUACUGAACCGGUUUACCAAAAUGAGUUUCGUAUACUACAAGCUAAACAUGUGAUGUGUCUGCUUGUUUCUCUUGUAGUAUGCAAACAGAAUGUUGGAGAAGAGCACCCCACUAUGCAAUGGUAGAGAAAGUAAUGCAGAUAAGGUUCAAGAUAGUGAGACAACCCUGUUGGUCUCCAAGAAAGGUGAUAAAAACGAUCUUGUAGACAGUGAGAAAACCCCACAGUCCUGCGUUGAUGUAGUGUUCGAGUUACUGGCCAGUACCGCUGGCACAAGCUCUUCGAACUCGCUGCCUGAAUCACUUCGGCUUCUUCAGUCUCAGCUACAAGCUGAAAGGCAUCAGUCAGCUGUGCUGCGGCAAGAAGCCGAAGGACUGAGGAAGUCCCUGCAGAAUUCAGAUGCGUACUUUCUUGUGCAACAGCAAGCGCUGGAGGAUUUAAGCGCAAACAAGAGAAAGUUAAUAAGCUUGCUAAGCAUCUUGCCAGCAUUAUGGGUACCCAGGAUAUUGUUUCUUGAACUCUUCUGAAGUGGUUUCAGUUCUGGACUUGUUUUGCUGCGGCGUUUAUAUGCUGCUUUGUUCCCUAUAUUUGCACUGGUGGCGAACUUUGAUGGCCAGUGGAUGUAAUAUGUGUAAUAGCCGUGAUAGCCUAGCAUAAGUUGCUUGCUUAUUUAUUUCCUUGUUGUCUUGUUUAUUUGUUUGCUUGUAGUCAGUGCAGUUCUUUUUCCGCGGUUUGCUAGUGGCUGCAAUAACCUAUUUUUUAAAACUAGGCCACAAUAACCAUGGGCUAAUAUUUACUGUAGUGACACUGGGCCUCCUAAGGGCCAUAGAAACAGUGGGCCUUCUACGGGCCGUAGAAACAGUAGGCCUUCUACGGGCCGUAGAAACAAUGGGCCUUCUACGGGUCGUAGAAACAAUGGGCCUUCUAUGGGCCGUAUCAUCAAUGGGCCUUAUACGGGCUGUAUGAUCGAUUGGCCAAACAUGGGCCAAUAACAGGCCGCAUUAUGGCCGUAAACGGGCUAGAGUUGGAAUCGUCCGUUCAUGGGCCGACCAUAAUGGGCCAUCGUUAAUAGGCCGUAUUUGAUGACGCUAUGAAAACGGCCCAACGUAUUAACGGACCACAAACGGGCAGACUGUAACCACGGGCUGAAUUUGGCCCAGAAGCAGAAAAUGACAGUAACGGGCCGUAAGUAAACGAAUGCUGGAAAUGAGACCAAGAAUAAAUGGGCUCUGAGAAGGCCGAAAGAUAACAUGGGCUGGAAACGGCCCAACGGAAUAACGGGCCAUUAAUGGGUAUAAAGUGAUACACUGUUCAUUACGGGCCAGUUUCACCACGGGCCGUUAAUGGGUGUAAAGUGAUACAUUGUUCAUUACGGGCCAGUUUCACCACGGGCCGUUAAUAGGCCAAGAGUUACAUAGGGCCUCAUAUGGGCCGAAAGACGUCAUGGGCCAUACAUGGGCUAGAAGUGAAAACGGGCUGGAAUCAUAUUGGAUGGCCCAGAUGACGCUACUGGGCCUAAUUCGGAUAGGGCAUAACGGGCCUUGGGUUAGCGGGCUGUAAAUGGGCUAUAUGCGAACAAGCCGUUAACAGGCUUUCCAUGGGCCGGCCCGCCACCUUUUGACCAAGUCAAACGGGCCGGCCUUUUCACAGGAAUGGGCCUCUGUUGGGCCGUGCCACGUGUCGACGUAUCAUAGGCGCCUUCUGUCCAAUGAGUGGAUGACAUAUGUCCCAGCGAUGAGCCGACACGUGUUUCCUCCAGCCAAUGAUGAUUUUACACGUGGAAAAUCCCCAUUGGUCGGGGCUGUUAACGGGUUAUCGGAUCCAAAACCCGACCCGAUAGCUUAACGGCAUUCCGUUACGGAGGAUGCCACGUGUUGGUCACCCUUGACGAAAGCACUUCUGUGACGCGCGAUUUAUCAUCAUGGAAGUGCACACUUCCGUGAUGAUAAUUUUGGUAAUAUCAUGGAACACUUCUACGACAGCACAGGUAUGACUAUCUUGAUUCUGUCAUAAAAUCGUCAUGGAUGUACAUGCAUGACAAAAAAUGCGACCUACUGUGACAAACACGUAUCAUCAUGGAAGUGUAUUUUUUUGUUGUGAGUCGGGGCUCCCGCCCGAAGCACGGAGAACGAUGCUCGAGGUCUUGACGGGUGACCCCUCGCCAGCCGAUAUGCCGCAGGAUGGCUGUCUUUUGUACUGCUGCUCAAACAGGGUGGAGUUCGCGGGGCAGAUGCCCACCUUUGAUGAAUGGGGGCUGUGUCCAAUCGGCCUUGAAGGGCCCCACGAGAACCCUGUUUUCGUGGGCCCCCUCCUCGCCACCAGCGCUGAACUCACCCCGAGAGUGGAUGCAGGGGGCGAGCACAACUUGAGGCCGGGGGCGCUGAUGCUGACGUGUCGACGCUGCGCGAGGCUCUCGAGGUGCCAUCACCGGGAGCCCAUGACUCUUGUCCUGGGGUGACAGCCGAGGAGGCGACGCAAUCCGCUGCUCCUGAGGCCGAGGCUUCCGGGGUCUCAGCAGGUCACCAUGAGGCGGAGCCCGAGGGCUCCCCUCAGCCGGGCACUCAUGAGGCCGCCUCAUCGAGCGCCUCACCAGCCGCGCCCUGCGCUGGUUACCGCAUCCAACGCUUCGGUCGGCUCCGUCUGGACUUCGACGCGCUCCGCAAGAGGAAAGUGUCUCCAAGCUGCAGCAGUGGUGUUGUCUAGCCAUUGAAGCAUAGGAAUUAUAUCGCCAUAGACGAGUGAGUACCUUAUCUUUGUAAUUUCUCGAGUGCUGCUUCCCCUCCUGAUAGUGGCUCCUCAGGGUCCCCCUGCUAAGGCCGCGAAGUCUCCUGAGAAGCGACUUCCUCCUGCCUCGACUCCUUCACUAGCCUUGAGCGCCCCAAGCCAGCGUGCCGCUCCUGGCGCGAGGUCGGCCGGAGAGGCAGACUCGCCUGCCUGGCGCCUCGAACCCGCGUCUUUGCUGUCCCUCCUUUGUGGCCUCACCUGGGGUAUGGCAAGCGUGCCAAGGGCUCCUCCUUUGGUCAUGGACGGCGGCUGGAUGGCUUCGAUCCUGGCUUCUACUUCGAGCAGUGGACCCUCGCCCAUCCAGGCCUCCGCCGUGGCCUAGACAGUGAUUGGGGAAGCGCCAGCCCCCAGCCCCCUGCUGGGAGGGAGGGAGCCGCCUCGGGCCCCUUCGGGGACCCUACUGCAGGAGAUGGGCCUGGUCGCGGACUCAAGCUUGCGCGUGAGCGGAGUGCCGUCCGCCACGAGCUCUUUCAGGAGGCAAUGGGUGCGAUGAUCCGGCUUGGCGGAGAACUCGCGGAUGUUGACAUGCGCCUUGAAGCCGAGGGUCUCCGGCGGGCGGAGGAGUGGCAUCAACUGAAGGUGGCCAUCAACUUCGGGCGCCUCCAGCGUGAGCAUGCCAACGCGGAGGCUGAGGCAUCCCUGGCAACCUCCUGCGAGGCCAGCGCCCGAGCCUUGGAGGAGGCCAGGGAGGCCGACCGUCGCUGCGCGAUCGCCGAGGAGCGCAGGCGGGAGCUCCUGGCCUUGAACGCCUCGUUGGAGCAGCAGGUGGAGGUGCGCAGAGCCGCCCUCGCGUCGAUGAAGGGGACGCCUGCCGAGGAGGAAGAGAUCCGGAAGCGCGAGGAGGCGCUGGCGCUGGAAGCCACGGAGCGCGACCUUGAGCUUGAGUGGUUGGAGACGAGGGAGCACCAGGUUGCCCAAGCGGAGGAUGCCGUUAACGCGUGCGAGGCGAGGAUCCAGAAGGAGGUCAACAUCAGGGUGGCGGAGGCUUGUGCUGACCUCGACAACAGGUAUGGGAUGAAGCCGGAGCUUGUGGGAGCUGAAGUUGAUGGCCAGGGUUCUGCCUUGAGGUCGAGGUUGGCAGAGGUGGAGCAGCGCGAGCAAGCUGCCGCUGCCGCCCUAAUCUCUGUGCAGGCCGAACUGGCCUCUGCCCGCGCCGAACUACUCCCACUCCAGCAGUGGGUCACCGCCGCUGAGUCCCUCGUGCAACAGAGCAGGGAGGAAGCGCUUUGGCGGCAGACGCUGGAGCGCGAGCACGCCCCCAUGCUCCAAGGCCUCAGGAUCAGAGCCAACGCGGCGCUGGGCAACAUCUGCGACGAACAUGCUCCUCAUCCCCACACGAACGACUAUGCCAGCCACCUCCGUUUUUUUGCUGAUGUGGUGACGCGCCUAGAGAGCCGAUCCGAGAGGGCUCGUGAGCUUGUUGAAGAGAGGAGCCGCGGCCUGCUCGGGCGCGCGUUCUCCUGCGUCUUCAGCCACCUCCAGAACACCUACCCCAACUUCGAUUUUGACGCCGCCAUUGCCCCUGUACCCGAGGCCAUCCGGGGCGACCUGGCUCGCUGGGUGGAAGACAAUGUGGAUGCUCUAGUCAGGGCCUUCACUUUCGAGGACGAUGCGGUGGUGGUCGCGGGGGAUGAAGGCGACGUGGUCAACAAUGGUGAGGGCGGCGCCGGCGAUGGUGACGGUGAUGCCAGCGACGGCAACGACAUCACCAGCAACGCGUCUGAGGGCGACCCGGAGGACGCGGUGAGCGACAUGUCUGAUUGAGCCCGUGUUUCCUCGUCGUUGACCCUACAUGCGAAAGCCCGGGCACAGCCCUGGAAGUUGUAAGAGCAUUUUGGGAGGGGGAGCCCCUCAUCUAAACAGAUUACUGCUUUUAUUCCUUAAGCCAAGCUGAAGAUGUGUUUUCUUGAGCCCACGAGUCCCGGUGCAAGCUUGCUGCUGUAAUUUACCUUAGCUAGGACGAGUUCUGAGCCGGCUUGUGAGGUCGUGAGCUUCUAAGGAGUCUGCCGCUCCGUCCGAGAGAGCCUCGCGAGAAGCAAGUGCCGGCCAGGGCAGGACGUGCGCACAGCGCGGGUGCGUCGCGCCCAGCCCCCGCUCGCGAGGAGCUCGCGAGGGGGGGAAGCAAGUGCGAACUCCGAAUCAAGGCAAGGAACCAGAUCACAAGAAAUCGCACGAACGAGAAAAGACACCCCCCGCGCAUACCAAUGAAAAUUCAACUUCAGACAUAAAUCCAAAGCCAGAAAACAAGGCUACAGAAAAGAGGUCAAAAGCAAAUGGCCGCGUCCGGCACCUAGCUAGGCUUCUGGUCUUCGAGUCUUCCACCAGCGCGGAGCAUAGCGCCUCCACUAGGACGUGGGCGGGAGCCCCCGAGGCCCGAGGGCGGCUCUCCGGAGACUCCGGGGCGUGUACAGCCCCACUCAUUAUUACGGGAGAGUGUCACGAGCGCAGACCUUCACAGGCGUGAGCCUUGCUUCAUAUCGCCAGACGAGGGCACCGCCUUGCGCCGCCCUCGACCACCGUUGGGGCGUCCGGAAACCAGGACGAUGCCAAGGGGCAGAGGGGACGCUAGCGGCGCCCUCGGCAACCACGGGUCCUCUGCCGGGGGAAGGCUCACCAGCGCCUCCUCGGCAGAGGGCCUACCUCCGGACGACGCCUUGCUCCGUGCGACGCGGGGAGGGGCCUUGCUCCUGGCUCCUCCUACGCAGCCCCCAGUGCGUCUUCCCCGGUGGGAGGGGGGCUGCCGUGAUGGGGCCGUCAUCCGGUGCUGUGACCUGGUUCACUUGCGACCCAUGGUUAGCGUAAGCCUGCUCUUGAGAGAUUAGCGGUACCCUGUAGCUGUUGUCGCCGGCGUGGUCAGCGAGGUUCCCGGGUGGCUCCUGGAAGGCCUCAACUUACAGCGUCUCCUCUUCCCAACCCAGCUCGAGAAAAGUGUUGGGGUCAUCUUCUGGCGUGUACUCCUGGUCCAUCAUGCGGGGCACAUAGGCCUCCGGUGCCAUCGCCCCGGAACCUUCGCUGAAGUGCCCCGCGCUCCAUGCUGCCUGGCUCGGAGUGCCGCUCUGAGGGUGGUAGGGCGGCAUCCUGCCCGGGCCAUGGGCGGCGAUGCUCACACCUGCGCCCAUUGGAGAAGGCAUGGGUGCAGUUGGGUGGCCAGCGUCGUUGGCUGUGUCGAUGCCGACGAAACCUCCGGGUGCGCCCGGGGGCGCGCGGGCGCGUCGAGGCCCACCGUGCGAUCCGGUCGCAGUCUGAGGUGUAAGCAAGGAGCAGAAAGGUGGCGUACCCCUGGCUGCAGCAUCCAAUAGCUCGGCGACGCGCUCCAGCAACGCGUCUCGGCCGCUCUCCAUCAGUCGGCAUCGCAGCAGCUCCCGAGCCACCGUGAGCGCGGCCCUCAUGUUUGCUUGUUCCCGUUGGGUGUGCGGCGCCGUGGCCGCAGCGUAGGUUGAGGCCCUUGCGGCUGCCCGUGCUUGCCGUGGAGUAAGGGUGGAUGGCGCUUGACCGUGCCGCCCGCGCCCCGCAGCGUUUGGUGGUGCGCGUGCCGCCUGGAGCGCGGGGUCGAGGUCUUCUUGGGCGGACGACGCCGCCUGGGCUGGCCAAGCUGCCCAGUGGUCGGCGUUGGUCCUCGGGUCACCAGAACCGCGGAGUGUCGGCGGAUCAGCUGGCGGAAGAGAGGCUCCGGCGCACCCCUACCUGGCGCGCCAAAUGUCGGAUUUCGGGUUCCGGAAAAUCCCUUGAGGUUCAAACACUGGGGUGCGUGAUCUCUCCCUCCCCCUAGCUCGCUCUCUCCAAGAUCGCCAGGCCUAGCGCGUCGAACCAAGAGAACAAAGGGACAUAAGAUUUAUACUGGUUCGGGCCACCGAUGUGGUGUAAUACCCUACUGUUGAGGAUAUAGACCUUAGAGUCACCCGCCAGGAGGGGCCGGGUUACUCAUAUGGUCAUUGCCAGAAGCCCGGUGCUAAGCUUGAAGACGGUGGGCCAAAGAUGGGCUUAAGACCCGGAUACGGCUUAAGGCCCGUAGUUACAAUCAUUAUUAUGGUAGAACUUGUAGUGUAAGGCAAGAGUAAUUGAGAGUCCGAGCCGGACACUCUUAUGAGCCGGCGGGGACUCUGAGAGCUGCUGGGCGUCAGCCUCCCUAUAUAAAGGGACGACCCGGCAGCGGUUUUGGGACAGGAAAGAUCUCAUCAAGAGCCAGGCAUUGCAGCUAAGCUCCCUGGCCCUCGAAACCCUAAUCAAUACCACCUCAACUGGACGUAGGCUUUUACCUUCACCGCAAGGGGCCGAACCAGUAUAACCCUCGUGUUCCUUGUCCCGUUAACCCCUUCAAGCUUCCUAGCGGCGAUGGCUCCACGACUAAGUCCUAGCUUGAGGACAUCUUCCGUGACAAUUCCACGACAGCUGACGCCCACCGUGGGGCCAGCGCACGGUGGAUUUGAGUUCUUGAAGGGCAGCUUCGAAGGGCUCAAGGGAUACGCUGUGGGCCGGAUGACCAAGAGUCGUAGCGGAAAGCUCUACAUCGACGAUGCAAACUGGGGCCCCGACGCCGGCUCAAUUGAGUACGGGUACCGGGUCCCCUUCGGCGGAAUUCAUGUUUUCAUUGGCAAGAUUGGUGAGCUGGGCCCUGAGCCAGAUCUCUGCGUCGUUCUCAUCGAGACGGCUCAGCGUGCACGACCCGCCCGGGCCCGGCCUGCCUUAAGGCAUGCUUUUGUGGGAUGCAUCCAUGGAGGGCCCUCUGAUCAAUCUGGAUCUGGUGAUGAGACGGCCGCCGGCUCUGACGGCGAGUCGUCCACUGAUGAGUCAAACUCGUUGUAUCAACUUCAAGAUGGCAGGCUCAUGGGUUGUUCCGAUGGUGACAGUAUUCCGGACCCGUUUGAGCCGCCAAAUCAGGUUGGAGUCUUUAUGGCCGGUGCACAGCCUGUUCAGAACCCUGCUGCUGGAGCGGGAAACCCGGUGCCCUCACCGGCUCAGGUGCUAAUGGAUCUCACGGACAAGAUGACGGCCCUGUUAACCGCCACGGUUGACCCGGCGGAUCAAGCUCAGCAUGAUGUGGAGGUGGCACCGUUAAAGUUGGAUCUAGUGAAAGCUAAGGAGGAUCUGGCAGCAGAAGGGAUCAGGAUGGCUGCGGAAAGGGCGGCUCUCGACGCCCAAACCUAGUUGAUUCAAGCGCAGUCCUUCCGGCUCACGAUGGAUCAAAACGCGUCCAAUGAGGUCCUGAGAAGGAGGCAUCAAAAGGCCCAAUCUCGACUCCCUCCGGUUUACGAUCCACGAAACCUCUUCAACACGCCAGGUGCAGGGUCUAGUAACCCGCCGGGGGUCAUAGUGCCCGGAUCCGGGACCCCUACUCAGCCACAAGUGAUGGGGCCUCCCCAGAUGCCCCCUGCCCCGCCUCAGUACGUGCCAAUACCACCAGGUCAUUAUGCCAACCCGCUGGAGAACACGGUCGCCGCGGCAGCACGGCUGGCGGCUCUCCCAAUUGACGGCGACUCUCCGACGGCUAUUGAAACCCGCCGGGUCAGGGAACUCCUUCAGACGGCACUGGCGCAGCAAGAGGCGUACUCCUACAGCCGGGACAGGAUCCACUCGACCCCUCGUCCAGGCCGGAGCCCGAGUUACAGCAGACACAUGGUCUCAGCGACCGGCUCAAGUAACGUCCGACGCCAUGAACCGCCCCCUGGCCAUGGCCCGGCUCAUAACGGAGCCUUUCACGCGGCAGGCCAAGACAGAGCGCGGCAAGAGGCGGAACAGGUGCCUCAGCUGACGGCUUACCAAACUCCCCCGGCUUAUCCGACGACUUCCGUCGACGGGGGUAUCCCUACCAGGACUGGGGGUGUCCCUUGUUUAGUGCCAGCUAUCCGCAAUGAACGUCUACCCAAGGACUUCAAAGGCCCUAGGAAGGUGCCUAAUUACACGGCAGACUUACAACCCGCAGCCUGGAUCAAGAGUUAUGAGAUGGCUAUGGAACUACUGGAGGUCAGUGAAGCGGCCAUGGCUAAGUACUUCACCAUGAUGUUAGAUGGGACUGCCCGCACUUGGUUGAAAGGGCUACCACCGAAUUCCAUUGGGUCUUGGGCUGAGCUGAAGGCCCGGUUCAUCCAAAACUUCAAGGAUACCUGUAGGCAGUCUAUGUCAAUUGUGGAUUUGACUAACUGCAAGCAGCAGGAGGGUGAGUCUAAGACACAUUGGGUUCGCCGGGUUAAGGAGAUAAUACAUUCCUCGGAUAAGAUGGAUGUCGGCUCUGCAGUCUUAAUGUUGGAGCAGAAUUGUCGUUUUGUGCCCCUGAAGAUGAAACUCGGGCGGCUUAAGCGCGACUGCAAUGAUAUGGGUACACUGAUGGCGGCUCUGGUCAAGUACGCCGAUUCUGAUGGUACCAAGGACCCCGCUUCAGAUGAUGAAAGGGCAGGGAAGGGAAAGAAGAACGGCAAUGGCAAGGGUCCUCAGCAUAACCCGGGAAACCAAGGAGGAGGCAAGCGCAAGGCCGAUGGCAGCCUAGAGUUUGUAGCCAACGCCAGCUCACAAGGUAAUAACCAGCGGCGCAAGGGGAGGCUUCCUCCCCGAGGCGGCGGGUCAGGCCCGACGCUGGAGCAGCUGUUGAAUGAGCCUUGUCCAAGGCAUGGCUCUAGAGAGAAGCCAGCGACUCAUCUAUGGAAGGAUUGUGCAAUCAUGAAGGCCUUUAAGAAUUACAAUGGCCCGGGCGGCGGCUCAGGCGCCGGCGGCUUUCAUGGCCCGGGCGGCGGCUCAAAUUCUAAUCCUCAGAACGGUCAAGGGGGCUUUAAUCAGCAGUCUGGCCAGGGUCAUCAACAGCAGCAGGGAGGUUAUCAGACCAAUCCAAAGCAGCUUAGCGGUGGACAGUAUCAUGUGUUUACCACCAGUAUGUGUAAGCGAGAUCAGAAGCUUCAUAAGAGGGUUGUGAAUGCUGUUGAGCCGGCGGUUCCACGCUACUUACGGUGGUCUGAGCAGCCUAUAGUGUGGAGUAGGGAGGAUCACCCUCCCCGGGUGGAUAAUCUAGGUCACUUGGCCCUGGUGGUGGCUCCUCAGGUGGGAGGAUAUAAGUUCACUAAGGUGCUCAUGGAUGGAGGCAGCAGCAUCAACAUCCUCUAUUAUGAGACAUUUCGUCGUAUGGGGUUGAUUGAUAAGAAUCUCAGCCAAUCAAAUACUAUUUUCCAUGGUGUGGUACCUGGUAAGUCGGCUUAUCCAGUCGGCAAGAUCGAGUUGGAAGUGGCCUUUGGAGAUGAGCACAACUACAGGGUGGAAAAAUUGACCUUUGAGGUGGUCAAGAUAAGAAGUCCGUACCAUGCCAUAUUUGGGCGGCCGGCUUACGCCAAGUUCAUGGCACGGCCGUGUUACGUGUAUUUACAGCUCAAGAUGCCGGGUCGUAAUGGGACCAUUACGGUUCAUGGAAGCCGGAAGGUGGCCCUGGAGUGUGAGGAAGGCGAUGCAGCUUAUGCAGAAUCUGUUUGUGCAACAGAGGAGUUAAAGUUUUACAAGGACAACGUUGACCCAACAGAUAUGACCUCUCUGAAAAAGCCGACUACGGAGCAUGAGCCGGCAAUGAAAUUCAAGUCGGCUGAUGAGACUAAGCUUGUUGAUUUCGUUCCAGGAGAUUCAUCUCAGCAGUUUAGCAUCAGUGCCAAUCUGGAUCCAAAAUAGGAAAGCGCGCUCAUCGAGUUCAUCCGUGAGAAUAGGGACAUCUUCGCAUGGAAACCUUCUGACAUGCCAGGUGUACCUAGAGAACUCGCUGAGCACACUCUCAAUGUUGACCCGAAAUUUAAGCCGGUCAGGCAGUUCCUUCGACGGUUCAAUGAGGAGAGGCGGAAAGCUAUUGGUGAAGAGGUGGCCCGGCUCUUGGCGGCCGGGUUUAUUGUUGAAGUCUUUCACCCAGAAUGGUUAGCUAACCCGGUCCUCGUGCUCAAGAAGAACGGCACUUGGCGGAUGUGUGUGGACUACACAGACUUAAACAAGGCGUGUCCGGCUGAUCCUUUUGCCCUUCCCCGUAUUGAUCAAAUUAUUGAUGCUACGGCAGGUUGUGCGCGCUUAAGUUUCUUGUAUGCUUAUUCCGGAUAUCAUCAGAUUAAAAUGGCAGUUAAGGACCAGGAGAAGACGGCAUUCAUCACUCCCUUUGGAGCCUUCUGCUAUGUGUCUAUGCCCUUUGGACUCAAGUGUGCACAGGCGACUUACCAGCGUUGUGUACAGAACUGUCUUCAUAACCAGAUUGGGCGCAAUGUUCAUGCUUAUGUGGACGAUAUUGUGGUUAAGUCCAUAAAAGAGGAAACCCUGAUAGAUGAUUUAAGGGAAACCUUUGAUAAUCUCCGGGUCUACAAGAUGAUGCUUAACCCGACCAAGUGUGUUUUUGGUGUUCCUGCAGGCAAACUCUUGGGUUUCUUGGUUUCUAACAGAGGCAUUGAAGCUAACCCGGAGAAUAUCAAAGCCAUCACCUCCCUGGCUAAGCCGGCGUGUAUAAAUGAUGUUCAGCGCUUGGCGGGUCGCAUCGCUGCUUUAAGCCGGUUUAUAAGCCGUUUGGGUGAGAAGGCCAUGCCAUUAUAUCAGUUGAUGAAGAAAACUGAUAACUUUGUCUGGAAUGAUGCAGCUAAUACUGCCUUUGAGGAUUUGAAGAAGCAGCUGGCAGAGCCCCCAGUCCUUGCUGCUCCGGUUGAUAAGGAGCCCUUAUUGCUGUAUGUGGCUGCUAACACACGAGCCGUCAGUGUGGCCGUGGUGGUGGAGCACAAGGAAGAGGGUAAGGAGCAUCCGGUUCAGCGGCCGGUUUAUUAUGUCAGCGAAGUGCUCAUUGAGUCCAAGCAGCGGUAUCCGCAUUGGUAGAAGCUUGUUUGUGGUGUGUUCAUGGCGAGCCGGAAACUUAAGCAUUAUUUCCAGGGUCAUCCCAUCACUGUGGUCAGUUCUGCCCCUCUUGGUGAUAUCAUCCAAAACAGAGAGGCCACAGGGAGAGUGGCUAAGUGGGCUAUAGAGCUUGGACCUCAUGGUCUGAAAUACGUGCCACGCACUGCUGUUAAGUCUCAGGCCUUGGUGGAUUUCAUCAAUGAUUGGACAGAGUCACAAAUGCCCGAGCAAAAGCCGGAUAACACAUACUGGACUAUACACUUUGAUGGGUCCAGGCAGUUGGAGGGCUCGGGGGCUGGAGUCGUGUUGGCUUCCCCUAAGGGUGAUAAGUUCCAUUAUGUGCUACAAUUGAUGUUUCCUUGUACCAACAACACAGCUGAGUACGAGGCCUUGCUCCACGGUCUUCGGAUGGCUAAGGAGAUGAGCUUGAGCCGGGUAAGGUGUUUCGGUGACUCAGACUUGGUGGCUCUACAAGUAUCAGGCAAAUGGGACUCUAAGGACCCUCUCAUGGCGGCUUAUCGCCGCGAAGUUGAUGCCAUUGUUGGGCACUUUCAGGGCUACCAAGUAGAGCACAUUGAUCGCAGGAAGAACGAGGCGGCUGAUGCCCUAAGCCGGCUGGGCUCUCAGCGAAAGCCGGUGCCGCCUAAUACUUUCCUGGAUGUCCUGUAUAACCCUUCUGUUAAGUUGCCUACAGAGGAAGACUUGGCUGUCCCUGACCUGGAGGCACGAUUGGUGGCGGCUCUCCACAUCAUACCGGACUGGACAACGCCCUAUCUGGCUUACAUGACCCGGGGAGAGUUGCCUGAGGAUGAAACAUUGGCCAGACAAAUAACCCGGCGGGCUAAGUCAAUGAUUGUUAUCGAUGGCGAGUUGCAUCACCGCAGUGUUACGGGAGCAUUCCAGCGUUGUGUCUCCCCUGAGGAAGGUCAAGAGAUCUUGCGUGAGAUUCAUGAAGGGGAUUGUGGCCAUCACGCCGGCUCAAAAUCUCUUGUGGCCAAGGCUUUUCGUCAUGGUUUUUAUUGUCUGACGGCUCAUGCUGAUGCGGAGGACUUGGUCAAUAAAUGUGAUGGUUGCCAAAGGUUCUCACGACGGGCUCAUGUGCCGGCUCAGGAGCUGAGGAUGAUCCCAAUUACUUGGCCCUUUGCGGUCUGGGGGCUUGAUAUGGUUGGGCCUUUUAAAAGGUCCAAGGAUAAGAAGACCCACCUCUUGGUGGCAGUUGACAAAUUUACCAAGUGGGUUGAAGCGGAGCCAGUUAGCAAGUGUGAUGCAGCCACGGCGGUUCAAUUUAUGAAAAAGGUGAUUUUUCGCUUUGGCUUUCCGCACAGCAUUAUAACUGACAAUGGCACCAAUCUAUCCAAAGGCGCCAUGGAAGAAUUUUGUCAACGAGAGCAUAUCCGACUUGAUGUUUCCUCAGUGGCUCAUCCUCAAUCCAAUGGUCAAGCUGAGAGAGCUAAUCAGGAGAUUCUGAAGGGCAUCAAGCCCCGUCUUUUGGUCCCUUUGCAACGGACGCCGGGUUGUUGGGUGGAGGAGUUGCCCUCCGUGUUAUGGAGCAUCAACACUACUCCUAACAGGUCUACAGGUUUUACGCCUUUCUUCAUGGUUUAUGGGGCAGAAGCAGUCCUCCCCAGUGACAUCCGUCAUGACUCGCCUCGAGUGGCGGCUUAUGUUGAGGCGGAUAAUGAACAGGCGCGCCAAGAUGCUCUUGACUUGUUGGACGAACAGCGUGAUGUGGCAGCAGCCCGCUCAGCGAUUUACCAACAAGACCUGCGCCGUUAUCAUAGUCGCCGGGUUAAAUCCCGGGUCUUCCAGGAAGGCGAUCUCAUGCUCCGGCUCAUCCAAGAUCAAACAGAUGCGCACAAGCUAUCCCCGCCUUGGGAAGGGCCCUUUGUGGUCAGCAAGAAUUUGCACAACGGGUCAUAUUACCUCAUUGACAUUCGGGAGCACAAAGAUUCACGUAAGUCGGAGGAAGAGACCCGUCGGCCGUGGAACAUAGCUCAGCUUCGGCCUUACUACACUUGAGCCACCGGCUCUCAUAAUGUACAUAUUUCUCUAAGCCAUGUAUAUAUCGUGAUAAGCAAUAAAGCAGGACCUCUGUCCUUUUUUCUCCUCCAAAUGUGCAUGUGUUGUUUUCAUUGCAAGAUUACAUGAUAACUUGAAGGAGGAUCCGGCUUAUGAUCAUAUUAGAAUCUAGCCGUAAGCAAUAAGGUCACUUGGGGGCUUCCUGUUCAAACAUAGGUCGUAUUCGAACCAAAGAGAACAUAGCUGUCGAUACCCAUUUGAUUGGCAAAGUGCCGAGCUCAUUGGGGAAUUUUCUUUGAUCAUAUUUGAAUCUUAGUUUAACCCCUUUGAGAACCGACGUGGAUCGUAUUCGAAUCAGCGUCGUUAAACAAUUCUUAAAGUCAUUUAUGGGCUUCCUGUUCAAACAUGGGUCGUAUUCGAACCAAAGAGAACAUAGAUGUCGGUACCCUCUUGAUUGGCAUCGCCACACCCACUGGGGGCUAUAUGAUCGUAUUCGAAUCCUAGCAUAACCCCUUUGGGCCAGGUCUCUGGUCGUAUUCGAACCGGAAACCCCUAAGUUCUUCUGCUUUAUAGCAAGUUUCUUCUGAUUAUUUCAAAGUGUGUACGGCCGGGUCUCACUUUGCCGGCUUAACUUUGAUUUACAGUGUUAGUUGAACACAAUGGGUGUUAUUAAGACAGGUAAACCAGAGUUGAGGUAUCAACCUUAUUACCCGGGUUAUUUAAACCGGAAGCAUGCUUGCAGGCCGCUAAGUGUGUUAUUACGGCUGUAUUAAGGACAUACUUGAGGACCAGUCUUUUUUGAUUCAUAUCCGGGUUAUAUAUCUAAAACCUAUGAUUCUCAGCGCGGUAAGCCUAGAGACUUGUGAUUUGUCUUAUGCAGGAUAGUCGAAGGCAACUAUUUUGAGCUUAAGGAAAAUACAUGAUUGAUUACGACCCGGAGGAAUAUAAGGAAGACAAUUUCAAUAGACUUCAGCAUUCAAUGCGUGCACGAUGGCACGACACAGUUAAAGUGUUGACCCUAUUCUAUUACAAGACUCGUGGAGUCCAAAAGGGUGAGGCAUUGUUUGAUAAGCCGCCAGCAGAGUUACGACGCUUGCUGGGUUGAAGUCUCCGGCUCGUCCCUCUCUUCUCCUCCGGCUGUUCCCAAGGUCUGGAAAGUCGACGACUUCCAGUCGAUGCCGCUCAGAGCUUCGAAUUGAGCUUCCUCGUCAAUUAACCUGGCCGGGUCAAUCUCUGGGGCGAAGGUGUGCUGACGAGCCGGCGGGAUUAAGCUGAGGGCUUCAUAGCGCGGGGUCGGGAUCCUCUGAUUUUCCGCAUUGUAACCCAGCUGGUACUUGGUCAGAUCUGUGUCGUUUCCAAUAAGGGUGGCCACCGGGCGCACGAUCUUCACGCAGGCGGCAAAGUCUUUUUGGUCGAAGGCCGUGCCGUCUUCCUUCAGACUUGGAUAGCCGAGGGCGAUGUCCGCCGGGUCUAACUCGGGAAGGAAAGCCUUGGCCCGGCUCAGCGCGGCGAUAGCUCCGGCUCUUGCAGAGGCCCGUCGCAGCUCUUGGAUACGUUGAGGCAGAACGGCGAGCCGGCGAAGCACUUCCGCCAGGUGAGUCGGCACCUCGUUGGAUAGGGCCACCACAGCCAAGGCACGCUGUGACCCGGUGUAGAGUUGGUCCACCAGGGUGUACACGGCCUUCAGCUUGGUUACCACACUCUGGUUGAGGUUGGCACUUCUGGGACCUGUUUAACAGAAUAAGAUAAGCCGCCGGCAAGGGUGAGUUAUGAGAUAUAAAGACUACAAACUUGAUGAAAGCCGGUAAAAUGACUUACCGAAGAUUUCGGCAACCAUCUGGGACACUUGGCGCUUUAAGCCGGAGAGUUCGACGGUCUUCUCUGAGAGAGCCUUCUCCGCCUGUUCGGCCCGGUUCACCAGAGCAGCCUUUUCUUCGGCCCAGGCUCUCCGUUCCGCGUCGAAGUCCGUCUUCAGCUUCUCCUGCGCAGCAAUACUGGACACAAAUUUAGCAUUUGCUUUCCGGGUCUCAGUUUCUUGCGUCUUCAGCCGGGCCUUGAGAUCAGAGAUAUCAGUCUCAAACUUCUUGCCAGCAGCCUGCAUAAAUUUCCGGGUUAUAGCAUGAACAGUUAUUAUACAAAUUUAAAGUCCCAAGCGUUUUCCAAGCAAAGACACUUGGCACUUGGGGGCUAAUGCAUAUCGAACGUUCCUAUCUACAAACUACCGGUUCAUGGAAAUAAGCCGGAACUUAAGUCUACAACAUACUCAAUCAUAAGUCGUCGACUUGGGGGCUAGCAUGGUAAAGGUAAUUAUGCAGUAAGUAAGAGGACAGCAGAAUAAUACCAAAGACUUCUGCUGAAUCUGGUUCACCAUGGCAAUCUCUACGUCCCGGCUCUUGUGCACUUGGCUGACGUAGCCGGAGACGAGCUCUCUGAUGCUCAGGUUGGUGUAGUCGGAGAGGUCCAGAUUAACCCGGCGGGGCUGUAGCAGCUCCCCCUUGGCAGAACACUUGGCCAAUGCAGUAGGUCUCCCCGGCUCAACAAAUUUUGUCCGAGUGAUUACCACGUCCGGGUCAUCUGCUGGUUGAGCCGAGCUGGAGGCCUCCGGGUUAACAGAAGCUUCUGCUAUGGGCUUGUUGGUUGGAGCAGCGGCCUCAGGAGCAGAGGCAGCUGGCGGUUCUUGACCUGCUACCUUCGGCUCAAGCAAAUCCGGAUCUUCGACCGGCUUGGUCUUCUUCGCCCUCUUGGUGAGCUUGGCCUGGGCACUGGAAAGACAGAAAGGUUAAGCACAAUAGUGUAAGUAAAGACAAAGUACAACAUGAGGUGAUUAUCAUUACCCGGGCACGAUCUUGAAAGCCGGUAGGCUUGACUGCAUAGAGUCGCCAGAAGAGGGGGAAGUUUCCUGAUAAUUUGAGUCAAAAGAGUUGAGCGGUUGACGUAUAACACCUGCCAAAGGAUGAAAAGGGUACAAUUUUGAGAUCACCUCGGUCCGGCGUUUCCUCGAUGCGUCAGGUAACCCGGAGGAGAGGUCAGUGUUUUUGUCGGUCCGGGUGUGCCGCCGGCUCUCAUGAACCUGUCGCUUCAAAAUAAAUUGAGGGUCUUGAUAAGAUAAAGGAUGUGAAAAGCUUACUUUCCGGGUUACCCUUCGGAUUUUCAGCCUUGGCAAGGGCUCCGAGUCGGAGGAAAGUAUCGUUACCUCUUCAACCACCGGGUUACUUGCUCCGGUGUCGUCCUAUUGAUGAACAAGUAUUGGUAAGGCGGACAGAAAUAAACAGCAGAUACAACAAGGACUUACAGGCUCAGGGGUUACCUCUGACUCGGAGCUGUCGCUUAGUUGCAUCAGCUCUGAAGCAGUAGGUCUGCUUCCUUUCUUGCGAGGGGCGGCUUUCUUGGCGGCUUUCUUCGCCUUCCUGGCCUUCUUGGCUGCCUCGUGGUCAUAUUUGACCUUCCAGAACUUGUCAUCAGCCUGACAAAUACAAGGAUGAUUUCUUAAAGAUUCAGAUGACGGUUAUCUACAGAAGAAGAUAAAAUGUUCAGAUCAGCGGCUUACCGCUGGGGCUGGGUUGAUCUUGCAGAAGGGGGCUAACCCGGUCCUCCCGCAGUCUGCCAGGCUCUCGUUCAAGAGAGCCUUGGUCAUAUCCUCUGCAACAUCUUCAGGAAGAUCAUUGCGGCUGUGUCUCUGGGGGUCAUCCUUUCGGCCCGUGUACUCACACAUUAAGCCGGGGCGACGGCUCAAUGGGAUCACCCGCCAGGAGAUCCAGACCCGGACCAGAUCAAUUCCGUUGAGACCAUUGCCCAGGAGAGCCUUGAUCUUGUUGAUGGUGGGGAGCAGAGGUUGGCGUUCCGCCUGAGUUAACUUGUCAGAUAGUGGGUGUGUUGGCUCCAGACGCGAGGGGCGAAAGCCGGGCAAUGGACUCUCAUCAGCCGGUGACGUGUUUUGGCAGUAGAACCACGUCAGAUUCCAGUCUUUGGGGUGGCUUGGCGGCUCUGCGUAAGGGAAAAGGCAGUCCCUCCGCCGCUGAAUGGAGAUGCCGCCUAGCUCCAAACUUGGCCCGUUGGCGCACUCGUUCUGGCGGUUUAAGUAGAAGAGCUCUCUGAAGAGCGGCAAACUGGGCUCUUCUCCAAGGUAAACCUCGCAGAACACUUGGAAAUUGCAUAUGUUGGACACCGAGCUGGGUCCUAUAUCUUGUGGCCGCAGGUCAAAAAAGUUCAGCACGUCUCUAAAAAACUUUGAGCCGGGUGGUGCGAAGCCCCGGCUCAUGUGAUCCGCAAAAAUGACCACCUCCCCGUCCCUUGGCUGUGGUCUCUCCUCUGAUGGGUCAGGGGCACGGUAGGACAUGACGUCCUUCUUGGGCAGAUAGCCUGACUUGACAAAAUCUGCUAAGGUCUCGUUGGUGACAUUGGACCUCAUCCAAUUGCAAGUGAUGGAGGCUUUAGGAGAUUUGGGAGGCAUGAUGAAAGUCGGCAGCCUAUGAUGAAAGGAAACGUCCGGUUUAAGACGGUGGGCCAAAGAUGGGCUUAAGACCCGGAUACGGCUUAAGGCCCGUAGUUACAAUCAUUAUUAUGGUAGAACUUGUAGUGUAAGGCAAGAGUAAUUGAGAGUCCGAGCCGGACACUCUUAUGAGCCAGCGGGGACUCUGAGAGCUGCUGGGCGUCAGCCUCCCUAUAUAAAGGGACGACCCGGCAACGGUUUUGGGACAGGAAAGAUCUCAUCGAGAGCCAGACAUUGCAGCUAAGCUCCCUGGCCCUCGAAACCCUAAUCAAUACCACCUCAACUGGACGUAGGCUUUUACCUUCACCGCAAGGGGCCGAACCAGUAUAACCCUCGUGUUCCUUGUCCUGUUAACCCCUGCAAGCUUCCUAGCGGCGAUGGCUCCACGACUAAGUCCUAGCUUGAGGACAUCUGCCGUGACAAUUCCACGACACCUACUAUAGUGUGGUGUGGUGGAUUGCCUCUUGGGCUGAGGAUGAACAGUUACAAGGGAAAACAGCCUCCUGAGGAGAGGUGCUCUUGUGCUUGGUGAGCUGGUGUGGUGUCUCUCCAGCUGAUCUCUAUCCGUCCCCUGUCUAUGGUGGUGGCUAGUCCUACUUAUAGAGGCCCUGGUCCUCUUCCCAAAUAUUGAGUGGGAAGGGAUCCCACAAUGGCCAAAUUCGAAGGGAGACAACUAGUACAAGUUAUCCUGACUAAAGGUGGUCUUCGCCUGCCAAAGGCUCUGGUGGUGACGCCGUCUUGGGCUCCACGGUGACCUCCGUCCUGCCAUCCUGCUGGUCUUGGUCUCGUAGCACCGAUAGGGAAACCUUUGCCUGAUGCCUCGGGACUCCUCGCCUGCGCUUGCCUCUUUAGCACCAAAGAGGAAACGAGCACACUGCGCGCGCUGGCGCCCGCCUGGCCUUGGUCGCCAUGGCUUACGUCACGGGAACCUCGCGAGGUGCCCCUUUCCUUGAUCUCUUCGCCCCUCGUGAGCCAGCCUGGUGAGGCCUCCCCCGAGGAGGUCUUGCGUCGUCCGCCUCGCGAGGCUUGGCCCCUCGCAAGGGUCUUGAGUGUUUGAUGGUGAAGAUGGGCCAUACGGGGCCGCUGGUGGAGCCACGCCGUGGGCCGCAGGCAGGCAAGUCUGGGGACCCCCAUUCCCAGAACGCCGAUACACAUGCCCACCAACGAUACGAGAUGCAUCACCGGAACGGGGGCUAGAUGGGAGAACCUUAUUUCAUCUUUAGGGAGUCGUCGCCGUCUCCCCUUCCUAAGUAGGACACAAACCCUAAUAAAACUCGAAAACACAUCUAAAAAGGAAGCCCUCCCACCGGCAAGGGUCGUGAUCCACCGCUUCCCCAUGGCCCUAAGGCCACCGGAGACAAGGCGGACCGGCGCCAGCGGCGGGAGGUGGAGGAACCCUGAUUUUUUAGGAGAUGGGAAUAGUUUGAUACUGUGUAUUGGAAAACAAACGUAUCCGCCGGCCAUCCUAUAUGACCGCCCAUGUGACCACACCCUCAUUUGCAAACGUCAAAUUCAUGCAAACACUUGUACGUCAAUCAUUGAGUACACACAAGAAUGAAUGUGAACGCACAACUAAAAAUUAUUCGGGGAGAAAAAUAAUAGUUUAAGUGUUUAACACAAAAUUUAUUGGAAGUGCUUAAUUCAAACCUAAAAUUCAAUAAUUUCAGUGUGAAUUCACAUAUACUCCACAAAAUUAUUAGGUAAUUGCAUGCGCGCCUGUGUAUCUCAAAGUUAUGUAUGUAUCUCUACAAAGUUCCCAGAAUGUUGUGUGUCUUGUUCCGGGAGGCGAACAUCUACUCCGUACUUCUCAAAAUCAUGUGUGUGGGAUGACCCUUCGCCCACAUCCUCCAAAAUCAUAUCAUGCAAGGUUACACGACGGUUCAUCAUUAUUGAAAUAUAUUGCCCGUCUCUUUUCAUCAUAUCGGUCUUUUGGUUGUAUUGGCUAGAGCAUGCACUUCUACAUAGUAGGCCUGAGGGAGCUACACGUGAGGGAAGUGUUAACGUAUAAAUGUAUUGCCUAGUCUCUUUCAUCAGAUCGGUCUUUUGGAUAAGUUGGCUGGAGCAUGAAUUCAAUAUGGUAUAGUCUUGAGUUCAAGACCCUGCCAAAGCUAUAUUAAAUAAAACGAUUCUGCAGCCUACAUCGAUCUCACAUCCCUAGGCGUGAGGGGGGUGUUUAAAUAUAUUGUCCGUCUCUCUUCAUCGGAUCGGUCUUUUGAUUGCAUUGGCUAGAGCAUGCACUUCUACAUGGUAUUGGAGCCAAGAGGUCUUGAGUUUCAGACUCGGCUGGCUGCAAUUAAAUUGCAGCCCAUUUUCGGUCCACGUUUAGGCCUUAGGGAGCAUGGAGCAUCCACUUCUAGAAUCACCUGCCACAUUGUUUUUGCAUUCCACAUCAUUGCAGCUCCACGAACUAUACCUCGAUGAGCUUGGAGCAUUUCAAAUGUCCUCUCCACAUCCUUUCUAACACCUUCUUGCAUUUGUGCAAAGAGACUUCUUUUAUUGCCUUGGGGAUUGGGUAUGGUCUUCACAAACGCCGUCCAUUAAAGAUAGAUACCAUCUACUAGGUAGUACCCCUAAUGUUCUAGUCAUACCUGUUUACUGUGUAGGUGCAUAUCAGAGCAUCCCCAUCGCAAAGUCUCUUGAACAACGGUUUGCUGAAGCACAUUGAUGUCAUUAUGAGUUUCGAACAUGCCAAAGAAAGGAUAUGUUAAAUCCACAAGUCUUACGAUGACGUUGCUUCAAAUAUGAUGGUGGCCUCCUUGAUGUGACCUUGAUACUGCCUGCACAAACUUAUCAGGCAGCUCUUCCAGUGCCAAUGGAAGCAAUCGACCGGCCCGAGCAUACCUAAAACCCUCUUGAUGCUCUAAUUGCGAAUAGCUUUUUUUGUGUCCUUGGCAUUUGGUUCUCUCAGGAACUCUGAUCCAAACACCUUCACCGCCUCACAGGCAAAUGUCAGAUUUGCGUCAAUGCAUGUGCUCUUUCCCAUCCGGACAAUCUCAUCAACGACAUCUCCGAUUGUAUCAUAUGCAAGCAUCCUCAAACAGUCAUCCAAUUAUGCAUAGGAGAGCAUAAUAUCCUACAUUUUAUCGAACCCUUGAAGUUGAGAAUAUGCUCCUCUUUCUUCUCCAUUUCUUCCUGGAUACUCACCAUCAUGUUAGCAUCUUCGUCAUCAUCGAUAUCUGAAUCCAACGAAUCAAUGAGCUCCUUGAACAUGAAUUCAUUGAGCUCAUUGUAAUCAAACUCUUCAUUUGAUGAAUCCAUCGUUUGCCUAAAAAAUGAUUAAAAUAAUCUAAAAACAUGCCCCGCAUUUCGUCAAACACAUGGAGCGUGAGGUGUAUGUUUGGCAGACUAGGAAGUAGCGAGGCUUAGUCCGAGCAGCGACGGAUCCGGGGCGACAAAGGACGUCCUGAAAGGACGGGAGGCAAUGGUGGCGACACUGUGGGUUGGGAACGAUUGCAGUGCUACGUGGAGACGCAGUUGGGCGAGUGUUGGAGACGAUUAAGAGGCAUUUGAAGUGAGUCCGGCCUGUUGGAUCUGACGUGGCGCGUGUGUCCGGUGCGUCAAGGUGGCCCCAAAUCCGCACCGACAUAUGGGAUGGGUUUAGGGGUGCGGGACAGCCCAGACAUAUGACUACGUUUGGGGGGUUCCUGUUGGGUGGUUGUUUUUGGUCCAGGUGGUGUCUGGAUUGUCUGCCCAGAUGUUUAGCGGGGGGAGUUGGGAUCCGGUUGGAGAUGCUCUUACAUGUUAGUCUUUACUUGGAGAGAUAUAAUGGAAUAGAUUUGAUCCAUCUAUCAUCUUAUGUAAAACUGAUGAGAUUACCUCUUAUAUGCACACCUACAAUAGGAACAAUUAUCCUUCUACCCAAGUCUUGUGAUGCUACAAGAGUGAAGGACUUUCGGACGGUCAGUCUUAUGCAUUCUAUCGCAAAAGAAUGUUUGUAAGUUGUUGUCCCUGCUCGCAAAUGGCCUUCGUAAAAAAAAUCAAUCGAUCCAAGACAAUUUCCAGCAUGUCAAGAAUGCUAUGCAAAAGGUGCACAAAAACAAGGACCCGACUUUAUUGCUGGAAUUGGAAAAUCUUCAAAGGAGAAACUCAACCCGGACAACCCGACAUGGAGACAUACCAUCCUCCAUGUGUCUCCCAGUGAUGCAAAGUAGCACCAUUGAAAUGAGGACAAAACGGAAAUGACGUGUUUCAUGUCUUCGACGACACCGUCGUGUCACCAAUGAGGUUUGGACAAAAACCUAACCCUACCACCACCGGUCAAAAAGGGGGUCUUUGUCCCCUCCUAUCGUCGAAGUAGCGGUCUGAGGGAGAGGGGGUCUAUUAUCCCGCCGAGGAGAAGGUAGAUCACCGUCGUAGCUCCCGAGGUAGAAGGAUGCUCCAGAGAAUGUCUAAUAGAACCUUACAACUUCUCAAAAGAAAAGAGAAGCAACCUAUGAGUUGGUUGCACUGCAUAUCCCAGUGUGAAACAAGUUUUUUAGGAAAAGAAAUGUUGGUUUUGAUCUGACGGCUUAAUAGGCAGUUAGAUCUAUUAGUCUAACAAAAAAGGGAAAAGAUAACGAUAAUGAAAAGGCCCCACGCACCAACGUACGUGGGCUUUUUAUCCCAACUAAGGCGCCCUGAUCGGGGGCACCCAAACCAACUGAUGGUUUAGGUCCCCUGUCGCCAGCGCUAGAUAAAGGGGGGUACGAGAGAGGGUUGGCAGCCUGCGCGGUCACAAUUCUCGUACGGUUUCACUCCCCUCCCGAUAUUCUCUCACCCCAUCCGAUCAGGGGGAGCGCUGCAGCGACGGGAAGACCUACUCCAGCCGUCGCUGCCGUCCCCGGGCAAUCCCGGUGGCGUCCUGAAGGAAUCAGGACGUCGAGGAGAACCUCUACUUCCACUACAUCACCCCUGCAUCACGCCUGCGCCGAGCAGGCGAUCAUGUCCACUCCCGUGACAUGUAAAGGAUCCCUAAACCCUUCUCUGUUCAUGUUGUGAGGUGAUCUAGAAGCAAUUUGAUCCCGCUAAUGGCAUCCCAUAGAUGCAUAAUUAAUCCAACAAUGGUAUCAGUCGCCAAUCUUGAUUGCAAUAGAUACCUUUAUUGUUGAUCAGUAGAUCACUAUCAUGUUUAGAUCAAUGUCAGGUUUAGGGUUCAUGAUCAAGAUUGAAAGUUUUAGCCCUUGGUUAGCCCAAAUAUGCAUGCUACUGUCUUGAUGCCCUCUGUAAAUCAUCAUGUUUUAAUUCUAAUUUGCUACGGAUCACUACUGCCACCUAUGUUCAUCUUUUUUAAUUAAUCUAAGUUAAGAUCUAAUGCUCACCUUCUUGUUAAGUUGAUUAAAAUUGAUCAUGUUUAAGUCCUGUUUUCGUAUGCAUUAGAAAAAUAGAAGGCAGAGGGAUACACUCAAGUCAACAGUAGCAACCCCUCAUGUUUACGAACCCUAGAAUUUAUCCCCAAUUUCGGUAGAACCCUAAUUUUUCAAUUAGGCAUGUUUUUCACCAAUUAAGCACUGAUGAAUACGAUUUUGGGGAGAAUGAGGACAAAUGCUCACCAAAUGCACCGCGUAGCCGCCUUUUCCCUUCGGGGCUCGCACAGCGCCCACCGUUGUGCGAGGGCGGAGACGCCGCGACGCCGUCGUGCCCUGGCCGACGCGCGGAAUGCUCCGGCGCCUUGCCGCCGCUCUUACGGACGCGCACGUGUACGGGCAGUCGCCCUGCACGCCGCCGUCGACCUCUUCAUGACGCGGUGGCCAGCACCCCCUCUUGCCCCCUUGAUGUGCCAUGCGCACAGACGCCGGAGCCACGCUCGACGGAGAAGCGCACGGGAAUGACUCCGCUGCACGCUCCUCCGGCAAGCGCAGCCGCCACGCCGCCAUGGCCGGUGCACCUCGAACCACCGCUGAACGCCGUCGCCGCUCUCGGGAGCGAGAAAUGCGGGGGAGGAGGGGCAGAAUGACCUAGGGUUGGCUCUGUGCAGCUGUUUUGUUCCGACCACGACAGUCUGAUUCGAUCGAGCGGCUCACAGCGACGCGGAGCACCGGCUCGGGCCUUCGGGCGCUCAAUGGGCCAAUUUUGAUCGUGUGCUGCAGCCCAGGUUGCCUUAGCCCAGCGCGUUUUUUUUCUCUAUACGGUUUUCGCUGCUGGGUCGGGCCGUGGUAUAACCGUGGGCAUUUUUGGGCCGAAAUACUUUUGGCUAUUUCUCUAUAUAUUUCCAGAGCGUUUAAGUUCAUAGUUAUUAUGUUUUGCACUGUUUAAAACUGAAAAUGACUAAAAAUAUAAUGAACACAUUAUUAUUCUGGGUAAAAUUGAACCAACGAGAUAUUUUGUUCAGGAUUUAUUAUGUCUUUUCAUGAUGAAUUUUUUAGACAUCAAGAAUAAUGAUAUUUUUCUUAUGUUGAUGUCUAAAUUGAGAAUGAAAUGUCUCUGAUUUUAAUUCGGACCAACGUUGUUUUAUUAUUAUGAGUCAUCACUUAUGAUAUUUUAAUUCCAUGUUUUUUCUGCCCAACGGUGUUUUGACAUGGAGUUAAAAUUAAAUACAUGGCAUGUCUAUUUUAUUUUGCCAACGUAAAAUUUCAUAUUCAUGUCAGUUACUCAUAAACUCUUUCAUGUCCAUUACAGCUUCCGCUGCGUUUACUGUCGAACCGUUGAUAGGUAGUAACUUCCCUCGUUGGAAGAACUCGAUGGAAUUAUGCCUAGCCGUCCAUCAGUUUGAUUAUGCUUUACGGCAGGAUAAACCCGUGGCUCACGUUGCUGGUGUCACGGGGUAUGCUGAACUAAAGAAAACUUAUGAUUCCAAGAUGGAGAUAUGGGAAAAGUCAAAUCACAUUGCUAUGCUUGUGAUGAGAUCAUCCAUAUCACCUGACAUCAUUGGGGCACUACCCAAGAAAGAUACUCCUAAGGAAUUCAUGACAGCCCUGGAGGAGCAAUUCAAAGGCUCUGACAAGGUUUAUGCACAAGAACUUUUUCACAAGCUCCUUGGAAAAUAUAAUAAUGAUGGUGAUGUCAGGGCUCACAUUUUAAAGAUGGUGAAUGCUUGUAACAAAUUGAAGGCAUUACAAUGUGAGCUCAAUGACAAUCUCCUUGUCAUCAUGAUCUUGGACUCCCUCCCUGAAGAGUUUGAUCAAUUUAAGAUUAACUAUAACUCUCUUAAAGAGAAAUGGACAAUCGCGGAGAUAUCUCCAAGGAUUGUCGAGGAAGAAGAGAGGAUUAAGAGGCAACGAAAGGAUCAAGCCUUUUUGGUUGGUUCCUCCAAGAGAAAACACGAUGGAGCAAGCUCUUCGAAGCAACAGCCUCAAAAGAAGUUCUUUAAGAAAAAUUCAUCAAACUCAUAUAAAGCAAAGGAGAAGGUGGACGAUAAGCCUAAAGACACCAAGUGCAACUUCUGCAAGCAUGAGGGUCAUUAUCAGAAAGACUGUCCAGAAUUUCCCAAAUGGUUGAUGAAGAAAGGUACUGAUGAAAUUACUUUCGUUGAUCAAAUGGUAUAUGUUGAUUACUCUAGUACCUCUUGGUGGAUUGAUUCAGGUGCAACUUCUCAUGUUGCCAAUUCUAUGCAGGACUCAAAUAUAAUCCAAACCAUGGCAAGGGGGGCAAGAAGACUUAAGGUGGCAAAUGGAGUCGAAGUUGAUGUUGAAGCCAUAGGGUCAAUCACCUUACAACUCCACACUGGCUUCCGUCUUCAUUUAAAUAAUGUUCUUUAUGUCCCUACCUUAAGUAGGAAUUUGAUUUCUGUCUCUUGCCUAGAUGAUAACAUGUUUGAGAGCAAGUUUGGGAACAAACAAUUUGUUUUGAAUUAUUGUAAUAAGAACGUAGGUCUCGGCGUCAGACGAGGCCAAUUAUAUAUGUUAUCAUUGAAUGAUUCUAUCCUGCAUGUGAGUGAUGUAUGUAAUAUUGAGAAGAAAUGGAAGGGUACGAGUACCUCUUCGAAAUUGUGGCACUGUCAUUUAGGCCACAUUUCGAGGGGGGGAAUUGAAAGACUUAUUAAAAAUGACGUACUCCUUCCAUUAGACUUCUCUGAUGCAGACAAAUGCAUUGACUGUAUAAAAGGUAAAUACGCAAAAACGAUUAAGAAAGGAGCGGUAAGAGCCACGGGUGUCCUUGAACUCAUACACACUGACAUAUGUGGACCCCUUAAUGUUAAGUCUAUGGAUGGUUUUGAUUCGUUCAUUACCUUCACAGACGACUUUUCUCGAUACGGAUAUAUUUAUCCUAUACGUGAUCGAUCGGAAGCUUUGGACAAAUUCAAAGUGUUCAAAGCCGAAGUUGAGAACCAACUAAACGCUAAAAUAAAAGUUGUACGAUCAGAUCGCGGGGGAGAGUAUUAUGGUAGGCAUGCCCCUUAUAGGCAAAUUCCAGGACCUUUUGCUAAGUUUCUCUCUGAGAAUGGAAUUGUUGCCCAGUAUUCAAUGCCUGGUGAACCUCAACAAAAUGGCGUGGCUGAACGCCGAAACCGCACACUUAUGGACAUGGUGCGAAGCAUGCUUAGUCAUGCAAGUUUACCAGUCAGCCUAUGGAUGGAGGCAUUAAAGACGGCCGCACAUGUGCUAAAUCUCGCUCCUACUAAAGCAGCACCGAACACACCUUACGAGAUGUGGACGGGAAAGAAACCGAGCUUGAAUUACUUACGUGUAUGGGGUUGUCCCGCUGAGGCUAGAAUUUUCAAUCCAUAACUUAAGAAAUUAGAUCCAAAGACAGUUAGUUGUUUCUUCAUUGGAUACCCUCAUAGGGGAAAGGGAUAUCAUUUCUAUUGUCCGAGUCACACCACCAAGUAUGUGGAGACUCGACAAGCAGUAUUUUUUGAGGAUAACGAAGCCACCGAAAUAAGGGAGAUCAAUCUUGAGGAGAAACGGGUGUGUGUUCCAUCCCCGACUAUCCAAGAGAUUGUUUUGCCACUACAAAGUGUAGUGGCGUCUCAAGCUAAUCCUCAAUUUAGUACUUCAGUUCCUGAGGCUGAUGGUGAUCCUGAGACUAAUGUCAAUCCAGAACGUGAAGAGGAUCACCAGUCGCGUAAUGAAGAUGACCCUCAGAACAAUGAUGCCCCUCCACCACCUCCUCCUGUGGGCAGGCCAUGUCGUGAGAGAAAGAAAGCCAUAUCAGAUGAUUAUAUCACAUACUUGCUUGAGGAUAUGAAUGAUCUGGGAAAGGUGGAGGAUCCAACCUCUUUUAAGGAAGCCAUUAAAAGCGAAAAUUCGUCCAAGUGGUUGGUUUCCAUGGAAGACGAGUUGAAGUCUAUGGGCUCAAACGACGUUUGGGACUUAGUAGAAGUUCCCGAUGGAGCUAAGAAAGUAGGCUGUAAGUGGGUCUACAAAACCAAGUAUAAUUCCAAAGGGAUGUAGGGGAUCGUUGCAGAAAUUAAAAAAAUUCUACGCAUCACCAAGAUCAAUCUAUGGAGUUUACUAGCAACGAGAGGGGAGGAGUGCAUCUACAUACCCUUGUAGAUCGCGAGCGGAAGCAUUCAAGAGAACGGGGUUGAUGGAGUCGUACUCGUCGUGAUCCAAAUCACCGAUGAUCCUAGCGCCGAACGGACGGCACCUCCGCGUUCAACACACGUACGGAGCGGAGACAUCUCCUCCUUCUUGAUCCAGCAAGGGGGAAGGAGAAGUUGAUGGAGAUCCAUCAGCACGACGGUGUGGUGGUGGAAGCAGCGGGAUUCCAGCAGGACUUCGCCAAGCGCUACUGGAGGAGGAAGAGGUGUCACGGGAGGGAGAGGGAGGCGCCAGGGCUUAGGGUGCGGCUGCCCUCCCUCCCCUCCACUAUAUAUAGGGGCUAGGGGGCGCAUGCCCCCCUUGGAGAUCCCAUCUAGAGGGGGGGCGGCGGCCCCUCGGGGGGCAACGGCCCCCUUAGGGUUUCCAACCAGGGAGGCGCAUGUCCCCUCGGGGGGCAACGGCCCCCUAGGGUUUCCAACCCUAGGCGCCUUGGGCCCUUGGGUGGGGCGCACCAGCCCACCAGGGGCUGGUUCCCACGCCACUUUAGCCCAUGGGGCCCUCCGGGAUAGGUGGCCCUGAGAGGGAGAGGUUGGGGAAGACUCCGUCCAGCAGCAUCACAACUUUAUUUUCCUGUCACGUUGAUUCUCAACCUCACUCUGAAAUUCCUUGAACUUUUCAAAGGUCUCAGACUUGUGUUUCAUCAAGUAGACAUACCCAUAUCUACUCAAGUCAUCAGUGAGGGUUAGAACAUAACGAUAGCCUACGCGAGCCUCAACGCUCAUUGGACCGCACACAUUAGUAUGUAUGAUUUCCAAUAAGUUGGUUGCUCGCUCCAUUGUUCCGGAGAACGGAGUCUUGGUCAUUUUGCCCAUGAGGCAUGGUUCGCACGUGUCAAAUGAUUCAUAAUCAAGAGACUCCAAAAGUCCAUCUGCAUGGAGUUUCUUCAUGCGUUUGACACCAAUGUGACCAAGGCGGCAGUGCCACAAGUAUGUGGGACUAUCAUUAUCAACCUUACAUUUCUUGGCAUUCACACUAUGAAUAUGUGUAACAUCACGUUCAAGAUUCAUUAAGAAUAAACCAUUGACCAGCGGGGCAUGACCAUAAAACAUAUCUCUCAUAUAAAUAGAACAACCAUUAUUCUCGGAUUUAAAUGAGUAGCCAUCUCGCAUCAAACGAGAUCCAGAUACAAUGUUCGUGCUCAAAGCAGGCACUAAAUAACAAUUAUUGAGGUUUAAAACUAAUCCCGUAGGUAAAUGUGGAGGUAGCGUGCCGACGGUGAUCACAUCGACCUUGGAACCAUUCCCGACGUGCAUCGUCACCUCGUCCUUCGCCAGUCUCCGCUUAUUCCGCAGCUCCUGCUUUGAGUUACAAAUAUGAGCAACCGCACCGAUAUCAAAUACCCAGGAGCUACUACGAGCGCUGGUUAGGUACACAUCAAUAACAUGUAUAUCACAUAUACCUUUGGUAUUGCCGGCCUUCUUAUCCGCUAAGUACUUGGGGCAGUUCCGCUUCCAGUGACCGUUUCCCUUGUAAUAAAAGCACUCAGUCUCAGGCUUGGGUCCAUUCUUUGUCUUCGUCCCGGCAGCUUUCUUACCGGGCGCGGCAACUCCCUUGUCGUCUUUCUUGAAGUUUUUCUUACCCUUGCCUUUCUUGAACUUAGUGGUUUUAUUCACCAUCAACACUUGAUGUUCCUUUUUGAUCUCCACCUCCGCUGAUUUCAGCAUUGAAUAUACCACAGGAAUGGUCUUCUCCAUCCCCUGCAUAUUGAAGUUCAUCACAAAGCUCUUGUAGCUAGGUGGGAGCGACUGAAGGAUUCUGUCAACGACCGCGUCAUCCGGGAGAUUAACUCCCAGCUGAGACAAGCGGUUGUGCAACCCAGACAUUUUGAGUAUGUGUUCGCUGACGGAACUAUUCUCCUCCAUCUUACAACUGUAGAACUUGUCGGAGACUUCAUAUCUCUCGACCCGGGCAUGAGCUUGGAAAACCAUUUUCAGCUCUUGGAACAUCUCAUAUGCUCCGUGCUGCUCGAAACGCUUUUGGAGCCCCGGUUCUAAGCUGUAAAGCAUGCCGCACUGAACCAGGGAGUAAUCAUCAACACGUGUUUGCCAGGCGUUCAUAACGUCUUGGUUUGCUGGGACGGGUGCUUCACCUAGCGGUGCUUCAAGGAUAUAUGCUUUCUUGGCAGCUAUGAGGAUGAUCCUCAAGUUUCGGACCCAGUCCGUAUAGUUGCUGCCAUCGUCUUUCAGCUUGGUUUUCUCUAGGAACGCAUUGAAGUUGAGGUUGACAUUAGUGUGGGCCAUUUGAUCUACAAGACAUAUUGUAAAGAUUUUAGACUAAGUUCAUGAUAAUUAAGUUCAUCUAAUCAAAUUAUUAAUGAACUCCCUCUCAGACAGACAUCCCUCUAGUCAUCUAAGUGAUACAUGAUCCGAGUCAACUAGGCCAUGUCCGAUCAUCCCGUGAGACGGACUAUUCAUCAUCGGUGAACAUCUUCAUGUUGAUCGUAUCUGCUAUACGACUCAUGUUCGACCUUUCGGUCUCUUGUGUUCCGAGGCCAUGUCUGUACAUGCUAGGCUCGUCAAGUCAACCUAAGUCUAUUGUGUGUGUAAAUCUGGCUUACACCCGUUGUAUGCGAACGUUAGAACCUAUCACACCCGAUCAUCACGUGGUGCUUCAGAACAACGAACCUUCGCAACGGUGCAUAGUUAGGGGGAACACUUUCUUGAAAUUUUAGCGAGGGAUCAUCUUAUUUAUGCUACCGUCGUUCUAAGAAAAUAAGAUGUAAAACAUGAUAAACAUCACAUGCAAUCAAAUAGUGACAUGAUAUGGCCAAUAUCAUUUUGCUCCUUUUGAUCUCCAUCUUCGGGGCGCCAUGAUCAUCAUCGUCACCGGCAUGACACCAUGAUCUCCAUCAUCAUGAUCUCCAUCAUCGUGUCUUCAUGAAGUUGUCUCGCCAACUAUUACUUCUACUACUAUGGCUAACGGUUAGCAAUAAAGUAAAGUAAUUACAUGACGUUCCAGUUGACACGCAGGUCAUAAAUAAAUUAAGACAACUCCUAUGGCUCCUGCCGGUUGUCAUACUCAUCGACAUGCAAGUUGUGAUUCCUAUUACAAGAACAUGAUCAAUCUCAUACAUCACAUAUAUCAUUCAUCACAUCCUUCUGGCUAUAUCACAUCACAUGACACUUGCUGCAAAAACAAGUUAGACGUGCUCUAAUUGUUGUUGCAAAUUUUUACGUGGCUGCUAUAGGUUUCUAGCAAGAACGUUUCUUACCUACGCCAAAACCACAACGUGAUAUGCCAAUUUCUAUUUACCCUUCAUAAGGACCCUUUUCAUCGAAUCCGAUCCGACUAAAGUGGGAGAGACAGACACCCGCUAGCCACCUUAUGCAACUAGUGCAUGUCAGUCGGUGGAACCUGUCUCACGUAAGCGUACGUGUAAGGUCGGUCCGGGCCGCUUCAUCGCACGAUGGCGCCGAAUCAAGAUAAGACUAGUAACGGCAAGUAAAUUGACAAAAUCGACGCCCACAACAACUUGUGUUCUACUCGUGCAUAGAAACUACGCAUAGACCUAGCUCAUGAUGCCACUGUAGGGGAUCGUUGCAGAAAAUAAAAAAAUUCUACGCAUCACCAAGAUCAAUCUAUGGAGUUUACUAGCAACGAGAGGGGAGGAGUGCAUCUACAUACCCUUGUAGAUCGCGAGCGGAAGCGUUCAAGAGAACGGGGUUGAUGGAGUCGUACUCGUCGUGAUCCAAAUCACCGAUGAUCCUAGCGCCGAACGGACGGCACCUCCGCGUUCAACACACGUACGGAGCGGAGACGUCUCCUCCUUCUUGAUCCAGCAAGGGGGAAGGAGAAGUUGAUGGAGAUCCAGCAGCACGACGGUGUGGUGGUGGAAGCAGCGGGAUUCCAGCAGGGCUUCGCCAAGCGCUACUGGAGGAGGAAGAGGUGUCACGCGAGGGAGAGGGAGGCGCCAGGGCUUAGGGUGCGGCUGCCCUCCCUCCCCUCCACUAUAUAUAGGGGCUGGGGGCGCAUGCCCCCCUUGGAGAUCCCAUCUAGAGGGGGCGGCGGCCCCUCGGGGGGCAACGGCCCCCUUAGGGUUUCCAACCAGGGGGGCGCAUGCCCCCUUGGGGGGCAACGGCCCCCUAGGGUUUCCAACCCUAGGCGCCUUGGGCCCUUGGGUGGGGCGCACCAGCCCACCAGGGGCUGGUUCCCACGCCACUUCAGCCCAUGGGGCCCUCCGGGAUAGGUGGCCCUGAGAGGGAGAGGUUGGGGAAGACUCCGUCCAGCAGCAUCACAACGGCGUGGUGGUGGUGGAGGAGCGUGGCAAUCCUGCAGGGCUUCCCCAAGCACCGCGGGAGAGGAGGAGGAAGAUGGGUAGGGCUGAGCCAUGAGGGAGAUGCGUUCUCGUGUGUAUGGCAGCCCCAAAACCCCAAUAUAUAUAGGGGAGGGGGAGGGCUGCGCCCCCAUCUAGGGUCCCCCCCCCCAAGGGGUGCGGCCAGCCCUAGAUGGGGCUUGGGGGGCGGCCAAGGGGGGAGAGAGAGGGGGGAGCCCCACUAGAUGGGCCUUAGGCCCAUCUGAGCCUAGGGUUUCCCCCUUCCCCCCCUUCCUGCGCCCUGGGCCUCUUGUGGGGGGGCGCACCAGCCCACCUGAGGCUGGUCCCCUCCCACACUUGGCCCACGCAGCCCUCUGGGGCCGGUGGCCCCACCUGGUGGACCCCCGGGACCCUCCCGGUGGUCCCGGUACAUUACCGAUAGCACCCGAAACUUUUCCGGUGACCAAAACAGGACUUCCCAUAUAUAAAUCUUUACCUCCGGACCAUUCCGGAACUCCUCGUGACGUCCCGGAUCUCAUCCGGGACUCCGUACAACAUUCGGUAACCACAUACAAACUUCCUUUAUAACCCUAGCGUCAUCGAACCUUAAGUGUGUAGACCCUACGGGUUCGGGAACCAUGCAGACAUGACCGAGACGUUUUCGGCCAAUAACCAACAGCGGGAUCUGGAUACCCAUGUUGGCUCCCACAUGUUCCACGAUGAUCUCCUCGGAUGAACCACGAGGUCGGGGAUUCAAUCAAUCCCCUAUUCAAUUCCCUUUGUCUAUCGGUAUGCUACUUGCCCGAGAUUCGAUCGUCGGUAUCCCGAUACCUUGUUCAAUCUCGUUACCGGCAAGUCUCUUUACUCGUUCCAUAACUCACAUCAUCCCGUGAUCAACUCCUUGGUCACAUUGUGCACAUUAUGAUGAUGUCCUACCGAGUGGGCCCAGAGAUACCUCUCCGUUUACACGGAGUGACAAAUCCCAGUCUCGAUUCGUGCCAACCCAACAGACACUUUCGGAGAUACCUGUAGUGCACCUUUAUAGCCACCCAAUUACGUUGUGACGUUUGGUACACCCAAAGCAUUCCUACGGUAUCCGGGAGUUGCACAAUCUCAUGGUCUAAGGAAAUGAUACUUGACAUUAGAAAAGCUCUGAGCAAACGAACUACACGAUCUUGUGCUAGGCUUAGGAUUGGGUCUUGUCCAUCACAUCAUUCUCCUAAUGAUGUGAUCCCGUUAUCAACGACAUCCAAUGUCCAUGGUCAGGAAACCGUAACCAUCUAUUGAUCAACGAGCUAGUCAACUAGAGGCUUACUAGGGACAUGGUGUUGUCUAUGUAUCCACACAUGUAUCUGAGUUUCCUAUCAAUACAAUUCUAGCAUGGAUAAUAAAUGAUUAUCAUGAACAAGGAAAUAUAAUAAUAACCUAUUUAUUAUUGCCUCUAGGGCAUAUUUCCAACAGUCUCCCACUUGCACUAGAGUCAAUAAUCUAGUCCACAUCACCAUGUGAUUAACACUCAUAGGUCACAUCACCAUGUGACCAACAUCCAAAGAGUUUACUAGAGUCAACAAUCUAUCUCACAUCACUAUGUGAUUAACACUCAAUGAGUUCUGGUUUGUUCAUGUUAUGCUUGUGAGAGAGGUUAUUAGUCAAUGGGUCUGAACCUUUCAGAUCCGUGUGUGCUUUACGAAUAUCUAUGUCAUCUUGUGGAUGCUACCACGCGCUACUUGGAGCCAUUUCAAAUAAUUGCUCUACUAUACGAAUCCAGUUUACUACUCAGAGUCAUCCGGAUUAGUGUCAAAGUUCGCAUCGACGUAACCCUUUACGACGAACUCCUUUUCACCUCCAUAAUCGAGAAAAUUCCUUAGUCCACUAGAUACUAAGGAUAAGUUCGACCGCUGUCAUGUGAUCCAUUCCCGGAUCACUAUUGUACCCCUUGACCAACUCAUGGCAAGGCACACUUCAUGUGUGGUACACAGCAUAGCAUACUAUAGAGCCUACGUCUAAAGCAUAGGGGACGACCUUCGUCCUUUCUCUCUCUUCUGCUGUGGUCAGGUCUUGAGUCUUACUCAAUACUCACACCUUGUAACACAGCUAAGAACUCCUUCUUUGCUGAUCUAUUUUGAACUCUUUCAAAAUCAUGUCAAGGUGUGCGUUCUUUGAAAGUAUCAUCAGGCGUCUUGAUCUAUCUCUAUAGAUCUUGAUGCCCAAUAUGUAAGCAGCUUUAUCCAGGUCUUCCUUUGAAAAACUCCUUUCAAACAACCCUUUAUGCUUUCCAGAAAUUCUACAUCAUUUCGGAUCAACAAUAUGUCAUUCACAUAUACUUAUCAGAAAUGUUGCAGCGCUCCCACUCACUUUAUUGUAAAUACAAGUUUCUAACAAACUUUGUAUAAACCCAAAAACUUUGAUCACUCCAUCAAAGCGUAUAUUCUGACUCCGAGAUGCUUGCUCUAGUCCAUGGAAGGAUCGCUGGAGCUAGCAUACCUUUUAGCAUCCUUAGGAUCGACAAAAACUUUCUGAUUGUAUCACAUACAACCUUUCCUUACGAAACUGGUAAGGAAACUUAUUUCGACAUCCAUCUGCCAGAUUUCAUAAAUGCAGCUAAUGCUAACAUGAUUCCGACGGACUUAAGCAUCGCUACGGAUGAGAAAAUCUCAUCGUAGUCAACUCCUUGAACUUGUGAAAAUACUCUUUGCCACAAGUCGAGCUUCAUAGACGGUAACAUUACUGUCCACGUCCGUCUUCUUCUUAAAGAUCCAUUUAUCUCGGAUUUCAUGGCUUCUAACCAUUUGUCGGAAUAUGGGCCCACCAUCGCUUCUCCAUAGCUCGUAGGUUCAGUAUUGUCCAACAACAUGAUAUCUCAGACAGGAUCACGUACCACUCUGAAGUAGCACGCAUCCUCGUCGUCCUACGAGGUUUGGUGGUGACUUGAUCCGAAGUUUCAUGAUCACUAUCAUAAGCUUCCACUUCAAUUGGUGUAGGUGCCACAGGAACAACUUCCUGUGCCCUGCUACACACUAGUUGAAGUGACGGUUCAAUAACCUUAUCAAGUCUCCACCAUCCUCCCACUCAAUUCUUUCGAGAGAAACUUUUCCUCGAGAAAGGACCCGUUUCUAGAAGCAAUUACUUUUGCUUCCAGAUCUGAAAUAGGAGGUAUACCCAACUGUUUUGGGUAUUCUAUGAAGAUGCAUUUAUCCGCUUUGGGUUCGAGCUUAUCAGCCUGAAACUUUUUCACAUAAGCAUCGCAGCCCCAAACUUUUAAGAAACGACAACUUAGGUUUCUCUAAACGGUGUCGUCUCAACGGAAUUGCGUGGUGCCCCUUUUAAAGUGAAUGCGGUUAUCUCUAAUGCCUAACCCAUAAACUAUAGUGGUAAUUUGAUAAGAGACAUCAUGGCAUGCACCAUAUCCAACAGGGUGCAGUUAUGAUGUUCGGACACACCAUCACACUGUGGUGUUCCAGGCGGUAUUAAUUGUGAAACACUUUCCACAAUGUCUUAAUUGUGUGCCAAACUCGUAACUCAGAUACUCAUCUCUAUGAUCAUAUCACAGACAUUUUAUCCUCUUGUCACGACGAUCUUCAACUUCACUCUGAAAUUACUUGAACCUUUCAAUAAUUCAGACUUGUGUUUCAUCAAGUAAAUACACUCAGCAUCUACUCAAAUCAUCUGUGAAGUAAGAACAUAACGAUAUCCACUGCAUGCCUCAGCACUCAUUGGACUGCAUACAUCAAAAUGUAUUACUUCCAAUAAGUUGCUCUCUUGUUCCAUCUUACUGAAAACGAGGCCUUUCAGUCAUCUUGCCCAUGUGGUAUGAUUUGCAUGUCUCAAGUGAUUCAAAAUCAAGUGAGUCCAAACGAUCCAUCUGCAUGGAGUUUCUUCAUGCAUAUAUACCAAUAGACAUGGUUCGCAUGUCUCAAUCUUUUCAAAACGACUGAGUCCAAAGAUCCAUCUACAUGGAGCUUAUUCAUGCGUUCUAUACCAAUAUGACUCAAAUGGCAGUGCCACAAGUAUGUGGUACUAUCAUUACUAUUUUAUAUCUUUUGGCACGAACAUGUGUAUCACUGCGAUCGAGAUUCAUUUUAGGUGCAAGACCAUUGAAGGUAUUAUUCAAAUAAAUAGAGUAACCAUUCUUUUCCUUAAAUGAAUAACCGUAUUGCGAUAAACAUAAUCCAAUCAUGCUCAACGCAAACACCAAAUCUCGAUGGUAGAGGGAGCAUGCGCUGCUUGAUCACAUCAACCUUGGAAACACUUCCAACACAUAUCGUCAUCUCACCUUUAGCUAGUCUCCGUUUAUUCCGCAGCUUUUAUUUCGAGUUACUAACACUUAGCAACCGAACCGGUAUCUAAUACCCUGGUGCUGCUAGGAGUACUAGUAAAGUACACAUUCAUAUAAUGUAUAUCCAAUAUACUUCUGUCGACCUUGCCUGCCUUCUCAUCUACCAAGUAUCUAGGGUAGUUCUGCUUCAGUGACCGUUCCCCUCAUUACAGAAGCACUUAGUCUCGGGUUUGGGUUCAACCUUGGGAUUCUUCACUAGAGCAGCAAAUGAUUUGCUGUUUCAUGAAGUAUCCCUUUUGCCCUUGCCCUUCUAGAAACUAGUGGUUUUACUAACCAUCAACAAUUGAUGCUCCUUCUUGAUUUCUACUUUCGCGGUGUCAAACAUCACGAGUUGCUCAAGGAUCAUCAUAUCUAUCCCUGAUAUGUUAUAGUUCAUCACGAAGCUCUAAUAGCUUGGUGGCAGUGACUGUGGAGAAUCAUCACUAUCUCAUCUGGAAGAUUAACUCCCACUUGAUUCAAGUGAUUGUAGUACUCAGACAAUCUGAGCACAUGCUCAACGAUUGAGCUUUUCUCCCUUAGUUUGCAGGCUUAAGAAACUUGUCAGGGGUCUCAUACCUCUUGACGUGGGCACUAGUCUGAAAUCCCAAUUUCAGUCUUCGGAACAUCUCACAUGUUCUGCGACGUUUCAAAACAUCUUUGGUGCCACAAUUCUAAACCGUUAGCAUUACGCACUGAACUAUCACGUAGUCAUCAAAACGUGUAUGUCAGAUGUUUCGCAACAUCUACAGACGACGCUGAGGUUCAGCACACCGAGCGGUGCAUUAAGGACAUAAGCCUUCUGUGCAGCAAUGAGGACAAUCCUCAGUUCACGGACCCAGUCCGCAUAAUUGCUACUAUCAACUUUCAACUAAAUUUUCUCUAGGAACAUAUCUUAAACAGUAGAACUAAAGCGCAAGCUAUGACAUAAUUUGCAAAGACUUUUUGACUAUGUUCAUGAUAAUGAAGUUCAUCUGAUUAUUUAAUGAACUCCCACUCAGAUAGACAUCCCUCUAGUCAUCUAAGUGAUACAUGAUCCGAGUCAAACUAGGCCGUGUCCGAUCAUCACGUGAGACGGACUAGUCAUCAUCGGUGAACAUCUCCAUGUUGAUCGUAUCUACUAUACGACUCAUGUUCGACCUUUCGGUCUCUUGUGUUCCGAGGCCAUGUCUGUACAUGCUAGGCUCGUCAAGUCAACCUAAGUGUUUCGCAUGUGUUCCGAGGCCAUGUCUGUACAUGCUAGGCUCGUCAACACCCGUUGUAUUCGAACGUUAGAAUCUAUCACACCCGAUCAUCACAUGGUGCUUCGAAACAACGAACCUUCGCAACGGUGCACAGUUAGGGGGAACACGUCUCUUGAAAUUUUAGUGAGGGAUCAUCUUAUUUAAGCUACCGUCGUUCUAAGCAAAUAAGAUGCAUAACAUGAUAAACAUCACAUGCAAUCAAAUAGUGACAUGAUAUGGCCAAUAUCAUUUUGCUCCUUUGAUCUCCAUCUUCGGGGCACUAUGAUCAUCUUUGUCACCGGCAUGACACCAUGAUCUCCAUCAUUGUGUCUUCAUGAAGUUGUCACGCCAACGAUUACUUCUACUUCUAUGGCUAACGUGCUUAGCAAUAAAGUAAAGUAAUUUACAUGGCGUUAUUCAAUGACACGCAGGUCAUACAAAAAAUAAAGACAACUCCUAUGGCUCCUGCCGGUUGUCAUACUCAUCGACAUGCAAGUCGUGAUUCCUAUUACAAGAAUAUGAUCAAUCUCAUACAUCACAUAUAUCAUUCAUCACAUCUUUUGGCCAUAUCACAUCACAUAGCACAUGCUGCAAAAACAAGUUAGACGUCCUCUAAUUGUUGUUGCAAGUUUUUACGUGGCUUGUAUAGGUUUCUAGCAAGAACGUUUCUUACCUACGUAAAACCACAACGUGAUAUGCCAAUUUCUAUUUACCCUUCAUAAGGACCCUUUUCAUCGAAUCCGUACCGACUAAAGUGGGAGAGACAGACACCCGCUAGCCACCUUAUGCAACUGGUGCAUGUCAGUCGGUGGAACCUGUCUCACGUAAGCGUACGUGUAAGGUCGGUCCGGGCCGCUUCAUCCCACAAUGCCGCGGAAACAAGAUAAGACUAGUAGCGGCAAGAAGAAUUGGCAACAUCUACGCCCACAACUGCUUUGUGUUCUACUCGUGCAUAGAAACUACGCAUAGACCUAGCUCACGAUGCCACUGUUAGGGAACGUAGCAGAAAUUCAAAAUUUUCUACGCAUCACGAAGAUCAAUCUAUGGAGUAAUCUAGCAACGAGGGGAAGGGGAGUGCAUCUACAUACCAUUGUAGAUCGCGAUGCGGAAGCGUUGCAAGAACGCGGAUGAAGGAGUCGUACUCGUAGCGAUUCAGAUCGCGGUUGAUUCCGAUCUAAUCGCCGAACCACGGCGCCUCCGCGUUCAACACACGUGCAGCCCGGUGACGUCUCCCACGCCUUGAUCCAGCAAGGAGAGAGGGAGAGGUUGGGGAAGACUCCGUCCAGCAGCAGCACGACGGCGUGGUGGUGGUGGAGGAGCGUGGCAAUCCUGCAGGGCUUCGCCAAGCACCGCGGGAGAGGAGGAGGAAGAGGGGUAGGGCUGCGCCAUGAGGGAGAUGCGUUCUCGUGUGUAUGGCAGCCCCAAAACCCCAAUAUAUAUAGGGGAGGGGGAGGGCUGCGCCCCCAUCUAGGGUUCCCCCCCCCCAAGGGGUGCGGCCAGCCCUAGAUGGGGCUUGGGGGCGGCCAAGGGGGGGGGAGAGAGGGGGGCGCCCCACUAGAUGGGCCUUAGGCCCAUCUGAGCCUAGGGUUUCCCCCUUCCCCCCCUUCCUGCGCCCUGGGCCUCUUGUGGGGGGCGCACCAGCCCACCUGGGGCUGGUCCCCUCCCACACUUGGCCCACGCAGCCCUCUGGGGCCGGUGGCCCCACCUGGUGGACCCCCGGGACCCUCCCGGUGGUCCCGGUACAUUACCGAUAGCACCCGAAACUUUUCCGGUGACCAAAACAGGACUUCCCAUAUAUAAAUCUUUACCUCCGGACCAUUCCGGAACUCCUCGUGACGUCCGGGAUCUCAUCCGGGACUCCGAACAACAUUCAGUAACCACAUACAAACUUCCUUUAUAACCCUAGCGUCAUCGAACCUUAAGUGUGUAGACCCUACGGGUUCGGGAACCAUGCAGACAUGACCGAGACGUUCUUCGGCCAAUAACCAACAGCGGGAUCUGGAUACCCAUAUUGGCUCCCACAAGGUCCACGAUGAUCUCAUCGGAUGAACCACGAUGUCGGGGAUUCAAUCAAUCCCGUAUUCAAUUCCCUUUGUCUAUCGGUAUGCUACUUGCCCGAGAUUCGAUCGUCGGUAUCCCGAUACCUUGUUCAAUCUCGUUACCGGCAAGUCUCUUUACUCGUUCCGUAACUCACAUCAUCCCGUGAUCAACUCCUUGGUCACAUUGUGCACAUUAUGAUGAUGUCCUACCGAGUGGGCCCAGAGAUACCUCUCCGUUUACACGGAGUGACAAAUCCCAGUCUCGAUUCUUGCCAACCCAACAGACACUUUCGGAGAUACCUGUAGUGCACCUUUAUAGCCACCCAGUUACGUUGUGACGUUUGGUACACCCAAAGCAUUCCUACGGUAUCCGGGAGUUGCACAAUCUCAUGGUCUAAGGAAAUGAUACUUGACAUUAGAAAAGCUCUGAGCAAACGAACUACACGAUCUUGUGCUAGGCUUAGGAUUGGGUCUUGUCCAUCACAUCAUUCUCCUAAUGAUGUGAUCCCGUUAUCAACGACAUCCAAUGUCCAUGGUCAGGAAACCGUAACCAUCUAUUGAUCAACGAGCUAGUCAACUAGAGGCUUACUAGGGACAUGGUGUUGUCUAUGUAUCCACACAUGUAUCUGAGUUUCCUAUCAAUACAAUUCUAGCAUGGAUAAUAAACGAUUAUCAUGAACAAGGAAAUAUAAUAAUAACCUAUUUAUUAUUGCCUCUAGGGCAUAUUUCCAACAGGCCCCACCCGGUGGACCCCCGGGACCCUUCCGGUGGUCCCGGUACAAUACCGGUGACCCCCGAAACUCUCCCGGUGGCCGAAACUGGACUUCCUAUAUAUAAACCUUUACCUCCGGACCAUUCCGGAACUCCUCGUGAUGUCCGGCAUCUCAUCCGGGACUCCGAACAACUUUCGGUUAACCGCAUACUAAUAUCUCUACAACUCUAGCGUCACCGAACCUUAAGUGUGUAGACCCUACGGGUUCGGGAGACACGUAGACAUGACCGAGACAACUCUCCGGUCAAUAACCAACAGCGGGAUCUGGAUACCCAUGUUGGCUCCCACAUGUUCCACGAUGAUCUCAUCGGAUGAACCACGAUGUCGAGGAUUCAAGCAAUCCUGUAUACAAUUCCCUUUGUCAAUCGGUACGUUACUUGCCCGAGAUUCGAUCGUCGGUAUCCCAAUACCUCGUUCAAUCUCGUUACCGGCAAGUCACUUUACUCGUUCCGUAAUGCAUGAUCCGUGACUAACUACCUAGUCACAUUGAGCUCAUUAUGGUGAUGCAUUACCGAGUGGGCCCAGAGAUACCUCUCCGUCAUACGGAGUGACAAAUCCCAGUCUCGAUCCGUGCCAACCCAACAGACACUUUCGGAGAUACUUGUAGUGCACCUUUAUAGCCACCCAGUUACGUUGUGACGUUUGGUACACCCAAAGCAUUCCUACGGUAUCCGGGAGUUGCACAAUCUCAUGGUCUAAGGAAAUGAUACUUGACAUUAGAAAAGCUUUAGCAAACGAACUACACGAUCUAGUGCUAUGCUUAGGAUUGGGUCUUGUCCAUCACAUCAUUCUCCUAAUGAUGUGAUCCCGUUAUCAAUGACAUCCAAUGUCCAUGGUCAGGAAACCAUAACCAUCUAUUGAUCAACGAGCUAGUCAACUAGAGGCUCACUAGGGACAUGUUAUGGUCUAUGUGUUCACACAUGUAUUACGAUUUCCGGAUAACACAAUUAUAGCAUGAACAAUAGACAAUUGUCAUGAACAAGGAAAUAUAAUAAUAACCAUUUUUUUAUUGCCUCUAGGGCAUAUUUCCAACAAGGGAAUGUCGAACGGUUCAAGGCAAGGCUAGUGGCAAAAGGGUAUACACAGAGAGAAGGCAAUGAUUAUAAGCAAACCUUCUCUCCUGUGUCAACCAAGGAUUCUUUUAGAAUCAUAAUGGCAUUAGUAGCUCAUUACGACCUAGAACUACACCAAAUGGAUGUUAAAACGGCAUUUCUGAAUGGAGACUUAAAAGAAAAUGUUUACAUGGCUCAGCCAGAAGGCUUUGUUGUGGAAGGGAAGGAACAUUUAGCAUGUCGUCUAAAGAAAUCAAUUUAUGGCUUGAAACAAGCUUCAAGAGAGUGGUACCUCAAGUUUGAUAAAAUUAUCAAAACUUUUGGUUUCACCGAAAACGUUGUGGACAACUGCAUAUACGUUAAGUUUAAAGGCAGUAGGUUCACAUUUUUAGUCCUAUAGGUUGAUGACAUAUUGUUGGCAUGUAGCGAUGAGGAUACGCUGCAUGAGACCAAGAAUUUUCUGUCAUCCAGUUUUGAUAUGAAAGAUCUUGGUGAAGCCUCGUAUGUCCUCGGCAUCGAGAUUCACCGAGAUAGGUCCAGAGGAACGUUAGGACUAUCUCAAAAGGCAUACUUUGAGAGAGUACUGAAAAAAUUCAAUAUGCAUAAGUGCUCACCCUCACCUGCUCCUAUAGUUAAGGGCGAUAAGUUUGGGACAUUUCAAUGUCCGAGGAACCAGUAUGAAACUGAUCAGAUGAAGUCGGUUCCUUAUGCUUCAGCUGUCGGAAGUAUCAUGUAUGCUCAAGUGUGUACACGCCCAGAUUUGUGUUUUAUAACUGGGAUGCUUGGCAGAUACCAAUCAAAUCCAGGACCGGACCACUGGAAGGCCGCAAAGAAAGUCUUGCGUUAUUUGCAAGGAACUAAGGAAUUCAUGCUUACAUAUAAAAGAACUGAUAACCUAGAAAUUAUUGGUUAUUCAGACUCUGAUUUUGCCGGAUGUGUGGAUAGUAAGAGAUCCACGUCAGGUUAUAUAUUCACACUCGCGGGAGGAGCUAUAUCGUGGAAAAGCUCCAAACAAACGUUAACUGCUGGAUCUACGAUGCAAGCAGAAUUUGUAGCAUGUUAUGAGGCCACCGGGCAGGCUGUAUGGCUAAAGAAUUUUAUUCCCGGACUUAAAGUGGUUGACAGCAUAUCUAAACCAAUUUUAUUGUACUGCGAUAAUGAACCCGCAGUUUUCUAUACGAGUAACAACAGGUCAAGUAGUGCUGCCAGACACAUUGACAUAAAGUAUCGUGUUGUGAAAGAUAGAAUUCAGGAUCAAACAAUUGAUGUUAAACAUAUAAGAACGAAGCAUAUGCUUGCGGAUCCGCUAACAAAAGGCUUAUCACCCAGUAUUUUUCGUGAGCAUGUUGCCGGCAUGGGACUACUGGAAGCCUUAUGAUUCUGGAAUAAGAGGACCAUUAAAAUAAACCACUCCCCAAUUGUCAAAAUGUUUCCAUUUCGAAAUAGGCGGGUGUGCUAUAAGUGUUGAGGUUCUAUGGGGUUUCGAGCUGUUGUAACACCUCACUUUGAUACAUCAUUCCUAUGUAGAAUGGGCAAAUGAAGUUAAGCCUAACGAUCAAGGGGGAGAAAAAUGUUGGUUUUGAUCUGAUGGCUUAACAGGCAGUUAGAUCUAUUAGUCUAACAAAAAAAGGGAAAAGAUAACGAUAAUGAAAAGGCCCCACGCACCAACGUACGUGGGUUUUUUAUCCCAACUAAGGCGCCCUGAUCGGGGGCACCCAAACCAACUGAUGGUUUAGGUCCCCUGUCGCCAGCGCUAGAUAAAAGGGGGUACGGGAGAGGGUUGGCAGCCUGCGCGAUCACAAUUCUCGUACAGUUUCACUCCCCUCCUGAUAUUCUCUCACCCCAUCCGAUCAGGGGGAGCGCUGCAGCGACGGGAAGACCUACUCCAGCCGCCGCUGCCGUCCCUGGGCAAUCCCGGUGGCGUCCUGAAGGAAUCAAGACGUCAAGGAGAACCUCUGCUUCCACUGCAUCACCCCUGCAUCACGCCUGCACCGAGCAGGCGAUCAUGUCCACUCCCGUGACAUGUAAAGGAUCCCUAAAUCCUUCUCUGUUCAUGUUGUGAGGUGAUCUAGAUGCAAUUUGAUCCUGCUAAUGGCAUCCCAUAGAUGCAUAAUUAAUCCAACAAGAAAAUCUACUGUACAAUUCUCAAAGCAAUGGUACUAUUGUUAGGACAAAAAACUGUUUAAUGCAGAGCCUCAGAUAGUCGUUCUAAGUAUUACAGGCACUUGUUAAUUUUGUAUGUGCCAUAUCAACUCUGAUAGUUGCUCCAAAGGAUUGAUGCGGCGUUCAGAAACAGACCAUUGAAAACAACAGAAAAGCUCACAGUUCAUUCCGCAGUCAAGCCAAAACAAAACAUGGACGAUGUGCUUACCUGAGAGGAAGGGUUGCAUCUCUUCUACAGCUUGCAAGGAGUGCCAAAUACAUUUGCAAAUGAAAGGUUGAUCCCCGCACAACUAUACGAUCUAAAAUGAGAAGCAACUAGAUUCAAAUACUUGAACAAAUGAAAGACUGAUUCAGUACAGCUAGACAAUCUAAACUGGGAAGCAACGAGUGUCAGAUGCUUGAACAAAUAGAAGACUUAUUCAAUGCAGCAACACGAUCUAAACAGAGAAAUCAAACAGAUCAAAUCAGUCAGUCUUAGAAAAGCAAAACACAAUUCAACAGUGGAGCAUUUCGUCAGGAUUCAGAAUCGAAGUGAUUGCAUUGAUUGAACAGAACAAGGUAUUACAUAGCCUACUGAACCCCAUGACAGAAUACAACCGGCGCACGCCAAAUCAGUAAAUCUCAUCUACGACAGCACAUAUCACAGAGCAAACGAGGAAGUUGCCCCACUACACGAAUCUAGCCUCCGAAGCCGUAGAGGGUGCGGCCCUGUCGCUUGAGCGCGUAGACGACGUCCAUGGCGGUGACGGUCUUGCGGCGGGCGUGCUCAGUGUAGGUGACAGCGUCGCGGAUGACGUUCUCGAGGAAGAUCUUGAGGACGCCGCGGGUCUCCUCGUAGAUGAGGCCGGAGAUGCGCUUCACGCCGCCCCUCCUCGCUAGCCUCCGGAUCGCCGGCUUGGUGAUGCCCUGGAUGUUGUCGCGGAGGACCUUCCGGUGGCGCUUGGCGCCGCCCUUGCCCAGCCCCUUGCCGCCCUUGCCGCGCCCGGACAUCGUCGCUGGAUUUGGGAGAAGAAGGGAUUCGUGUGGAUGCUGAAGCUUGGGAUGGAUUUGGGAAUCGGAGGUGACGGCUUUAUAUGGGGCGGAGUUGGGAGGGAAGCCCCGAAAUUUUGGGGAGUUGGAGGCGGGAGGUGUUUGAUCUCUGCUGGGUCGAUCCGUGGGAUGUUGGAGUUCGGCCGUUGGAUUGCGAUCAGCGGGUGGGAUGAGGUGGGAGGCGGGUGGUGCGGAUCGGUGACGUGGCGGAGAUGUGGGCGUAAGUUUUUCUUAGAAAGAAAUGUGGGCUGCUUGUGCUACAAUGAUUUGGGCCAGGCCGAGCGAUAGUGUUGGUAGCCCAUUUUUCAGCGAUAAUGUGGGCUGCUUGUGCUACAAAGAUUUGUGCUAAGUCGUAUUUUCCUAAAAUUUAACCAAAUUUCACAAUAUCAAAUCAAUAUAUUUAGAUUCAUCAUGAAAUAUUUCAAGUUAUAUUUAUUGUGUAUUGUAGUUGUUGAUAUUUUUGUUAUUAUUUAUGUGUACGUUACACACGAUGGAAGGACAAAAAUAUACUUGUGCCAAAAAAAACCUACCCUCGUGUUAGGGUUUUUGCUCAUGUCGAGGUGACUCGACGUUGAGACCCUGUCCGCCUCCGUCGUUCUUCCCAUGUACUCCACCUGGGUCGAGGACCGGUCCAGUAGCACCGUGCAAAAGUCCACCAUUCGUUGGCGACGGAUCGGCGACCACCUCUUGGAAGCGAAGUUGAAGGAGUCUAAGCACGUCGCUAGUGCCCUCGCCGCACCAAGUGCCAAGGGCAAGAGUGCUCUGCAGCUGACAGUUACCGCCAGAAGGACGCGAUGUGUCAGGCGGAUGCAGCAGCCAAGCGGCUGCGCUGUGAGUCCGCAUAGACGGACAAACAUGGUUGAUGCGACCCCUUAGUGGCUUUCCUCCUCCACGACAAUGAUGGCGGCGGUGGGAACGACGGAGGGGGUAAUGACGGUGGUCUCGGAGGUCAUGCCUACAAGAUCACCGUCUGGUACCUCACUUGAGUUUAGUUUUUUUUAAAUCGGCUUAGUCAAACUUUGUUAAAUUUCGUCUUUUUGAUAUAAAUAUAUCAAAAUUUAACAUUGUCCAGUUUGCAUGAAUGUUGACUGCCUUUUCGAAUUGUCCAUUCACCGCGAUGACUGCCUUUUUGGAUUGUCCAUUCACCGCGGCCCCCGACGGACUCCCCACGCAAGCACCGACGUUAUUUUGACUACGAUUAUGGCAACGAAUACUGGAACCGGCGUCCACGUUUGUUGGAACCAGCAAACCUACAAUUGGCAUGCUUCGAGUGGCUAGUCGAGCGAGAAAACAACGUGGCUCGUGCGAGCAUGCAGGGCCUUUGUUGCAACCACCGGUGAAACGUUUUACCACCAUGACGGGGCUGCGUUUGAACCCAGAUGUUGCAAUUGGAGGGGACGAAGCAUCGAUGCGUGAGCGACGCUACCAUGCGCUGGUUGCGGGGCGAGGGGCACGGGCCGGCAAGCAUCAAGGCCGUGGGGUGGGGAGCACGGCGAAGUUCGGUGCAGGAUGCGCCGAGGGGAGCAUGGCGAGCUUGGUGCGAGGUACGGGGGGAGCGAGGUAAGCGAGCUACAAGGGGUUGCACGGGUUGACCCUUUGGGGAAGGAGAUCACAAAUCACGCGGAUGGUCAGCCCAUUCGGACGGCUGCUAGGUGGCCCGCCGAAAAUUGGGCCACUCGCGACACCAAGUGCAUGAUAAAAGGUGUGUAUGUAUAUGUGGCCUUCAGUUGAAAAUAGAAUUAGAUAAAGUCGCAAUCUCCACACCUAGAGUCCAAAAAAACACAUAAUUAACAUAAAUUAUUGUCAGUGCAUAUUUCUCCAUAAGUGGUUUUGAUGAUUGAUCACAGUGCAUUUCGGACUAAUCGUGUGCAUUGAGCAUUUCAGAUAUCUCAUGUCUAGGCACAAGACAACUCGGUGCCCCUCGGAGCCUAUCGAAGACGGCGGUUCUCUACGUUUCUUUUCGGUGGAUUUGAGUCGUAGGAAAGCCGUACUAUUAAGAGGCGGUCCGCUUCGGAAAGGUUAGGGUGGAAUCAACACGUACACAUUUGUUCCUUUGCACCACAUUUCCUUCGCUUCGAUGGAGCACCGUCCGUUUAUCCUUGUCUCUGUGAUAUGAAGGUUGCCGAAUGUUAAAGCCUUUGUGGCAUGCGUUAGUACUACUCAAGGGAGCAGUAGUACCGCAGGGGCAUGCGGUAGUACCGCUCAAGCGAGCAGUAGUACCGCCCAGCGGUAGUACCGCUCCUGGUGAGCGGUAGUACCGCUGCCUCCAACCCUGACGCUGACGCAUGCGGAAGUAGGCGCGGAUGUAAUUUUUUACUUCCGCCCCUUACGGCGGUAGCAUUAUAAGAUGAUCCCUCACUAAAUUUCAAGGUAUGAGUGUUCUCCCUGAGUUCUACGUGAUGAUCGGGUGUGAUAAGCUCUACGUUCACAUACAACGGGUGCAAGCCAGUUUUGCACGUGCAAAAUACUCGGGUUAAACUUCACGAGCCUAGCAUAUGCAAAUAUGGCCUGGGUACACUGAAACCGAAAGGUCGAACGUGAAUUAUGUAGUAGAUAUGAUCAACAUAGAGAUGUUCACCAUUGAAAACUAUUCCAUCUCACGUGAUGAUCAGACAUGGUUUAGUUGAUAUGGAUCACGUGAUCAUUUAGAUGACUCGAGGGAUGUCUAUCUAAGUGGGAGUUCUUAAGUAAUAUGAUUAAUUGAACUUAAAUUUAUCAUGAACUUAGUCCUGAUAGUAUUUGCAUAUCUAUGUUGUACAUCAAUAGCUUGCUUAUAGCUUCCCCAUUUUAUUUAUGAUUUGUUUCUAGAGAAAACUAAGUUGAAAGAUGAUAGUAGCAAUGAUGCGGACUAGGUCCGUGAUCUGAGGAUUAUCCUCAUUGCUGCAUAGAAGAAUUAUGUCCUUGAUGCACCGCUAGGUGACAUAACUAUUGCAGGAGCAGAUGCAGACGUUAUGAACAUUUGACAAUCUCGGUAUGAUGACUACUUGAUAGUUUAGUGCACCAUGCUUUACGGCUUGGAAGCGGGACUUCAAAAAUGUUUCGAACGACAUGGAACAUAUGAGAUGUUCCAAGAGUUGAAAUUGGUAUUUCAGACUCAUGCCCGUGUUAAGAGGUAUGAGACCUCUGACAAGUACUUUGCCUACAAGAUGGAGGAGAAUAACUCAACCAGUGAGCAUGUGCUCAAAAUGUCUGAGUACUACAAUCGCUUGAAUCAAGUGGGAGUUAAUCUUCCAGAUAAGAUAGUGAUUGACAGAAUUCUCUAGUCACUAUCACCAUGUUAUUGGAACUUCGUGAUGAACUAUAAUAUGCAAGGGAUAACAAAAACGAUUCCUGAACUCUUCGCGAUGCUAAAAUCGGCGAUGGUAGAAAUCAAUAAAAAGCAUCAAGUGUUGAUGGUUAACAAGAACACUAGUUUCAAGAAAAGGGGCAAAGGAAAAGAAAGGGAACUUCAAGAAAGAAUGGCAAGCAAGUUGCUACUCCCAUGAAGAAACCCAAAGCUAGACCUAAGCCUGAAUCUGAGUGCUUCAACUGCAAAGGAAAUGGUCACUAGAAGUGGAACUACCCUAGAUACUUGGCGAAUAAGAAGGAUGGCAGAGUGAACAAAGGUAUAUUUUGUUGGGGAUCGUUGCAGAAAUUAAAAAAUUUCUACGAAUCACCAAGAUCAAUCUAUGGAGAGACUAGCAAUGAGAGAGAGGUGAGUGCAUGUUCAUACCCUUGAAGAUCGCGACACGGAAGUGUUACAAGAACGCGGAUGAAGGAGUCGUACUCACAGCGAUUCAGAUCGCUGUUGAUUCCGAUCUAAGCGCCGAACAACGGCGCCUCCGCGUUCAACACACGUACAGCCCGGGGACGUCUCCUCCUUCUUGAUCCAGCAAGGGGGAAGGAGAAUUUGGGGAAGAACUCUGGCAGCACGACAGCGUGGUGGUGGAGCUCGCAGUUCUCCGGCAGGGCUUCGCCAAGCUCAACGGAGGAGGAGGGAGUGUUGGAGAGGGGGAGGGCUGCGCCUUGGAUGUGGUGCUGCUGCCCUCCCUCCACCCCUCUAUUUAUAGGGCGGAGGGGGAAGGGGGCCGGCCCCUCUAGAUGAGAUCUAGAGGGGGGCGGCGGCCAAGGGGAGGGGCUUGCCCCCCAAGCCAAGGGGGCGCCCCCUUUAGGGUUCCCCCCCAACCCUAGGCGCAUGGGCCCUAGGGGGGAUGGCGCCCGGCCCACUUAGGGGCUGGUUCCCUUCCACAUAUAGCCCACAGGGCCCUCCGGGGCAGGUGGACCCUCCCGGUGGACCCCCGGAACCCCUUCGGUGGUCCCGGUACAAUACCGAUAAACUCCUGAACACUUCCGAUGACCGUAUGAUGACUUCCCAUAUAUAAAUCUUCACCUCCUGACCAUUUCGGAACUCCUCGUGACGUCCAUGAAACAUUCGGUAACUGCAUACUAUUUCCCAUAACAAAUCUAGCGUCACCGAACCUUAAGUGUGUAGACCCUACGGGUUCGGGAAUCAUGCAGACAUGACAGAGACAUCUCUUCGGCCAAUAACCAAUAGCGGGAUCUGGAUACCCAUGUUGGCUCCCACAUGUUCCAUGAUGAUCUCAUCGGAUGAACCACGAUGUCGGGAAUUCAAUCAAUCCCGUACACAAUUCCCUUUGUCUACCGGUAUGAUACUUGCCCGAGAUUCGAUCGUCGGUAUCCCUAUACCUUGUUCAAUCUCGUUACCGGCAAGUCUCUUUACUCGUUCUGUAACACGUCAUCCCGUGAUCAACUCCUUGGUCACAUUGAGCUCAUUAUGAUGAUGUCUUACCGAGUGGGCCCAGAGAUACCUCUCCGUCAGACGGAGUGACAAAUCCCAAUCUCGAUUCGUGCCAACCCAACAGAUACUUUCAGAGAUACCCGUAGUGCACCUUUAUAGCCACCCAGUUACGUUGUGACGUUUGGCACACCCAAAGCAUUCCUACGGUAUCUGGGAGUUGCACAAUCUCAUGGUCUAAGGAAAUGGUACUUGACGUUAGAAAAGCUUUAGCAGACGAACUAUACGAUCUUGUGCUAUGCUUAGGACUGGGUCUUGUCCAUCACAUCAUUCUCCUAAUGAUGUGAUCCCGUUAUCAACGACAUCUAAUGUCCAUGGUCAGGAAACCGUAACCAUCUAUUGAUCAAUGAGCUAGUCAACUAGAGGCUCACUAGGGACAUGUCGUGGUCUAUGUAUUCACACAUGUAUUACAAUUUCCGGAUAACAAUUAUAGCAUGAACAAUAGACAAUUAUCAUGAACAAGGAAAUAUAAUAAUAACCAUUUUAUUAUUGCCUCUAGGGCAUAUUUCCAACAGUCUCCCACUUGCACUAGAGUCAAUAAUCUAGUUACAUUGUGAUGAAUCGGACACUCAUAGAGUUCUGGUGUUGAUCAUGUUUUGCACAUGGAAGAGGUUUAGUCAACGGAUCUGCGACAUUCAGGUCCGUAUGCACUUUACAAAUCUCUAUGUCUCCAUCUUGAACAUUUUCACGAAUGGAGUUGAAGCGACGCUUGAUAUGCCUGGUCUUCUUGUGGAACCUGGGCUCCUUGGCAAGGGCAAUAGCUCCAGUGUUGUCACAGAAGAGAAUCAUCGGGCCUGGCGCAUUGGGAAUAACUCCUAGGUCGGUAAUGAACUCCUUCAUCCAGAUUGCUUCAUGUGCUGCCUCCGAGGCUGCCAUUUACUCCGCUUCACAUGUAGAUCCCGUCACGACGCUUUGCUUGCAACUGCACCAACUGACUGCCCCACCAUUCAAAAUAUACACGUAUCCGGUUUGUGACUUGGACUCAUCCAGAUCUGUGUCAAAGCUAGCAUCAACGUAACCCUUUACGACGAGCCCUUCGACACCUCCAUAAAUGAGAAACAUAUCCUUAGUCCUUUUCAGGUACUUCAGGAUAUUCUUGACCGCUGUCUAGUGUUCCAUGCCGGGAUUACUUUGGUACCUUCCUACCAAACUUACGGCAAGGUUUACAUCAGGUCUGGUACACAACAUGGCAUACAUAAUAGACCCUAUGGCCGAGGCAUAGGGGAUGACACUCAUCUUUUCUCUAUCUUCUGCCGUGGUCGGGCAUUGAGCCGUGCUCAAUCUCACACCUUGCAAUACAGGCAAAAACCCCUUCUUGGACUGAUCCAUAUUGAACUUCUUCAAUAUCUUGUCAAGGUAUGUGCUUUGUGAAAGACCAAUGAGGCGUCUCGAUCUAUCUCUAUAGAUCUUGAUGCCUAAUAUAUAAGCAGCUUCUCCAAGGUCCUUCAUUGAAAAACACUUAUUCAAGUAGGCCUUUAUGCUUUCCAAGAGUUCUAUGCCAUUUCCCAUCAAUAGUAUGUCAUCCACAUAUAAUAUGAGAAAUGCUACAGAGCUCCCACUCACUUUCUUGUAAACACAGGCUUCUCCAUAAAUCUGUGUAAACCCAAACGCAUUGAUCAUGUCAUCAAAGCGAAUGUUCCAACUCCGAGAUGCUUGCACCAGCCCAUAGAUUGAGCGCUGGAGCUUGCAUACCUUGUCAGCAUUCUUAGGAUCGACAAAACCUUCCGGCUGCAUCAUAUACAAUUCUUCCUUAAGGAAACCAUUAAGGAAUGCCUUUUGACGUCCAUUUGCCAUAUCUCAUAAUCAUAGAAUGCGGCAAUUGCUAACAUGAUUCGGACGGACUUCUGCUUCGCUACUGGUGAGAAAGUGUCAUCGUAGUCAACCCCUUGAACUUGUCGAUAACCCUUAGCGACAAGUCGAGCCUUAUAGAUGGUCACAUUACCAUCCGCGUCUGUCUUCUUCUUAAAGAUCCAUUUAUUUUCUAUGGCUCGCCGAUCAUCGGGCAAGUCAGUCAAAGUCCAUACUUCAUUUUCAUAUAUGGAUCCUAUCUCGGAUUUCAUGGCUUCAAGCCAUUUGUUGGAAUCCGGGCCCGCCAUCGCUUCUUCAUAGUUCGAAGGUUCACCAUUGUCUAACAACAUGAUUUCCAGGACAGGGUUGCCGUACUACUCUGGUGCGGAACGUGUCCUUGUGGACCUACGAAGUUCAGUAGCAACUUGAUCCGAAGUUCCUUGAUCAUCAUCAUUAAAUUUCUCUCUAGUCGGUGCAGGCAACACAGAAACAUUUUCUUGAGCUGCGCUACUUUCCGGUUCAAGAGGCAGUACUUCAUCAAGUUCUACUUUCCUCCCACUUACUUCUUUCGAGAGAAACUCUUUCUCUAGAAAGGACCCAUUCUUGGCAACAAAGAUCUUGACUUCGGAUCUGAGGUAGAAGGUAUACCCAAUAGUUUCCUUAGGGUAUCCUAUGAAGACGCAUUUUUUUGACUUGGGUUCAAGCUUUUCAGGUUGAAGUUUCUUGACAUAAGCAUCGCAUCCCCAAACUUUCAGAAACGACAGCUUAGGUUUCUUCCCAAACCAUAAUUCAUAUGGUGUCGUCUCAACGGAUUUCGACGGAGCCCUAUUUAAAGUGAAUGCGGCAGUCUCUAAAGCAUAACCCCAAAAUGAUAGCGGUAGAUCGGUAAGAGACAUCAUAGAUCGCACCAUAUCUAAUAGAGUGCGAUUACGACGUUCGGACACACCAUUACGCUGAGGUGUUCCAGGCGGCGUGAGUUGUGAAACAAUUCCACAUUUCCUUAAGUGCGUGCCAAAUUCGUGACUCAAAUAUUCCCCUCCUUGAUCUGAUCGUAAGAACUUCAUUUUCCUGUCACGUUGAUUCUCAACCUCACUCUGAAAUUCCUUGAACUUUUCAAAGGUCUCAAACUUGUGUUUCAUUAAGUAGACAUACCCAUAUCUACUUAAGUCAUCAGUGAGGGUGAGAACAUAAUGAUAACCACCGCGAGCCUCAACGCUCAUUGGACCGCACACAUCAGUAUGUAUGAUUUCCAAUAAGUUGGUUGCUCGCUCCAUUGUUCCGGAGAACGGAGUCUUGGUCAUUUUGCCCAUGAGGCAUGGUUCGCACGUGUCAAAUGAUUCAUAAUCAAGAGACUCCAAAAGUCCAUCUGCAUGGAGUUUCUUCAUGCGUUUGACACCAAUGUGACCAAGGCGGCAGUGCCACAAGUAUGUGGGACUAUCAUUAUCAACCUUACAUCGUUUGGCAUUCACACUAUGAAUAUGUGUAACAUCACGUUCGAGAUAAGAAUAAACCAUUGACCAACGGGGCAUGACCAUAAAACAUAUCUCUCAUAUAAAUAGAACAAUCAUUAUUCUCAGAUUUAAAUGAGUAGCCAUCUCGCAUUAAGCGAGAUCCAGAUACAAUGUUCAUGCUCAAAGCUGGCACUAAAUAACAAUUAUUGAGGUUUAAAACUAAUCCCUUAGGUAAAUGUAGAGGUAGCGUGCCGACGGCGAUCACAUCGACCUUGGAACCAUUCCCGACGCGCAUUGCCACCUCGUCCUUCGCCAGUCUCCGCUUAUUCCGCAGCUCCUGUUUUGAGUUACAAAUAUGAGCAACCGCACCGGUAUCAAAUACCCAGCAGCUACUACGAGUGCUGGUAAGGUACACAUCAAUAACAUGUAUAUCAUAUAUACCUUUGGUAUUGCCGGCCUUCUUAUCCGCUAAGUACUUGGGGUAGUUCCGCUUCCAGUGACUAUUUGCCUUGCAAUAAAAGCACUCAGUCUCAAGCUUGGGUCCAUUCUUUGGCUUCGUCCCGGCAGCUUGCUUACCGGGCGCGGCAACUCCCUUGCUAUCCUUCUUGAAGUUCUUUUUACCCUUGCCUUUCUUGAACUUAGUGGUUUUAUUCACCAUCAACACUUGAUGUUCCUUUUUUAUCUCCACCUCCGCUGAUUUCAGCAUUGAAUAUACCUCAGGAAUGGUUUUUUUCCAUCUCCUGCAUAUUGAAGUUCAUCACAAAGCUCUUGUAGCUAGGUGGAAGCGACUAAAGGAUUCUGUCAACGACCGCGUCAUUCGGGAGAUUAACUCCCAGCUGAGACAAGCGGUUGUGCAACCCAGACAUUUUGAGUAUGUGCUCGCUGACAGAACUAUUCUCCUCCAUCUUACAACUGUAAAACUUGUCGGAGACUUCAUAUCUCUCGACUCGGGCGUGAGCUUGGAAAACCAUUUUCAGCUCUUGGAACAUCUCAUAUGCUCCGUGUUGCUCAAAAUGCUUUUGGAGCCCCAGUUCUAAGCUGUAAAGCAUGUCGCACUGAACCAGGGAGUAAUCAUCACUACGCGACUGCUAGGUGUUCAUAACGUCUUGAGUUGCUGGGAAAACAGGUGUGUCACCUAGCGGUGCUUCAAGGACAUAUGCUUUCUUGGCAGCUAUGAGGAUAAUCCUCACGUUACGGACCCAGUCCGUGUAGUUUCUACCAUCGUCUUUCAGCUUGGUUUUCUCUUGGAACGCGUUGAAGUUGAGGGCAACAUUAGCGUGGGCCAUUUCAUCUACAAGACAUAUUGUAAAGAUUUUAGACCAAGUUCAUGAUAAUUAAGUUCAUCUAAUCAAAUUAUUCAAUGAACUCCCACUUAGAUAGACAUCCCUCUAGCCAUCUAAGUGAUACAUGAUCCGAAUCGACUAGGCCGUGUCUGAUCAUCACGUGAGACGGACUAGUCAUCAACGGUGAACAUCUCCAUGUUGAUCGUAUCUUCUAUACGACUCAUGUUCGACCUUUCGGUCUUCCGUGUUCCGAGGCCAUGUCUGUACAUGCUAGGCUCGUCAAGUCAACCUAAGUGUAUUGCGUGUGUAAAUCUGGCUUACACCCGUUGUAUGUGAACGUUAGAACCUAUCAUCACGUGGUUCUUCGGAACAACGGACCUUAGCAACGGUGCACAGUUAGGGGGAACACUUUCUUGAAAUUAUUGCGAGGGGAAGCUACCGUCGUUCUAAGCAAAUAAGAUGUAAAACAUGAUAAACAUCACAUGCAAUCAAAUAGUGACAUGAUAUGGCCAAUAUCAUUUUUUUGCUCCUUUUGAUCUCCAUCUUCGGGGCGCCAUGAUCAUCAUCGUCACCGGCAUGACACCAUGAUCUCCAUCAUCGUGAGUUGUCUUGCCAACUAUAACUUCUACUACUAUGGCUAAUGGUUAGGAAUAAAGUAAAGUAAUUACAUGGCGUUUUCAGUGACACACAGGUCAUACAAUAAAUUAAGACAACUCCUAUGGCUCCUGCCGGUUGUCAUACUCAUCGACAUGCAAGUCGUGAUUCCUAUUACAAGAACAUGAUCAAUCUCAUACAUCACAUAUAUCAUUCAUCACAUCCUUUUGGCCAUAUCACAUCACACGACAUAUGCUGCAAGAACAAGUUAGAUGUCCUCUAAUUGUUGUUGCAAGUUUUUACGUGGCUGCUAUAGGUUUCUAGCAAGAACGUUUCUUACCUACGCCAAAACCACAACGUGAUAUGCCAAUUUCUAUUUACCCUUCAUAAGGACCCUUUUCAUCGAAUACGAUCCGACUAAAGUGGGAGAGACAGACACCCGCUAGCCACCUUAUGCAACUGGUGCAUGUCAGUCGGUGGAACCUGUCUCACGUAAGCGUACAUGUAAGGUCGGUCCGGGCCGCUUCAUCCCACAAUGCCGCUGAAUCAAGAUAGGACCAGUAACGACAAGUAAAUUGACAAAAUCGACGCCCACAAUAACUUGUGUACUACUACUCGUGCAUAGAAACUACGCAUAGACCUAGCUCUGAUACCACUGUUGGGGAUCGUUGCAGAAAUUAAAAAAUUUCUACGCAUCACCAAGAUCAAUCUAUGGAGAGACUAGCAACGAGAGAGAGGGGAGUGCAUCUUCAUACCCUUGAAGAUCGCGACACGGAAGCGUUACAAGAACGCCGAUGAAGGAGUCGUACUCGCAGCGAUUCAGAUCGCGGUUGAUUCCGAUCUAAGCGCCGAACAACGGCACCUCCGCGUUCAACACACGUACAGCCCGGGGACGUCUCCUCCUUCUUGAUCCAGCAAGGGGGAAGGAUAAGUUGGGGAAGAACUCCGGCAGCACGAUGACGUGGUGGUGGAGCUCGCAGUUCUCCGGCAGGGCUUCGCCAAGCUCAACGGAGGAGGAGUGGGUGUUGGAGAGGGGGAGGGCUGCGCCUUGGAUGUGGUGUUGCUGCCCUCCCUCCACCCCUCUAUUUAUAGGGCGGAGGGGGAAGGGGGCCGGCCCCUCUAGAUGAGAUCUAGAGGGGGGGCGACGGCCAAGGGGAGGGGGCUUGCCCCCCAAGCCAAGGGGGGCGCCCCCUUUAGGGUUCCCCCCAACCCUAGGCGCAUGGGCCCUAGGGGGAUGGCGCCCAACCCACUUAGGGGCUGGUUCCCUUCCACAUACAGCCCACAGGGCCCUCCGGGGCAGGUGGACCCUCCCGGUGGACCCCCGGAACCCCUUCGGUGGUCCUGGUACAAUACCGAUAAACCCCCGAACACUUCCGGUGACCGUAUGAUGACUUCCCAUAUAUAAAUCUUCACCUCCGGACCAUUCCUGAACUCCUCGUGACAUCCGGGAUCUCAUCCGGGACUCUUAACAACAUUCGGUAACUGCAUACUAUUUCCGAUAACAACUCUAGCGUCACCGAACCUUAAGUGUGUAGACCUACGGGUUCGGGAAUCAUGCAGACAUGACCGAUACAUCUCUCCGGCCAAUAACCAACAACGGGAUCUGGAUACCCAUGUUGGCUCCCACAUGUUCCACGAUGAUCUCAUCGGAUGAACCACGAUGUCGGGGAUUCAAUCAAUCCCGUACACAAUUCCCUUUGUCUACCGGUAUGAUACUUGCCCGAGAUUCGAUCGUCGGUAUCCCUAUACCUUGUUCAAUCUCGUUACUAGCAAGUCUCUUUACUCGUUCUGUAACACAUCAUCCCGUGAUCAACUCCUUGGUCACAUUGAGAUCAUUAUGAUGAUGUCUUACCCAGUGGGCCCAGAGAUACCUCUCCGUCAUACGGAGUGACAAAUCCCAAUCUCGAUUCGUGCCAACCCAACAGAUACUUUCGGAGAUACCCGUAGUGCACCUUUAUAGCCACCCCGUUACGUUGUGACGUUUGGCACACCCAAAGCAUUCCUACGGUAUCCGGGAGUUGCACAAUCUCAUGGUCUAAGGAAAUGAUACUUGACAUUAGAAAAGCUUUAGCAGACGAACUAUACGAUCUUGUGCUAUGCUUAGGAUUGGGUCUUGUCCAUCACAUCAUUCUCCUAAUGAUGUGACCCCGUUAUCAACGACAUCUAAUGUCCAUGGUCAGGAUACCGUAACCAUCUAUUGAUCAACGAGCUAGUUAACUAGAGUCUCACUAGGGACAUGUCGUGGUCUAUGUAUUCACACAUGUAUUACGAUUUCCACAUAACACAAUUAUAGCAUGAACAAUAGACAAUUAUCAUGAACAAGGAAAUAUAAUAGUAACCAUUUUAUUAUUGCCUCUAGGGCAUAUUUCCAACAUAUUUGAUAUACAUGGUAUUUAUGUGUAGUUUACUAGUGUUUAUAGCAACCCCUCGGUAUUUGAUACUCGUUCAAUUGCUAAGAGUAGUAACUCGAAACAUGAGUUGCAAAAUAAACAGAGACUAGUUAAGGGCGAGGUGACGAUGUGUGUUGGAAGUGAUUCCAAGGUUGAUAAGAUCACCAUCGCACACUCCCUUUACCUUCGGGAUUAGUGUUGAACCUAAAAUAAAUGUUAUUGGGUGUUUGCUUUGAGCAUGAAUAUGAUUGGAUCAUGUUUAUUGCAAUAUGAUUAUUCAUUUAAGUCAAAGAAUAAUUGUUGUUCUAUUUACAUGAAUAAAACCUUCUAUGGUCAUACACUCAAUAUAAAUGGUUUAUUGAAUCUCGAUCAUGGUGAUACACAUAUUCAUAAUAUUGAUGCCAAAAGAUGCAAAGUUGAUAAUAUGAUAGUGCAACAUAUUUGUGGCACUGCCGUUUAGGUCAUAUUGGUAUGAAGCGCAUAAGAAACUCCAUACGGAUGGACUUCUGGAAUCACUUGAUUAUGAAUCAUUUGAUGCUUGCGAACCAUGCCUCAUGGGCAAGAUGACUAAGACUCCGUUCUCCGGAAUAAUGGAGCGAGCCACUGACUUAUUGGAAAUAAUACAUACCGAUGUAUGCAGUCCGAUGAGUGUUGAGGCUCGCGGCGGGUAUCAUUAUUCUAACCUUCACAAAUGAUUUGAGCAGAUAUGGGUAUAUCUACUUAAUGAAACAUAAGUCUAAAACAUUUGAAAAGUUCAAAGGAUUUCAGAGUGAAGUAGAAAAUCAUUGUAACAAAAAAAUAAAGUUUCUAUGAUCUGAUCACAGAGGCAAAUAUUUGAGUUACGAGUUUGGCCUUCAUUUAAAACAAUGUGGAAUAGUUUCUCAACUCACGCCACCUGGAACACCACAGCGUAAUGGUGUGUCCGAACGUCAUAACCCUACUUUACUAGAUAUGAUACGAUCUAUGAUGUCUCUUACCGAUUUACCACUAUCAUUUUGGGGUUAUGCAUUAGAGACAACUGCAUUCACGUUAAAUAGGGCACCAUCUAAAUCCGUUCAGAUGACACCUUAUGAACUAUGGUUUGGCAAGAAACCUAAGCUGUCAUUUCUUAAAAGUUUGGAGUUGCGAUGCUUAUGUGAAAAAAUUUCAAACCGAUAAGCUCGAACCUAAAUCGGAGAAGUGCGUCUUCAUAGGAUACCCAAAAAGAAACUGUUGGGUACACUUUCUAUCACAGAUCCGAAGGCAAGAUAUUUGUUGCUAAGAGUGGAUCCUUUCUAGAGAAGGAGUUUCUCUCGAAAGAAGUGAGUGGGAGGAAAGUAGAACUUGAUGAGGUAGUUGUACCUUCUCUCGAGUUGGAGAGUAGUUCAUCACAGAAAUCAGUUCCAGUGAUGCCUACACCAAUUAGUGAGGAAGUUAAUGAUGAUGAUCAUGAAACUUCAGAUAAAGUUACUACCGAACCUCUUAGGUCAACUAGAGUACGUUUCGCAUCAGAGUGGUACGGUAAUCCUGUUCUGGAAGUCAUGUUACUAGACCAUGACGAACCUGUGAACUAUGAGGAAGCGAUGAUGAGCCCAGAUUUCGCAAAAUGGCUUGAGGCCAUGAAAUCUGAGAUGGGAUCCAUGUAUGAAGAACAAAGUGUGGACUUUGGUUGACUUGCCCGAUGAUCGGCAAGCCAUUGGAAAUAAAUGGAUCUUCAAGAGGAAGACGGACGCUGAUAGUAGUGUUACUAUCUACAAAGAUCGAAUUGUCGCAUAAAGUUUUCGACAAGUUCAAGGUGUUGACUACGAUGAGAUUUUCUCACUCGUAGCGAUGCUUAAGUCUGUCCGAAUCAUGUUAGCAAUUGCCACAUUUUAUGAAAUAUGGCAAAUGGAUGUCAAAACUGCAUUCCUUAAUGGAUAUAUUAAAGAAGAGUUGUAUAUGAUGCAACAAGAAGGUUUUGUCAAUCCUAAAGGUGCUAAUAAAGUGUGCAAGCUCCAGCGAUCCAUCUAUGGACUGGUGCAAGCAUCUCGGAGUUGGAAUAUACGCUUUGAUGAGUUGAUCAAAGCAUAUAGUUUUAUACAGACUUGCGGUGAAGCCUGUAUUUACAAGAAAGUGAGUGGGAGCACUACAACCUUUCUGAUAAGUAUAUGUGAAUGACAUAUUGUUGAUCGGAAAUGAUGUAGAAUUUUCUGGAAAGCAUAACAGAGUGUUUGAAAGGAGUUUUUCAAAGGAAGACCUCGAUGAAGCUGCUUACAUACUGAGCAUCAAGAUCUAUAGAUAUAGAUCAAGACGCUUGAUAAGUUUUUUCAAUGAGUACAUACCUUGACAAGUUUUUGAAGUAGUUCAAAAUGGAACAGUCAAAUAAGGAGUUCUUGCCUGUGUUGCAAGGUGUGAAGUUGAGUAAAGACUCAAAAACCGACCACGGCAGAAAAUAGAAAGAGAAUGAAAAGUCAUUCCCUAUGCCUCAGUCAUAGGUUCUAUAAAGUAUGCUAUGCUAUGUACCAGACCUAUUGUGUACCUCACCACGAGUUUGGCAAGAGGGUACAAUAGUAAUCCAGGAGUGGAUCACUGAACAGCGAUCAAAAUUAUCCUUAGUGGAAUAAGGACAUGUUUCUCGGUGAUGGAGGUGGCAAAAAGUUCAUCAUAAAGGGUUACGUCGAUGCAAGCUUUGACACUGAUCCGGAUGACUCUAAGUCACAAUCUGGAUACAUAUUGAAAGUGGGAGCAAUUAGCUAGAGUAGCUCUGUGCAUAGCAUUGUAGACAUAAAAAAUUUGCAAAAUAUGUACGGCUCUGAAUGUGGUAGACCCGUUGAUUAAACUUCUCUCACAAGCAAAACAUGAUCACACCUUAAAACCCUUUGGGUGUUAGUCACAUGGAGAUGUGAACUAAUCACAUAAAGAUGUGAACUAUUGGUGUUAAAUCACAUGACUAUGUGAACUAGAUUAUUGGCUCUAGUGCAAGUGGGAGACUGAAGGAAAUAUGCCCUAGAGGCAAUAAUAAAGUUGUUAUUUACAUUUCCUUAAAUCAUGAUAAAUGUUUAUUAUUCAUGCUAUAAUUAUAUUAACCGGAAACUUAGUACGUGUGUGAAUACAUAGACAAAACAGAGUGUCCCUAGUAUGCCUCUACUUGACUAGCUCGUUAAUCAAAGAUGGUUAAGUUUCCUGACCAUAGACAUGUGUUGUCAUUUGAUGAACGGGAUCACAUCAUUAGAAGAAUGAUGCGAUGGACAAGACCCAUCCGUUAGCUUAGCAUGUUGAUCGUUCAGUUUUAUUGCUAUUGCUUUCUUCAUGACUUAUACAUAUUCCUUUGACUAUGAGAUUAUGCAACUCCCGAAUACCGGAGGAACGCCUUGUAUGCUAUCAAACGUCACAACGUAACUGGGUGUCUCCGAAGUUGUUUGUUGGGUUGGCAUAGAUCGAGAUUAGGAUUUGUCACUCCGAGUAUCGAAGAGGUAUCUCUGGGCCCUCUCGGUAAUGCACAUCACUGUAAGCCUUGCAAGCAAUGUGACUAAUGAGUUAGUUGCAGGAUGAUGCAUUAUGGAACGAGUAAAGAGACUUGCCGGUAACAAGAUUGAACUAGGUAUGAGGAUACCGACGAUCGGAUCUCGGGCAAGUAACAUGCCGAUGACAAAGGGAAUGACGUAUGUUGUUAUGCGGUUUGACUGAUAAAUAUCUUCGUAGAAUAUGUAGGAACCAAUAUGAGCAUCCAGGUUCCGCUAUUGGUUAUUGACCGAAGAUGUGUCUCGGUCAUGUCUACAUAGUUCUCGAACCCGUAGGGUCCGCACACUUAACGUUCGAUGACGAUUUGUAUUAUGAGUUGUGUGUUUUGGUGACCGAAGUUUGUUCGGAGUCCCGGAUGAGAUCACAGACAUGAUGAGGAGUCUCUAAAUGGUCGAGAGGUAAAGAUUGAUAUAUUGGAAGGUAGUAUUCGGACACCGGAAGGGUUCCGGAGUUUAUCGGGUACAUACCAGAGUACCGGAGGGGUUACCGGAACCCCCCGGGGAAAGAUAUGGGCCAUAUGGGCCAUAGGAGGGAGGCUAACCAGCCCACAAGGGACUGGUGCGCCCCCUACUAGGGAGGAGGCCGAAUUGGUUUAGGUAAGGGGGCGCCACCCCCCUUUCCUUCUCCUACUCCCUCUCCUUCCCCCUUUCCACCUCCAUGAGAAGGAAAAGAAGGGGGGGGGGAUCCUACUAGGACUAGGAGUCCUAGUAGGACUCCCCCCUUAUGGCGCGCCCCUAGGGCCGGCCUCCUCCCUCUCCCUCCUUUAUAUACGUGGGCAUGGCACCCCUUGGAGACACAAUAAUGGUUCCAAGCCGUGUGCGGCGUCUCUCUCCAUAGUUUGCUGCUCCGAUCAUAUUCACGUAGCACUUAGGCGAAGCCCUGGGCGGAUCACAUCACCAUCACCGUCAUCACGCCGUCGUGCUGACGAAACUCUCGCUCGACCCUCUGCUAGAUCAAGAGUUCGAGGGACGUCAUCGAGCUGGACGCGUGCUGAACAUGGAGGUGCCGUACGUUCGGUACUUGGAUCAGUUGGAUCGUGAAGACGUUCGACUACAUCAACCGCAUUAACCUAACGCUUCUGCUUUCGGUCUACGAGGGUACAUGGACACACUCUCCCCCUCUCGUUUCUAUGCAUCUCCUAGAUAGAUCUUGCGUGAGCGUAGGAUUUUUUUUGAAAUUGCAUGCUACAUUCCCCAACACCAACAUCAAAACUACCAUCACUACUAAUCCUUCCUUGACGGAUUGCAUUGAUGAAAGUGAAGGGACGAAGGAGGAGGAGAAUGAAUUUGAGUCUUUCAUGAGUAAGCUCAAAGGUAAAACCAAGAAGCACUUUGUUGCUCUCUUGGAACAACUUGGUGAAGCCAAUGACAUGAUCGAGGCUCACGAAGAGACCAUCUCUAAGAUGGAAGGGCAUAGUCGUGACUAUGCCGAUGAGAUUUCGGAUCUCUCUAAUGCGCUUGAGGAAGAGCGUGGUCAUCGUUUGGCUCUUGUGGAGUCACACAUCGAUGAUCAUGCUGAAUUAAAGAAAGAUCUUGAUCAUGCUCUUGUUCUCUCUCGUGUGCUCAAUUCUGAGAAGGCCAAACUUGGGGUUGACCAUGCUAGACUCAGGGAGGAGUUUGAUCUACUUGACAAGGCUCACAAGGCCUUGAAGAGUGCUCAUGCUAACCUCAAAGAGUCUCAUGAUCAACUCCAAGUGAAGCUAACCAAGGAGAAAGCCACAUCUCCUCAUAUGGUUUUAAUUGAUAAUGCAAAUGCUACUAACCCGUAUUGUGAGCAUGUGCACCUUGUGGAGGAGAAUGCCAAGUUGAAGGAGCAACUUGAGAAAGGCCUUGUGUCUUGCAUACAAGGUGAGAAGAGCCUCAACGACCUUUUGAGCAAUCAAAAGGAAGUUGUGGGCAAGGAGGGGAUUGGGUUUGCACCCAAGUCCAAGAAGAAGAGGAAGAAUGACAAGACCAAACAACCUCCUCCUCUCAAGAAAAACGUUUGUGAAGGAGGGAGAGGGUACUCCUAAGGAGAAGAAGAACAAUGCGAAGGGUGGUGGUGUCAAGAAGGGCAAUGCCACUCCUUCCAACAAAGCCGGCGACUUUAACCCUUCUUAUGUGUUGUGCCGUGCUAGUGAUGGACAUGUUUAUGCCAAAAAAUUUGGUUCUUCUUAUGAGUACAUUGAAUGGUCUAUUUGGGUUCCUAAGACCCUUGUUGCUAAAAUCAAAGGACCCAUUACAAAAUGGGUACCUAAAACCAAGCAUUGAUCUCUUGUAGGUGUUUGCUUCCUGUGGGGGAUCAUGGUUGCUCGAUAGUGGAGCCACAAGUCAUAUGACCGAAAGCAAGGACUUGGUGGUGGACGUGCACAAGGUUUCAUCUAUGCCCACCAAUGUCGAAUGGGGUGAUGCCUCAUCUUCUAAGGUAUUGGGUCUUAGCAAGGUUGUCAUUUCUCAUGAUCUCACGAUCAAGAAAUUCAUGCUUGUUGAGUCCCUUGGAUACAACUUACUUUUCGUUCGUCAACUUGCACUCAUGGGCUUUGCCACUUUCUUUGAUAUUGAUACCGUGGCCCUCUUGUGGAGCAAGACUCUUAAAGUAGCCUUUGUUGGGCAUGUCGAGAACGGUCUUUAUGUGAUUAACUUUUUGGAGCGACCCACUAAGACUGCGACAUGCCUAAUGGAUAAAGUUAACAUGGGAUGGCUUUGGCAUCGCCAUUUAGCCCACAUCAAUAUGAGACCUUUGCAAAGUAUUCUCAAGGGGGACCAUGUCCGUGGACUAACAAAUGUUAGUUUUGCCAAAGAUCGUGCUUGCAGUGCUUGUAUCGAAGGAAAGCUACAUGAGAAGGCUCACCCUCCCAUGACUAUCAUCUACUUGACGAGGCCCUUGGAGCUCCUUCACUUGGAUUUCUUUGGGCCUCCAUCCUUUGACAGUCUUGGGGUAGAAAGUAUUGCUUGGUGAUUGUGGAUGAUUAUUCAAGAUACACUUGGGUAUAUUUCUUCAAGAGGAAGAGUGAGACCCAACAAACCGUCAUCGACUUUGAAAAUGAAGCACAAUGGCAACACAAUGCAAAGAUUUUGAUGAUAAGAAGUGACAACGGCACCGAGUUCAAGAACUACACCUUGGAUGAGUUUCUCAGUGAUGAGGAGAUCAAGCAUCAAUAUUCCGCACCUUACACCCCUCAACAAAAUGGUGUAGCAGAGAGGAAGAACCAAACAUUGAUGGACGUGGCAAGGACCAUGAUGGCGGGUUCAAGUCUCCGUACAACUUUUGGGCCGAAGCCAUCAACACCGCUUGUCAUGCAUCCAAUCGGCUCUAUCUCCGCAAAGGCUUGAACAAGACUCCAUAUGAGAUACUUACCGGCAACAAGCCCAACCUCAAGUACUUCCGGGUGUUCGGUUGUAAGUGUUUCAUUCUCAAGGAAGGUGUUCAUUUGUCUAAAUUUUAAGCUAGAGCUUAUGAGGGCAUAUUUGUUGGUUAUGCUACAAACUCUCAUGCUUACCAUGUCCUCAACAAGUCCACGGGACUCAUUGAGGAGACAUGUAACAUGGAGUUUGAUGAGAAUAAUGGCUCCCAAGUGGAGCAAAGUGGUACUUGUGAUGUAGGUGAUGAAAUUCCUCCCCAAGCCAUAAGAAGAAUGGGUGUUGGCAAUAUCCUACCCAUUGAGGAACCCCUUGUGGCCGAAGGAGAAGGACAAUGUUCCACUCAAGUGGAACCAUCAUCAACUUAAGACCUACACGUUUCCGAAGAACAAAGUGAAGGCCCUCAACCAAAUGAACAAGAUCAAGGGCAAGAUCAACCUCAAGAUGGUGGUGAUCCACCAAGUGAUGCCCAGGGUCAAGUUCUUGCUACCGAGCAAGUUGAAGAUCAAGUGCAAGCUCAAGACGACGCUCAUGAUGAUCAAAUUAUCACUCCUCAACUCUCCCUUGAGGAGCGAUUGGAGCGUCGUGCCGCCAAGAUAGCGUCCAAGCUCACUACCAAAGAUCAUCUCAUGAAGAAUGUGCUAGGAAGCUUAAGAAAGGGGGUAAGCACUUGUAGAAAAUUAGCAAACUAUUAUGAACAUCAUGUGUUUGUUUCUUGUGUUGAAGCCCAAAAGGUCUAUGAGGCGCUCGAGGAUCCGGAUUGGCUUAAUGCCAUGCAUGAAGAACUCAAUUACUUCGAUCACAACAAGGUGUGGAGAUUGGUGCCAAGGCCAAAGGAGAACCAUAAUGUUAUUGGAACCAAAUGGAUAUUCAAGAACAAGCAAGCUGCUCACGGGAUUAUCAUUCGCAACAAAGCUUGUUUGGUGGCACAAGGCUACUCUCAAGUCGAGGGUAUCGACUAUGGUGAAACCUUUGCUCCCGUUGCUCACCUUGAAUCUAUUUGUUUGCUGAUUGCUUAUGCUUCUCAUCAUAACUUCAAGUUGCAACAAAUGGAUGUGAAGAGUGCUUUUCUUAAUGGUCCUAUUAAUGAGUUGGUGUAUGUCAAACAACCCCCUGUAGGAGAUAUGCCCUGAAGGCAAUAAUAAAUGAUAUUAUUUAUCUCCGAGUUCAUAAUUAUGUUUAUGUUCCAUGCUAUAACUGCUAUGGUUCUCGAGUCUGCAAUAACCACGAGGCUCGGAGGAAGACUCAUAUGCAUGUGUGGAAUAAUAAACGGUAAAAUGUAUUCCUAGUCUGGCCUCUAAAACUAGCUCAAGUGUUGCAUGAUGGUUAUGUUUUCCUGAUCAUGGGCAUGUCUAUGUCAGCAACCUUGAGGGCAUAAUGUUAAGAGAACAUUUGUGUUGAAUCGACCCGGCAUGAUGUUAUGCUAUGAGAUUCAUUCGUCACAAGUAUAUUGGUACAUAACACAGAGAUGGUUAACGUUUGCAUGAUUCCUUAGACCAUGAGAGUAUCGAGUUUCUUCAUGCUUGCUAACUUUGGGGUUUGUUAAACGUCAUCCGUAAAUGGGUGGCUAUUACGGCGGCUUACGGGUUCAUGGAAGAGUGUGUCAAGUAACUUGAUAGCUCAAGAUUGGGAUUUGCUCCUUCGACGAUGGAGAGAUAUCUCUGGGCCCUCUCGGUGUUACGGUAUCCAUCAUCGUCUGGCCAGACACUUUGUGAUUUGAUCACGGGGAUGCCGGAACACGAUAACGAGAAAAGAGAACAAUACCGGUAACGAGGUAACUAGCAUAGUGGACAAGUUGUUGAUCCACGGGAAUGCCAACAUGUCUCACCUCGGGUAUUUGUAACAUAUCGCGAAGCAACAGGAAUAGCACACGGCAACUGGAGGUUCACUCGAAUAUUUAUUCGUGUGGGUAUAGGGGUCAAUAUGGGUGUCCACGGCUCCGAUGUUGAUCAUUGAUCGGAAGGGGUUCCGGGUCAUGUCUAUACUUCACCGAACCUAUAGGGUCACACGCUUAAGGGUCAUCUAUCUGCUGAAUACUAGACAGGGAGUCUGAGAGAAAAUCACCGAAAAAGUUUCGGACACCGAAAAGUUUCGGACAGCGGAAUCGUACCGCAAAGAGAGGUCAUCGGAUAAGUUUCGAUGAUACCGAAAAGUUGUUUCGGGAUACACCAUUAAGUCAAAUUGGUUUGGGCACAUGCCUGAUAAUUCUUGGAGGAUGCCAGAAUCAUUCUGGAAGCUUUUUGGAAUUUUCUGAGAUAAAAACCGGAAAAGUUCCGGAGCUGCCGGAGCCACUUCAGAUGCGUUUCGCAGAUGAAAAUCACUAAAACCGGAAUUGUUUCGGAAUGCGUUGAAAAUCAUUUUAGUGGGUACUGGAAAUGUUCUUAGCCCACAUAACUAUUUUCAGUUCGAUCAGACGCUGAAAAAUGUCGUCGUGAAUAGUGAAAAUCAGCUUUAUGGUUACUUUAUGGAAAGCCACCUUUUGGGGCUUUGCUCCAAAAGAUCUUGGGGAUGACAUGGAUGGAUAGGAGCCAUUUUUUGGGCCCCUCAUGGGGGUGUGGCCGGCCACAUGGGGUAUCCCCCCUUGGGGACCCUCUUGUUCCUUGGUUUCACUCCUAGGUCCUUGUGGAAGGACUUCAUUCAUGCGCAUUUUGGGUUUUUUGUGAAACUACCCUACCCCCUUGGGAUUUCCUAUAAAUAGAGGUGGAGGGGCAGCCCUCCACACUCAUCCCCUUGCUCUCAUACACAUGCCAUGCAUUAUCUGGCUUCUUCUCUCCCUCCCACGAAAAGAGUUUCGUAGAGCCAUAAGGCUGUCUGGGUUCCGGCAGGAACUAGUUCUGGACGGCGAAGCCCUGCCGGAUAGAUGACACCGUAUGUGUGCAACUCUAUAGAGAGAUCGUAGUUUCGGUCUUAGUUCGUGAGUGCCUCCCGAAGGGCUGUCCGUGUGACCGUCCGAGUUUCGAAGGUCCUCCCGAAGGGCUGUCCGAGUGACCGUUCGAGUUUCGAAGGUCCUCCCGAAGGGCUAUCCGCGACACCGUCCGGGGGGGGGGGCUGUUCGACCGCCUCCUGGAGGGCUGUCUGAGGAGCAGAUGAGGGUAUACAUCCUCGCGGUUGGGAGGUUGUAAAUCCUAGCUGCGGGGAUCUGCACCGCCGAUCGUCAUCGACUCUACUUCCCGCUGCGCUACGAGUCGGUAACGAAAAAGAUCAAACCAUGUAUGCAGUCUCCAUAGUGGUCCUGGGCUGGUGCGUAGGUCGGAAAUUUUUUGUUUUCUGCUGCGUUCCCCUACGGUGGCAUCAAGAGCCGUGCUAUGCGUAGAUGCAGGUUUCGAUCUGAAUACAUGGAGAUGUAUGGGUAUUGCAUAAUAUAAUUAGGUAGUAGAUGAGA